This 200313-nucleotide long non-coding RNA is filed under the name Citrus x clementina. Its description in RNAcentral is "Citrus clementina (C. clementina) long non-coding RNA (CCLE_LNC001436)". Lineage: Eukaryota; Viridiplantae; Streptophyta; Magnoliopsida; Sapindales; Rutaceae. The record is from RNAcentral.
GACUUUAAUCGCCGAAGGAGUUUUUGAGGUGGUGGCUGACAGAGCUCCAGAGUCUGUAGCAGAUGAAAGACCUACUGAGCGAACACUAGUAGGCUUGCAAUCACAACUUGAACAAGUCUGGAGAUGUCUUAUAGAAGAAUCAGCGGGAAUCAUUGGCCUAUAUGGUAUGGGCGGUGUUGGUAAAACUACACUAUUGAUCCAUAUCAACAAUAAAUUUCUCGAGAGUCGAACCAACUUUGAUUUUGUGAUUUGGGUAGUAGUUUCAAAAGACCCGCGACUCGAAAAAAUUCAAGAAGAUAUUGGGAAAAGGAUAGGUUUGGUUGAUGAUUCAUGGAAGAGUAAAAGUGUAGAGGAGAAAGCUCUCGACAUCUUCCGGAGUUUAAGAGAGAAGAGAAUUGUAUUGUUGUUAGAUGAUAUAUGGGAGCGGCUUGAUUUAACAAAAGUGGGCGUUCCACUUCCCGGACCAAAAAAUACUACCUCAAAAGUCGUAUUCACAACCCGUUUCUUCGAUGUUUGUGGUAGCAUGGAAGCUCACAGGACGUUCGAAGUGGCAUGCUUAUCAGAAAAGGAUGCUUGGGAACUGUUUCAAGAAAAAGUAGGAGAAGAAACUCUUAAGAGUGAUCAUGAUAUCGCUGAGCUAGCCCAAACCGUGGCCAAGAAGUGUGGUGGUUUGCCGCUCGCACUUGUUACUAUUGGUCGAGCUAUGGCCAGCAAAAAGACAGCCGAGGAGUGGAGACAUGCAAUUGAAGAGUUAGGAAGAUCAGCUUCAGAGUUUCCAGGUUUGGGAAAAGAGGUGUAUCCUGUUUUAAAAUUCAGUUAUGAUAGUUUGCCGAAUGAGACGAUUAGAUCUUGUUUCUUAUAUUGUUGUUUAUAUCCUGAAGAUUAUGGCAUUCUUAAAUGGGACUUGAUUGAUUGUUGGAUUGGUGAGGGAUUCUUAGAGGAAUCUAACAGGUUUGGUGCAGAAAACCGAGGAUACUACAUUGUGGGCACUCUUGUUCAUACGUGUUUACUAGAAGAGAUAGAAGAUGAUAAAGUAAAAAUGCAUGACGUUGUUCGUGAUAUGGCUCUAUGGAUAGCUUGUGAAACUGAGAAGGAGAAGAUAAACUUUUUGGUUUGUGCAGGUGCUGGAUUAAAGGAGGCACCGGAUGUUAAAGGAUGGGAAAAUGUGAGAAGAUUGUCAUUGAUGCAAAACCAAAUUAAAGUUCUGUCAGAGGUUCCUACAUGCCCUCAUCUCCUCACUUUAUUUCUUGACUUUAAUAGAGAGUUAAUGAUGAUCGCGGGUGGCUACUUCCAAUUUAUGCCUUCUCUCAAAGUUUUGAAGAUAUCAAACAUUGGGUAUUUCAACGUUUUGAAAUUACCUUUGGGGAUGUCAAAGUUGGGUUCACUAGAACUUCUCGAUAUUUCACAUAGCAGCAUAGAGGAGUUACCAGAAGAGUUAAAGUUGUUGGUAAAUCUGAAAUGUCUGAAUUUGAGGUGGACAGAUGUGUUAAAUAAAAUUCCACGGCAACUAAUAUCAAAUCUUUCAAGGGUACGUGUGUUGAGAAUGUUCGCUACUGGCUAUGAUCGUUUUCAUGAAGCAUCAGAAGACAGCGUUUUAUUUGGUGGGGGUGAAGUUUUGAUACAGGAAUUGCUCGGUUUGAAAUAUUUAGAGGUAUUGGAGUUGACCUUGGGAAGUUAUCAUGCUCUCCAAAUUCUUUUGAGCUCAAAUAAGUUAAAAAGUUGUAUUCGAUCUCUUCUCCUCUUCGGGUUCAGAGGUACAAAGUAUUUUAUUGAUGCUACGGCUUUCGCAGAUCUAAAGCACCUCAAUGAAUUACAGAUUCAUGAUUGUAGGGGGUUGGAAGAGUUGAAGAUUGAUUACACAGAGAUAGCACAAAAAAGGCGGGAACCUUUUGUUUUCCGCAGCCUUCGUCGUGUUACUAUGGUUUCGUGCCAUAAAUUGAAAGAUUUGACAUUCCUCGUUUUUGCUCCAAACCUCAAGUCUAUUUCGCUAGGCGAUUGCGAUGCUUUGGAAGAAAUAAUCAGCGUUGGAAAAUUUGCUGAGGUUCCUGAGAUGAUGGGACAUCUAAGCCCUUUCGAAAAUCUCCAAAAUCUUGACCUAUCGUAUUUGCUGGCUUUGAAGAGCAUCUACUGGAAGCCAUUGCCUUUCACUUAUCUGAAAGAAAUGGUGGUAAAUGGGUGUGAUCAACUUAAAAAGCUUCCACUCGAUUCCAGCUGUGCAGAAGAGCGUAAAUUUGUUAUUCGCGGAGAAGCACACUGGUGGAACUGCCUUGAAUGGGAGGAUGAAGCCACUCAAAUUGCUUUUCGUUCCUGUUUCCAGCCUUAUUCCUGAGUGGUGGUUGCAAAAUUUGAUUUCUGGUGUGGUCUUUUAUUCUCUGUUUUUAUUUAAGUUUCUUUUCCUUUCCUUUUCCUUUUUUUUUUUAAUUUCUCCUGCAAAUCACAAUUAAACAUUGAAUUAUAUGGAAUUAAUGCUUUAUAAAUUUGCCGGCACUGCCUUUUUUUUUUUUUGUCGGAGUGAUACUCUAGCUUUUGACUUUUGGUUGUCAAAUUCUGCUCUGCCUUUUUAAAUUGAUGCUUUAUUUAUAUUUUCUUAGUGAUUUAGUUUCCUGUCAAAAGACGAACGAGAAGAACAUUUGAAUUAAAUAAAUGCUCGCAAAUUUGCGGUAAAAAGAUGUAAUUAGCCGAGAAAAUAUUAAAUAUAGUAGCCCUCUUUACAGAAAAUCAAGUGGAAGUUAAUUCAGCAAGUUAUAUUCUUGAUUAAUUCCUUUUCUGAAGUUUUUAUUUUCUAUGGUCAAUUAUACCUUCAUACUAAAAAUUGCUGCUAUUGGGUGUUGAGUGUUAUGCUAAAAUUUUGCCCUAUUUUGGGCCAAUAUUUUAGAAGUGAAACAUACUUCAGAGUUGAAGUAAACUUUGAAAAUAGAGAUAAUGAUUAAUUUAGAAGAGAUGCAAGUAAAAGAUAUUCUAAAAAAAAAAAAGCAAUAUGUCCCUUUGGAGGGCAAACUUGUCAGUUUGAAAAAGUUACAUGCUUUGGAUUGAUAGUUGCAGGAUAUUUGUUUUGUCACUGUGUAUUAGGUGCGUUUGGAAUUGAAGUGUUGUAGUUUUUAAGUUAUAAUUGUUGUAAAAAAAAAUUGUAACUAUAAAACAAAAGUUAAUAAUAUAUAAUAAAUUUAAAUUUAAAUAAUAAUUUUAAUAAAAUUAUUAAAGAUAUAAUAGAUUAUUUAUUAUACAAGUGAAAAUUAUAUCAACAUAUCUUUCAAGUUACAAUAGUUAUUGAUUACUAAACACUUUACUGUUGUAACUUUUAAGUUAUAGCUAUUUAACCUCAAUUCCAAACGCAUCGGAGAAGUCACGCCUAGUGAAGAAUGUUAUGAAAGAGCAAAGGAUAUUCCUAAUCGAGCUCUAUUUGAUUAUGUAUCCAGUGAAUGGAUGUGUUGUUGGAAGAUAUUUGAGUGCAUUAGUUCAUUUGUGUCGGUCAAUGUGCUUUUAAUGAUUUUUCCACUUGUUUGUUGUAAAAGAUUAUUGUAAAUUGAAAUGAAUUGGAUGUUGUAAUAUUUUCUCUUUAGUGGAAUUUCACCUUGUAUGUAUUCAGUUGUGUUGUCUAAAAUUUUACAUUCGAAUAAGUUUUCACCUAAAAUAUUAGCAUGAGUUGUGGCCCUUGAAACUUUGGUCAAAAUUAUUGUUAUUAUUUCUUACUAGAUGUAAACUUUUUAUUAAACCUCGUUAACAUAAUUCUUAAUUAAAAGUAUAGGUUAGUGUCGGUGCAGAAUUUGCAACACCAAAUCCUGCCUAGGCAAGUGUCAAAAGUGCAAAAUAAAUGAAGAGAAAGCACGAAUACAUGAUUUAGAUUAGGAUAGAAGGAAACUUAAAUCCUAGAGAAAAGGAUAGCUAUAUCCCAAGAUUUAAAAAAAUAGUCAUGUAGAUUUUUAAGAUUUCAAUAAGCGACUAAGAUUUUCUUUUGACAAAUAAUUUCCUUUAGCUCUAUUAACAAAAAAAAUAAAGACUCAAAUAUUUUAUAAUAAAUAAAAUAUAAUAUUAAAAUAUAUGUGAUAAUAUAGAAAUUUUAAAUAAUUUCAAUCCAAAUAAAUAGUUAUGUUUUACAAGCUAUUAAACAUAUUUUAUUAAAUUAAUAUAAAUGUUUUAUAAAAUAGGAACAUAAUAUUAAAAUAAAUUUACAAAAUUUUUAAGAAUUUUGAAUGUAAAAUAAUUUUAAUAUAUUAAUACGUGAGAUUUUUUUAUUAUUAUAAAAAUUAUUUAACUUUAAGAUUUUUUAAAAUCCUUACAAUAAGUAUAAAUAUAUUAUUUACAUUUAAAAAUAUUUAAAUAUUAUUAACCUACAAUUAUAUUUGCAUUUAUUAGAAAAUUUUAAAGUCAAAUAUUUUGCACUUCUACAUUAUUAGAAUUAUUGAACACAAAGAAAGAAACAUAUAUGCUUUAUAGCUUUAGAAAUUGUUUUCUUUUACAUCUGGAAACAAAGAUGAUGAUUAUUAUAAGGAUAAAAAAUGGAUAAAGAAUAUUAAUGAUUAACGAAAUCUCUGUGCAAAUUGAUUUUAGUAGAAAAAGAGUGAGAUGAAUGAUUUCUUUUACAACUAGAAACAAAGAUGAUGAUUAUUAUAAGGAUGAAAAAAAGAUAAAGAAUAUUAAUUAUUAAUGGAAUCUCUAUGCAAAUUGAUUUUAGUAGAAAAAACGAGCUAAAUGAUUUAGACAUUCAUUCUGUGUUUAUUUUUGUGAUUAGCAUUAAAAAUUGUUUAAUUAUCAAACGAUAAUAAUGUUAUUUUGUACUUAUGUUAUAAUUUAUAUUUGUGUUUAUGUAAUAUAUUAGAAAUUAUUAAUUAUGUUUUAAAUAUAUCUAAUUUUGAGUAUAUUUGUGUGUUUAUUAGGAAAAAUAUUAAUUUUAGAUAAAUUGAGGCUCCAAACAAUUAAACGGAGGUCAAAUUUGGAUUCCGGAGGUUUGAAAACCUUAAGAUCAGUCAAGAUCGGCUUAAAAUUAGGUUUGUGUAAAAAGAGUUGACUUUUUCUGCUGACCGAGCACUGAUUGGAUGAUGAAAUGAGCUUACAAUAGAUAUGAGUGCAUGGGAUAACUGGCAAUUUUGACUAAAUCUCAACCGUUCAUGAUUCAAUGGCCAUGAUUGUGCCAUGUGGUAGUGGUUGAUGAAGCAAGUUGUAGGAUCUGAAUCUUUGUAUACGGGUCGACCUGAUCCGCCCAUUAACUCGCCAAAUCACAACCGUUCUUUGGCCAAAUCGGACGAGUCAAACGAUGCCACAUGUGAAGUUGACUUUUGAAGUUUGACCAGCCAUUGGAUCUUGAUCUAAAGGUUGUGAGAGCAUGAAGCUUAUGGAGCUUAUGAUGGACCGCAAAACACUGGAUUAUAAAUUUAUUUUUCUAUAAAUAGAGCCUCAUUUUUAUGUUUUUAAUUAUCUCUACAUCUCUCUUCUUCUCAAAUUCUCUCCAUCUCCCUGUAAUAUUUUGUAUAAUUAUUUUAUUAAAUAAAUUUAGUUUUAUUUUCAAUUUUAGUUGUUUUUAUUACUUUUAAUUAUAAGUAAUUAAAUUUUAAUAUUUCUUUUUAUUUCAAUUAUGCUUAACUAAAUAAUAUUAGUUGGGGUAAGGUGAAACUCUUAGGAAAUAAAUAUGAUUUAAUCAAAUUUUAUUUUUAAUUUUAUAAAUUAAAUUAUUUUCUAUUUAAUUUUAUACAUAUUUUAUAUUUUAAAAUUUUGAUUUAUUGUAGACAAACAAAUAAAUUUGGCACAAUAAAUUCUUAAGAUCUUAAUAUAAGGUAUGGUAAAAUGGUAUUUUGACUUAUUGUAGACAAAUUAAAUUUUGACACAAUAAAUACUUAAUCCAUCAUAAAAUUAGAGGGAAAAUAAUAAUAAUUUAUAUAAUUAAUCUUUUGGGCAAUAAAUUUAAAAAAAUAGCAAAAAGAAUUUAUUGAGUUUUAUUUACUACUAAGAGUGGAUCCACAAUCCUAACUAGAUCAAUUUCAUAAUUUCAUUUAAAUUAAGUUGUUUUUAUUCAAGUUUUUAUUUCAAUUUUUAGAUAAAAUAAAUUAAAUUAAUUAAAUCUUUUCUCUGUAGAUCGACCUCAGACUCACCGAGGACUGACCAAGGUAUAAUACAACAAGACACUCUUAUAAUUAAGAGUUUAAAAUUACUUUUAAGUUGUGUCAUUUUGGAUUGGUGAAUUAGAAUUAUUGACAACGCUAACUUCAUCUUCACAAUUUGCAAUCCAAUAGCAGCAAUUGUCACCGAUAAUGAUAUCUCCAAUGAUAAUGACGAUUUUAUUAUUAUUAUUGAUAAAAAGUAUUAUAAUUAAUUAAUAUAUUAAUGUUAAUAUUAUUAUUAUUAAGAUUAACAAUAAUUAUUAAUAAUAACAAUUUUUUGAAUAAAAAUAAUUACAAUAAUUUAAAUAUAAAUUAAUAAUUAUGACAAUAAUUAAUUAAUGUCUUUUUAAUAAUUUACUGAUUAUCACAGUUCAAGUAAACAAAUUAUUAUGAUUCCUAUUCUCCAUUUCCAUUUCAGCUCACUCCGAUUCCAAUCCAUUUCGACUUCUGCCUAAAAAACUCACCAUUAGUGCUAUAGUAAUAUUUCAUAUAGAGAAAAGUAAAAUCUACACCUAAGAUUAAGGUAAAGGACUUCAAAACUCUCUUUUGAUUAUAAUACCUUUUGUCCUAAUUAACUUAAAGAUUUUGAAUCUAAUAUUUUAUAAUAAAUAAAAAUAUAUUCCUAAAAUAAAUAUAAUAUCAAUAUUUAAAGUAUGUUUUAAUAUUUUACAAUCUAUCAGACACAUUUUAUUAUAUUAAAGUAAAUUUUAUAAUAAAUACAAACAUACUAUUAAAAUGAAUAUACAAAAAAGUUUAGAGUAUUUUGAAUAUUAUAUAAAAUAAUUUUAAUAUAAUGCGUGAGAUAUAUUUUAUUAAUUUAAAAUGCUAUUUUACCUAAAAAUUUAUUUAUGAUAAAUUAAUAAUUAUAUUUUUAAAAUUAUUUUAAAUAUUAUAAAAAAUUUAAUAUUAUUAGUGUUUUAGAUAGAUUAAAUUAUUUUAAAAUGCCUUAAUUGUUUUUACUUUUAACGUUACCGGCCUUUCUUAUAUUUUAUUGCAGCUAACAAGAAAAAGCCAGAUCAUAUUCCACAAAAGCAAAAGUGACAAAACAACCAGCUGGAUUCUUUUAUUAAACUACAAAUUAAAGGAUCCCAUUAUCUUACAACUAAUGUAAGAUACAUCCCUCACAUAAAUAGUAUAUAAACUCCACAUAUAUACUGUUCAUGUGAGGAAAUGUACCUUACAUUAAGAUAGUGUUUGCCCAAAUUAAAAUAGAUUUUUUCGAUGAACUACAAAUUAAAGUGGAUUCUUUUGAAUAUAGCUGGGGUUAGGGUAGGCUCUUUUAUUUAAGGCAAGUCUAGAGUAGUCAAAGACGAUUAGGCUCUUUUAUUAAACUACAAAUUGUAUAGUCUUUUUCAAAUUGUUCAGAUGCUUAUAAAUUAGUGGCCCCUUGUAAAUUUAACUGGAAGUGCCAAUCAGAGAAAAGUUCAAUUCUAAAUAAUUGUUCCGAUAUUUAUAAAUUGGUGGCCCCUACAAUCCUCAAUAAUUGUUCCGAUAUGUAUAAAUUGAUGGCCCCUACAAUCCUCAAUAAUUGUUCCUAUAUUUGUAAAUUGGUGGCCCCUUAGAAAUUUAACCGCAAGUCUGCAAGUGACAAUCGGAGAAAAGUCAUAAUUUACAAUCUUCCAAGGGAAGUAGGGAACCAGGGGAUAUACAAAGAUUAAGACAUGUCAUUCAUUUUUUUGGCUGCAUUCCCUUUCGUGUUCUUAAUAAUUGAAGACAGGUUGUUCAUUACAUGCUUACUUUUCAAAUGUGGAGCCGCAGCUAAUGUCGCUACUUUAAUUUGGGAUUAAAUUAGGGAAACAUUAUAUUGUAGUAUGCACUAACUUGAUGUUUAUCUAAACUCCUUAAAUUUAAGACAGAUUAUGGCAUAAAUAAGAAUAUAACGAUAACAAAAGAGUAUAUAAAAUAUUUAGAGUAUUUUGAAUAUUAUAUAAAAUAAUUUUAACAUAAUGCAUGAGAUAUAUUUUAUUAAUUUUAAAUGCUAUUUAACCUAAAGAUGUAUUUAUGAUAAAUUAAUGAUUAUAUUUUUGAAAUUAUUUCAAAUAUUAAAAAAUUAAUAUUAUAGACUAAAUUAUUUAUAUUAUUUUUUAUUUAUUAAAAAAUUUUUAAGUCAAUCUUUUUAAUUACUAUUCAAAGAAUAUAAUGAUUAAAAAAAUCUUUAUGCCUUCAUUAAAAAUUUAAAAAUUUACAUAACGAUUUCUAUAAAUAUUUAGGGUAUAUAUGAAGCACGGUGGAGAAGCUUUAUUUAAUAUUAUUGAUUUAAAUAAUAUCUCAAUUAAAAAUGUACAGAGAAGAAAUUUCGGUGGGUAUUUUAGUCUUUUCAGCAAUUAUCAUGACCAGAUCUGCCUUUGGCCUUGAAACGUCGGUCAGAAAAGUUUUAAAGUGCUUUAAUUGUUUUUAAGGCCGCUAAUAACUCUGCUCGUGCAAGUUGAGGAUAAAUGUUAAAUUAAUUACAAAAGCAAAAGGCUAAUUUAUUGAAGACAAGUAAAGCAGUCACGAAUGGUACAUGCCUAAUCUUUUCUAUAUUUACAGAAACACAAUUUUUUUUCAAUCCGCCGCAGCUUCUGUUAAAAUUAUCUUGGUUUCUCGUAGUUGAUUUCUAUUAUCCCAAAAAAAAAAAAAAGGUAACUGUUGAUGCCGAAAAAUGAUUUCAACAGCUGAAUUUAUUUUUUUUGGAGAAUUACAGUGUGAAUCCAAGCUCAAACGCAAGUCUGAUCGCAACUUUCUAUAUCUGCUAAUCAGAAAACACAGUUAGGAUACGCCGGUGGGGUUUCGGCUAGACCUUCCGAUACUUAAGUCAGAAAUUAUGUAUAAAAGGAGAAAAAUGAGAAUGAAGAAUUAUGAAUGAGUUAAAGUCAAGUAAUUUUCCGGUAGAGGGGUUGAAAAUCUUGUAGAAGCUUUGGUUGAUUUUGCUAACCCCUUCACCUGAUGCGCUCUUCAGUUUAAAUAGACUCUUGGUCGUGUACGGUUACCUCCUUAACUUCAGAAGUUGCAAGUGGUUGUCAGUUGGAGGUGGUUUAAAUAGAUCGUGGCACACAACUUCCUUAUAAAUUAGGCCACGUUCUCUUAACUAGCAAUUUUCCAUGUCAAGCUAAUUCUCAGGUCGGACAAGAGAAUUUCAAGGUCGGAUUACUUCACUUUCAGAUUAGACAGAUGAAUUUCUCAGUCGCUCAUAUAACGUUAAGGUUGUAUUCUUAAACUAAGUCAUUCACAUAGAUCUUAGGUCGUACUUAUAAACCAGGUCGCCAACAUAGGCUCCAGGUUGUACUUAUGAGGUUAGCUCAACAACAAUAAGUUUUGAGUAGAUUAGGAUCGACUAUAUUUUGAGACACUACCAGAAAAAUCCAACCCAAACACCAGUCCCCUAAUUUUCAAUACUGGAAAGUCAUUGCCAGUGUUGGAAACUAAUGGAAAACAUUUCUCAAAACCCAAUACCAGUCCCCUAGUUUUCAAUACUGAGAAGAUAUGAACGGUAUUGGAAACUAAAAUAAUUAAGAAAGAGCAAUAUAGCCACAAGCAAAAGAAAGACGGUGUAGAGCGGAACAAUGAGCAAAGAGAAGAGUAAAAAGAAAACUUCAGGUGUGGACCAAGAAAAUAACCAUGACCAAAUGCCUCGAGGUGAUAGAGUCGGGGUUGAGGGUGAGGUCUUCCUAACUAGUAGGGUUGUUGAAGACCAAGAGAGAACUUCCUAAAUUUAAUUAUUACAAUGCUUGCCCUUUUUUGCAAUAUGAACUUGUGUAGACCGUAUGCUACUGAACUUUAUUUUGCCUUUGUAAUCGGAUAAUUAUUAUGCUGACCUUGCCUUUUUUACUCUUUAUUUACUAGGGUUGGUUAUGAAUUGCAUUCCGUAGACUGAGCCCAUUUAAGACUCUGUUGAGGUCAAACAAAUAGAUAUGGUCAACUUUGGUAGCAAUAACACCAAGCAAUGACCUUGAAUUCACCAAGAUUCUAUCAUUUCGAUAUCAAUCUUGAUAAGGAAAAUGUUGACCUCACGAAAAUAUCAACUUCAACAAGAUAAAUUGUUGACCUCAACAAGAUAAAUUGUUGACCUCAACAAGAUAAAUUGUUGACCUCAACAAGGUUAAGUGUAGAGCUAAAAUGCCAACCUCACGACAAGGAAAAUGUUGACCUCACGAUAAGGAAAAUGUUGACCUCACGAAAAUGUCAACCUUAACAAAAUAGAUUGUCGACCUCAACAAGGUUAAGUGUAGAGCUAAAAUGCUGAACUCACGAUCUCACGACAAGGAAAAUGUCAACCUCACGAAAAUGUCAACCUCAACAAGAUAGAGUGUUGAACGCAAUAAGGUUAAAAUGUAAAGCUAAAAUGCCGACCUAAAAAAAAAUUGAAAAUUGGAGAACUUAAAUGUUAAGCUUAUGAUCAACCUCAACAAGGCAAUGACUGACCUCAAUAAAAUUGAAAAUUGGGCAACGACCUCAACAAGGCAAUGGCCGACCUCAACAAGGCAAUGGCCGACCUUAAAAAAAAUUAAAAAUUGUAGAACUUAAAUGUUAAGCUUAUGGCCGACCUCAACAAAAUUGAACAUUGUAGAACGUAAAUGUUAAGGCUAUGGCCAAACUCCACGAGGCAAUGACCAACCGCAAUAAAUAGAAAAUUGUAGAUUUUAACUUAUGGCCGACCUCAAUAAGGUAAUGGUCGACCUCAACAAAAUUAAACAUUGUAGAACGUAAAUGUUAAGGCUAUGGGCAAACUCCAUGAGGCAAUGACAAACCUCAAUAAAUAGAAAAUUGUAGAAUUUAGCUUAUGGCUGACCUCAAUCAGGCAAUAGCCGACCUCAACAAAAUUGAACAUUGUAGAACGUAAAUGUUAAGGCUAUGGCCAAACUCCACGAGGCAAUGAGCAACUUCAAUAAAUAGAAAAUUGUAGAACUUAGUUUAUGGCUUACCUCAAUAAGAAAAUGGUCGACCUAAAUAAAGUAAAGGCGAAUUUCGAUAAAAUUGAAAAAUGUAGAUCUCAACAAGAUAAAAGUUAAGGCUAUCUAACCACAAGGUAAUAGCUGUCUUCAAUCUCAAAAAGGCCGAAUUACAAUUAGACCUCAACAAGGUCAAAAUGACAAUCUCGAUCUCAAUAAGAUUUGAUAAAUUUUUCAGGUAGGACCUCAACAAGGCAGCAAUGUCGAUCUCAAUCUCAAUAAGAUUGGAUGAAUUUUUCAGGUAGAAUCUCCACAAAGCCGAAAUGCCGAUCUCAAUCUCAAUAAGAUUGGAUAAAAUUUUCAGGUAGGACUUAAAUAAGGCCGCAAUGUCGAUCUCAAUCUCAAUAAGAUUGAAUGAAUUUUUUUCAUGUCAGACCUCAGUAAAGUCGUCAUGUCGAUCUCAAUCUCAAUAAGAUUAGAUAAAUCUUUUCACGUUGGACCUCAAUACGGUCCAAAAAUGCCGAUCUCAAUCUCAAUAAGAUUGGAUAAAAUUUUCAGGUAGGACCUCAACAAAGCUGCAAUGUCGAUCUCAAUCUCAAUAAGAUUGGAUGAAUUUUUUCACGUUGGACCUCAGCAAGGCCGCCAUGUCGAUCUCAAUCUCAAUAAUAUUGGAUAAAUCUUUUCAUGUUGGACCUCAAUACGGUCCAAAAAUGCCGAUCUCAAUCUCAAUAAGAUUGGGUAACUUUUUCAUGUUGGACCUCAAUAAGGUCACAAAGUUGAUAUCAAUCUCAAUAAGAUUGAAUAAAUAUUUUCACGUUGGACCUCAAUACGGUCCAAAAAUGCUGAUCUCGAUCUCAAUCUCAAUAAGAUUGGGUAAUUUUUUCACGUUGGACCUCAACAAGGUUGCAAUAUCGAUAUCAAUCUCAAUAAGAUUGGAUAAAUUUUUUCACGUUGGACCUCAAUAAGGUCCAAAAAUGCCAAUCUCAAUCUCAAUCAGUCUGGAUAAAUUUAUUUCAUAUUGGACCUCAAUCAAGUCCAAGUGUCGAUCUCGAUCUCAAAUAAGACCGGUCACAAGUAGAUAAGAAAUAAAGUUGCACUUUUAAAUAACCUCAUUGAUACUAAUAUAACAGAAGUUAUAGAAUUGAACGCAUAACAAAUUGAAAUAACAAAGAAACAAACUUUCUUAGCAUAUUUAAAGAAAAUAAACAAACAAUAUUUAAAGAAAAUAAACAAACAAGGACAUCAUAAAUAAGAUAUAUCUUAACUGAUAGUAUUUUCGCAGGUGCUCUGCAUUCCAUGCCUUGCCAACGACCCUGCCAUCCUGAUAACUUAAUUUAUAUGCCCCAUUAUCAAAUUAGGGUAGCACUUUAUAUGGUCCUUCCCAGCUCGGCCCUAGAACUCCAUCAAUAAAUCUGAAGCUCAUUGGAGAUGUCAUCCAUCAUUUUUGUUCCCACUCUUACCACCCUGCUCGGAUCAACCUCACUUAUCGGCAUGUUUCAUUUCUUCAUUAGGUCACUGUUGGCACAAUCUAUUCUCAGCUCGUGGGUCGAUACUCGUGAUCUGCAUGGAUUCUCUUGCAGCUGUAGCGUAACAACUUCGAGCUAUUUGUUGCUGGCCCCUCAUCACUCCAACCCCAUAUUGAACUCUAAACUUCACACGUUGCAUGUGGGUUGAGCUCACGGCUCUUACUAUCCUAUUGAAAGGUCUACCCAAAAUAAAUUGAUAAGGGUUGGGCUCAUCAACUACCACCCAUGUCACCAUCACUGUCUUUUGUAGUGGGUUGGACUUUAUUAUCAGUGGCAAGUCAAUCAUCCCAAGGGGAAUCAACUCAGCUCCGCCAAACCCUUUUAGUGAUGUUCUGACGGGAUCAAGCCUAAGGUCCCCUAUUUGUAGAUCUUCCAGGGUUUGCUUAAACAAAAUGUCGACUGAGCUUCCUCCAUAUAUAAGAGCUCGGUUCAAAUCCUGCCCUACCAAGGUAACCUUCACUAUGAGCGCAUCCUCAUGUGGAUGUGCGACCGCUUCCUCGUCCUCGUCUGUGAACAUGAUCGGCACCCUUUGAACCCGUUGCUUCUUUGGUAUUGAAACAUUAAAAUUCAACUUAUAACUUUCUAAUGACUAUCUACUAUAAUUUCUCCUUGAACGAUUUGAGUCUCCUACUAGGGUCGGCCCUCCCAUAAUCAUCAUCGCUACAUUAUCUCUGAUGUCUCCUCUUCUCCCACCUAUUCCUUGGUCAUUCACAUACUCCUUUAGAUAUUGAUUUUGCACUAGCCACAAAAUCUGUUCUUUCAAGUCUAUGUAAUCUGCAGUUCCAUGUCCGAACACAAUGUGAAACUCGCAAUACUUGUGGUGAGCACUUCUGCCCAGACUUCUUACAAUUGGCUUUGGCGGUUUAAGUAGCCCCUUCUUUUCUACUACAACAUAUAUUUCCGCUCUGCUUUUGUUCGAUGGUGUGUAUCUUCCACUCUACUCUAAUAAGUUCACCCCAUGGUCAGAUCUCGAUACUCUCUGUUCUAUAGGCAGUGGCAACCUAUUGUAGUCUCUUGCUCGGUUCUCCCUUUAGUUCAUCUCAUAAUUAUUUCCUCUAUCUCGGCCCCAUCCCAUUAAUGAGAUUUAUCUCAUUUCACGAUUUCUUUCCCAAUCUCGACCCGACCUUUCUGGUCAUCUGUAAUUGAACAACUCUCCGCCGUAAUGACGUCUAUCAUCCGAGUUCCUCCUCGAGCUAUACUCGAGGUUAUCACUUGACCCUCUCUCUGCUCUUCCAUUCUCCUAUUUUCUUCCUCUGCAUCUUCAGUUUUCAUAUCUAAUUUUGUCUAGUCGUACGCCUCAGCGUAUGUUGUUAUCCCCUUGUUAUAUAAGCUAUUCCAUAAUCGAUUGAUUCUCAACUCCUUCUUUAAUCCCUCUAGAACAUCUGGAAGAUCAAAGGCCCCUAGAUCGGUAACCUCUCUAUGAUACCUGGUCACAAAACUCGUCAAACUUUCAAAUUCUCCUUGGACCAAUUUUGUCAAGCUGCUCAUAUCCUGCUCUGAUAUGCAUGAACCUCUAAAAUGCAUAGCGGAAAGCACACAUAACUCCUUGAAAUUUCCUAUGCUUCUAUUCUUUAAUCUCCGGUACCAUUCCCAUGCUUGUCCAUCUAGAGUUAAGGGAAAAAUACGGCACCUUUGAAAAUCAUUCAAACCUUGAAUUACAGUCAUCUCAUUAAACUUCUCCACAUGAUGAUUUGGGUCAGUUUUUCCUUCAUACACCAAGACUUGAACCACAUACUUGGGUGGCAAAGUUACUGCCAUCACUUCAGGUACCAAGGGGGACUCGUCAUCGAGUAACAGCCUUCCUACCACUUUCUUGCCCUCUGUUUUCGCCUCUAAUACCUCUAAGGUUUUUUGAAAUUGCAGCAUUCGUUGCUCAAGCUCAUUUGCCCGUUGGGGUCUCUCAGCUCUUCCCUCUCUCUUUCUUGAUUCAAGUCAUUGAUUCUCCCCCUCAACUCAUUCACUUGUUCUCCUGCACUUCUAUUCUUUUGUCGUACCCCAACUUGUGGUAGUCCCAUUCCGCUCUGCUGUUCACCAUCAAGCUCUUCCCUCUCUCGCGCUCCACUACAUUUUGGAUCACUAGCUCGAACGUGAGCCUCUCUGACUUGGGCAUCAACCAGCCCCCGAUCAUCUUCUCAAAUCUCGCCAUUUGCCUCUCAAUCCCUUCUCUCCAUCUCUUAUCUGCCGUGGCAUUCAUUUCCUCAGCCAAUUGGCGCAAGGUCUACGUAUCUUCAUCCUUAUCAUCUAUCACUAUUUUGUAAUCCGAUAGCUUCUCCUUCUAAAUCUUCAAACGUAUGGCUUUUCGCACUGAUCCCCACAGAUAGCGUCAAGAUGUUGAUGCUGAAAAACGACAUGAACAGCUGAAUUUGUUUCUUUUGGGGAAUUACAAUGUGAAUUUAAGCUCAAACGCAAGUCUGAACGCAACUUUCUAUAUCUACCAACCAGAAAACACAGUUAGGAUAUGCCGGUGGGGUUCCGGCGCAGACCCUCCGAUGCUUAAGUCAAAUUAUGUAUAAAAGGAGAAAAAUAAGAAUGAAGAAUUAUGAAUGAGUUAAAGUCAAGUAAUUUUCCAGUAGAGGGGCUAAAAAUCUUGUAGAAGCUUCAGUGAAUUUUGCUAACCCCUUCACCUGAUGCGCUCUUCAAUUUAAAUAGACUCUUGGUCAUGUACGGUUACCUCCUUAACUUCAGCCCGCUUUCUUCAGUAGUUGCAAGUGGUUGUCAGUUGGAGGUGGUUUAAAUAGAUCGUGGCACACAACUUCCUUAUAAAUUAGGCCACGUUCUCUUAACUAGCAAUUUUUCAUGUCAAGCUAAUUCAUUGGUCGGACAAGAGAAUUUCAAGGUCGGAUUACUUCACUUUCAUAUCAGACAGAUGAAUUUGUUAGUCGCUCAUAUAGCGUUGGGGUUGUAUUAUUAAACUAAGUCAUUCACAUAGAUCUUAGGUCGUACUUGUAAACCAAGUCGCCAACAUAGGCUUCAGGUUGUACUUAUGAGGUCAACUCAACAACAAUAAGUUUUGAGUAAAUUAGUAUCGACUAUAUUUUGAGACACUACAAAAAAAAUCCAACCCAAACAGUAACAUUUUGCAAAUCUCAAUCGACGGUGCUAUUUUCAAUCGUUGCCUGGAUUGCUUUCUUGGAAAAGCAGCAUCUAUAAGAAACCUGCAAAAAAAUGUUGUAGCCUUGGAGACUGAAUUGGGAAAACUAAUCGAAGCAAAGAACGAUGUGGUGGCGAGGGUCGUCAACGCUGAAAGGCAACAAACGAUGACAAGGCUGAACAAAGUUCAAGGCUGGCUUUCGAGGGUGGACGCUGUUAAAGCUGAAGCUGAUGAAUUGAUAAGACAUGGCCCUCAAGAAAUUGAGAAACUAUAACUUAGAGGCUACUGUUCCAAGAACUGCAAGUCAAGCUAAAAGUUUGGCAAAAAAGUGGCUAAAAAGCUAAGAGACGCCGGGACUUUAAUGGCCAAUGGAGCAUUUGAAGUGGUAGCUGAGAGAGCUCCAGAAUCAGUAGCGGAUGAAAGGCCUAUCGAGCCCACAGUAGUAGGCCUGCAAUUGCAACUCGAGCAUGUUUGGAGAUGUCUUGAAGGAGAAUCAGUCGGAAUUGUUGGCCUAUACGGCAUGGGCGGUGUCGGUAAAACUACACUAUUGACCCAUAUCAACAACAAAUUUCUUGAGAGUCCAACUAAUUUUAAUUAUGUGAUAUGGGUCGUAAUGUCAAAAGACUCGCGACUUGAAAACAUUCAAGAAACUAUCGGGGAGUAGAUUGGUUUGUAAAAAUUUGCCAAUUUACACAGCAAACAAUUUCCACCCAAUUAAUGUUUUUUAGAAAAUUGUAAAAAUUUGGAGUUAUGAAAAUAGAAACUAUAUAAUAAGAAGAAAUAAUUUAAGAUUUUAAGAUUUAUAUAUAUUUUAUAAAUAAAACAUUAAAAGAGAUGCUUGUUAUUACGAUGAAAUUUUAUGAGUAAGAUGAUUAACUUUAAUAUAUGAGUUUGUAUUUUAUAAAUUAAUCAGAGGUAUUUUAGAAAAUAAAUUCAAAAUGGGAGUUAUAAGAGUUUUAGAGUGGUGUUAAAAGCUCAACUCUUUUGAAUUUUACUGCCCAAUUAUAUAGUACAUUAGCGUGAUUGUUAUGUAUUCAUUUUUUUCAGAUACAACAAACGAGCUGCGUAGUGCUCAAAUAACAAAAAUUAAUAAUUUCACACACCCAUAUACAUAUAUGUAUACAUAUAGAUACAUAUUAUAUUUAAUUAAGCAAAAGAAAGAACCCCCUGUACGACGCCAGUGAGAAGAGAGAGAGAGAGAGAGAGAGGAAGAGAGCUUUUUGUGUUAUAUUUCAUAAUUUUUAUUUAAUUAAAAAUAUUUGUAGUUUGGAUUUGGGCGCCCCAAAGAAUUUCUAAAUCAAAACCUUAAUUUUUAUUAGGUCUUGAGCCUAUUCUCGAAAUAGAUCCUAUUAUAUUCUUAGGUGGUGUUUGGUUUUAAGAAAAUGGAAGAGAGGAGAGGUGAAAAAAGAAGAUGAACGGAGAGGUGAUGAGAGGAAAAGAGUGUAAAAAUUAAUUGUUAUUGUUUGGUUUCACAUUAAAUUUGAAAGGAAAAGAAAUUACAUAUUUUUUAUUUGGACGAAUAUACCCACUAUUUUAAUGCUAAUAUUGUUAAUAAAUUAAAAAAUAAUAAAACUAUGAAUUAAUUUAAUCUAGAAAUUACCUAAUUAAAUUAAAAAAUUAUUUUUUAAAAAAAUACAGCAUUUGGCCAUGGACAGCCUCCACGUUGACCACCGUUGACUGGCGAAUUUGACUGUCGUUGACCGUCAUUUUUCAUCGCGUUAAAUGCAUAAUAAUAAUAAGAAAUGAAUGAUUUAUUCAUUGGAAGUGUUAAUUUUGCAGAAAAUACACUAUAUAGUAGGAAAUAUGAGAGUUAAAAUUUUCCCAAGCAUUUAAACAAGACUUGAGGUAAAUAACAAUGUAUAUUAGCAUUUUUAAUCUCAUAGCAUUGUAGAUGGACUCAUGAGGAUUCCAUUGAUACCGGUUUUGAUGAAAAAGUGCGUCUCCGGCGAAACUCCGACGAGUCACUUUACUGUUUUUUCUUUUUUCAAAUAAGUUUAUCCUAUUAAUUUAAGAAAAUAAAUAUAAAUUAUUUGUACUUUAAUUUAUUUAACAUUGAUUUUGUUUAGAGGAUAAUAUUGGAAUUUUUGUGUUUAAAUAGAUAAGAAAUUUAAAAUCUUUAGUCAUUGAUAAGAAAUACAAAUUCUUCAAAUUGAUGGAAAUUCAAUUCCAUUAAACUUGGUCCAAGUAGAAAAGAAAUCAAUUUUUUUUGGCUCUCCCCACUUCCCUACCCCUAAGCAAACAUGGCCUUAUGGUUUUUGAGAACUCAUACCAAAUUCAAAUUAAUCAGGAGCCCACGGGUCCCGGGGCUCGCGGGAAAGUUGCCAUCCCUACCUUCAUCUGACGGAAAGUCCCUACAAACAAAUGUUUCUUUAUUUAUUUAUUUUUAUAAAAGAAAUUUCAGUUUGAAUGUCUUUUGGACGUUUCCAAUUGUCAUGAUUAGCCCUUGAACCUUUGGUCAAAAAAGUAUUAUCACGCGUUGAUUGUUUGUAUCGCAAAUGCUAGUGGCAUUUGAAAGUUGAUAUAAUUAAUUACAAUCUACAAAUGUUUAACAAAAAAGUGGGAUGGAUAUGGCACAAAAGUAAAGCAAGCAGGAUUCGUUGAAAAAGCUAUUUUGACACCUACUUCGGUUAUAAAAUUUUCAAAAAAAAAAAAAAAUUUUGAUUAAAAGUAAAUUGUAUAGGUUCAACUACCGUGCACUUGGUGCAUGGGACAUGUAUUUUGUCUAUAUAUAAGUUACCCGUCAGAUAUAACAUAGAACUUGCUUCAACGGCAUAGAUGUAUUCUCUUUAGUUUUUAACAUUGACAUCUAUGUUGUUUUUCAAAAAAGAAAAAUAGUGAAAGGUUUGACACAUAAUUUUAGAUUAUUUUUAAAUUUUAUAUUUUAAUCAAUUGAUUUAAUUUACUGUUAAAAUUAAUGACAGUAUAAGCGUAAUAACUUGAAAAAACUUUUUAAUACAUAAUUUUUUUUAUUUUUUGAAAAUAAUAUAAUAUCAAUUUAAUCUAUAAUAAAUAAUUUUAACAUAUAAUUAAAUUUUAAUUUAUCAAUAAUAAUAUGACCAAAUGACAAUGUUAAAGAAUUUCAUUAUAAUCAACUAUGAUUUAGUAUUCAAAUAUAAAUAAUAGAAAUAUACUCUAAGUGUAAAUAAUAGAAAUAUAUCAAACUUAUAUGUUAAAAUUUCAAAACUUUUAAUUUUUUCACUUUUCAGCAAACAAGAGGGAGUAAUUUACCAAAAACAAGGGGUAUCGUACACCUGGGGCACCAUAGCUUCCUCCAAAUUGUAUAAAAAAUAGAAAUAUUUUUAGUCUCCAAAUUGUAUAAAAAAGUAAAAAUAUUUUGACUAAAAGUAAAUUGUGCGUAACUACUUUAAUAUUUUAUUUCUUUCAUAACUUUAUCAAAAUCUUGUCAUCAAAUAUUUUAUCAAUGUAACGCUGUAAACAGCAAAUUAAAGUUUAAUUAUUUAAUUACAACUGGCAAAAGAGACGUUUAAUUAUUUAAUUACAAGCGGGAUAGUCUCUUUUGUUGAAGGAAAUUAAAGUUUAGUUAUUUAAAUCGAGCACGCGUAAUCUUUUCAAGCACAAACAAAAGAGAUCAUAAUUCAAAGUUGAUGUUCUCUUCACAGCAGCUUCUAUUCAUCGAACUCCAUCGUUAAAAUUUCCUUGGUUUUUCCUGGUUGAAUUCUCAUCCAAAAUAUGGGUAACAUUUUCCAAAUCACAUGCGACGGCGCUCUCUUUAACCGUUGCCUGGAUUGCUUUCUUGGAAAAGCAGCAUAUAUAAAAAACCUCAAACAAAAUCUUGCAGACUUGGAGACUGAAUUGGGAAAACUAAUCGACGCAAAGGAAGAUGUGAUGAGGGAGGUCAACGCUGCUGAAAGGCACCCAAUGAUGAAAAGGCUGACCAAAGUUGAAGGCUGGCUUUCGAGGGUCGAAGCUGCUAAAUCCGACGGUGACAAAUUGAUAGCAUUUGGCUCUCAAGAAAUUAAGAAACUAUGUCUUGGAGGCUACUGUUCCAAGAACUGCAAGUCAAGCUACGAGUUUGGCAAACAAGUGGCUAGAAAGCUAGGAGAUGUCAAGACUUUAAUGGCUGAAGAAGCUUUUGAAAAGGUAGCUGAGGAAGUACAACCACCUUUGGUAGAUGAGAGACCCACCGAGCCAACCGUAGUAGGCUUCCAAUCACAAUUUGAACAAGUCUGCAAAUGUCUUGAAGAAGAAUCAGUCAGAAUUGUUGGCCUAUACGGCAUGGGCGGUGUCGGUAAAACCACACUAUUGACUCAUAUCCACAAUAACUUUCUUCAGAGUCCAACUUUUAAUUGUGUGAUAUGGGUCCUAGUGUCAAAAGAUCUGCGACUUGAAAACAUUCAAGAAACUAUCGGGGAUCUGCGACUUGAAAACAUUCAAGAAACUAUCGGGGAGCAGAUUGGUUUGUUAAACGAUACAUGGAAAAAUAAACGAAUUGAACAGAAAGCUCAAGACAUCUUCAGGAUUUUGAAGGAGAAGAAGUUUUUGCUGUUGCUAGAUGACUUAUGGCAGCGGGUUGAUUUAACAAAAGUGGGCGUCCCUCUUCCUGGCCCGCAAAAUAAUGCAUCCAAAGUGGUAUUCACAACCCGUUCCGAAGAAGUUUGUGGUUUGAUGGGAGCUCACACGAGGUUUAAAGUGGCGUGCCUGUCAAAUAUCGAUGCUUGGGAAUUGUUUCGGCAGAACGUUGGAGAAGAAACUCUGAACAGUGAUCCCGAUAUUCUUCAACUCGCCCAAGCAGCAGCCAGAGAGUGUGAUGGUUUGCCACUAGCACUUAUUACCAUUGGCCGAGCUAUGGCUUGCAAGAAGACACCUGACGAAUGGAUUUACGAUAUUGAGGUGCUAAGAACAUCAAGUUCUCAGUUCCCAGGUUUGGGAAAUGAGGUUUAUCCUCUUUUAAAAUUCAGUUACGAUAGAUUGCCGAGUGACACAAUUAAAUCAUGUCUCUUAUAUUGUAGUUUAUAUCCAGAAGAUUAUUGCAUUUCUAAAGAGAAAUUGAUAGACUGUUGGAUCGGCGAGGGAUUUUUGACAGAAAGGGACAGGAUUGGAGAACAAAAAGAAGGAUACCAUAUUCUGGGCAUUCUUCUUCAUGCCUGCUUACUGGAAGAGGGAGGAGACGGUGAAGUAAAAAUGCACGACGUGAUUCGAGAUAUGGCAAUAUGGAUAGCAUGCGACAUUGAAAAGGAGAAGGAGAAUUUUUUUGUUAAUGCUGGCGUUGGAUUAGUUGAAGCACCCGAUGUCACAGGAUGGGAAAAGGCGAGGAGAUUGUCACUGAUGCACAAUCAAAUUACGAAUCUAUCAGAGAUUCCUACAUGUCCUCAUCUCCUUACUUUUUUCCUUAACAAAAAUAGGUUUCAGAUGAUCCCCAAUGACUUCUUCCAAUUUAUGCCCUCCCUCAAAGUUUUAAAUCUGUCAUACAGCAAACUAACCAGCUUACCAUUGGGGAUUUCAAAGUUGGUUUCACUGCAACAUCUUGACCUGUCAGAAUCCGACAUAGAAGAGUUGCCAGGAGAGUUAAAGGCAUUGGUAAAUCUUAAAUGUUUGGAUUUGGAAUAUACAGGGAAUUUAAUUACAAUUCCACGUCAACUAAUAUCUAAUCUUUCAAGGUUACAUGUGUUGAGAAUGUUUGGUGCUGGUCAUAAUGCCUUUGAUGAAGCAUCAAAAGACAGCAGUUUAUUUGGUGGGGGUGAAUUCAUAGUAGAGGAACUGCUUGGUUUGAAAUCUUUAGAGGUGAUUAGCUUCACCUUGAGAAGUUCUCAUGGUCUCCAAAUGAUUUUGAGCUCGGAUCAGUUACGAAGUUGCACUCGAGCACUCUCAUUCCAAUGCUUCAACGAUUCGACAUCGCUUGAAGUUUCAGCUUUGGCAGAUCUGAAGCAACUUAAAAUGUUGCGGAUUGCAAGGAGUGAAAUAUUGGAGGAAUUAAAGAUGGAUUGUGCAGGGGAAGUUCGACAGUUUGUUUUCCAUAGUCUCAAUAAGGUUGAAAUAUACGGUUGCAGUAAAUUGAAGGACUUGACAUUCCUUGUUUUCGCUCCAAACCUCAAGUCUAUUAAAGUAACAGGUUCCCAUGCUAUGGAAGCAAUCAUAAGUGUGGGUAAAUUUGCAGAAGUUCCAGAGGUAAUGGCAAAUUUAAACCCAUUUGCAAAACUCCAAAAUCUUGAAGUAAUUGGUGCGAUAAAUUUGAAGAGCAUUUACUGGAAGCCCCUGCGCUUCCCACAUCUGAAAACAAUGAGUUUCUUUCAUUGCAACAAGCUUAAAAUGCUUCCACUUGAUUCCAAUAGUGCAAGAGAGCAUAGCAUUGUUAUUCGUGGAGACAGAAUGUGGUGGGCACAGCUUCAAUGGGAGGAUGAAGCCACUCGAAAUGCUUUUCUUCCCUGUUUCAAAUCUUGAGCAGAGAUCACAUUUGAAUAAUUUCUGGUGCGUGCUUUUUCUUACAUUAUUCUUCUUGUUAAUUUCCUUCAUGCAGACAUCUGCACCUAAUAACUCGUUACUUCAAAUAUUCUCUAAAUUAUUUGAGGGUACUCGCCCCUGCACAUAAUGUAUAUUUAUAUCUAAUUAAAUUUUUUAAAAAGUCAAUAUUAUAUUUUUUAUGUCAUUAAAUAAAGUCUUGUUAUUUUAUCGAAUUAUAUUCAACUUGAAAAUAGUUCUAGCUUUUAGAUAUAAGUUAUGUAAGUACAAGUUCAAAGUGUAUCAGCAUUAAAUUACUCAUAUUCAAUCAUUUAUAAUCUGAUGUUGAAAAAAAAAUGUCAUUCAAUCAUAUGCAUUUAACUAAAUUCAAAUAUAAUCUAAAUUCAGAUACGUUAAAAUUAUUUGGGAAAAAAAAGCGCCACAACUCUAUAUUGUUUAUUGAGUAAACCAGAUAUUAACUCUAUCAUGAACGUAAUAGCCUCCAGCAUUUUUUAUUAUCUGUUCAAACCAUAUUUUAUUAUUUUAAUUUAUUUAUAUUCAUUGCAUUUCAAUUAGGUCAUGUUUUCUUUUGUUUUCUGUUUUAUAUUCUUUGAUCAUUUUGGCAACAUGGAGUACUAUGAUUAAUCAUUUUGUACUGGUCUCAAAUUUCAGUCGGAUUAUCUGCGGAAAAUAUCUCUGAAGAUGCUUUCAAUGGAGUCCAGUACUCAGAAUGCGAUGCCUAAUCCUUUGCAAUCCAACAAUGCUAGCAGGAGCAACGAACCCCCUCAUCCAGGUAGUGACGUGGAAUAGUAAAUGCAGCUUCACUUUCAAUUUGUCUCUGAAACCGCUCCCUAUAAUCAAUCCUAGCAUUCUUAUGUGUUCUUAACUUCUGCAGCCUGAAUAUUUCUUCCUCGACAAUCAAAGUCAUAACAGUAUGAUUGGCUGGAGUAGCUUUCCUCCAGACCCCUCAUUAUAGUUAUAAAUAAUUCCGAUAUUUGAUAUCAUGAUCGGGGAUUUCAGAGCUUAGAAAAUAUGAUUUGUACCCAUAUGUGUCUGAUCAUGAGAAGUUUGAAAAUAUACAUCAAAAACUGUAUGGAUUGGAAAAAUAUAAUCUUAUUAUGGUGUGUUAAAUCGUCAUUUGAUGAACGGAUUUGGGAUACAUUAUAAUAUGAUGUCAUUAUUAAUUAGGGUGUGUUUUUGGAAGUGCUUAAUUAUAUUCGUUUAAUGUGUAUUUCUUUUAUCACUUUUGAAAAGAAUUCUUAAAUAUUUAAAUAUUUCAAUGUUUAUAUCUUAACUUCAAAUAUAAUAAAAUAAAAUAAAAUAACUGUUCUCCAAUAUGAGGGUCCGAACUAAGGGUCUACGUCAAUAACAUGAAAUAUAAUAAUUUUUGUAAAUUUUUCUUAAAUUCAAAAUAAAUUUUGUUACUGAUUCAAAUGUUUAACAAAAUGUGGCAGCUUAUCUGUAAUUGCCACAUCAAUUGAGAUUCAAAUUACUACUCAAAUCCUGAAAUUCCUAAAGGUCCCUAACAUUAAUAUUUUAUUAAGUCAAUAUUGAAGUUGAACUAUGGGGUUCGUCGGCUAUUUCACACUAACAGAGGAAUCAUUUUAUCUUCUACAAAGGGUUCAGUUUUCUUGCACUGUAUGAUAUGAAGUAAUAUUGUCAUAUGUUGUUCUGAAUUAAUUUUUUUCUUCUCUCGUGCGAAUCAGAAAGAAAUGUUGUAUUUAAGAUGUGGAAAGUAUAAGAUCUUAGGAGUUUUACAGUGUAUAUAUAUAUAAAUUUUUUUUUGACAAACAGAGAAAUUCAGUCUAGAAUAUGAGAACAAACUAAAAGCUACGAAAUACAUUGGCAUUUUUGAGAAGUAGGAUAAAUAUUAUUUUUUUUUUUGAAAAAAAAAGGACUUGGCACCUCAAUGCUUUAAUAACCUAAUGUUAUACUUUUGGUUUGAUUUUUCUAUGUACUCUCUUCCAAUGGUCAAUUUAGGCUAUGUUUGGUAUUGAGAUAUUAUAACUAAAAAAUUUUAGGAUUUAUCACUUAAAAGAUAGAGUAGCCGUGGGAAAAAAGAGAGAGAGAGCUGAAAUUAUGAAAUAAAAUUAUUAAUGUAUUGUAAAUAAGAUGUUCAAAUAAAAAAAUUGACAAAAAUAGUAAAAAUACAAUACCAAACAAGAAUUUAUUUAGGAUACCGAUUCCAGGUCUCUAAAGAUUUGUUUUUAUGCUUUGCAGUUAUUUUCUUCUAGCUGACUGAUGAAUUAUUGUGAAAUUGCUAUGAAAAUUACUAGGGAAAUUAUCAGUCAUACACUCUUAAAUGACACCCGUAUCAAAUAUGCUACAACAUUUUUCAAGUAUAUCACUCGUAUACUCUAAGUUGACAAAACACUUCUACCGUCCACCAAUAUGUUAACUUCUAUUAGAAAGUUAAUAGAAUUGUGGCAAAUUGACUAUUUCGUCCUUGAAACUCAAAAUGAGAUUAAAAAAAAUUUACCCAAAAAAUUAAAGUAAAUUUUCAAUACAUAAUUUUUUUUAAUUUCGUUAUUAACAAUACAUUUUUUUAUUAAAAAAUAUGAAUUAUUAAUGGUACAUAUUAUUAACAAUUAUCCAUAAAAAUAUCCAUAUUAUACCAUAAAAAAUUAUUAACAACAUAUUAUUUACAAUUAUACAUAUUAUACCAUAAAAAACUCCAAUUGGAGCUUGGAGGAGUAGAUCUUAAAAAAUUUAGGUUAAAUUUUGGAUGAGUAGAUUCGGUUGUAAAGUAGUUGUUUUUUUAUAUGUAAUUAUUAACAAUUAUCCAAUAAAUGGGAUGACAUGUCAUUUUAUCAAUAUAUAUCAUAUGACAUGUCAUUGCUUAAUAGGAAAAUGGGAUGACAUGUCGUUUUUAAAAAAGACUAUAUUUACCCUUAUGAUGUCAGCACUUGCAAACGGCAGUUAACGGAUUGGUGAACGGUAGAAAUGUUUUGUCAACUUAAAGUAUACGAGUGAUAUACUUGAAAAGUGUUGUAUCACGUUUGAUAUUAGUGUCAUUUAACGAUAUAUGACUGAUAAUUUUCCAAAUUACUACUAUAACUUAUGGCAAAUUGGCAAUUAAAAAUCAUAAAAGUCUUUCCUCUUGAAUGAGAAAGUGGGUUAUUUUCGUUUACUAUAUAUAUAGUGUCACAAUCAAGAUUAGCAAAGGUUUGUUCACAAACCACCAUCUAUGAAACUAUGAUGACAAAUAUUAUUUGCUAUUAUCAUGUCACUGCAUUACUCUAAUGCCAUUAUUUGCCUAAUUAAAUAUUCAUGUCGGUUUUAAGAUGAAUUUCAAGACAUUUAACUAACCAUAUCUAUUGUAUUUUAUUAUGGUGCUCUAGCUAGCUGGUUGCCAGCUUUGCCUUUCAAUGGGGUUUGAUUAAUUACUCUGCAUAUAGACCAUUAUAUACUAGGACGGCCAAUGGUUAAUGUAAUAUAAACACAAUAAAUUUUAAUCAAAUAUGAAUUUUCUGAAUAAUUGUUUCUUUAUUUUAUGAAUUUUAUUUAAACGAUAUCCCAAUUUAAAAAAAAAAAAGAAAGAAAGAAAAUCAGCGCGUUUGUCUCCUCCCCAUUGUCAUGAUCAACCUUGUUGGAAACGUUGGUGAGAAAAGUAAUACUAUACGUUAAUUGCUUUUAAUAUUUUAAUCGUUGGUGGCACAACCGCACAAGAAAGUAAAAGUUGUUAUAUAUAUAUAUAUUUUAAAUAAAAGUUUAGCUUUCAAUAAUUCAACUUUGAAAAAGGUACAAAAGAUGUGUAGGACAUUCGUUGAACCACAUUAUUGGUUGUACACUUUCUAAAGCUACUUUGGCUAUGGAAUAGGCCAUGAUUAUGAAGCCGAGAAGUAUGUUGCAGUGUGGGGUUGUGUAGUUCCUUUUAGCUUCUUCUUACAAAUUAAUGCUGACAGAAAAAGCAAGAUCAUAUUCCACAAAAGUAAAAGUAACAAAACAACCAGCUGGAAUCUUUUAUUAAACUACGAUAAACUACAAAUUAAAGUGGAUUCUUUUGAAUACAAGUGGGAUAGACGAUUGGCUCUUUUAUUAAAGGCCAGUAGUCAAGAAUCGAAUAUCUCGAUUGCAUAGUCUUUUUCAAAUUCUUGUUUUAUUAUUUUUCAAAACUAAUUUUUUAUUAGUCUACAAUUAUUUAUAAUUAUAUUUUCAUUUAGAAUACAGUUCAAGUCAAAUCUUUUGCACUUCUACCUAACUCGGGCUAAUACUAGUCCACUCAUUAUUCAUGUGAGAGAGUUGUAAGGUACAUGCAUGUAACUUCUCUAACUCGAAUUAUUCCACACAGAGAAAUAAACAUAGAUGCUUUAUAACUUUAGAAAUCCGAUCUCUUACAGUUGGAAACAGAGAUGAUGAUUACUAUAAGAAUGAAGAAAAAGAUAAAAAAUUGUCAAUGAUUAACGAAGUCUCUAUGCAAAUUUCUCUAUGCAAAUUGAUUUUAGCAGAAAAAUAGUGAGUUGAAUGAUGUAGGCGAUUAGUGGUAAUAUUUCAUAGAGUUAGAGUAUUGGCAACCCUUCAAUCUUCUCAUGAAUCCCCUUUUUGAGUUAUAGUUAUUUUAUUUCGAAAUAUCCUUUUUCUUCUUUAAUACACUUCUAAUUUUUCAUUUAAUUUUUUUAUUGUUAAACUCAAAGUAUUAUUGUGAUAUUUUUCGUUUCUUUUGUAAUCUUAUUAUAAUUAAAAAAACCAAAAAAAAAGAUUGGCUAUGAAAUUUGUUGGAAAAAAUCUAUGUGCGUUUAAUUUUUGUUUGUCUUUGACUGUAAUUUAUUUGAAGUGGGGUUUUAUAAGCAUAAUGAAGGGAUCAAAGGAUGCCCAUAACUUCACUCUAUUUUAUAUGGAGAAAAGUAAAAGGUACACCUAAAGUUAAUGGAAAGUACUUCGCAGCUUUCUUUUGAUUAUAAUAUCCUUUAAUUUAAUUAACUUAAAAAUUUUGACUUUAAUAAUUUAUAAUAAAUUAAAUUAUAAUCUUAAAAUAAAUAUAAUAAUAUAUUUUAAAAUAAUCUCUAUAUUUAAAAUUUAUUUAUUUUCACAUUUUAUAUAAAUUUUAUAAUAAAGACAAACAUACUAUUAAAAUAAUAUAUAAAAAAUUUAAAAGUAUUUUGAAUAUUAUAUAAAAUAACUAUAACAUUUUUUAAUACAUGAGAUAUAUUUUGUUAAUUUAAAAUUCUAUUUAAUCCAAAGAUUUAUUUAAGAUAAAUUAAUAAUAAUAUUUUUGAAAUUAUUUGAAAUACUAAAAAAUAUUUUAAUAUUACUAGUCUAUUAAAUAAAUUAAAUAUAUUUAAUAGACUAGUAAUAUUCUGAAAAAUAAUAAAAGAAGAAUUAAAAAAAGACUAGACAAUAGAGAUAUUCGAUUCUUUUAAAGCAAAUCGUAAUAUUCCACAAAGGAGUAAGAUCCACAAAAGCAAACAACCAGUUGGAUUCUUUUAAAGUGGAAUCGUUUAUUAAACAACAAAUUAAUGUUCAAAUAUUUAAAUAGCAGUGCAUUAGACGAUUAGACUGUCUUAUUAAAGGCGAGUAUAAAGUAGUCAAGAAUCGAAUAUCUCUAUUGUCUAGUCUUUUUUUAAUUCUUCUUUUAUUAUUUUUCAGAAUAGGUUUUGGUGAUUACAAUGGGUUAUUAUUCAGAGUUAUUGUUAUCUUCCGGGUCAAUUUCUGUUCAUCGAAGUCGUUAAUUCAAAUUUUAGAACUUUUAUCAAAAGAAUGUUUUUCGUUAUCUUUUUUAUGGUCUAAUUCCAAUUGUAAGAAGUAGUCAUUUUAAAAUUUGGGUCUUGAAUCGAAUUUCAGUGCAUGAAUUAAUAUUAAAAAAAAAUCACUACACACAGUUUAGGCUGCAGACUACUUUUUGCAAAUUUGACUCUGAAAAUUGGAGAAAUUAAGUAAUUUAGAAUGUUUGCAAAGAAAAAGACUAACAUACUUCCUAUUACACUAAAUCUCUAUUAUCAUAAUGUUGAGACUAAACUAACUUAAAUACGUUUUAUUUGAAAAGCUAUAUUAAAUGCAGCCUAAUUUUAUUAACCUGAAGAGCUAAUAGAAGUGUAGUUAUAAAAAUUAUAUUCUGACUUAAUUAGUACAAGUGAUAUAAAGGUUAAGUGUGCACUAUAUUUAAUAAUUAAUUAAUGGAGCAUGUUAAAUAAAAUGAUAAUUUAUAUUUAUAUAAUGUUAGGAAUAUGUAAAGUCUAAGUCCACAAGUUGCAUUAUCUUUAAUAUUUUCUCUCAAUUAAAUUCUAAAAAUACUUUACAAUUAUUUAGUAACAACUGUAAAUUAAGAAUAAAUUAUUGUCCCAAACAACAUUAAAAAAUAUUUUAUUCCAUUUGAAUCCUUUAAUUUUUUUUACAGUAUAUAGAUAAUUAUUACUAUGUGAAUGUAAGUUUCUUAAGAUGGGACCUAUAACAAUUUAGAACUUAUUACAACGGGGAGUUUAUUAGGACCAAAAUUUUUUAUGAGUACAUAAAGUUAUCUUGUAUAGAAUAUUAGUAUAUAGAUGUUUUACUGUAAUUAGUCUAGAACAUUUAAAAAAAAAAAACAUAUACCGUCCCUUGGAUGUAGCUCUUGGGUGACCAUGAAUGUUCUUUGUUCCACAUACGNNNNNNNNNNNNNNNNNNNNNNNNNNNNNNNNNNNNNNNNNNNNNNNNNNNNNNNNNNNNNNNNNNNNNNNNNNNNNNNNNNNNNNNNNNNNNNNNNNNNACCCUCUAUGGGAAUAAUCUAUUUAGUUAUAAAAAAUUAUGAUCCCAAUUUAGACUAGUUAUAAAUAACAACAAAUUCCACUUUGUAAUAAAUUAUAUUUUUUCUAUAUCUUAUCUUAAGAAACUUAUCUCUACAUAGUAAUAAUUAUUUGUAUAGGUAAGAAUGGAUCAAGAUCCUCUCCUGAUCUGAGCACUCCUGAUCUUUUACAGAUCUUAUACCACCUGUGUUUUACUGUUAGUGGAUGAUUAUGAUUUGACUAUUUUUUCUUUUUAAUUUAUUAAUCACCAAUUAUAUUAAUAAAAUUUGCUCAGAUGAAGAUCAGAUCAAGAAAGGAUCCUGAUCCAAUAAGAAUACAUGUUAUAUUAGACUAAAGGAACUUGUCUGCACAUAACGAUUAGACAACGAGCGAAAAUUAUUAAAGCGAAUGCAAAUAAUUAGAAUUUUUUAAGAUGACUUUGUAUAUUCACAAUAAUAAUUGAUAGAUACAUGUACCAACGUUUUAAUAUAUUUGACAUCCUCCAUUAAUAAAUCAUUGAUGUAAUAUAGACUUUAUCUCUAUAUCCUCACACUACGGACAACUAAGUCAUAAUAAUAAUUUUUGUAACUACAUCUCUAUUACUUCCUCAUAAUAAUAAGUUAAUUUGAUCUCUACAUUAUGACUAUGGAGAUUUUAUUGUAUAGGGACACCCAAUAUAAAUAGUAUCCCAACUAAAAUUGUCCCAAAAAAAAAAUCGCUAAAGGAUAAUUAUAAUUUUUUUUCACUUCUCAAACGUUGGUGGCAGUUGUAAGCUAAGUUGUCAAAUAUAUUAAACUACAAGUGCUGCCACCAAGUGCGAUGCUCUUUUCUAAAGAGAAGUACAGUGGGUCCCGAAUAGGACGUGCUUAAAUCUGUUUAAAUUUUUCCAGUAUAACUAACAGAGGUCAUUACUAGAAUUAUAUUACUAGCCUAUUAGAUAGAAAAAAUUAGUUAUAUUAUUUUAUAUUUAUUAAAAAAGUUUAAAGUUAAUCUUUUUAAUUACUAUUUAAAAGAUAUUAUAAUAAAAAAAUAGUGUCUUUACUAAAAAUUUAGAAAUUUAUUUGACCGUUCUCUAAACUUUAUUUAAUAUUAUUGAUUUAAAUAAUAUCUAAAUUAAAAAUGUACAGAGAAGAAAUUUCGGUGGGUAUAUUAGUCUUUUACUUUUAACGUUAGUGGCCUUCUUAUAUUUUAUUACAAAUUAAUCCUAACAAGAAAAAGCUAGAUCAUAUUCCACAAAAGCAAGAGUGACAAAACAUGAAAACAACCAACUGGAUUCUUUUAUUAAACUACAAAUUAAAAUUGUUUUUUUUAAUAAACUAUAAAUUAAAGCGGAUUCUUUUGAAUACAGGUGGGACAGACUUAAGCUCUUUUAUUAAAGGCAAGUAUAAAGUAGUCAAGAAUCGAAUAGUCUUUUUCAAAUUCUUGUUUUAUUAUUUUUCAAAACUAAUUUUUGGUAAUUACACUCGGGUCAUUAAUCAUUAUUCAGAGUCAUUGUUAUCUUCGGAGACAGUGGGUAAAAGAUAAUUACUGGCUGUUUUUCCUUCAAAAGUUAGUGGCUCAUGUUUGCAAGUGUGAAUGUGCGAUGCUCUUUUUCCAAAUGCAAUUACAGUGGGUCCCGAAUCGGAGGAUAAAAAUCCUUUUAGUUUUUGUAUUUUAAGAUUAGUAUAUAUUUAGUCUUUAUAUUUUUAAAAAUACCUCGAAACAUUCAUGCCGUUAAAGUAUUGAUACCACUACCAUUACUUUUCAUUUCUUUUAACUUAAUUUUACAAUAUUACCCUUUUAUAAUAAUUUUUUUAGACAUUAAUAAAAAAUAAUUAAAUCACUAAUUUAACUCUAAAAAAUAAAAAAAUUAUAUUAAUUUUUUUGCAAGCACCGUUUGCACACUUGGUAGGUUGCAUACAAUUUUUGAUAAUUAAAAAUUAAUAUAAAUUUUUAUUUUUAUUUUUAGGGUUAAAUUGAUAAUUUAAUUAUUUUAUUUUUAUUAAUGUACAAACAAAAAAAUUAUUAUUAAAGGGUAAUAUUGUAAAAAUAAGCCAAAAGAAAUGAAAAAUAACGGUAGAAGUAUCAAUACUUUAACGACAAGGAUGUUUCUAGAUAUUUUUAAAAAUAUAGAGAUUAAAUGAAUACUAAUCUUCAAAUACAGGAUUAAAUAGAAUUUUACCCCGAAUCGAACGUGCCUAAAUCUUUUUAAAAUUUUUGCCGUACAACGGACAGAGGUCAUUACUAAAAUUUCUCUUCCACAGCCCACAUCAGCUUCAGGAAUCAGUUUAUCAAACUCAAUCAAUUUUCUUUCUUAACAAAAUUCCAAAGAUGUGUAGCAUUUUUCAGAUCACAUGCGAUGGUGCUUUUUUCAAUCGUUGCUUGGAUUGCUUUCUUGGAAAAGCAGCAUACACACGUAACCUCCAAGAUAAUCUUGUGGCCUUGCAGACUGAAUUAAUGAAACUAAACGCAGCAAAGGACGAUCUGAUGAGGAGGGUCGUCAAUGCUGAACGUCAACAAAUGAGAAGGCUGGACGGAGUGCAAGUGUGGGUUUCGAGGGUGGAUGCUGUUACAACUGAAGCUAAUGAACUUAUCAGAGACGGCUCUCAAGAAAUUGAAAAAUUAUGUCUUGGAGGGUUCUGUUCCAGGAACUGCACGUCAAGCUACAAGUUUGGGAAACAAGUGGCUAAAAAGCUACGAGAUGUGGAGGCUUUAUUUGCCGAAGGGGUUUUUGAGGCGGUGGCUACCAAGGUGGUGCCUGAGAGAGCUCCAGAGCCUGUAGCAGAUGAAAGACCUGCCGAGCGAACAGUAGUAGGCUUGCAAUCACAACUUGAACAAGUCUGGAGAUGUCUUGCAGAAGAAUCAGCGGGAAUCAUUGGCCUAUAUGGUAUGGGCGGUGUUGGUAAAACUACACUAUUGACCCAUAUCAACAAUAAAUUUCUCGAGAGUCCAACCAACUUUGAUUGUGUGAUUUGGGUAGUAGUUUCAAAAGACCUGCGACUCGAAAAAAUUCAAGAAGAUAUUGGGAAAAAGAUAUGUUUGGUUGAUGAUGAUUUGUGGAAGAGUAAAAUUUUUGAAGAGAAAGCUGUAGCCAUCUUGCGGAGAUUAGGAGAGAAGAGAUUUGUAUUGUUGUUAGAUGAUUUAUGGGAGCGGGUUGAUUUAACAAAAGUGGGCGUUCCACUUCCCAGACCAAAAAAUACUACCUCAUAAGUCGUAUUCACAAGCCGUUUCAUCGAUGUUUGUGGUAGCAUGGAAGCUGGCAGGAAGUUCCAAGUAGCAUGCUUAUCAGAAAAGGAUGCUUGGGAACUGUUUCAAGAAAAAGUUGGGGAAGAAACUCUUGAGAGUGAUCAUGAUAUCGUUGAGCUAGCCCAAACCGUGGCCAAGAAGUGUGGUGGUUUGCCACUCGCACUUAUUACUAUUGGUCGAGCUAUGGCCAUCAAAAAGACAGCCGAGGAGUGGAGACAUGCAAUUGAAGUGUUAAGACGAUCAGCUUCAGAGUUUCCAGGUUUGGGAAAAGAGGUGUAUCCUCUUUUAAACUUUAGCUAUGAUAGUUUGCUGAAUGAGACGAUUAGAUCUUGUUUCUUAUAUUGUUGUUUAUAUCCUGAAGAUUAUGGCAUUCUUAAAUGGGACUUGAUUGAUUGUUGGAUUUCUGAGGGAUUCUUAGAGGAAUCUAAUAGGUUUGGUUGUUAGAGUGCAAUUUAUGCACUAGUUUUGCAUUAUUUACUUCCCUUAAUAUCAAUGUUUUGCACUUAAUAAUAGUGAUUUACUUGUGUUUUACUUUUGUAGGUGCAAUUCUAUUGAUUGAUGAUAAAAUUGAGCUAUAAGAUGAUGUUUAAGGAUGAUUGUUCUCUUGAAGAAAUUAUGAGCGUCAGAAGAACUUUGUUGAUAAGGCGUGGGCGCGUGCUGUCAACUGCGGACCUGCAGUUUUAGUUUAACGUGUUUUGUAUUUUUGGUUAUUUUUGUAAUUACGAAUUUAAUAUUUCAGAUAUUAGGAUUUUAUUUUAAAUAGAAUUCUAAAAGAGAAGAGAGAGAAAGUAUUUAAGGGAGGAAUCUAUUGUGAAAGGGGGAUUUUGGAUUGGAGAAAAAGAAACCCUAGAUCUAAUUUUUCUCUUCUCUCUAUGAGGAACUAAACCCAUUUUUCUGGUUGAAGGUUAAUGAAGCUUUGAUUCAUCACUACUGUGAGAUCUUUCUUGUGCUUUAAUUGUUUUAUUACUUUUUGGGUAUUUGUUUAUUCUCUGAAUUAUUUUCAUGAUUAUGUUUGUUAAUUAGGUAAUUGGCCACUAUUUAAUUAUCAACUUAAUCUAUUGUCAAUUAAAGGAUUCAUCGUAUGAAGAAUUUAAUGUUUGUGACAAAUAACAUAGCAGAGAGUUGUGUUGUGAGAAUAAACAAUCUAAUUUAAAUGAAUCAUCAUAUGUGUUGAUUAGGAUUUGGGUCUCUCUGGUUUUUCAGGCUGUCAAUUGAUUAAAUUCUAUGAUCGUAUCUAGGGUUGUCUAUUGAUUAGGGAAAUAACCAACGGUCGUACCUUGGUUAUCGACUAGUUAAGGAGAGAUUGGCUAUUAGAGGGUCUCAGUAGCUAUAACCGGUCUAUUCAUGAGUAAUAAUAAUCUAUAUUUGAAUCAAUGAUCAGUAGUCGAAUCAAGCUGAGUUAAUUCCUUCAACCAGAGCUUUCUCCAAUUUGAAUUACAACUUUAAUUUGCAUUCUUGUUAUUUUAAUUUGAUUUUUAUUAUUGUCAACAAUUCCCCUAUUUUACGUUUUACGUUUCAAAAGGAUUUAAUUAAUUACCGAUCUCUGUGGACACGACCCUGCUCAAUCACUAUACACAAUUUAUUUAGAGUAGGAAUUUACUUUUGUUGGCUUCGACACCCAUCAUUGGUGCAGAAAACCGAGGAUACUACAUUGUGGGCACUCUUGUUCAUGUGUGUUUACUAGAAGAGAUAGAAGAUGAUAAAGUAAAAAUGCUUGACGUUGUUCGUGAUAUGGCUCUAUGGAUAGCUUGUGAAACUGAGAAGGAGAAGAUAAACUUUUUGGUUUGUGCAGGUGCUGGAUUAGAAGAGGCACCGGAUGUUAAAGAAUGGGAAAAUGUGAGAAGAUUGUCAUUGAUGCAAAACCAAAUUGAAACUCUGUCAGAGGUUCCCACAUGCCCUCAUUUCGUCACUUUAUUUCUUGACUUUAAUGGGGAGUUGAAGAUGAUCGCGGAUGGCUUCUUCCAACUUAUGCCUUCUCUCAAAGUUUUGAAGAUGUCAAACUGCUGGAAUUUGAAAUUUCUUGUUGGGAUGUCAAAGUUGGGUUCGCUACAGCUUCUUGAUAUUUCACAGAACGCCAUAGAAGAGUUACCAGAAGAGUUGAAGUUGUUGAUAAAUCUGACAUGUUUGAAUUUGAGGGGGACAGGCCAAUUAAAUAAAAUUCCACGGCAACUAAUAUCAAAUUUUUCAAGGUUACGUGGGUUAAGGAAGUUCAUAACGUGUGCAAGCAGUCAACUCAAGGUUAGCACGUGGGAGAAUUUGCUGAGCUAAAGUUAGUUAAAUAAGCAAUGCCAGCUCAACAAAUUCAGUCAAGGUUUACUGAGAUUUUAUUCCUAUUGUUUUCUUUUCUGUUAACAAUGUAUAAAGGUGUUCUUUGUACUCAUUUGAUCAUUAAGAAAAAAAGAAAUAAAAUCUAGAAUAUUCUCUGAAGUUUUCUCAGUAAAACAGAGUAAAUUUUCUCAGUAACUAAACAGUAUAUAUCAGUGGAAUUUACGUUUUAUAACAUGGUAUCAGAGCCAAACAGUAACCAGCAAACAAUGAUGAGAAAUCUAGCAAUCAAUAAUACACAUCAACACACUCAAAUCAAUUUCUCUUUCACGAAUCCAAUUAAACUAGAUCGAUCAAACUACCUGCUCUGGCGUUCACAAGUUCUGGCUUCGAUUAGAGGUAAUCGACUAGAAGACUUCAUAACUAGAAUCAAAUCAACAUCUGAAGAAAAUAUUUUGUUAGCUGGAGUUGAUGGAUCUACACAACAAAUUGAGAAUCCUGAGUAUCAGAUCUGGAGAUCACAAGAUCAAAUUCUUCUUGGUUGGCUACUGUCAACCUUAAGUGAAGGUAUCCUUAGUCUUGUUAUUAACUGUAAAAGCUCAUUUUCUUCAGCUCAGAUAUGAACUGAACACUCUUAAAAAGGAGUCUCUUAGUAUUGAAGAUUAUUGUGUUAAAAUGAAAGCAAUAGCUGAUAAGCUUGCUAGUGCUGGUAGCUCGAUAACAGAAAAGGAUCUAAUGCUAACCAUACUCAAUGGAUUAGGAUCAGGAUAUAGUGAUAUUGCUACUUUCAUAACUGGUUCACGAAUGGAAUUUGAUGAUACUUAUGCAUUAUUGCUCACUCAUGAAACUAGGUUGGAACAAGAUCAUGAUGAUAAGAGUAUGUUCAAUGCUAACUAUGCAUAUACUAAUGCAUUUCAUCCUAAGGUUUAUUAUGCACAGCCUAGAGGAAAUUUUAAGAGAGGAGGUUAUUAUGGUGGUAGGAAUGUUUUCUCUGGUAGAGGGAAUAUGAAUUUUUCUCCAAGAAUGUUUAAUGGAGGUUUUAGAAGUGGUUUUGGUAGAGGAUAUUAUGUUGGUAAUCCUUUUAAUGGUAAUAAUUCUUUAGCACCAAAGAAUUCAUCAUCUGUUAUCAAGAAUGGAUCACAGAGAACUUUUAAUAACAAUCCAGGGGACUCAGUAUGUCAGAUUUGUCUCAAACUUGGUCAUACUGCUGAUAUUUGUUGGCAUAGAUUUGUUGAAGAUUAUGUGCCAAUGCCAAGGGGUUUUUAGAAAAGGAAAAGCACCCAGAGCAGCAUCACUACUAGAAAAAUAGCUUUUACUGAUACUUGUCUUGUGAUACUUUUCUAAAAAGUAUCAGCAAUUACAUAUAUUUGGGCCAUUUUCCGUGUUUAACAAACAAGUGUCACAAAUUACUGAUUCUAUGAUGUUUGUAUAUUAAACAUCAGAGAUCGUCGACACUAAGGUAUCAGAAACAACAAAAAAAAAUAAAAAAUCUAUUUUUGUUUUAGUUGCGACUCGAACCUAGGACCUCAAAACUAAAGUGCUUUAUGUUCAACCAACAAACCACCAUGCCAAAUUCAUAAAUUAGUUUGUGUUGAACAUGUUGAAAUUAUCAAAUUAAAUUAAUAUAGAAAACAAAAAUAUAAAAGCAAAAGAAAAAAACCCUAAAUCAACAUAAACAUAAAAUUCCCUAACUCCUAAAUCCAUGGCCAGCCGCCUCAUCUCUCUGGCGAUAUCCUUCUUCUUCUUCAUACCUCUAAAACUUCGAGCCCUAAAAUUCAAGGGUCCAUGUCAUAAGAAAUCCUACCACCACUGCUCAAAUUCUAACACCCAUACCAUACGAAACCCUAAUGAUCUACAUUAUGCAAAACAUCCACCAUGCCGCUAUGCCACAAGCUCACAAGACCCGCUUUAGAUCUCCACAUUUUGCUCACCCUACUCGAGUGCACACCGCCCCUCUCGCUUCGACUUCUCGGGAUUUCUUGUUAGCUGAAGUUUUGUUUUCUUCCGCUAAUUCGAUCUUCGAAAGGUCUCGGAGCUCCAAGUAACUAAGUAAGCUCGGUUUUCUUCUAUUCUCUCAGAUACUUGCUUACACAUUCCUUUUUUUUUCGUGUUAAAUUUUGUUGUUUCGUUGUGUUAUAUGGAUCGAUGAGAGUCACAGACUUUGACGAGACAAUGACGAUAUUGUUUUGGAGUUUCGUUUCGUAGAUCUGUGAUAGAGUCUCCUUUUUCAGAUAUUUCCUUUCAUUUACCAUAUUUGCACAAUUUGUUUUGUCAUUAAAUUAUUUGCGUUUGAAUGUACAAUUUUUGUUUUCGUUUUAUAUUUUCAAAUACUGUUUCUUGGAGCGAAUUAGUGGAGGAAUUUUUGGUUGAAGCAGAGGAUGGAUAACUUUUGUAUUUUGAACUUUGUAUGUUAUUUAUUAUUUGAACUUGAAGCUAAAAGGUGACCAAAUUUUCCAAAGGUUAGGGUUUGGUUGGCUUAUGUGAAAAUGCCGAACGAAUGUGUAUUAUUCAUACUCCAAUAUUGUAGGUGCGUCAAUGCACCUCCUUGCGAUGGUUGCAGCAACGAAACUGUAGGUCAAGGUUUGGGUACCCCAUUUCCUUCAAAGAUCCAAUAUGGAGCAACUCGAGUCGAGCUUUUUCGGUCAAUUUAAACAAAACCUUUACUCCUAAUUUAUUGUCUUUUGCUUUCUGUUUGUACCUGUAGGAGUUCAUAUUUUGUAAUGUUCCGUAAGUGUCCAAUAACUGGUUAAAUUAUGACUUAUGCUAGGUGAAGAUUUUGUGUUACAAUCCCCUUCAAUAGGCAAUCACUCUUUUUGUAAAUGUUCAUGGGUAAUUGCUUUGCCUUUGCUUCUGUUGUACUUUUGUUUUUGUGGGGUUUUAGUUAAUGGAUGUUGAGUUAUAUUUCAAUCAGUUUGAUUUCUCUGCAUAUUUUUCAUAUUUUAGUAUUAGAAGAGGUAUUUAAUCAAAUGAAGACAAAAACAAUUGUCGGCCAACCAACAAACUCACUUUAGUUUGUUGUGAAAUGAUUUUCUCUCUCUCUCUCGAUUUUCACUGGUUCUGUGGUUUUUUCCCUUCCACAAUGUGAUUUAGUUCUGUUCUAUUUAUGGAUGUUACCAACAUUUUAGCUUUUAAGAAACAGACAAAAAGAUUCUGAAGUUUGUUUCUUGUUUCUUACUCUGAAUUUCCAAGGCAUCUUAUUUGGAGAAAUGCAUUCUGAAUGGAGAAAUUUCUCCAAAUUUAUGAGAUGUGGUUCUGUCUUGCUGAAUGAACAUUGUAUUUCCUUCAAUGGUUUGCGAGCCAUUAAGUUAUUUGAGCAAACAAAAUUAGCAAUAUGGAAUCCUGUUUCUACAGGAUUAUAGUUGUAGGACUCUAGAAUUUAGUCUAGGUAAUGUUUUUACCAUUGUAAAAAGUAUCUGACAUUGGUGAUGUUUAAGCAUAUGUGUCAUUUCUUUUGGGCUUCACUUUGGAUCCUUUUUUUCUUUUUUUACAAACAAUGGAUGGUUAAAACCUAAGAGACUGAUUGAUUUUUGUUUUAAAUCCAGUGGUUAUGCCUUGUAAACUUUUGAGUUGUAUCAAUUUCUUUUCCUGGCCUAACUUGGCUAAAUUUAUGCUAUAUAAUUGAAUUCUACAAAUUUUGGCUAUGUAUGAUGUAAAGGUCAUAAGUCUUGUAUCUUCAUUUGUUCACCACAGGCUUGAUACUUCACAACUACCAUAAGUUAUGUCAUGCCAUGUCUUCUUUAGCAAUAUUGUGUGGCUUUGAGUAGUAUUAAUGUUUUUGUUUGUUAAUUCACGACUUAAUGGAACCAUUUUCCUUAUAAUCGAGAACCUUCGUGCGAGUGUUGUGGAGAAAUCUUAUGAUUCAUGUGUAGGUGUGUUUGCUUAAUGUGAUGACUUUUAUUAUGUGUUGUAGUUCUUGUGUCUAUAAGAGGAACCUUUGCUCCUAUGUCUAUUUAUCUCCGACUUUCAGUUUAGGCGUAAAUAGGUUACUCUUCUUUCUUUCUCAUUUUUUAAUUUCUAUGUUCUCCUAUGUCUAUUUACAUGGACUGCUUUGCUGCUUCUCUGCAGUGAAAACAACCCUGGUAAUUUACAGGAGCUUUUUUCACUUCAGAACAAUAGCAAGACAUCCCCUGCAGAUUUUUUAUUGAUUUUGCAUAGAUUGGUUUGUUGCUUUGGGUUGGAAUGCUACUGGAUAUAUGUCAGAAUUAUAGCGCUAUUGGAAGAUGGUGGGUUGUUGCAUAUGAGUUGGAGUGUUCCUGGGUAUGUAGCUAGAAUUAGAGUGCUGUUGGAAGAUGGUAUUGCUACUGGAAGUUUUGCUCAAAAACUUGUCGUUGGAAUACUUGCAUUAAUUUUUGGAAAUUUUAUUGGGUAACUUGGCUAGGUGGCUGAAAUUUUAAUUGCUUUUGUGUAUUGAAGCAUUUGGAUUGUGUAAUAUAUAUUGAUAAUAUUUAAAUGUUAUGAAAGGUUUUGAUAAAUAAAUUGAUUUUUGUUCUUAUUUCUCACAGCCUUUUAAUUCUAUCAACAAAUCAAUGGGUAAUGUCAUUUUGUAUAAUUAUUUUUUUAAAUAAUACAUAAAGUAGUGAUACUAUAGUAACAGUAUCACAAAUACUAAUAUAGUAUUGUAAUAUUUUGAUACCAUGGUGUUAUGAUUUUAAUGAUACUAUAGUAAUAGUAAUUACUGACACCACUUACAAGUGUCACUAUUUUUCUGACUGCCAGAUUACUGACACAAUUAGCAAGUGUCACUAAAAGUAAUUACUGACACUAUUCUAAUGUCAGUAAAGACCAUUUUUCUAGUAGUGCAUAUCUGUCAAAUUUUGAUGGUUCUGUUUCAAAUCCAAACUUUGAAGAUUAUGAGAACUUCAACUAUAUGCCUUCAGCUUAUAAUCCUAUGUCUGGCAAUAGCUAUUAUUCUGGUUUUGAUGCUUGUACUCCUGGAGUAGCAUUUAUGGCUAACUUUGAAGGAGUUGCUAAUGAUGAAUGGUACUUGGAUAGUGGGGCAACUCACCAUCUGGACAACAACAUGGAGAGCUUGCAGAUCAGUGAGGAGUUUAAGGGUACUGAUUAGCUCAUAAUUGGUAAUGGUCAAGGUUUGUUUAUCACUAAUGUUGAUUUUGCAUUUCUGUCACAAAGAGCAUCAAAUUACUUAUCUGCACAUUCCAGAAUAGCACUUAAGGAUAUAUUACUUGUUCCAUCAAUUACCAAAAAUCUACUAAGCAUUUCCAAAUUGACAUCUGAUAACCCUAUAACUGUUGAAUUUUGUGGGAAUGUUUGUUUUGUGAAGGACAUGAAUAGACAAGUUCUGCUGCAGGGACUUGCCGAAAAAGGUCUAUACAAGCUGCUGCUGAGUUCUAAUUCCUCUUCUUCAUUUCCUUCAUCUCAUCUUUGUCAUACUCAACUAAAUAAUUAUGUCUCAAUGUUGUCUAGCUUUCAAAGCUUUGAUAAUCCUUCUAAAGUUUGUUAUCAUUCUGUUUUCAAUAAAUGCAAAACCAAAUAUGAUGUAAUGACAUUGUUACAUAGAAAAUUUGGUCAUCCAAGUUCAAUGAUUCUGAUGCAUUUAGCUAAGUCUUGCAAGCAAUUAAAAAUCUCUCAAAAAGAUAUUCUAUCUUGUACAAAUUCUUUGUGUGAGGCAUGUCAGUUAGGCAAAGUUCACAGGCAAAGUUUUCCAGCAACUGAAACAAAAACAAAAGGAGUAUUAGAACUGAUUCAUACUGAUAUCUAGGGACCUUCACCCACUGUAUCUAGAAAUGGAUACAAGUAUUACAUUAGUUUUGUGGAUGAUUACACUAGAUACACCUGGAUCUAUCCACUUAAGCUUAAAUCACAAGCAUUUGAAGUUUUCAAACUGUUCAAGGCACAAGUUGAAAAUUAGUUUAAUACCAAGAUUAAGGAAUUACAAUCUGAUCUGGGGGAGAGAGUUUAGAGUAUUCAGUAAUUUCCUAAGUCAAAAUGGAAUCAAGUUUAGACAUUCAUGCCCUUAUACUCAUCACCAGAAUGGUCUUGUUGAGAAGAAACAAAGACACAUAAUUGAAUUAGCAUUAACACUCUUAGCUCAAGCUAAUCUCCCUUUUCAGUUUUGGUGGAAAGCUGUUCACACAGCAACAUAUCAUAUUAAUAGGUUACCAACACCUGUUCUUAAGCUUUUAUCUCCUUAUGAAAAGCUCUUUAAACACAAACCAGAUUAUUCAUUUCAUAAGUGCUUUGGUUGCCUAUGUUAUCCAUAUAUGAGAGAUUUAAAUAAACACAAAUUUGAUUUUCACACCACCAAAUGCAUCUUCAUUGGCUAUAGUCAUUCUUACAAGGGUUAUAAGUGUUUAACAAGCUCAGGAAAAAUUCAUAUCCUAAGGCAUGUUAUCUUUGAUGAAAAUACAUUCCCUUACUUAACAAACAAAGUCUUUCAUUUAUCCGAGAACAGUUCAAAUUCUGAAAUAUCAGUGUCAAACUUUUCCCAGUAACAAAUUUAUCAUCUCUCCACAUUAUCCUUAACUGACAGCAGCUUGGAAGAUCUUCAAUCAGCAAGUUCAGAAAGCAAUGAACAAGUACCUUCUGUUUCUGCACACACAAAUAAUCUGCAUCAACAAGAGCAUUCUCAAGAGCAUUCCUCAUCAACUAUACCAUUAUCACCAACACAACAACAAACUGAAUCACAACCACAAAAUGAACCACAUCUAUCUACUUCCUAGCACAUAAAUCAAACUCAAACUAGAAACCUUCCUUCACAACCAUCACAUUCAAUGGUAACCAGAUCGAAAAUAUGGAAUCUUCAAGCCAAAAGUUUACAUAACCACCUUAACCAACAAAGAACCCAGUACUGUUCAAGAAGCUCUAAGUGAUCAGAAUUGGCAUCAAGCUCUGAAAGAUGAAUAUGAAGCUUUGCUUAGGAAUGAAACAUGGUCACUAGUACCAUUUUCAGAGGUAUACAAGGUUGUUGACAGUAAAGGGGUUUUCAGAAUUAAACAAAACACAGAUGAGAGUGUAGCUAAAUACAAAGCCAGGUUAGUUGCAAAGGGUUUCCAGCAAACUAAUGGUGUUGACUACUUUGAGACCUUUAGUCUUGUGGUAAAGGCCUGCACAGUAAGAAUUAUUUUUAGUUUGGCUGUGAUGAACAAGUGGAAAAUAAGGCAAGUGGAUGUCAAUAAUGCAUUCUUAAAUGGAGAAUUGACUGAAGAUGUUUACAUGUAUAAGCCAGAAGGUUUCAUUGAUGAGAAAAAGUCCAGUUAUGUAUGCAAGUUGAAGAAAGCCCUGUAUGGCUUAAAACAAGCUCCUAGAGCUUGGUAUGAUAAGUUGAAAAACCGUCUGAUAAGUUGAAAAACUGUUUGAUAAGUAAUUGGGGUUUUCAAAAUUCCAGAGCUGAUACUUCUCUCUUCUUCAAAGAGAUUCAAGGCUCAAUAAUACUUGUGCUUAUAUAUGUGAAUGAUAUACUUAUUACAGGGCCUGACAUUGGAGAAUUAGAGAAGUUUAUCUUAGAAUUCAGUAAGACAUUUGCUUUAAAGGAUCUAGGAAUACUAUCAUACUUUCUUGGGAUAGAAGUCUCUUAUGCUGAUGGUUGUAUGUACUUAUCUCAGAGAAAGUAUAUUAAUGAUCUCUUGUCUAAAGCUGAUAUGUUGAACUGUAAAGGGUGUGAUACUCCCAUAGCGAUUGGACUGAAACUUCAAAAGGAGGUUAAAGGUUGUUUAGGUCAGUAUGUUGAGGAUGCAACCAGUUACAGAAGUUUGGUUGGAGGCUUGCAAUAUCUGGUGUUAACCAGACCAGAGAUAGCCUUUGCUGUGCACAAACUCAGUCAAUAUGUGACAGCUCCAACAUUGCAGCACAUAAUGGCCUGUAAACGAGUUCUAAGAUACCUAAAGGAAACCAUGGAUUAUGGUCUAAAGUUUUCAGCUGGUGGAGAAAUGGAAAUCACAGGUUUUAUAAAUGCAGAUUGGGCAUGCGAUAUUGAUGACAGAAAAUCUAUAGGUGCAUACUGUAUCUAUUUUGGAAAUAAUCUGGUGUCAUGGUCAUCUAAGAAGUAGUCUGUGGUGAUAAGGUCUAGUGCAGAAAGCGAAUACAGAGCUUUGGCUUCUGCAAGUGUAGAAAUAGCAUGGAUUCAAUCUUUGUUCAGUGAGCUAAAUAUAAGAUGUGUCUCAGUACUUAUCAUCUGGUGUGACAACAUGAGUGCAACAAAGUUAAGAUAAAAAUCUAGUCUACCAUUCACGUACCAAACACAUUGAACUGGAUAUGCAUUUUGUUAGAGAUAAGGUUUUAGCAGAGGAGCUGAAAAUUAACUUCAUUCAAAGUGAAGAACAGAUAGCCGAUGUCCUAACAAAACCUCUCACAUUCAUUCAUUUUAAUUAUUUCAUAAACAAACUCAAUGUGCAGCCAUGCCCCUUGAGUUUGAGGAGGGCUGUUAAGGAAGCUCAUAACGUGUACAAGCAGUCAGCUCAAGGUUAGCACGUGGGAGAAUUUGCUGAGCUAAAGUUAGUUAAGUAAGCGAUGUCAGCUCAGCAAAUUCAGUCAAGGUUUACUGAGAUUUUAUUCAUAUUGUUUUCUUUUCUAUUAACAAUGUAUAAAGGCAUGCUUUGUACUCAUUUGAUCAAUAAGAAAAGAAGAAAUAAAAUCCAGAAUAUUCUCUGAAGUUUUCUCAGUAAAACAGAGUAAAUUUUCUUAGUAACCAAACAGUACAGAUCAGUGGAAUUUACGUUUUAUAACAACGUGUGUUGAGAAUGUUGGGUAUUGGCCAAUUCAAUUUUCAUGAAGCACCAGAAGACAACGCUUUAUUUGGUGGGGGUGAAGUUUUGAUACAGGUAUUGCUCGGUUUGAAAUAUUUAGAGGUAUUGGAGUUGACCUUGGGAAGUUAUCAUGCUCUCCAAAUUCUUUUGAGCUCAAAUCAGUCAAAAAGUUGUAUUCGAUCUCUUCUCCUCCACAAGUUUAGAGGUACAACGCCGAUUAUUGAUGCUACGGCUUUCGCAGAGCUAAACCACCUCAACGAAUUAUUUAUUAAUAAUAGUAUUGAGUUGAUAGAAUUGAAGAUUGAUUAUACAGAGAUAGUACAAAAAAGGCAGGAACCUUUUGUUUUCCGCAGCCUUCACCGUGUUACCAUAUUUAGGGCCCGUUUGGGAGUGAGGUGCUGUAGCUUUUAAGCUGCAGUUGCUGUGGAGUAAAAGCUAUAGAUGUGGAAUGGAAGUUGAUGGUGUUUGGUAAAAGUGUUGUAGCUUUUAAGCUGCAACUACUGAUGGUGUUUGGUAGAGUGGAUGAAUAUUUGUAAUAAUUAAUUUUAAAUAACAUUAUUUUUAAUUGUUAACAAAUCAAUUAUUUUUCAUUCUUCAAAUUAUUAUAUUGACAUACAAUUACGAUUUAUUCCGUUACAAAUUAAAUUAAUAUUUAAUAAAUCAAAUUUAUUUUUUUGCACAAGUUGUAAUAAAUAAUUUAUAAAACACAUCAUGGGGUCAAUUAUAAAUAAUUUUAAAUAACUAUUAUUGACAAUGCCAACCGGGCAGUGUACAUGAUAUGCUUCUCCAAAUUGCUUCGGUUUGUACCUGAUAUGAUUAAUCGAGUAUUAUUUACAAUACCAAAUAUAUCUAAUAAAAAUCAUACAACAAAACAAAAUAAAAUUAAAAUGUAAUUAAUUACAAAAUUUGUAUAAAUAUUUCUAUUGUUGUGCCUCCAUUAAACUUGCAGCAAUGCCAUCUUUCAAGAUUAUUAUAUCUUGAGUUGUGCUAUCAAUUGUUUCAUAACUUUCUUCAUGAGAUGCAAUAUGUUCGCUAAUACUAUGACUUGGUUCAUCCGUCAUUUCAUCAAAAUGAUCAUUAUUUUGUGAAUAUCUUCUGAUAUAAUUAUGCAAGGCCAUGGUAGCAAUAACUAUUUUCACCUGCUUCUUGAAUGGAUAGCUUGGCAUACUUCGUAAAAUCUUCCAUGUAUUCUUCCAAACCCCAAAAGUACGCUCAAUAACACUUCUCAAGGAAGAGUGCUUGUAGUUGAACAAUUCUUUAUAACCCAUUGGUUGGCUACCUCUACGAAAUUCAGGAAGGUGAUAUCUUUCACCCUUAUAUGGUCCUAAGUACCCACAUAACUCCGGAUAUCCUGCAUCUACUAAAUAAUAUUUUCCUAAAAAUAAAAAGAAAAAUACAAAAUAAAUAAAACAAUCUAAUCAAUUGAAUAUGUAUAUAUAAAAGAAAAAUUAGAAACACAAACCUGGAGGAGGGUUUGGAAAAUUGAAUGCAGGAUUCGUAAUAGUUGUUUGAAAUACCCUUGCAUCAUGGGCACUGCCUUCCCAACCAGCCACUGCAAAUAUGAAUUGCAUAUCAAAGCUACAUACAGCCAUUACAAAUUCUUUUCCCACCAUUCCUCACUUGCAUCAACUGUCCUCAACCUAUGAUUCCACCCUAAACCAGUUUCUUUGCCAAUCAAAUUCUUCCACAAUUUCCAAUCAGUUCUAAGAGAAUCCCAUUUAUUUUUCAUUUGAGUUCUGUUGUAAUCUAAUCCAGUUUCUUUAGUGAACUCCUUAAUCAAAUUUUCAUAUCCUUGGGAAGUCAAAUGAGUCCCUGGACGAUGUCCGGCAUCCACCUCUUUAACGCAUAAGUCACAAAAUACAUCUAAAGUCUGGGGGUUCCAAGUAGCCUUACUAGUUGAGCUAUUAGACACAAUUUCAUACACUUAAACCUAGGAAAAAAAAUAUUUCUUUAUCAAACAACAAUACAGAAAAAAUAAGAAUAUAGAAGUUAAGAAAAUUACUAGAAUCUUGUUAUGGAUGGUGGAAGGAAAAAUAAUUCGAUAUUAAAAAAUUAAAAAAAAAGACAAACCAGAACAAGUUACCUUAGUUGUUACUUUACUUGAAAUACUUUUCCAGCAAACAAUAAUGAUCAUAGCCCACGAAUAGAAACAAUUACAAGCAAGUCAAUAAAGCAACAAAAGACAAACCAGACUAGGAAACAAAGAAAUUCAACUAAACAAUCAUUAGGUACAAACUGCAAUUGCAUUUAGCCUCACAAUCUCAAAUUUGCUACGUGCUUUGAUAUUUCCUGUACUAUUCUUUUGGCCCAUCCUAAGACAUAUACAAUUGCAAUUGCAACACUUUCUCCCUUCUUUUUUCUGUAAUUCGUAUGGCGACUUACGUAUAUAUAACCUAAUUAAUUGAAUUAAAUUGAUGAUGGGUUAGAAAAUCAUUAGGCUUAUUAAUUAUACGCGUCAAAAGAAUGGUCGGCCAAUAAUUAGGUGUCCUGCUUAUACUCCUGUAAUUUAGUCAUUCUCUAGUAAAUAUUAUUAAAUAAAAAGAAACACAAACAAUUAAGCUUAUUGGUAACUGAACUGGUGCCCAAAAAUAACAAGAGCAGGAGAAAGCAAACACACCCAAGAAUUUGACAAACUUCAACUUGAAAUCCAGAAUUUGACAAACUUCCUUUUGUUUACUGAAGCAUAGUAUUUCAUAACGAAGGCAUGCAUUUUAUUAUUUAAUGUCUUGUAGAACUGGAAACUCAAAUCAAACAGGGGUUGUGCAUGUUUAUAAAAAGCAACUACAAAAAUAAAAACUACAAUAAAAACAAUGGUUACAAGCAAAUAAAUCACGCAUGACCCAUCACCCAUCAAUUUAUUCUAACAAAAGCCCCAACAUUUUAUGAAUGAAAAGGAAGAAAAUGAAAAAUUGCUUGAAAUAGAGUAAAGGAGUACUCAAAAAUGAACAACAGAUAGAGGAAAAGGCACCACUGACAGAGGCGUAUGAGAGUGGCCGGUGUCGGAAUCGCGCCGAUGAGAAUUUCGGUGUCAGAAUCGCAUCAAUUGGAACUCCCACAGUCGGAAUCGUGCUGAUGAGAAUGGGUGUUUAGGGUUUGUUUAAAAAAAUCGAUUUGAAAUAGAACUCCCACUGACAUGACUGUUUGAUAAAAUGAAAAUGGAAUAAUAUAUAAAGUUAAUUUAGUAAUUAAACUUGCAGCUGGGAAAAAAAAUCUGUCAAGUUGUCAAAACACAACUAUAAGUGGUACCAAACACUUUGGUGGCUGGGCUGCUCACCACACUCCCAAACGGGACCUUAGUUGCGGUAAAUUGAAAGAUGUGACAUUCCUCGUUUUUGCUCCAAACCUCAAGUCUCUUUGGCUAUUCGAUUGCGGUGCUAUGGAAGAAAUAAUCAGCGUCGGAAAAUUUGCUGAGACUCCUGAGAUGAUGGGACAUAUAAUCCCUUUUGAAAAUCUCCAAAUGCUUAAUUUAAUGGAAUUGCCGGAGUUGAAGAGAAUUUUCUGGAAGCCAUUGCCUUUCACUCAUCUGAAAGAAAUAUCUGUGGGUUAUUGCCGUAAUCUUAAAAAGCUUCCACUCGAUUCCAACAGUGCAAAAGAGCGUAAAUUUGUAAUUCGUGGAGAAGAAGACUGGUGGAACCGACUUCAAUGGGAGGAUGAAGCCACUCAAAUUGCUUUUCGUUCCUGUUUCCAACCUCGUUCCUGAGCGGUGGUCGCAAAAUUUGAUUUCUGGUGAGUGCGUUUUUGUUAACGCUUAUGUUUUUAUUCCAGUGUGUUUUUCUUCUGUCUUCUGCAAAUCACGAUUAAAUGUUGAAUAAUAUGGAAUCAAUGCUUUAUAAAUUUUCCGGCGUGGCCAUUUCCUUUUCCCUUUUUUUUUUUGGGGGGGGGGGGGGGGCGUGGUUCGAUUGAUGCUCUGGCUUUUUACUUUUUGUCUUCGAAUUUUGCUCUGUUUUUCAAAUUGAUGCUUGAAUAGUUGAAUUCAAUUAAUGCUCACAUAAAUUUGUUUAGUUGCCGUAAAACGGUAAAAGGAUAUAAUUAGAUUGAAAUUCGCACUUCUAGAAUGAAUAGAAUUACAAUAGAGAAAAUAUUAAGUAUACAAGCCCUCUUUACAGAAAAUCAAAUGAAAAUAAAAUUUUUUGGAUAUUUGAUUUUCUAUGGUCUACUGUAUACGCUUUAUAAAUUCCUCUGCUUUAACGAUAACCAAAUCCUUUUUUCAAGGAUUUUUAUUUGGGGUAUUGAUAAUAGUCCACCAACAUAGUGAACGCUUGGAUGCUGCUUAAGGAUCUCUAAUCAGUAGCUGGAAGCAAAUGAGAAGGCGGUCGCUACUUUGUACAAAGCCAUGCAGCAAUUGCUAUUCAUUUUCAAACAAAGUUGAGAUGUUAUUUUCAGAUUUGGUUCCAGAUUUUGUAUGAAUAUCGUUGUUCCAUUGAGUUGUAUAUGAAUUCAAAUGUAAAAUAUUCUUUGGUUUUCAAUUUUGAAUUCAAUUUCUUUUUCUUAAGCAUGUUGUGCAGAAAUGAUUUCUACUAAAUCAUUUUUGAUAAACUAUUUAAAUUAAACAACUGGAAUAAGAACUGUAAGGAUUUAUCGUAAGCAGACUAAUAUGAUAAUUCUGAAACUAUCAUUUUUUUUUUUUCAAUUUGUUGCAGGGAAAGCCAAAUUUUGCGUUUUUCAGUUUUAUCUGAUAUGGGCUUUAUUUCCUCUACACUAGCUACCUAAAGAUUUAUCAAAUUGCUUCUCUUCCCUGCUUCAAAUAUCUUCAUGGCAUCAUAGGAAAAGAGAGUUUGGGUUGUAUUUAUUAUAGUUUUUAUUUUUUUUUUUGUUAUAAGCAAAUUUAUUUUAAAUACUUUAGUAGUAACAGUUUUUAUUGAAUAAUAAUGAGGGAUGAUUAUUAUAGGUUCAAAUAGUUGUUAGAACAUUAUAAAAAGUCUAUUUACUAUCAAAUGUUUUAAAUUGAUGCAACGUGAUAAUUGUCUCAUAUAAUUUUUUUAUAAUAUAUAUGUCCCAUAAUCUUAACAUGAAUAAAUGAAUUUCAACGGUUAAAUUUGACACGAUUAUUAAAUAGAUCAUAUCUAUAUUAAUUCGAUUUAAAAUCUGGUCACAUUUGGAUUUAGAGUUUCUAACAUGAUAACUUGUUUUAUGACAUGAUUUACUAAUCAAUUAAUAGUAAAUCAAAUGUCAGUCAAUUAAAUAUGUGGUACAUUUGUCAUAUUUUAAAAAUUAUUUAUUUAUAUUUGAAAUGAAUUUGGUGCNNNNNNNNNNNNNNNNNNNNNNNNNNNNNNNNNNNNNNNNNNNNNNNNNNNNNNNNNNNNNNNNNNNNNNNNNNNNNNNNNNNNNNNNNNNNNNNNNNNNAUAAGACGACGCGACACAAAUACAACCAACAAGUCAACCCAAAUUGCCACCUUUUACUAUCUUCUUUGUGUUAUUUCUCUAAAAAUUUGUGCCUUCUCUUACACUUUUAAAUCUGAAGUGUUUGAACUGGAGUACACAAAUUAUCUCUCUACAAUUCCAAAACAACCAAUUUGUUACUUGGUAAAUCUUAAUCAAUGGCAGGAAGCAAUUGAGAAGGCGGUCGCUACUGUGUACAAAGCCAUGCAGUAUUUGCUAUUCAUCUUAAUAAUUGUUAAGCUUUGGUAAAAUUUUCAAACAUAGUUGACAUCAUGUUGUUUUGAGAUUUGGUUCAUGAUUUUGUAUGAAUAUCGUUGUUCCGUUUGAGUUGGAUGUGAAUUGAAACCUAAAUAUUCUUUAUUUUUCAAUUUUGAAUUCAAUUUCUUUUUCUCAAGCAUGUUAUGCAGAAAUGAUUUUUACGAAAUCAUUUUUGAUGAAUUAUUUAAAUUAAACAAUUGGAAUAAGAAUUGUAACGAUUUAUCAUAAGCAUGCUAAUAUGAUAAGUUGUUUUACGAACGAUUAAUUAAUCAAUUAAUAUUAGAUUAUAUAUUAGUCAAUUAGAUAUGUGUUACAUUUGUCAUAUUCUAAAAACUAUUUAUUUAUAUUUCAAAUAAAUUUGACCAGAGGUUACGUAGGUAAUACUACAUAAUUUCUAAAGGAAUGUAAAAAUUUAAAGUUUUAUUAAAUAGGUGACUCAAUAAUAAAUGGAUUUCUGCAAGAAUUGAGAUUCUUGAGAUAAUUAUUACAUAGGGAAUUUUGGUUAGUUCAAUUUUGACAUGGUAAGAAGACGACACGGCGCAGAAAACCCAAAUUGCCACUUCUACUAGUAAUAAAAGAUACCUGUUUGAAAAGUAAUUAUAAACUAUCUUCUUUGUGUUAUUUCUCAAAACUUUUGUGGCACAAUGUUAUUUCCCUGGAGAAAAGUACGAAAUACCCCCUUUCACGUCGGCAGAAGCAAAGCAAAGCUAUGAGCUAUCUCUGUAUACUUGAAACGCCAUUGCUAAACGAUUCUCGAUGAUGGGUGCCACUGGGUCAGUGUUGUCUCUGAUUUACAUGAUUUAUUAGUUGUCCAGAUGCCAGAGAAACCAUGGUGGCAUUGAAGUUGCCCAGAUGGUUAGUUUUCUGAUCAUUUUUUUAUUCAAUUAUUUAUUUUUUUAGAAAAAUGUGAGAAAUAUGUAGAAAUGUUGACAGCUAUGAUUUUGAAACUUUGCCUAAAAUUGUUAUCAUCACUUAUUUAAAGAGAAAUCCUAGAAACAUGAAAUGAUUAGUAGCCUAAUUCAAAAUUAGACGUGAUUACAACAAGAGAAAAGUGGAGAGAACUUGAUAAUCGAGUGCAUUUAGAAUUUAAUUUUUCUUUUAGCUGCCGAUCAUUAAAUUUUCGAUUUCAGAAAAUUAUACCUAGAAUAUUUCAAGGAUAUACUAUGAAGAUUAUGAAGGUUUGAUUACAUGUCACUAUCAAUUGCCCCAAUCAUUUGUAGUAAAUUAAUUGAUCAUUUUGAUGCAAAUGAUUCCCUACUAAAAAAUUUAAGUCAAGGCUGAAUUGCAUAGUAGUUAGUCGCGCUUGCACUUCAAAUUAAGUAUUGUAUUUUCUGCCUGGUUUGGUUGAUUAAAGUGUGUGCAUUUGCUUUUGAACGUUGUAGUAUAGAAAUCGAAACAUUUGUUUUUCGCUAAGCCCAGAAGCAAAGUUCUUUGUACUGUACUCAUCACUUCUCUUCAUUCUCUUUGUUGAAAUUUUUUCCAAACAGCGGUUUCUUCGAAUUUGUGCCUUCUCUUCCACUUUUAAAUCUAUCAAAGAACCGUUACCUGAGAAGAUUGCCAUCAGGAAUUUCUAAAUUGAUUUCACUAUAAUACCUUAAUCUUUCAGAUACUCCCGUCACUGGGUUGCCAAAAGUGCUAAAAGCCUUCGUAAAUCCUACGUGUUUGAACUGGAGUACAAAUGUUAUCUCUCCACAAUUCCAAAACAACUGAUUUGUUACUUUUCAAUGCUACACGUUCUGCGAAUGUUCAGUUGUGGUUAUCUUGCUGAAAUACCAGAAAAUAGGGUUCUAGUUGGCGGUAGUGGAUUCUUGGUUGGGGAAUUGCUUAGUUUAAAACAUUUAGAUGUAUUAAGCAUCACCUUAAAAGGUUUUUCUUCUGUCCAAAAACUUAUGAGCUCCCAACAGUUUCAAAGCUGUACAAAAUGUUUGGAGCUUAUAGACUGUGAUGAUUCAAAGUCGUUUGCCUUGGCAGAGUUGAAGCAUCUUGAAAAACUAGGUUUUUCAAAUUGUGGAAAUUUGGAAGAUAAAUUACAUUUAUAAACUGUGGAUCGCCCUUUAUAAGUAUUAGGCUUAUCCCAUACUCGAGCAAUGUGGAAUACCUUUAUAAGCAUUAAGCCUCUCCCAUACAAUUUCUGUACAUGACUUUAAAAGUGGUUGAUGACCCGUUUUGUAAUAUCAUAGAGGGAUCAUGAAUUCCUUUUCUUUUCUGUGGCUAGGCAACACUUUUGGGCCAAAGUAAGGAAAUCUAUUUUAGGUAAUGUAAAAACCAGUUGUGGGAUGUAAUAGUUUAUUAUGCACUGACAACAACUUUUUGUAUAAUUGUCAGUUUAAUGAAUACGAGAGGAACUCUGUUGGCAAAUUCAUCCAUGAUAGAUGCUAAAAUUAUACCAGUUGCCUUAACUAAUUUUUCUCAACACUGGUAUUGAACAGGAAAAUGAAUAUGCAAUUUGUAUUUGUGCCAUUGUGGAGAAUUUGGAUAUUCUUAGUUUUAGUAACAAGGAGAGUAUUUGCCUCAUCUUUAAACAAUGAAUCUUUGAGAAAUGAGGACUGGGUGAUUGGCAGUGUCAGAGUGUCUUCAUGUAAAUGUUCAUUUAUUUGUAUUUUGAACUAUUAUUAGAAUCUUUAUAUGCCAAAUUAGUAAUACAAAUGUUCAGAUGAUUUUUCCUGGUGAUCAUUUCAUUCUUGAGAGCCAUGUACAAUACUAGGAUACCAGAGAAACCAAGGUAGCAUUGAAGUUGCCCCAGUGGCUAGUUUUCCGAUCAUUUUUUAUUCAAAUUUUUAUGUUUCAGAAAAAUGUAAGAAAUUUAUAGAAAUGUUGAUAGCUAUGAUUUUGAAACUUUGCCUAAAAUUGUUAUCAUCACUUAUUGUUUCUUAUUUAAAGAGAAAUCCUAGAAACGUGACAUGAUUAUUCCAUACUUGUUUUAAUAUUAUUUAUUAGCAGCCUAAUUCAAAAUUAGACGUGAUUAUUUGUUACUUUUAAUGCUACAUGUUCUGGGAAUAUUCAGUUGUGGUUAUCUUGUUGAAAUACCAGAAAAUAGCGUUCUAUUUGGUGGUAGUGGAUUCUUGGUUGGUUUGAAUGUAUUAAGCAUCACCUUAAAAGGUUUUUCUGCUGUCCAAAAACUUACGAGCCCCCAAAAGUUUCAAAGCUGUGCACAACCUUUGGAGCUUAUAGACUGUAGUGAUUCAAAGUUGUUUGCCUUCGCAGAGUUGAAGCAUCUUGAAAAACUAGGUUUUUCAAAUUGUGGAAAUUGGAAGAGUUUAAGUUCUGCUGUGUUGAGGAUGGAAAGGCUCGAGAAUGUUUUCGUGUGAACAGCUUCAACGAGUUAAGAUAAAGGCUUGUCAUAAAUUGAGGGAAGUGACAUGGCUUGUAUUUGCUCCGUAUCUUGAGGUUAUUCAAAUAGCCAAAUGUAUGGGGAUAGAAGUAAUAAUCAGUGCAAGGAAAUUGGGUGAAGUUCCAGAGAUGAUGGCAGAUCUAAACCCUUUUGCAAAACUCCAAUAUCUUGGCCCACGAGUUCUACCAAAAUUAAAAAGCAUCUAUUGGAAUCAGUUGCCCUCUCUACAUGUCAGGCGAAUUUUGUGUCUGAAUGCCCAAUUCUCAAGAAGCUUCCACUUGGUUUUAACAAUGCAAAGGAAUCUAAAACUAUCAUUAGGGGAGAAGAACACUGGUUGAAUGAGCUGCAAUGGGAGGACAAAGUGACCCUUAAUGUUCUUCUUCCUUGUUUCGGAUCCAUUUGAAGGCAUCAACAUGGAUUGAUACUUUGCAGUGGAGAAAUUUGAAUAAAACCUAUGGUAAGCGCUUUUCCAUUUAUUGCAUAUUUAUAUCUAACUUUUGUUUUCCUUUGUGGUUAAAUUUUGCUCUAUAUACGUUGUUGUACGGUGACAUUCUCAUAUCAAUUAUUAGCUUUUUAAUUCUCUUCUCACAUUAACUGCCCUUUUGAUCAUGUAGGAUAUGCUGAUGUCAAAGAGUCGUAAUUUGGGAUGCAAAUGUAAGAAUUAGACAGAUGACCAGUUGUUUUGAAGCGCUCGAAGAAGGAUUAAUUACGUCAUUGAAAGGCUCCAAUUUUGUGACUUUUUUUUUUAAUUUGUUGUUUUUUCUAUUUUUAGAUAGCUUGAUUGUCAGUUGUCGUGAUGUAAUGCUUUAGUGUAGAAAAAUGAUAUUCGGCCAAGACAACAUUAGCAGGGCACCUUGUGCAUGCAUACUAGUGGAUAAUUUCGGCAUGCUAAAUCCAAUUAGGGUGGAUGACCCUUUAUAAGCAUUAGGCUUCUCUCAUACCCGAAAACAAUGUAGAAUACGCUUAUAAGCUGCGGAUCACCCAUUAUAAGUUUUAGGCUUCUCCUUUACUCGAGCGAUGUGGAAUACCUUUAUAAGCAUUAAGCUUCUCCCAGUAUCUUUAUGUUAAAAAUAAUAAUAAUAAAAGAAAUCCAUUUUAAAAUAGACUCUUUUUUCUUUUUCUAUAUAAACAAAUGCAUUCUUCAAAUCAAUUGUGGGCAGAAGAAGUUAGUAGAAAAGAACUAGUCCCCUUUCAUUCCCCCUUAAAGCUCACCAAAGCCUCUUUUGUAAGCUUUUCGGAUUUUCUUUCUAUAUUGCUUAUGAUCUCAUUUUUGAUUGAAUCACUUCUUUUGCAUGCUGCAUAUUUUGUUUGUUGUAUUUGGAUAUUAUCGUAUCUGGAAUGCUGUUAUGAUUGAUGGAACAAGUAAUCGAUAUUUGGUCUGAUGGAAGUUGACUUAUUUAUUUAUUGUUAUUUUAAUUUGAAACUAUGUACAAUUGCAUUUCAUUCAUUUCUCUCUCUCCCCCCCCCCCCCCCCCACACACACACACAUAUAUUUGUUAUGUAUAAUUGCGUUUCAUUUGAUAUUGAUCAUGCUGUAGAUAACCAUGUGAUUGUAGAUGGGGAUUUCAAGUUUGUUGAAUAUUCAAGUAAGUGAAGUAACUGUCAAAAUACUAGUGAAAUUGGGAGCUUUAUUCAUGAGCUUGUGGUUUUGAAAAGUACCACAGUUCAACCGAUGAAGGUUCCUUUUUGGGGUUCUUCUUUUUCUAGGCUGCAAUUAGGAUAUGUACAUGUUAGACAAUCUUUUGCGGGUUUAGCAUAUCUUCUCUGAUUUUGUCUUUUAUUCCCCAAUCUUAUAAUUGCACACCAUGAAUGUUGAGUGAUUGUAUAGAAAAUUUGUGUUAUAACCAAAGCGUUGUGAAGGAGUUAAGUUAGUGGCUUCUGUUUUAUUGGCAUUGAUUGGGUAGAUUAUGUGUUACAGUGAUUCAAUUUGUGCUCCAAAGUUUGCUUUAAUUUCUUUUUUCCCUAAUUAUUUAUGUCAAAUUUAAAUCCAGAAGCAUGUACUGAUUUUUUCUUUUUGUAUUAAUCUGUGAAGGUUAUUUGGAAUGGAAGUAUCUGGGUUGGGUCUAACGGAUUAAAUUAUGACAUUGGGGGGAAGGCAGUAAAGGGUUUGCUCGACACAUUUGGUUCUGUGUUUACUUUGCAAGAAAUAGCUUUUGGUUAUCACAAUGCCGGUGGAAUCCCGAUUUGGCUCGUGAAUUUCUUUGUGACAAAUAGGCAAACACAUCAACCUCUUCUAUCCAUCCUUCUACUGGUAAGGCAAGGGGUAAAGAGUCUUCAAAAUCAUCAAAUAGUAACAUCUCUGAGAAUUCAUUUUAUGCAAAUGGAAAAUCUAGACCUUCUAAGACAAAAUGGCGUCCUGUAUCAGGAGGUACCGUUUCAAGUUUUCUUGGUAAAAAUUAUGUUAAACCUGCACAGCCAGCUAAUGGCACAUUUCUAGCAUCAAAGCCAUUGAAGUUGGAUCCAAAGGGGUUUCCCAUGUCUCCACUUUUGCGGAGAAGAUACUAAACUGAAACAAUCAAAGGAUGACCAUUUGCAGAAGGAUAUGGAAGAUUUUCUGUUUAAAUUGCUAGGAGAAGUGUUCCUAUUGUCCUUUUCAAUGUUCUUUCUUUCUUUCUCUUCUUUUCUUCUUCUUCUUCUUUUUUCUUUUUGUGUGCGUGUGAUCACUAAUUUGGUAUUGUAGUUUAGUUGCAGAUAGUUGUGGAUAUGAUAUGCAAAAGGUAAGGACUAUAUCUUCCUGAUGGAGGCCUCUGCUUUUUCCUUUAUGUGUAAUUUAAUAAAUUGCAUCUUCCUUUGUGAUUGUUAUAUCAUAUCAAAGACAAGUCUUAAAUACUGCUGUCAUAUGUUAAGGUUCAACUUGCAGUUUGAUUAACAUUCAUGGCUCAAAGGCCUGAAAAAACUUGCCAGUAAUUGUAAAAUGACAUUCUUUGCUUUUAAUGCAAUAGAGGGAACAGGGAAGUAUAGCUUUGGAAGCCUGGAUUGGUAACUAUAGAGAGACUUAGUAUUUAAUUGAUAAAAAUUCCCAUAACCCAAGGUCAAGAAAAUUUUAGAUCGUUAAAGACUUCAUUUUGUUUCGGCCAGAAAUGUUUGUUUCGAUCGAAGACUUGAACCAUUUCGAUUGAACCUGAUUAUGAUGCUUUACGUUAUGCAUGUUCCUCUUAAUCAAGAAAAGUUGAGGUGAUGAUUUUAUAUUUCUAUAUUGUAAGUUGAAAUAAUAAUUGGUCUGCUUGUUUCUGUAGCUUGAUAACAUGAAUUUUCCUUCUCAAGUUAAUUUAAUCAAUAAAGUAAUUCUUCAAAGAAAAUAUGCCCAUUCUAUAAUCAUUUUCUUAAUUAACAUGUUUUUUUCUUCACACUUCAGAGCAUGUUGAAACUAAUUGAUCGCUCGGCAGAGACUUUGGGUGAGAAGACAAAAUUUCUCGGUAAAUCCUCUGAAAAGGUAUGCAUAAUUCCGCAGUAUUAAAUAACCAAUGGUCAUAAUUUUUGUACAGGACUCUUUUCUUGUGGAGAUAAUUAAAAGUGGCUGAUGAUCCAGUUUGUAUAUCAUAGAGGGAGCAUCAAUUCCUUUUGUUUUCAGUGGCUAGGCAACACUUUCAGGGCAAAGUAAGGAAAUCUAUUUUAGGCAAGUAAAGCCAUGUAGAUGUAAUAGUUAACAUGCACUGACAAUAACUUUGUAUAAUGUCAGUGAACGAUACAAGAGGAAUCUGUUGACAAUCAUCCAAGAUAGAUGCUAAAAUUAUUAUGCAUGCCAGUUGCUUAAUAAUUUUCUUACACUGGUAUUGAAGAGGAAAAUGAAUAUGCAAUUUGUAUAUGUGCCAUGUGAGAAUUUGGAUAUCUAUCUAAGUAACAAGGAGAGUAUUGCCUCAUCUUUAGACAAUGAAUCUUGAGAAUUUGGAUAUUCAUGUAAAUGUUCAUUUGUUUGUAUUUUGAACUAUUAUGAGAAUCUUUUAUAUGCCAAAUUAGUAAUGCAAAUGUUCAGAUUAUUUUUUCUGUUGAUCGUGCAUUUGUGUCUGCACACAACCAUUGUAUAUCACUUCAUUCUGAUGCGCAAGUGUCUGUAGUUUAGAAGAAAAGAAAUAAUAAUGAUAUAUUAUUGCUUGAUUCAUGAUUAUUAAAUGAUUAUGGCUUUAAAAAACCUACAAAUUCCUUUUGUUGAUAUAUGAAUGUACCAAGUUUGCUAUAUCUUAGAUUACCAUUUCCAAGAUAACAAGUUCAAAUUUUUUCUUUAUCCUUUUCCUUCACAGUUGCAUUUUAAGUGUAAGAUUUGUUAUUAAUACCUGGUUUCCCGUCAUUAUGAUUUCAUAAACAGUGUAUGGGUAUGUGCUCUACUUUUGGAGGGCCUCCACGUGAAAGAAAAUUGUAACAAUUGAAUUCUUCCGGAUGGUAUGGUAUUUAAUUUAUUUUCUCAACCUCUUGUAAGACUAAUAUAUUUUCCUUUAGUAGACACGGCAUGGUGGGAAGGGUUUUUUAUUGAAAGAAUUCUGAUAUUUCUUAGACUUUGUUUUGGAAGGGGGUGCAGGGGUUUCUCAUCCAUAUAUGGUUACUUGAUUAGCUUUUGACUGUAUUGCCUCAAUCGUGCAAAGGAAGAUCCAAAUACAAACGAAAGAGAAUUGUUUAGACACCCAGAAGAUGGAAAUGAACUACAGAAGGAAGUUUUUGCUGCUUUAUUUAGUGCUCCUGAGAAAUCUGAUGAAUUUCCUGAAAUUACGGUGAAGACCAAGUGUGAGGUCCAAAGCAUUAGGAAAGGUGGUGAGUGAACUGCCGGAGCAAUUGGUACAGAAUACAAGGCUAAUGUGGUGGACUUGCAGCAAGAUAACCGGAACAGUACGUGCUCUUAUAUUAACUAUAUUGACUGGAUUUGCUAGUGUGUGCAUUUUCGUGUGUAUACUUUUGUAUUUAUGCAUAUUAAUGUGUGUAGGAUUCUUGAUUUCUGCCACUUAUUGGAGAACUAAUGGAAAGCUUUAUACUGGUAUAUCUGCAAUAACUAAUGGAAACUAUGAUAUUAAUAUUUUCUCUCGCUUGGAGAAUGCGUAACAGAUAUACUUUGUGGCUCUGGAAUACUAAAGAUUCUGCAAUAACUAAUGGAAACUAUGAUAUGAAUAUUUUCUCUCACCUGGAGAACUUUGUAACAGUUACACUUUGGGGCUUGGAAUGUCUAAAGAAUUUUGUCUGCUUCAGUUAGAUCAAAUAUCUUUUAGUUACAUACAUUAUAGAAAAGAUAAAGUUCUCUGAAUCUGAAAGACUUAAAAUUUUGCAUAUUUCUUGAUAGGGAAAUAUCUGUAGAUACUAGUUCAUGCAUUGUGGUAGCAUCAGUGUUAAAGAAAAACAGCAGUAAGUUAUUAUAUAGAAUUAGGUUCACUUGCUUUAAAUCCUGGUCUGGUCAACCAUAUGAACCUGUAAGUGGUUCUGUAGAAAUAUAUAUAUACGGGGAGAAAGUAGCUAAAUUUUCCUUUCAUUUAUGGGUUUGGUCAUUUUUUCCCCUUAUUUAUGUUUUCUCACACAUUUUUUAAAUGCCCCAGACAUGCAAUUUUGUAUGUGUCAAUUGCCUUUUAAGUUUUAAAAACCAUAAAGUAAGAAUACAGUUUCUUGUCAGGCUAUUGAUGCAUUUGCUCGGGGGGAUCAUGCUCGAGCAGGAAAACUUCUAGAACAGGUAAGGUUUCCAUCUACAGCCAUUUAUUGACAACAUAUAUAUUUUCAUUCAGCAAGCACUGUUAGCAUUCAAGAUGCUGGCAGAUUCACUUGAUUCUUAUUAGUUUGUUUAGUAGCAAAGCAUAUAACCUGUAUUUUAAAGCUAAGUUGUGCUAUUGAUUAUGUUAACUUUAUUGUUCACAUAAAGUGAUAUUGAGGAAAUAAUCAAUGUAGGAAAAUUAGGUGAAGAGAUGAUGUCAAAUCUUGAACCUCUUACAAAACUCCAAGUUCUUUACUUGAAGAAGCUACCAAAUUCGAACAGCAUCUACUGGAAGGCCUUGCCAUUCCCUGAUGUAUGCAGAAUUUUUGUAUUUAAAUGCCCAGAGCUUAAGAAGCUGCCACUGGAUCUUGAGAGGGCAGGCCAAGGUAAAAUUCUUAUCAAGGGAAAGAAAGAUGGGUGGAAACAACUUCAAUGGGAGGAUCAAGUAACUCAGAAUGCAUUGCUUUCAUUUUAAAAAUCAACCAACAAGUGAUUGAAGGGGGCAUCAUCAACGUAAUCAACAUGGAUGGAGAGAUUCUGGAGCAGAUCAGCGGGGUUUAGUACGACCUGUGGUGGUUUCUUUUUUGUGACUUUUUUGCCUUUCAUUUUUUCACUUCCUGUCAUAUUAUCAUUUCUUUGUCUGUGUUUCUAUUGCUAGUGUUGCUGCAUGCUUGCUGUCCUUGACAAAGUUAGCUAGUUUUUUUUGUUUAUUAAAUUUUGUAUGUUCGGUCGGGACAGUCACAAAGUACUACUUGUUCUAUAUGGGGGUGAUGUGAAUCAACUUUUCAAUUAUAUAUUCUGUGGUAAUUGUGAAUUCAAUUUCAUUUAUCUCCUGCAAAUUAUGAAGAAAGUGCAGAGUUACAAUAUGGAAAAGUUCACUGGCAAAUACUUUGUAAAAGCUUCGGAGUGAAACAGGAAAUGCACUUGCAACUAAGGACAAAUUGGUGGCCGGCUAAUGCAUUCAUUUUAGGGAAAAGGACACAGACCCUCAACGUUUUAAUAAGGGACAUAAAACUCCCUAAUAUUUUAAAAAAAAUACUCAAACCCCCAUUUGUUAAUAGUAAAUUCUAAGUUUAAAGUGUAAUUACCAUUAUACCUUUAUAGCAUAUUAAAAAAUAAUUAUUCAUUAUUCAAUUUAUUCUUAUAUUAUUAAUAAAAUUACGAAUAUAAUUUCAUUAUCUAAUUUUUUCAUUUAAUUUUUGUUAAAUUUUCUCUUCAAACUAAAUAAAUUUAAUCCAUUGCUUAAGAAUAAAAAUAAAUUAAAUUGAUUACUAAUAUAAUAAAAAUAACAUAUAUUUAAUAUAAAAAUAACAUAUAUUAAAUUAAAAUAAAUUUAAUUUAUAUAUAGAGAAUUGUUAUUUUUAAGAAAUUAUCAAUUUAAUUUAUAUAUAAGAAAUUAUAAGAAAUAACAUAUGGAGAAUUGUUAUUUUUAUUAUAUUAAUAAUCAAUUUAAUUUAUUUUUAUUUUUGAGCAAUGGAUUAAAUUUAUUUAGUUUGAAGAGAAAAUUUGAUAAAAAUUAAAUGGAAAAAUUGGGUAAUGAAGUUAUAUUCAUAAUUUUAUUAAUAAUAUAGGAAUAAAUUAGAUAAUGAACAAUUAUUUUUUAAUAUGCUAUAAGGGUAUAAUGGUAAUUGUACUUUAAAAUUAGAAUUUACUGUUAACAAAUAGGGGUCUGAGUGUCUUUUUUGAAACAUUAGGAAAUUUUGUGUCUCUUAUUCAAACGUUGGGGGUUUCUGUGUUAUUUUCCCUUCAUUUUAUGUACAUUCAUCUUUUUAAUUAUUGAAGAUAAGUGGUUCGUUGCUUUUGUUGUAGAUAAAAUUCAGACGACCUCAAUUGUGACAUGACAAUAUUUAAAACAUCUCUUAAAUUAUUAUAAAUUUAAUUUAUCUUAACUUUAUUGAAAAGAUAAAAGAAAAAUGUGGUGUAUGGAUAAAUUUUUUUUUAUCUUCUUAAUCAAAUGGAAUAAAUUAAAAUUUACAAUAAUUUAAAAUAUUUUAAAAAUUAUUAUUUCAUAAGAGAUUAAUAUGAAAUUAAUCGUUUUUACUUUUUUAAUGUGAAAGGACAAGAAAAGAGAAAGCAUGUGUCCCUGCUUUUUAGUUUUUAUUUUAUUUGAAAUCGGAGUUAUCCCAUAUACUUUACUAAUUUAGCUCUAACAUUACAAUGUUUUUAGGCUACACUUUUAUUUUUCUUUUUCCCCCUUUUUUUAUACAUGCAUGUGGAUUACUUUUCUCUAAGCUCCUUAAUAUUUAAGACAAAUCAUAAAAGCAAUUGAAGUAUAACAAGAUGAUCAAAACAUUUAACCAAAAAAAAAGAAAGAAAAAAGAAAGAAAACAUUGAAAAUGGAGAUGUUGAUUAAUUUAGAAGAGAUGCAAGCAAAAGAUAUUCCCAAAAAAAAGAAAAAAAGAAAAAAACAACGUUAGUUCAUCCAUGUCUGUCAAUGCGUUUUUUAUGGUUUUUUUUUUCCAGUUGUUUGUUGUAAUAGAUUGAUUGUAAAUUGAUAUGAAUUUGAUGUUGUAAUAUGUUCGCUUUUGUGGAAUUAAAUUUGAAUAUUCAAGAUUAUUCAAGUCUUAUCUAGUAUGUGUUCAAUUGUGUUGUCGAUAAUUUUGCAUUCGAAUAAUUUUUCACCUAAAAUAUUAGCAUGAGUAGUAGUCCUUGAAAUUUUGGUCAAAAUUAUUGUUAUUGUUUGUUUUAGAGGAAAUUUUUUUAUUAAAGCCUCGUUAACACUAUACCUUAUUAAGAUUAUAAGUUAGUGUCAGUGCAGGAUUUACAGCAACAAAUCUUGUCUAGCCACGUGUCAAAAGUACAAAUAAAUCAAGAGUAAGCACAUGACAUGGAUUAGGAUCCAAUAAGAUUUAAAUCCCAAGGAAAAGGACAAUUGUAUCCUAAAGUUUCAAUAAGAGAUACUGAGAUAUCUUUUGACUAAUGUUAUUUUUUUAGCUUUAUUAAUAAAAAGAUCAAAUAGUUUAUAACAAAUAAAAAUAUAGUAUGAAGCUAAAUGUGAUAAUAUAUACAUUUUACAUAAUUUCAAUAAAAAAAAUUUCAAUAAAAAACAUUUUAAUGUUUUACGAUCUAUUAGACAUAUUUUAUUAAAUUAAUAGGAAUUUUCUGAUAAAUAGCAACAUAAUAUUAAAAUAAAUUUAUAAAGAUUUAAAUGUAAAAUAAUUUUAGUAUAAUUAAUACGUGGGAUAUAUUUUGUAAAUUAUAAAAUUACUUAACCCAAUGAUUUUUAAAAAUCUUUAAAAUAAAUAAAAAUAAAUUAUUCACAUUUUGAUGUAAAUAUUUAAAACAUUUUUAUACAUUAGUCCACAAUUAUUUAUGUUAUAUUUGUAUUUAUUAGAAAUUUUGAAAGUCAAAUGUUUUUCACCUCUAUCUUAUUAGAAUUAUUGCACACAGAGAAAGAGCCAUAUAUGCUUUAUAGCUUUAAAAUCGAUUUGUUUUAUAGCUGGGAACAGAGAUGAUCAUUAUUAUAAGGAUUAAAAAAAAGAUAAAGAAUAUUAAUGAUUAGCGAAAUCUCUAUGGAAAUUGAAUUUAGUAAGAAAAAAUUGAGCUGAUUUUAGCGGUAUAGUAAUAUUUUAUAUAGAGAAAAGUAAAAGCUGCACCCAAGGUUAAGGGAAAUGGUCAAAACUCUUUUUUAAUCAUAAUACUCUUUUUCCUACAUAAUUUAAAAAUUUGACAUUAAUAUUUUAUAAUAAAUAAAAACAUAUAAUCCUAAAAUAAAUAAAAUAAUAUAUAUUUUAAAAUAAUCUCAAUAUUUAAAAUAUAUUUUAACAUUUUAUAGUCUAUCAGAUAUAUUUUAUUUUUUUUAAAGUAAAUUUUAUAAUAAAUACAAAACAUACUAUUAAAAUAGAUAUAAAAAUUUUAAAGUAUUUUGAAUAUUAUAUAAAAUAACUUUAAUAUUGUUAAUGCGUGAGAUGCAUUUUAUUAAUUAAAAAUUCUAUUUAACCCAAAGAUUUAUUUAUAAUAAAUUAAUAAUCAUAUUUUUGAAAUUAUUUUAAAUAUUAAAAAAUAUUUUAAUAUUACUAACUAUUAGAUAGACUAAACUAUUUAUAUUAUUUUCUAUUUAUUAUAAAAUUUCAAAGUUAAUCUUUUUAACUACUAUUCAAAAGAUAUUAUGAUAAAAACAGAAUUUUUCUGUUUUAUUAAAAAUUUAGAGUUUACACCUAUUUUUUCAAAUAUUCGGGGUGUAACUGUUUUAUUUAAAUAAAAUCUCAGUUAAAAAUGUACAGAGAAGAAAUUUCUGUUGGUAUUUUAGUCUUUUACCAAUUAUCACGAUUAGGCCUUGGCCUUGAAACAUUAAUUGUUUCACUUUUAGCGCUAGUGGCGUUGAAAGUUGUCAAGAAAAAGCAAGACCAUAUUCCACAAAAGCAGCUCUUUUAUUAAAGGCAAAGUAUAAAGUAGUCAAGAAUCGAAUAUCCUGUCGUCUACUCUUUUUUAAAUUCUUCUUUUAUUAUCUUUUAGAAUAGUUUUUGGUAAUUACAAUCAUUAUUCAGAGUUAUUGUUAUCUUCUGGGGCAGUCUCUGUUCAUCGAAGUCGUUACCUUUUUUUCAUGGAUCAGUUCCAGUGCCAAGCAGUAAUUUUCUUAGAACUCGGAUCUUUAAUUCGAGUUUCUUUGUGAAUUAAUAAUAAAAAAUUUUCAUUACACGCAAUUUAAGCUACGAAUUACUUUUUGCAAAGUUGAAUAUGAAAUUGGAGAAAUUAAAUAAUUUAGAAUGUUGGUAAAAAUUGACUAACAUAUCCCCAAUUACAGUAAAACCUCUCUACAGUCAUAACAUUAUAACAAAAUUAAUUUUAUUACUAUGUUGAGGUAAUAUAGGUUUAGUUACAAAAUUAUUGUUUUAAUAUGGUUAGUGUCAAGUGAUAUAAAGGUUAAGUAUGCAGUACAUUGAUAAUUAAAUAAUGAAGCGUGUCAAAUCUAACGUAUAUAUAUUAAUGAUAUAGAUAGACAUAGUUUUAAAAAACUAAUUAAUGUAUAUUUAUGUACUGUUAUGAAUAUGGAAAGUCAAGCCUACACUUUACAUUAUCCUUAAUUUUUUCUCUCAGUUAAAUUCUACAAAUAUUGUACAAUGAUUGGGUAAGAACUCUAAAUUAAGAAUAAAUUAUUGUCACAAAUAAUUUUAAAAAAUAUUUUAUUUCAUCUUAAACCUUUAAUGUAAGUAAAUAUAUAUAUAUGUGUGUGUGUGUGUGCAUAUUUUGCAAGGUAUAGAUAAUUGUUAGUAUAUGGAGACAAGUCUUUUAAGGUAGGACCUAGGAAAAUUUAUAACUUACUACAUUGGGGAGUUUUUAUUCCUUUUUAUAAUUGGCUCAUAUUGAUACAUUCUUACACAAAAUAUUACCAUUGACAUAUUUUACUACAAUUGGUUUAGAACAUUUGUUAGGAAAAAAAAAAGAAAAGAAAACAUUCAUUGGAUGUAGCUCUCCCUCGUAUGCUUUUUUCUCCAAAUAUUCCUGCGUCCACAGAAACAAGUCAGAGCACGCCGGUUGUUUUCCCGGCGUAAACCCUCUGACGCUCAAGUCAGAUAUGAAGGCUCUGGGAAUGCUUGCCACAGAUCUUAUGGUUUUUCUGUAGUUUCUAUUCUUUAGAGUUUCAUUUAUCUCUGAAUAUAAUCUCAAAAAUGCUAACCCUUUUACCUUCCUUGGCUACCUUUUUAUAGGCUUCCUCUGAAUCCCGGUCUUCCGUAGUCCACGCCCGUUAUUCUCCCCACCCUCGGAUGUGGAUGCCCCAUUAUCGCCAUUGUGGGCGAAUGGAGAUGGACUUCGUGCCUUGAUUCUCGGAUAGGAAUGCACGUCUUGCCAACUGUCGUUGACUGGGUCUCCUCGCCUCUCGACCUCUAGCCGGAAUGGCCUUAUGCCUCUAACAAGAGUUCGACCUCGUGAAUGGCAUACUCGCGGACGAGCCGAAUAUUUCUGCUCAUGUUCCCCUGCUACCUGGCUCUUACAGGACAUACCUGUUCGCAGAACUCCGCCAUCAAAUAUCUGCUCAUCACGUCUGGUCUCGUUGAAGUAUUUCCCUCAAACAACAUAUUUUACUACAAUUAGUUUAGAACAUUUGUUAGGAAAAAAAAAGAAAAGAAAACAUUCCUUGGAUGUAGCUCUCCUGACUAUUUAAAUCUUUUAAGGAAAAAAAGAAAAAAGAAAAACUGACACAUUCAAAUCUUGAAGCAAUUACAUUAAAACCUCUCCAUAAUGAUAGGAAUAAUCUCCAUUUAGUAAUAAAAAAUUUUGUUCGCAAUCUAGGCAGAGUUAUAAAUAAGAAUAAAAUCCUCAUUGUAAUAAGUUGUAUUUAUUAUGGAUCCCAUCCUAAGGAACUUGUCUCUAUAUAGUAAUAAUUAUUUGCAUAUUAUAAAUAUAUAUGUUGCAUUAGAUUAAAUGAACUUGUCUCCACAUACUACUUAGACAAUGAGAGAAAGUUAUUAAAGAGAACACAAAUAUUUAGAGAUUUUUAAGAUUACUUUGCAUGUUUAUAACAAUAAUACAUUGAUAUAUGUAUUAGUUUUUUGAUAUAUUAGAUUUGACAUGCUCUAUUAAUAAAUUAUUAAUACGAUGCAAACUUCAUCUCUCUAUCCUUGCAAUAAAAGUAACUAAGUUAUAACAAUAAUUAUUAAUAAAUUAUUAAUACGAUGCGUACUUCAUCUCUAUAUCCUUGCAAUAAAAGUAACUAAGUUAUAACGAUAAUUUUUGUAACUACAUGCUUAUUAGGUUUUAACUACUUCAUAAUAAUAAAUUAAUUUCGUCCUAAUAUUAUAAUUAUGUAGAGUUGUAGUGUAUAGACACACCCAAUUUAAAUAGUAAAUCAAAUAAAAUUGUCCCCACAAAAAAGAAAAAAGGGGUAAAGGAUUGUUAUUUCUUCAAACAUUAGGAGCACGUUUGUUCAAGUGCGAUGCCUUUCUUUUGAAGGCAACGUCAGUGGGUACCCAAUAGGACGUGUGUAAAUCUUUCCAAAAUUUCUCCGGUAUAACGGACAGAGAUCAUUACUUUUCUCUUCCAUAGACCACAGCAGCUUCAGUUAAUCAGACUCAAUCAAUUUUCUUGGUUUCUUCGCUUAUCAAAAUUCCAAAAUAUGGGUAGCAUAUUUCAAAUCACAUGCGAUGGUGCUUUUUUCAAUCGUUGCUUGGAUUGCUUUCUUGGAAAAGUAGCAAACACAAGUAAGCUCCAAGAUAACCUUGUUGCCUUGGAGACUGAAUUGGGAAAACUAAUCGUAGCAAAGAACGAUGUGAUGAUGAGGAUUGUCAAUGCUGAACGGCAACAACUGAGAACGCUGGACCAAGUGCAAGUGUGGCUUUCGAGGGUGGAAGCUGUUAAAACUGAAGCUGAUGAAUUGAUAAGACACGGCUCUCAAGAAAUUGACAAAUUAUGUGUUGGAGGCUACUGUUCCAAGCACUGCGCGUCAAGCUACAAGUUCGGGAAACAAGUGGCUAAAAAGCUACGGGAUGUGCAGACUUUAAUCGGCGAAGGAGUUUUUGCGGCGGUGGCUACUGAGGUGGUGCCUGAGAGAGCUCCAGAACCUGUAGCAGAUGAAAGACCCACUGUGCCAACAAUAGUAGGCUUGCAAUCACAACUUGAACAAGUUUGGAGAUGUCUUGUAGAAGAAUCAGUGGGAAUCAUUGGCCUAUAUGGUAUGGGCGGUGUUGGUAAAACUACACUAUUGACCCAUAUCAACAAUAAAUUUCUUGAGAGUCGAACCAGUUUUGAUUGUGUGAUUUGGGCCGUAGUUUCAAAGGACUUGCAACUCGAAAAAAUUCAAGAAGAUAUUGGGAAAAAGAUCGGUUUGGUUGAUGAUUCAUGGAAGAGUAAAAGUGUAGAGGAGAAAGCUCUCGACAUCUUCCGGAGUUUAAGAGAGAAGAGAAUUGUAUUGUUGUUAGAUGAUAUAUGGGAGCGGGUUGAUUUAACAAAAGUGGGCAUUCCACUUUCGGGACCAAAGAAUACUACCUCAAAAGUCGUAUUCACAACCCGUUUCAUCGAUGUUUGUGGUAGCAUGGAAGCUGACAAGAAGUUCCAAGUGGCAUGCUUAUCAGAAGAGCAUGCUUGGGAACUGUUUCGAAAAAAAGUUGGGGAAGAAACUCUUGAGAGUGAUCAUGAUAUCGUUGAGCUAGCCCAAACUGUGGCCAAAGAGUGUGGUGGUUUGCCACUCGCACUUAUUACUAUUGGUCGAGCUAUGGCCUGCAAAAGGACAGCCGAGGAGUGGAGACACGCAGUUGAAGUGCUAAGAAGAUCAGCUUCUGAGUUUGCAGGUUUGGGAAAAGAGGUGUAUCCUCUUUUAAAGUUUAGCUAUGAUAGUUUGCAGAAUGAGACGAUUAAAUCUUGUUUCUUAUAUUGUUGUUUAUAUCCCGAGGAUUAUGGCAUUCUUAAAUGGGACUUGAUUGAUUGUUGGAUUGGUGAGGGAUUCUUAGAGGAAUCUGACAGGUUUGGUGCAGAAAACCAAGGAUACUACAUUGUGGGCACUCUUGUUCAUGCGUGUUUACUAGAAGAGAUAGAAGAUGAUAAAGUAAAAAUGCAUGACGUUGUUCGUGAUAUGGCUUUAUGGAUAGCUUGUGAAAUUGAGAAGGAGAAGAGAAACUUUUUGGUUUGUGCAGGUGCUGGAGUAGGAGCGGUACCAGAUGUUGAAGGAUGGGAAAAUGUGAGAAGAUUGUCAUUGAUGCAAAACCAAAUUGAAAUUCUGUCAGAGGUUCCCACAUGCCCUCAUCUCCUCACUUUAUUUCUUGACUUUAAUUAUAAAUUGGAGAUGAUCACUGAUGGCUUCUUCCAAUGUAUGCCUUCUCUCAAAGUUUUGAAGAUGUCAAACUGUGGGCAUGUCAAAGUUUUGAAAUUACCUUUUGGGAUGUCAAAGUUGGGUUCACUACAACUUCUUGAUAUUUCACAUACCGGCAUAAGAGAGUUACCAGAAGAGUUAAAGUUGUUGGUAAAUCUGAAAUGUUUGAAUUUGAGGUGGACACAUAUGUUAAAUAAAAUUCCACGGCAGCUAAUAUCAAAUUCUUCAUGGUUACGUGUGUUGAGAAUGUUCGCUAUUGGCUUUGAAAAUUCUAAAGAACCAUCAGAAGACAGCGUUUUAAUUGGUGGGGGUGAAGUUUUAGUACAGGAAUUGCUCGGUUUGAAAUAUUUAGAGGUAUUGGAGUUGACCUUGCGAAGUUAUCAUGCUCUCCAUUCUUUUUUGAGCUCAAAUAAGUUAAAAAGUUGUAUUCGAUCUCUUUUCCUCAAUAAGCUGGGAGAUACAAAGUCGAUUGAUGCUACGGCUUUGGCAGAUCUAAAGCAUCUCAAUGAAUUAUAUAUUCUUUUUUUUNNNNNNNNNNNNNNNNNNNNNNNNNNNNNNNNNNNNNNNNNNNNNNNNNNNNNNNNNNNNNNNNNNNNNNNNNNNNNNNNNNNNNNNNNNNNNNNNNNNNNNNNNNNNNNNNNNNNNNNNNNNNNNNNNNNNNNNNNNNNNNNNNNNUCUUUCGCUAUACGGUUGUAAUGCUGUGGAAGAAAUAAUCAGCGUUGGGAAAUUUGCUGAGGUUCCUGAGAUGAUGGGACAUAUAAGCCCUUUUCAGAAUCUCCAAAAGCUUGAUUUAUCACAUUUGCCAGCUUUGAAGAGCAUCUACUGGAAGCCAUUGCCUUUCGCUCAUCUGAAAGAAAUGGUGGUGCAUUGGUGUGAUCGGCUUAAAAAGCUUCCGCUCGAUUCCAACAGUGCAAAAGAGCGUAAAUUUGUUAUUCGUGGAAGAGCAGACUGGUGGAACCGUCUUCAAUGGGAGGAUGAAGCCACUCAAAUUGCUUUCCAUUCCUGUUUCCACCUAAUGAAAUAUAAAUUCCUUAGCGGUGGUUGCAAAAUUUGAUUUCUAGUGAGUGCUUUUUUCUUAAACUCUUACAUUUAUUUCAGAUUCGUUUUUUGUCUCCUGCAAAUCACAAUUAAAUGCUGAAUUAUAUGGAGUCAAUGCUUUAGAAAAUUUUCAAGGCACUGCCAUUUCCUUUUUUCCAUUUUUUUUUGGGUCGAAUUGAUGCUCUGGCUUUUUACUUUUUGUUGUCAAAUUUUGCUCUGUUUUUUCAAGUUGAUGCUUGAAUAGUUGAAUUCAAUUAAUGCUCACAUAAAUUUGUUUAGUUGCCGUAAAAGGAUAUAAUUAGACUGAAGUACACACUUCUAGAAUGAAUACAAAAUGUUAAGUAUACUAGCCCUCUUUACAGAAAAUCAAAUGAAAAUCAAUUUUUUGGGGCUUUGAUUUUCUAUGGUCUAUUAUAUACUCUUUUUAAUAUCUUCUGUUCUAACUAUAACCAAAUCCUUUGUUCAAGGAUUUUUAUUUGGGGUAUUGAUAACUAUCCACCAAAAGAGUGAACACUUGGAUGCUGCUCAAGGAUCUCUAAUCAAUAGCUGGAAGCAACUGAGAAGGCGGUCGCUGCUGUUUACAAAGUGAUGCAGUAUUUGCCAUUCAUCUUAAUAAUUAUGAAGCUUUGGUAAAAUUUUCAAACAAAAUUGAACAUGUUGUUUGAGAUUUGGUUCAUGAUUUUGGAUGAAUAUCGUUGUUCCGUUUGAGUUGGAUGUGAAUUCAAAAUCUAUAUAUUCUUUGGUUUUCAAGUCUGAACUCAAUUUCUUUUUCUCAAGCAUGUUAUGCAGAAAUGAUUUUUACUAAAUCAUUUUUGAUGAAUUGUUUAAAUUAAACACUUGGAAUAAGAAUUGUAAACGUUUAUCAUAAGCAUGCUAAUAUGAUAAAUUGUUUUAUGAACGACUAAUUAAUUAAUCAAUUAAUAUUAAAUUAUAUAUUAAUCAAUUAGAUAUGCGUUACAUGUCAUGUUUAAAAACUAUUUAUUUAUAUUUCAAACAAAUUUGACUGGAUGUUGUGUAGGUAAUACUACAUAAUUUCAAAACAAAAAAAAGUAAUAAAAACACGUUAAAUUUUGUUUUUAUGAAGAAAAAUUUAAAAUUUUAUUAAAUAGGUGAAAAUAAUAAAUGGAUUCGUGUAUGGUUUGAGAUUCUUGACAUAAUUAUGAAAUAAGCCGGAUUCGACUUAGUUCAAUUUUGACGCGAUAAGAAGACGACACCACACAAACACACGACAAGAACCGUUACCUGAGAAGAUUGCCAUCAGGAAUUUUGAAAUUGAUUUCACUACAAUAUCUUAAUCUUUCAGAUACUCCCAUCACUGAGCUGCCAUAAGAGCUAAAAGCCUUGGUAAAUCUUAAGUGUUUGAACUGUACACAAAUUAUCUCUCUACAAUUCAAAAACAACUGAUUUGUUACUUUUCAAUGCUACAUGUUCUGCGAAUAUUGAGUUGUGGUUAUCUUGUUGAAAUAUCAGAAAAUAGAGUUCUAUUUGGUGGUAGUGAAUUGUUGGUUGGGGAGUUACCUAGUUUAAAACGUUUAAAUGUAUUAAGCAUCACCUUACAAGGUUUUUCUGCUGUCCAAAAACUUAUGAGCUCUCAAAAGUUUCAAAGCUGUACAAAAUGUUUGGAGCUUAUAGACUGUGAUGAUUCAAAGUCUUUUGCCUUGGCAGAGUUGAAGCAUCUCGAGAAACUAGUUUUUCGAAUUGUGGAAGAGUUUAAGUUCUGCUGUGUUGAAGUUGGAAAAGCUCAAGAAUGUUUUCGUUUGAACAGCUUUCCCCGAGGUAAUAUAAAGGCUUGUCAUAAAUUGAGGGACGUGACAUGGCUUGUAUUUGCUCCAAAUCUUACGGUUAUUCAAUAGAAAAAUAUAUGCAGAUGGAAGUAAUAAUCAGUGCAAGGAAAUUGGGUGAAGUUCCAGGGAUGAUGGCAGAUCUAAACCCUUUUGCAAAACUCCAGUAUCUUCGUCUGCGAGUUCUACCAAAAUUAAAAAGCGUCUAUUGGAAUGAGUCACCCUUUCCACAUGUCAGGGAAAUUAUUGUAUCUGAAUGCCCAAUUCUCAAGAAGCUUUCACUCGGUUUUAACAAUGCAAAGGAAUCUAAAAUUGUCAUUUAUUACAUGUUUAUAUCUAACUUUUGUUUUCCUUUAUGGUUAAAUUUUACUUUAUAUAUGUUGUUAUACGGUGACAUUCUCGCAUCAAUUGUUAGCUUUUUAAUUCUCUUCUCCCAUUAAUUGCCCUUCUGAUCAUGUAAGAUAUGCCGAUGUCAAAGAGUAGUAAGUUGGGAUACAAAUGUAAGAAUUAACCAGAUGACAUGUUGUUUUGAAGCUCUCGGAGAAGGACUAAUUAUGUCAUUCAAAGCAUCCAAUUUCGCUACUUUUUUUUUCAUUUGUUGCUUUUUCUAUUUUUAGAGAGCUUGAUUGUCAGUUGUCGUAAUGUAAUGUUUUAGUGUAGAAAAAUGAUAUUCGGCCAAGACAUCAAUAGGAGGGCACAUUGUGCAUGCACACUAGUGGAUGAUUUCGGCAUGCCGAAUCCAAUUAGUGUGGAUAACCCUUUAUAAGCAAUUGGCUUCUCUCAUACCAGAGCAAUGUAGAAUAUAUUUAUAAACUGUGGAUUACUCUUUAUUAGGCUUCUUCUAUACUCGAGCAAUGUGGAAUACCUUUAUAAGCAAUAAGCUUCUCCCCUACACUUUAUGUUAAUAAUAAUAAUAAUAAAAUAAAUCCAUUUUAAAAUAGACUUUUUUUUUCUUUUUCUAUAUAAACAAAAUGCAUUCUUCAAAUCAAUAGUGGGUGGAAGAAGUGAGUAGAGAAGAACUAGUCCCCUUUCAUUCCCCUAAAACCUCACCGAAACCUCUCUUGUGAACUUCUCAGAUUCUCUCUCAAUAUUUCUUAUGAUCUCGUUUUUGAUAGAAUCACUUCUUUUGCAUGUUGCAUUUGGUGUGUCUUUUUUGGGUAAUAUCUUAUCUGGAAUGCUGUCAUGAUCAAUAGAACAAGUAAUCAAUUUUUGGCUUGACGGAAGUCGAUUUAUUUAUUUACUAUUAUUUUUAUUUGAAAUUUUGUACAAUUGUGUUUCAUUCAUUUCUUUCCUUUUUUUUUAAUAUUUAUUAUGUAUAAUUGUGUUUCAUUUGAUAUUGAUCAUACUCUAGAUAACUAUGUGAUUGUAGCUGGGGAUUUUAAGUUUUGUGAAUUCAAGAAACUGUCAAAAUGCUAGUGAAAUUGGGACCUUUAUUCAUAAGCUUGUGGUUUUGAAAAGUAGCCCGGUUCAACUGAUGAAGUUCCUUUUUGGGAUUCUUUUUUUUCCUAGGCUGCAAUUCGGAUAUGUACCUGAUAGACAAUCUUUUGUGGGUUUAGCAUAUCUUCUCGGAUUUUGUCUUUUAUUCCUCGAUUUUAUAAUUACACACCAUGAAUGUUGAGUGAUUGUAUAGAAAAUUUGUGUUAUAACCAAAGCAUUGUGAAGGAGUUAAGUUAGUGGCUUCUGUUUUAUUGGCAUUGAUUGGGUAGAUUACGUGUUACAGUGAUUCAAUUUGUGAUCCAAACUUUGUUUAAAUUUCUGUUUUCCCAAAUUAUUUAUGUCAAAUUCAAAACCAGAAGCAUGUGCUGAUUUUUUCUUUUUGUAUUAAUCUGUGAAGUUUAUUUGGAAAGGAAGUAUCUGGGUCUAAUGGAUUAAAUUAUGUAAGUGGCAGAAAUUCCUACACACAUAAAUAUGCAUAAAUACAAAAGUAUACACAAAAAAAUGCACACACUCAUACAUCCAGUCAAUAUAGUUAAUGUAAGAGCACAUACCGGUUUGGUUAUCUUGCUGCAAGUGCACCGCAUUAGCCUUGCAUUCUGGUGCCAACUCCUCCGGCGGUUCACUCACUACCUUUCCCAAUGCUUUGGACCUCCAUUCGGUCUCCAUCAGAUUUCUCAGGAGCACUAAAUAAAGCAGCUAAAACUUGCUUCUGUAGUUCAUUUCUGUCUUUCGGGUGUCUAGGCAAUUUUCCUUCGUCGGUAUUUCGAUCUUCCUUUACAUGACUGAGGAAAUACAGUCAAAAGCUAAUCAAGUAACCAUAUAUGGAUGAGAAAUCCCUCCACCCCCCUUCCAAAACAAAUUCUAAGAAAUAUCAGAAUUCUUUCAAUAAAAACCCUUCCCCCCAUGCUGUGCCUGCUGAAUGAAAUAUAUUAAUCUUACGAGAAGUUGAGAAAAUAAAUUAAAGAACAUACCCUCCGGAAGAAUUCAAUUGUUGCAAUUUUCUUUCACGUGGAGGUCCUCCAAAGUUAGAGCACAUAUCCGUACACUGUUUAUGAAAUCAUAAUAACAGGGGACCAGAUAUUAAUAACAAAUCUUGACACCUAAAAGUCAACUGUGAUGAAAAACAUUAAAAAGAAUAUGAACUUGUUAUCUUGGAAGAAGAUAAUUUAAGAUAUAGCAAACUUGGCACAUUCAUAUAUGAACAGAAGGAAUUUGUAGACGUUUUAAAGCCAUAAUCGUUUAAUAAUCAUGAACCAAGCAAUAAUAGAUGAUUAUUAUGUUGGGUGCAAGCGGAAGUGCAGAAAAAUUUUUAUUUAAGAUCAGAGUAUUUUGCUGGAAAUUUCUGAAACUUUAUUGCUUAAUUCAUUUUUUCGUUUCUCUCUUACUUUUCAUACAACCAGAGUUCUAUAUUUAUAUGCAUUAUAGACAACUCUAGAGAUUACAUUAAUCAUGCUUUACAUUUCCAAAGCCACAUUGCAAACAUCAAUUCUACCCUUUACUUCACGUUGAAAAACAAACCAAAUAAUCCUUCAAACUUCUUGCUCAAUUUACUAGAUUACUAAUUAUAUCUCAACACCCCCUCUUAAUUAGUAAUCUUCAAUUGCUUCUUGAAUUUUUCAAACUUCUCAAUAAUGAUUGCUUUGGUCAGAAAAUCUGCUGGCUGCUCAUUAGUGCUGAUAAACUCCAUAUUAACUUCUCCUUUGCUUACUAAGUCACGGAUGUAGUGAUAACGCAGCUCAAUGUGCUUAGAUUUAGCAUGAAAUACGAGGUUCUUUGUUAGAGCAAUGGCUGACAUGUUGUCACAAUAAAUUGUUGUUGCAGCAUCUUGAUUGAACUGCAAAUCCUUGAGAAUUCUUCUAAGCCAAACGGCUUCACAAGCUGAUUCAGUUGCUGCAAUGUACUCUGCCUCGGCUGAGGAUAAAGCUACUGACUUCUGCUUCCUUGAGCUCCAUGAAAUCACAUUUGUACCAAGACAAAAUAAAUAACCUGAUGUGCUUUUUCUGUCAUCAAGGGAACCAGCCCAGUCACUGUCAGUAAAACCAACAAGCUUGCAAUUGUCUUCUUUUUCAUACAUGAUCCCCUGCUUUUUUGUUCCUUGAAGAUACCUUAAGAUUCUCUUUGCUGCAAUAUAAUGGGACUUCCUUGGAUCAUUCAUAAAUCUAGAAAGAACACUAACUGAGUGCAAAAUGUCAGGUCUUGAGUUGGUUAGAUAAAUCAACGAACCAACCAAGCUUCUAUAGAUUCUUGCGUCAGCCUUUUCUUCUUUUUCAUCAUGUUUCAAUUUUUCAUUCAAACCCAUAGGAGUAGGUGCUGGUUUGCAUUUGAACAUGUGGAAUUUCUUCAACAAAUCUUCUACGUAUUUUUCUUGACAAAAGAAGAUUUUUCCUCUGGCUUGCUUCACUUGAAUGCCAAGAAAAUACUUCAUUAAGCCCAAGUCAGUCAUCUCAAAUUCAUCUAGCAUGCUUUUUUUAAACUCUUCCACCAUUUUCAGAUUAGUGCCACAAUAAAUUAGAUCAUCAACAUAAAGGCAAACAAUAAGGAAAUCAGUACCUUCCUUUUUGACAUAAAGAGAAGGUUCACUUGAGCUUCUGUCAAAUCCAUUUUUAACGAAAUAUCUAUCAAUUCUGCUAUUCCACGCUCGAGGGGCUUGCUUCAAGCCAUACAAGGCUUUUCGGAGUUGAUAAACUUUGUUUUCUUCACCUUUCACUUCAUAUCCUUUAGGUUGCUCAACAUAAACCUCUUCUUCAAUUUCACCAUUUAGAAAUGCCGAUUUUACAUCUAGUUGAAACACAUGUAAUUCCAUUUGGGCUGCCAAGGCAAGAACAGUUCGAAUAGUCUCCAUUCGAGCUACGGGAGCAAACGUUUCUGUAAAAUCAACUCCAGGCAGCUGAGAGUAUCCUUUGGCAACGAGCCGCGCCUUAUAUUUUUUAACUGAACCAUCUUCAUUGUACUUGAUUUUGAAGAUCCAUUUCAGCCCAAUUGUUUCUUUUCCAUUUGGCAAAUUAACCAUCUCCCAAGUUUUAUUUUUCACAAUGGUGGCCAUUUCCUCGUUCAUUGCUUGGAUCCAAUUUUCAUUUCUUGAGGCCUCCUCAAAGUCUUGAGGCUCACAAGAAAAUAAAGCAAGUUCACAUGACUCAUAAAUUUCUCUCAUUGACUUUAUCUUCCUUGGAGGGCUUUCAUCAUCCGAAGAACUUUCUGCUGCUGAAUUUGGAGAAUUUGGUUCCAAAUUAUUUUGCUGUGAAGAAUUUGGUGGAGAUACAGGAGCUUCGAAAAAGCUAGAUGCUUGAGAUUGAUCUUUUUCCCACUGCCAAGCUGAUGCCUCAUCAAAUACAACAUCUCUUGAGAUAACAAGCUUAUUUGUUGUAGGAUUCAACAACCGAUACCCUUUAGACUCAUCACUAUAGCCAAUAAACAAAUAUUUUUCACCUUUUUCAUCAAACUUCUCUCUGUUUUGAGCUAGAAUAAGAGCAUAAGCAAUACUCCCAAAAAUCUUCAAGUGAUCAACAGUUGGCUUUCGGUUGUGCCAAGCUUCAAAUGGAGUUUUGUCUCUAACAGCUUUUGUAGGAGACCUGUUGAGGAUGUACACAGCUGUAUGACAUGCUUCUGCCCAUAAGUUGUUAGGAAUGCCUUUGCCUUUUAACAUGCUUCUUGCCAUCUCUACAAUGGUACGGUUCUUCCGUUCUGCAACUCCGUUUUGUUGUGGACUUCGGCUGACAGUAAGUUGUCUUUGAAUUCCAUUAUCCCUGCAAUAAUUCAUGAAUGGAGUGUAGAUAAAUUCACCACCACGAUCAGUUCUCAAGGUCUUCAUUUUGCAUCCACUUUGCCUUUCUGCAAGAGCUUUAAACUGAAGAAAAGUUGAGAAAGCUUCUGAUUUUUCAUUCAAAAAAUAAAUCCACAUCAUCCUUGUAUAGUCAUCAACAAAAAGAAUGAAAUAUCUCCUGUUAUUGAGAGAGAGAGUCCUUGUAGGACCACAAAUAUCAGCAUGCACCAACUCCAACGGAGCUUUGGCUCUCCAUGAAUUUUUAGGAAAUGGAAGUCUAUGCAUUUUUCCAUAUAUACAGCCCUCGCAAACUUUUUCAUAUCUUCCAACAUCAGGUAAGCCAAUCACCAUGUUCUUUUGCUUGAGCAAAUUCAGCCCUUUAUAGUUUAAAUGACCAUAUCUGAGAUGCCAUAAAUUUGACAAAUCUGAAUUUUCAGUUUUGAGAGCAACAUUCUCAUCAAGUGGCAUAACAAGAGGAAAAACUUUGUUCUUUGACAUUUCAACAACGGCCACUGUAUGAUUAUUAGUUUUAUCAAUGAUUUUGCAUUUUUCAUCAUCAAAAUAAAUUGAAAAACCCUUUUGAAUUAGCUGCCCCACACUCAAGAGGUUUUGAGUUAAAUUUGGAACAUAAAGAACGUCAUAAAUGAGCUUUUUGUUACCUCCCUUUGUAUGGACAGCAAUAGUGCCUUUUCCCACAGCUUUCUGCAUCUUUCCAUCUCCAAGCUUCACUUGCGAAUUAAAACUUUGGUCAAGGUUGAUGAAAAUGUCACGUUCUCCAGUCAUGUGGUUGCUACAACCGCUAUCCAAGUACCACAAAUUAUAUGAUUCACGUUCAGCACCUUUACUUGAAUAAAACAAGUAAUCUCCAUCACAUUCUUUUGUAAAAUUUGCCUCAUUUUUGCCUUUCUUAUUUUGAUACCAGCAAUCCCUUUGAGAAUGGUUAGGAAUGCGACACCUUGUGCAUUUAUAACGACAAUCUUUUGAUUCAUGAUUAGACCGAUUACAAAUGAUGCACUGAGAAUCUGAAUUUUGCUGUGAAUUCCCUCUGUCAUUUUUCCACUUGUUGCGGUUGUCGUUCUGUUCUCUUUGCCCUAUGCCACGCUGCUCGUUUCUUUGAGACGAGCCUCCGUUCUUCUGGUCUUUCUUGCUGCUUUUAUUCUGAUCUGAAUUAUUAAUCUUUGACUGAAAAGCUUGCUCUGUAGGCUGACUUGAAGGUCGAUUGAUUCUUUGCUCAUGAGACCGUAAUGAUCCUGACAAAUCUGAAAAAGUCAUCUUGGACAAAUCCUUUGAUUCUUCAAUGGCUGCUGCUACAUGAUCAAACUUUGGAGGAAGACAUCUCAGCACCUUUUCAUUCACCUUCUUGUCUUCAAUGGAGUCCCCACAACCUUUAAUCUGGUUCACAAUCUCAGUAACUCUACUGCAAAAAUCCUGAAUUCCUUCUCUGUCUUUCAUUGAUAAAUUAUCGAACUCUUUCCACAAAGUCUGUAACUUGAUGGUGACUGCCUUUUCAGAACCUUGAAAUUCUUGUUUUAGGAUUUUCCAAGCAUUUUUGGCCUUUUUGACACCAAAUAUUCUGGGGAAAAUUGACUUACUAACACCUUGCUGGAUAUAUCGAAGUGUCGUGGCAUUUCUCUGUAUGUUUUCUUUGUACUGCUGUUGAUGUGCUGGAGUCCAAUCUGAAGAACUUGCAGAUUCUGGUGGUUCAGCAUAUCCAUCUUCAACAACAUCCCAUAAAUUUUGAGAGAGGAAAAAGGUUUCCAUUUGAUUACUCCAAUAUUCAUAAUGUACCCCUUCAAAUAUUGGAACUUGACUGGGAGCAUAUGAGAAUAAUGUGGGUAGGGUAUUUGAUGUCAUUUUGAGGGUGUUUUGGAAAAGCUCUGAUACCAAAUUUGUUGGGUGCAAGCGGAAGUGCAGAAAAAUUUUUAUUUAAGAACAGAGUAUUUUGCUGGAAAUUUCUGAAACUUUAUUGCUUAAUUCAUUUUUUCGUUUCUCUCUUACUUUUCAUACAACCAGAGUUCUAUAUUUAUAUGCAUUAUAGACAACUCUAGAGAUUACAUUAAUCAUGCUUUACAUUUCCAAAGCCACAUUGCAAACAUCAAUUCUACCCUUUACUUUACGUUGAAAAACAAACCAAAUAACCCUUCAAACUUCUUGCUCAAUUUACUAGAUUACUAAUUAUAUCUCAACAUAUUAUUCCGUUUCUUCUAAGCUACGCAUACUUGCACAUCAGAAUAAAGUGAUAUACAAUGGUUGUGUGCAGACACAAACGCAUGAUCAACAGGAAAAAUCAUCUGAACAUUUGUAUUACUGAUUUGGCAUAUAAGAUUCUCAUAAUAGUUCAAAAUACAAAUAAAUGAAUAUAUAUAUAUUCCCCACCGGAAUCACCCCCUGGAUCCUCACUCAAGGUGUCUUCCGAGCCAGAAGAUCCCUCCUCACCACUAUUUCCGCUCGUGGAGGUUGUUUGGGGGGACAUCCUCCUAGCGCUAGUCCCAACACUAGACCUAAUGGGUUCUAAGGGGAUCCCGGGGUCAAAAGCAGGAUCGGUGAGCAGACUAGACAAGAAACCUAAUUCGUCGUCAUCAAUCUCAACGAUUUUCUCUUUACCCUUCGACAUUCCCUAAACUAUAAUCAGAACACCACCACCAACUACAACCCCAAGCAAAGCACAGAGAAAAGAAAUUAUCUACAACUAACCAAGACCGAGAAAAUAGAAGAAAUACCUGAAGCAGGGAUUCGAUCAGAGAGAGAUAGGGAUGAAAGCUUUAAUGCCGAGGUUCAUUCGCCGGAGAGACAAGAAGGGAGAAAAUGACGAGUUCGUGUUUGAGGAUUUUGGGUUUUCUUACUGAGAAGCAAACUCUUGGGCUGCCAGCAUUUAAUGACACAUAUUCCGAGAAUCUUGCAACCGUAGGUUUGAAAUUCAAAUGGAGGGGUGGAUUUCUGCCACAUCACUUCAUCUGCAAUUAAAUGCGACACGACUCUUGGCAGUCUUUUCCAGUCCCACGCGAGCAAGAACCGAUUGAGUUUCUACUGCUGGUCCAUUACAUUACCCAACACCAGAAACUGGGGGACUGGUGUUUGAGGGAAAUACUUCGACGAGACCAGACGUGAUGAGCAGAUAUUUGAUGGCAGAGUUCUGCAAACAGGUGUGUCUUGUAAGAGCCAGGUAGCAGGGGAACAGGAGUAGGAAUAUUCUGCUCGUCCACGAAUAUGCCAUUCACGAGGUCAAACUCCUGUUAGAGGCAUAAGGCCAUUCCUGCUAGAGGUCGAGAAGCGAGGAGACCCGGUCAACGACAGUUGGCAAGACGUGCAUUCCUAUCCGAGAAUCAAGGCACAAAGUCCAUCUCCAUUCGCCCACAAUGGCGAUAAUGGGGCAUCCAUAUCCCGGGGGGGGGAGAAUAAGGGGCGUGGACUACGGAAGAUCGGGAUUCAGAGGAAGCUUAUAAAAAGGUAGCCAACGAAGGUAAAAGGGUUAGAAUUUUUGAGAUUGCAACUAAGAAAAGAGAGCUCUAAGAACUGAAACUAAAGAGAAGCCAUAAGAUUCGUGGCAAACAUUCCCAGAACCUUCAUAUCUGACUUGAGCGUCGGAGGAUUUACGCCGGGAAAACGACCGGCGCACCCUGACCUGCUUUUGUGUUCGCAUGAAUUUUUGGGGAAGAAACCUUACGAGGAGAGAUCCUGGUCAUGGUAGAGUUGGUCGAGCAGAGGUCCUGGUCUUGGUAGAGAAGGCAACCAGAAUCUCGCAUCAACAAUUAUUUUACUUGAAAUUAUGUACAAUUGCAUUUCAUUCAUUUCUCUCUCUCUUUUUCUUUUUUCCCCCCAUAUAUUUUUUAUGUAUAAUUGCGUUUCAUUUAAUAUUGAUCAUACUGUAGGUAACCAUGUGAUUGUAGAUGGGGAUUUCAAGUUUGUUGAAUAUUCAUGUAAGUGAAGUAACCGUCACAAUACUAGUGAAAUUGGGAGCUUUAUUCAUGAGUUUGUGGUUUUGAAAAGUACCACAGUUCAGCUGAUGAAGGCUUCUUUUUGGGAUUCUUCUUUUCCUAGGCUGCAAUUAGGAUAUGUACAUGAUAGACAAUCUUUUGUUGGUUUGGCAUAUCUUCGCUGAUUUUGUCUUUUAUUCCCCAAUUUUAUAAUUACACACCAUGAAUGUUGGGUGAUUGCAUAGAAAAUUUGUGUUAUAACAAAAACAUUGUGAAGGAGUUUCUGUGCUAAUAGUUAGUGGCUUCUGUUUUAUUGGCAUUGAUUGGGUAGAUUACGUGUUACAGUGAUUCAAUUUGUGUUCCAAACUUUGCUUUAAUUUUCUGUUUUCCCCAACUAUUUAUGUCAAAUUUAAAUCCAGAAGCAUGUACUGAUUUUUUCUUUUUGUAUUAAUUUGUGAAGUUUAUUUGGAAUGGAAGUAACUGGGUCGGGUCUAAUGGAUUAAAUUAUGACAUUGAGGGGAAGGCACUAAAAGGGUUUGCUUGACACAUUUGGUUCUGUGUCUGCAAGAAAUAGCUUUUGCUUAUUGCAAUGCAGGGGGAAAUCCCGAUUUGGCUGGUGAAUUUCUCUGCAACAAACGGGCAAACACCUUGACUUCUUCUGUCCAUACUUCUGCUGGGGAGGCAAGGGGUAAAGAGUCUUCAAAAUCAUCAAAUAGUAACAUCUCUGAGAAUUCAUUUUAUGGAAAUGGAAAAUCUAGAGCUUCUAAUACAAAAUGGUAUCUGGUAUCAGGACGUACCGUUUCAAGUUUUCUUGGUAAAGAUUAUGUUAAACCUGCACAGCCAGCUAAUGGCACUUUUCUGGCAUCAAAGCCAUUGAAGUUGGAUCCAAGGGAGUUUCGCAUUUCUGCACUUUCAGAGAAGAAACUAAACCGAAACAAUCAAAGGAUGACCAUUUGCAGAAGGAUAUGGAAGAUUUUCUGUUUAAAUUGCUAGGAGAAGGGUUCCAGCUGUACAGGGAUGUGAUUCAGAUGGUUCAUGGUAACGUCUUAAAUAUAUUGAUGCCAAUUUAAUACAUAUUGUCCUUUUCAAUGUUCUUUCUUUCUUUCUCCUCUUUUUAUUCUUCUUCUUCUUCUUUUUUCUUUUCAUGUGCAUCUGAUCACUAAUUUGGUAUUAUUCUUAACUUGCAGAUAGUUGUGGAUAUGAUAUGCAAAAAGGUAAGGACUAUAUCUUCUUGAUGGAGGCCUCUGAUUUUUUAAAUCGCAUUUUCCUUUGUGAUUGAUAUAUCAUACCAAAGUCAAGUCUUAAAUACUGCUGUCAUAUGUUAAGGUUCAACUUCCAUUUUGAUUAACGUCGAUUUGCUACUGCUUCCAAAAGUGAGAAUGAGAUACUUUGGUUAAUUUCAGUAGUUGAACCCAAUAGAGUACUUUAUUUAGAUCUUCAUGGUUCAAAGGCCUGAAAAAACUUGCCGGUGUUUGCAAAAUGACAUUCUGUGCUUUUAUUUAGACUUAUUAUUAAAGACAACAUUUUGUUUCAGCCAAAAAUGUUUGUUUCGAUUAAAGACUGAUUUUAUAUUUCUAUUUUGUAACUUGAAAUAAUUGGUCUGCCUGUUUCUGUUGCUUGAUAACAUGAAUUUUUCCUUCUGAAGUUAAUUUGAUCAAUAAAGUAAUUCUUCGGAGAGGAUAUGCCCAUUCUAUAGUCAUUUUCUUAGCUAACAUGUUUUUUCUUCACUCUUCAGAGCAUGUCUAAACUAAUUGAUCGCUCAGCGGAGACUUUGGGUGAGAAGACAAAAUUUCUUGGUAAAUCCUCUGAAAAGGUAUGCAUAAUUCCCGAGUAUUAAAUAAUCAUUGGUCAUAAUUUUUGUACACGACUCUUUUUUUGGAGAUCGUUAAAAGUGGUUGAUGAUCUAUUUUGUAAUAUCAUAGAGGGAUCAUGAAUUCCUUUUCUUUUCUGUGGCUAGGCAACACUUUCGAGCCAAGCUAAGGAAAUCUAUUUUAGGUAAUGUGAAAACCAGUUGUAGGAUGUAAUAGUUUAUUAUGCCCUGCCAAUAACUUUUUGUAUAAUUGUCAGUUUAAUGAAUACAAGAGGAACUCUGUUGGCAAGUUCAUCCAUGAUAGAUGCUAAAAUUAUUUAUGCAUACCAGUUGCCUUAACUAAUUUUUCUCAACACUGGUAUUGAACAGGAAAAUGAAUAUGCAAUUUGUAUAUUGUGCCAUUGUGGAGAAUUUGGAUAUUCUUAUUUAAGUAACAAGGAGAGUAUUUGCCUCAUCUUUAAACAAUGAAUCUUUGAGAAAUGAGGAGUGGGUGAUUGGCAGUGUCUUCAUGUAAAUGUUCAUUUAUUUGUAUUUUGAACUAUUAUGAGAAUCUUUGUAUGCCAAAUUAGUAAUACAAAUGUUCAGAUGAUUUUUCCUGUUGAUCAUGCGUGUGUAUCUGCACACAACCAUUGUGUACCACUUUAUUCUGAUGCGCAAAUAUCUGUAGUUUAGAAGAAAAGAAAUAAUAAUCAUAUAUUAUUGCUUGGUUCAUGAUUAUUAAACGAUUAUGGCUUUAGAAAAUCCACAAAUCCUUUGUGUUCAUAUAUGAAUGUGCGAAGUUCGCUAUAUCUUAGAUUACCUUCUUCCAAGAUAACAAGUUCAUAUAUUUUUUAAUCCUUUUUCAUCACAGUUGAAUUUCAAGUGUAAGUUUUGUUAUUAAUAGCUGGUUUCCUGUUAUUAUGAUUUCAUAAACAGUAAGAGGAUAUGUGCUCUACUUUUGGAGGGCCUCCACAUGAAAGAAAAUUGCAACAAUUGAAUUCUUCCGGAGGGUAUGGUAUUUAAUUUAUUUUCUCAGCUUGUUGUAAGACUAAUAUAUUUCCUUCAGUACGCACGGCAUGGUGGGAAGGGUUUUUAUUGAAACAGUUAUGAUAUUUCUUAGACUUUGUUUUGGAAGGGGGUGGAGGGAUUUCUCAUCCAUAUAUGGUUACUUGAUUAGCUUUUGACUGUAUUGUCUCCGUCGUGCAAAGGAAAAUCCAAAUACUAACGAAGGGGAAUUGCUUAGGCACCCAAAGGACAGAAAUGAAUUACGGAAGGAAGUUUUUGCUGCUUUAUUUAGUGCUGCUGAGAAAUCUGAUGGAUUUCCUGAAAUUACGGUGAAGACGGAGUGGAGGUCCAACGCAUUAGGAAAGGUGGUGAGUGAACCGCCGGAGGAAUUAGUACCAGAACACAAGGCUAAUGUGGUGCACUGGCAGCAAGAUGACCAGACCUGUAUGUGCUCUUAUAUUAACUAUAUUGGCUGGAUUUGUGAGUGUGUACAUUUUUGUGUGUAUACUCACUUUUGGAUUUAUGCAUAUUAACGUGUGUAGGAUUCUCGAUUUCUGCCACUUACUGGAGAACUAGUGGAAAGCUUUAUACUGAUAUAUGUGCUAUAUAACUAAUGGAAACUACAAUAUGAAUAUUUUCUCUCACCUGGAGAACAGUGUAACUGAUAUAAUUUGUGGCUCUGGAAUACUGAAGAUUCUGCAAUAACUAAUGGAAAAUAUGAUAUGAAUAUUUUUUCUCACCUGGAGAACUUUGUAACAGAUACAUUUUGUGCUGGAAUGUCUAAAGAAUGCUUCAGUUUAGAUCAAAUAUCUUUUAGUUAGAAAAGAUAAAAUUCUCUGAAUCUGAAAGACUGAAACAUUUUGCAUAUUUCGUGAAAGGCAAGUAUCUGUAGAUACUAGCUCAUGCAUUGAGGUAAUAUCAAUGUUAAAGAAAAACAGCAAUAAUUUAUUAUACAGAAUUAGGUUCACUUGCUUUAAAUGCUGGUCUGAUCAACCAUAUCAACCUGUAAUGGUCCUGCAGAAAUAUAUAUACGGGGAGAAACUAGCUAAUUUUCCUUUCACUUAUGGGUUUGGUCUUUUUUUUCCCCUAUUUUUCAGCUUUCCUUCUCCUGAAGUAUGUUAACAAUUGCAGAUAAUGACGAAGAGGACCGCUUCCAGGCUCUUUGUAGAGCUGUGAUGGAAUAUAGGGGCACAAUGAAAGAAUAUUGUAAGGCUGUAUGUACUUUCUCUCAUGUCAUUUAUGUUUUCUCACACAUUUUGUAUAUGCCCUGAACAUGCAGCUUUGUAUGUGUCAAUUGCCUUUUACGUUUUAAAAGCCAUAAAGUAAGAAUACAGUUCCUUGUCAGGCUAUUGAUGCGUUCGCUCAGAAGGGUCAUGUUCAAGCAGGAAAACUUCUAGAACAGGUAAGGUUUCCAUCUACAGCCAUCCAUUGACAGCAGAUAUAUUUUCAUUAAGCAGACACUGUUAGCAUUCAAGAUGCUGGCAGAUUCACUUGAUUCUUAUUAGUUUGUUUAGUGGCAAACCAUAUAACCUGUAUUUCAAAGCCAAGUUGUGCUAUUGAUUAUGUUAACUUUAUUGUUAACAUAAAGUGAUAUGGAGGACAUAAUCAAUGUAGGAAAAUUAGGUGAAGAGAUGAUGUCAAAUCUUGAACCUCUUACAAAGCUCCAAGUUCUUUACUUGAAGAAGCUGCCAAAUUUGAAGAGCGUCUACUGGAAGGCAUUUCCAUUCCCAGAUGUAUGCAGAAUUUUUGUAUUAAUGCCCAGUUCUUAAGAAGCUGCCACUGGAUUUUCAAGGGGCGGGCCAAGGUAAAAUUCUUAUCAAGGGAAAGGAAGAUUGGUGGAAAGAACUUCAAUGGGAGGAUCAAGCAACUCAGAAUGCAUUGCUUCCAUUUUUCAAAUCAACUGACAAGUGAUUGAAGGGGGCAUCAUCAACAUCAUCAACUGGGAUGGAGAGAUUAUGGAGCAGAUCAGCAGGGUUUGUAUAUGAUCUUUGGUGGUUGCUUUCUUUUGUGAUUUUUUUUUUCUCAUUUUUUUCCCUUCCUGUCAUUUUAUCAUUUCUUUGUCUCGUUUUCUAUUGCUGAUGUUAGUGUAUGCUUACUGUUGCUUGACAAAGUUUGCUUGCUUCUUGUUUAUUAAUUUUUUUAUGGUCACAAAAUAUUACUUGUUCUAUUUGAGAGUGAUGUGAAUCAAUUUUCAAUUAUAUAUUUUAUGGUCAAUGUGAAUUCAAUUUCAUUUGUCUCCUGCAAUUAUUUAAAAAAUGCAGAGUCAUAAUAUGGAAAAGUCGACCGGCAAAAACUUUGUGAAAGCUUCGGAGUGAAACAGGGAAUUCACUUACUAACAGGGAAUUCACUUACUACUAAGGACAAUUGGUGGCGAGCUAUUCCAUUCAUUUUAUGUCCAUACAUCUAUUUAAUUAUUAAAGAUAAGUGGUCCAUUUGUAAAUUUCAGAUUGUGUCUCUCUGAAAAUAACAAUAUUUAAAAUGUCUCUUAAAUUAUUAUAAAUUUUAAUUCACUCUCGAUUUAAAAUGGAACAUGCUGAUGAAAUUUUUUUUCUUCUUAAUAAAAUUGAAAUAAAUUGUGUUUGCAGUAGUUUGAAAUAUUUUAAAGAUUAUUAUUUUAUAAGGGAGUAAUAUGAAAUGAAAUUUACUUUUCAUGCGUGAAAUGUUGAAAAAGGACACAGCAAGUGUCCCUGCUUUUAUUUUAUUUCAAAGUGGAGUCAUCUCACAUACUUUAACUCUAUCGUUACAAUUUUUCAGGUUACAUUUUUAUUUAUUUAUUUAUUUUCUUUUUUACACAUGCAUGUGGGUUACUUUUCCGUAAGCUCCUUAAUAUAUAUAUUUAACACAAAUCAUGGAAGAGAUGGGAGUAUAUCAAGAUGAUCAAAGCAUGAAACAAAAAUAUUUAAGAAGUAAAACACUGAAAAUAGAGAAGAGAUGCAAGCAAAAGAUAUUCCAAAGAAAAGCAAUCUAUCUCCUUUCGAAGAAUGUUAUGGAAGAGUUGAACCCAGCGAAGAAUGUUAUGGAAGAGCAAAUUAAUGAUAUUUUUGAUAGAGUCUAUUUGAUUAUGUAGCCUGAAUAGAUGUCUUGUUGAAAGAUAUCUCAGUGCAUUAGUUCAUCCUUGACUGUCAAUGUGUUUUUAAUGGUUUUUCCAAAUUUUUAUUAUUAUAGAUUGAUUGUAAAUUUGAUAUGAAUUUAAUGUUGAAAUGUUUUCUCUUUAGUGGAAUGAAUUUAAAAGUGCAAAAGCUUAUUGCACACAGAGAAAUAAACAUAUAUGCUUUAUAACUUUAGCAAUCGAUUCUUUUACAGCUGGAAACAGAGAUGAUGAUUAUCAUAGGGGUGAAGAAAAGGACAAAAAAUGUUAAUGGUUAACGAAAUUUCUAUGCAAAUUGAUUUUAGCAGGAAAAAAGUGAGCUAAAUGAUCUUAAUGUUCCACAAGAAAAAGCAAGAUCUUAAUGUUCCACAAAAGCGUUAUUUAUUUUUUUUUGGUGAGCCACGUGGAGCUCAAUUAUCAUUGUCUUUACUUUAAAAACGUUAUUUUAUUUUCUUUUAUUACAAAUUAAUGCUAACAAGAAAAAGCAAGAUAUAAUAUUCCACAAAAGCAAAUCGUAAUAUUCCACAGAGGAGUAAGAUCCACAAAAGCAAACAACUAGCUGGAUUCUUUUAUUGAACUACAAAUUAAAACAACAAAUUAAAGUUCAAAUAUUUAAAUAGUAGUGCGUUAGACGAUUAGGCUCUUUUAUUAAAGGGAAGUAUAAAGUAGUCCAGAAUCGAACAUCUCUAUUGUCUAGUCUUUUUUUUUUUUUUUAAUUCUUCUUUUAUUAUUUUUCAGAAUAGGUUUUGGUGAUUACUAUUGGGUUAUUAUUGAGAGUUAUUGUUAUCUUCCGGGGCAGUUUCUGUUAAUCGAAAUCGUUAAUUAAAAUUUUAGAACUCUUAUUGGAAGAAUGUUUUUCCGUUAUUUUUUUAUAUUCUAAUUUCAAUUGUAAGAAGUAGUCAUUUUAGAAUUUGGGUCUUGAAUCGAAUUUCAAUGCAUGAAUUAAUAUUUAAAAAAAAAAUUACUACACGCAGUUUAGGUUACAAACUAUUUUUUGCAAAGUUGAUUAUGAAAUUGGAAAAAUUAAGUAAUUUAUAAUGUUUGCAAAGGAAGAGACUAACAUACUUCCAAUUACACUAUAUCUCUAUUAUCAUAAUGUUAAGAUUAAACUAACUUAAAAUAAAUUUUAUUUGAAAAGUUAUAUCAAACGCAGUCUAAUUUUAUUAACUUGAAGAGAUAAUAGUUAUAGAAAUUAUUGUUCUAACUUAAUUAGUACAAGUGGUAUAAAGGUUAAGUGUGCACUAAAUUUGUUUAAAUUUUUUCCAGAAUAACUAACAGAGGUCAUUACUAGAAUUAUAAUUACUAGUCUAUUAGAUAGAAAAAAUUAUUUAUAUUGUUUUAUAUUUAUUAAAAAAUUUUAAAGUCAAUCUUUUUAAUUAUUAUUUAAAGGAUAUUAUAAUUAAAAAAAAUUUAAUGUCUUUAUUAAAAAUUUAAAAAUUUAAAAAUUUAAAAAUUUACAUGACCGCUCUAUAAAUAUUGAAAGUGUAACUGUCAUUUUCUCAUAUAUAUAUAUAUAUAUAUAUAUAUAUAUAUAUAUAAACCACGGUGGUGAAGCUUUAUUUAAUAUUAAUGAUUUAAAUAACAAUAUCUCAAUUAAAAAUGUAGAGAGAAGAAAUUUCGGUGGGUAUAUUAGUCUUUUACAAUUAUCAUGAUUAACCCUUCCUCUUGUAACGUUGGUCAGAAAAGUUUUAAAAUGCCUUGAUUUCUUUUACUUUUAACGUUAGCGGCCUUCCUUAUAUUUUAUUACAAAUUAGUCCUAACAAGAAAAAGCGAGAUCAUAUUCCAAAAAAGCAAAAGUGACAAAAAAACCAGCUGUAUUCUUUUAUUAAACUACAAUUUAAAAUGAUUUUAAAGUGGAUUCUUUUGAAUACAGGUGGGGUAGUCGAAUAGUCUUUUUCAAAUUCUUGUUUUAUUAUUUUUCAAAACUAGUUUUUGGUAAUUACAAUCGGGUCAUUCAUUAGUCAUUAUUCAGAGUUAUUGUUAUCUUCGGGGGCAGUGGGUAAAAGGCUAAAUGAUAAUUACUAAGUGUUUUUCCUUCAAAAGUUAGUGGCUCGUGUUUUGCAAGUGUGUACGUGCGAUGCUCUUUGUCUAAAGGCAAUUACAGUGGGUCCCGAAUCGGACGUGCCUAAUAAAUCUUUUAAAAAUUUUUCUAAUAAAUAUUCCUAAAAUUUCUCUUCCACAGGCAAUUACAGCAGCUUCAGUUAAUCAAACUCAAUCAAUUUUCUUUCUUAACAAAAUUCCAAAGAUGUGUGGCUGUUUUCAGAUCACAUGCGAUGGUACUUUUUUCAAUCGUUGCUUAGAUUGCUUUCUUGGAAAAGCAGCAUACAUACGUAACCUCCAAGAUAACCUCGUUGCCUUGGAGACUGAACUAAGGAAACUAAUCGCAGCAAAGAACGAUGUGAUGACGGCGGUUGUCAAUGCUGAACGGCAACAAAUGAGAAGGCUGGAACGAGUGCAAGUGUGGGUUUCGAGUGUGGAUUCUGUUAAAACUGGAGCCGAUGAACUUAUCACAGACGGCUCUGAAGAAAUUGGCAAAUUAUGUGUUGGAGGCUACUGUUCCAAGAACUGCAGGUCAAGCUACAAGUUCGGAAAACAAGUGGCUGAAAAGCUACAACAUGUGAAGAAUUUAAUCGCCGAGGGAGUUUUUGAGGCGGUGGCCACUGAGGUGGUGCCCGAGAGAGCUCCGGAACCUGUAGCAGAUAAAAGACCCAUUGAGCCAACAAUAGUAGGCUUGCAAUCACAGCUUGAAGAAGUUUGGAGAUGUCUUGCAGAAGAAUCAGUGGGAAUCAUUGGCCUAUAUGGUAUGGGCGGUGUUGGUAAAACCACACUAUUGACCCAUAUCAACAAUAAAUUUCUUGAGAGUCCCACAAACUUUGAUUGUGUGAUUUGGGUCGUAGUUUCAAAAGACCUGCGACUUGAAAAAAUUCAAGAAGAUAUUGGGAAGAAGAUAGGUCUAUCUGAUGAUUCAUGGAAGAAUAAAAGUUUUGAAGAGAAAGCUGUGGACAUCUUGCGGAGAUUAGGAGAGAAGAGAUUUGUAUUGUUGUUAGAUGAUAUAUGGGACCGGGUUGAUUUAACAAAGGUGGGCGUUCCACUUCCCGGACCACAAAAUACUACCUCAAAAGUCGUAUUCACAACCCGUUCCAUCGAUGUUUGUGGCAGCAUGAGAGCUAGGCCGGUUAAAGUGGCAUGCCUAUCAGAAAAGCAAGCUUGGGAACUGUUCCACGAAAAUGUUGGGGAAGAAACUCUUGAGAGUGAUCAUGAGAUCGUUGAGCUAGCCCAAACAGUGGCCAAAGAGUGUGGUGGUUUGCCACUCGCACUUAUUACUAUUGGUCGAGCUAUGGCCUACAGAAAGAAAGCGGAGCAGUGGAGACGUGCAAUUGAAGAGUUAAGAAGAUCAGUUUCAGAGUUUGCAGGUUUGGGAAAAGAGGUGUAUCCUUUUUUAAAGUUCAGCUAUGAUAGUUUGCAGUAUGAUACGGUUAGAUCUUGUUUCUUGUAUUGUUGUUUAUAUCCUGAAGAUUAUGGCAUUCUUAAAUGGGACUUGAUUGAUUGUUGGUUUGGCGAGGGAUUUUUUGGGGAAUCUGACAGGUCUGGUGCAGAAAACCGAGGAUAUGGCAUUUUGGACACUCUUGUUCGUGCAUGUUUAUUAGAAGAGGUGGAAGAUGAUAAAGUAAAAAUGCAUGACGUUAUUCGUGAUAUGGCUAUAUGGAUAGCUUGUGAAAUUGAGAAGGAGAAGAGAAACUUUUUGGUUUGUGCAGGUGCUGGAUUAAAAGAGGCACCGGAUGUUAAAGGAUGGGAAAAUGUGAGAAGAUUGUCAUUGAUGCAAAACCAAAUUAAAACUCUGUCAGAGGUUCCUACAUGCCCUCAUCUCCAUACUCUAUUUCUUGACUUUAAUAAGGAGUUGGAGACGAUCGCGGAUGGCUUCUUCCAAUUUAUGCCUUCUCUCAAAGUUUUGAAGAUGUCAAACUGUGGGCAUGUCAAAGUUUUGAAAUUACCUAUUGGGAUGUCAGAGUUGGGUUCAUCACUAGAACUUCUUGAUAUUUCAAAUACCAACAUAACAGAGUUACCAGAAGAGUUGAAGUUGUUGGUAAAUCUGAAAUGUUUGAAUUUGAGGUGGACAAUUUGUUUAAAUAAAAUUCCAUGGCAACUAAUAUCAAAAUUUCAAGGUUACGUGUGUUGAGAAUGUUCGCUACUGGCUUUGCACGUUUUGAUGCAGCAUCAGAAGACAGCGUUUUAUUUGGUGGGGGUGAAGUUUUAGUACAGGAAUUGGUCGGUCUGAAAUAUUUAGAGGUAUUGGAGUUGACCUUGGGAUGUCAUCAUGCUCUCCAAAUUUUUUUGAGCUCAAAUAAGUUAAAAAGUUGUAUUCGAUCUCUUCUCCUCCAAUUGGCCGGAGAUACAAAGUCGAUUAUUGAUGCUACGGCUUUCGCAGAUCUAAACCACCUCAAUGAAUUAUGGAUUGAUAGGGCUAAGGAGUUGGAAGAAUUGAAGAUUGAUUGUAAAGAAAUAGUACAAAAAAGGCGGGAACCUUUUGUUUUCCGCAGCCUUCACCGUGUUACUAUACAUAGCUGCCAGAAGUUGAAAGAUUUGACAUUCCUCGUUUUUGCUCCAGACCUCAAGUCUCUCGAUCUAGACCGUUGCGAUGCUAUGGAAGAAAUAAUCAGCGUCGGAAAAUUUGCUGAGACUCCUGAGAUGAUGGGACAUAUAAGCCCUUUCGAAAAUCUCCAAACUCUUCAUUUAAGAGCGUUUAACAUCUUUUCUCGACGACCUGCACGAUUGCCUUUCACUCAUCUGAAGGAAAUGGAGGUAAGUGGGUGCGAUCAGCUUAAAAAGCUUCCACUCGAUUCCAACAGUGCAAAAGAGCGUAAAUUUGUUAUUCGUGGAAAAGAAGACUGGUGGAACCGACUUCAAUGGGAGGAUGAAGCCACUCAAAUUGCUUUUCGUUCCUGUUUCCAACCUGAGCGGUUAGUCGCAAAAUUUGAUUUCUGGUGAUUGCGUUUGUCUUUUAACUCUUAUAUAUAUUCUUGUCGUUUGUUUUCUUCUCUGUUUUUAACUCUUAUAUUGCGUUUGUCUUUUGAAAAUCUCCAAUUAAAUGUUGAAUUAAUGGAAUUAAUGCUUCAUAAAUUUGCCGGCACUGCCAUCACUUUUUUUUUUUUUAAUACAAAUUGAUACUUUAUUUAUAUCUUCUUAGCGAUAUAAUUUCCUGUCAAUUGACGAACGAGAAGAACAUACGACUUAAACCAAUUCACGCAUAAACUUGCUGUAAAAAGAUAUAAUCUCACUGAAAUGCACACGUCUAGAAUGAAUAGAAUUAAAACAGGGAAAAUAUUUAAGUAUAUUAGCCCUCUUUACCGAAAAUGAAAUGACAAUAAAUUUUUUGAAAGUUUUGAUUUUCUAUGGUCAAUUCCACCUUUUGCAAUUUCUUCUGUUCUAACAAAAACCAAUUUCUUUGUUCAAGUAUUUUCGUUUGGGUAUUAAUAAUUCUCCACCGAAAGAGUGAACUCUUGCUCAAGGGAUCUCUAAUCAAUAGCCGGAAGGGCGCCGAGACCUGAUCGGACCUAGGCCCAAGUUUGGUCUUAAAGCCUGGGCUUGAGCCUGGCAAUUAAAUUAAAACAUUAAUUGAUUUCUUGAUUGAAUUGUCGUGUAAUUGAUUUAUGGGGGAUGACACAUCAACAUGCUUGAAAACACACUAAUCUCAGCAUCAUCGGUUAAUAACUUUUAGAAUUAUGGGUAAUCAAUAGUUAAGAUUAGUUGUCAUUAAUACUAAAUAUUUUUUUACUAUUUUCGUCUCUUCUAGAGGAUCUUCUAGAAAAAUGCAUCCACAACAAAAUUUAAUACUUUACAUAAUAAACAAAGCAUAAAUGUUAAAUUUAAGAAACUGCAUUGUAUUUCAGCUGAAGUUGACUUUAAUAUUUAGGGUAGAAAAAUAAUAAAUCCUUAAUGUGUUUAAUUUCUAUCACUUGUGUCAUUAAAAUUUUCUAGUCACCCUAACCAAUUACAUCUCAACCCACUUUUUUUUGGAUGAUUUUAUUUUUACACUAUUAUUUUCAUCAUUUUUUUUCCUUUUAACACCAACAUUAGUGUAUGUUACGUAACAUAAUUCAUAUUUGGAUAAUUUGAAAUUUGUUUGUGUUUUAUCUCAAAAUAGAGCUUCAAUCAAUUUGUACCUCAUAAAUUCACAAUAUCUAUGAGGGCUAAUAAGACCAAACUCUGGCAUAUUGUCAAAUGUGCUUAUCCUUUUGCUUGACAUGUCAUUUUAAAAUUGUCAUUCAAUGCCAAAAAAUCACAUCAACUGAUGGCCGACUACUUUAAUUUGAAAGCAUGCAUGCGAUCGCCAAUAAUUAUAACUUAAUUGUUAUUUUGAAAUUUUUUUCUUUAUAAUUUUUAAGUUUAAUACUACUACAUGUGCAGCACAUAAGUUGGAAAAUAUAACAUAAAAUUUGAAAAAUGUGUAGCUUUCGUUCCUUUUUUUUCUUAAAAAUGAGGAAAAAGAAUGUAAUUUUGUUUAAAUUACUGUUGUGAUAACAAUUAUUAUUUUAUUGAUUAAUUGGCAGAGAAUGGUUAUGGUUUCGCAUGGUUGUUAAAACAUUGGAAAAUCCACUACAUCAUCCGUUAAUAACUUUCAGAUUUAUGGUUAAUCAAUAGUUGAGAUUUGUUAUCAUUAAUGUUAAAUAUUUUUUUAAUAUUUUUUCUCUCUCCUAGAGGAUCAUCACAGCAAAAAUUUAAUAUUAUAAAUAGUAAACAAAAUAUAAACAGUUAAAUCUAAGAAACUGCAUUGCAUUUCAGCUGAAGCUAACUUUAAUAUUUAAUGGAGAAAAAUAAUUAAGUCCUUAAUGUACUUUAUUUACCCAUACUGAUACGCUCUUAAUUCGUGAAACUGAGCAACAUCAAAAUUAUCACUACUUCGAGCGAGUGUUUGCUCCAGAAGAAAGAACUGGAAGUUGAGAAAUGAGAAAGAAGAAAAGAAGAAGAGUCACAGCGAGGAAUAAAAGUGGUCCAUUCAUUUCAUGCCUUCCCAAAAUGACAAAAUCCCGCAAUAUAUAACAGACAAUCGAAAAUAACCAAUUUGACAACGCAACAGAAAAUGACAAAAAAGAAUCCAAAACAAACGUAGCCAAUCACAAUGCUUUUACAGAUCAUCCUAAACGACGUAGUCUCGUAGCCAAUCUAGAAGUUUCUUGUUUCGUUUGGGCCGUUGAUUCUCUUGCACUGGCUCAUGGUGAAUGUCCUCUUUGGGUUGACUGACUGUGGGUUCUCGGUUGAGCUCUUCCACUUGCGCCCCCUCUAAUGGCUCUAAUUUGAUAUAUAAAUUCGUAUCAUUCCCUCCUGCUUGAAAACACACAUUGUCCUCAAGGUGAAAUGCUGGAUAGAGCUUACAAAAGGCGUCAAAGUUUUCCCAAGACGAAUUCUUCGGUGAACUGACGGUCCAUUGAACUAACACUUGAAGCGUUGGCUUCCCCUGUUGCAAAACUAUUCGGGUUGCACAAAUGGCAGCCGGUAGCAAAAGAGGAUGGUUAUCCACACUCAACUCUGGUAAAGGAUGUGAAAUAGCAGGGUCGUUGCCAUGAUAAUGCUUAAGGACAGAGAUGUGAAAAACCGAGUGGAUUUUGGAAGUAUUGGGUAACUCCAAUUUGUAAGCUACAUACCCCACUCUAGCAAGUACCGUAAAUGGCCCGUAGUAUCACUUGGCCAACUUCUGACAGGCGCGAGAAGCUAUAGUGGUCUGUCGAUAUGGCUGUAAUUUAACCAGCACUUUAUCCCCUACUUCAAAGUGAGCUUCACGGCGAUGGGCAUUAGCUUUCUGAGCCAUUCGAUGUUGUGCUUGCCUCAAAUUAGCUUUUAAAGAUUGGAGAAGAGUAUUACGUUCAAGGAGAAUGUCCUCCAAAGUUUGGAUUGAAGUAGAGCCCUUAGCAUAAUGAGGAAUAGUUGGAGGCAAUCGGCCAAAUAAAGCUUGAUAGGGAGACAUCUUCAAGCCACUGUGGAAAUGAGAAUUAUAACUAAAUUCUGCCCAACUCAGUAAGGAAACCCACUUCCGUGGUUUGUCUUGAGUGAAAGCUCGUAAAUAUUGCUCCAAUCCUCAAUUUACCACUUCCGUUUGACCAUCCGUUUGAGGGUGGUAUGCCGUGCUAUGACGAAGAGUUGUGCCACUUAAGAGGAAUAAUUGUUUUCAAAAAUUGCUCAAGAACACUGGGUCUCGAUCGGAGAUAAUUGAACUUGGAAAACCAUGUAUUUUAAUGACCAUGUCCACAAAGAGUUCAGCUGUCUUGAGGGCAGUAAAUUGACAGGGUAACGGACCAAAAUGGGCAAAUUUUGUAAGACGAUUGACAACAACCAAUAUGACCGAGAAACCUUGUGCUAACGAAAGACCUAUAACGAAAUCCAUUGUGACCUCAUCCCAAACCAUAUUAGGUAUCGGCAAUGGUUGAAGAAGACCAGCAGGGGCUUGAGUGGAAUACUUAGUUUGCUGGCAUAUUAAACACUCUCGGAUAAACGUUUCCACAUCAUGACGCAUCUUGGGCCAAUAGAAUGUUGAAGAUAAUCUGAUUAAGGUUCUAGUGACACCCACAUGACCUGCCAGUGGUGUAGAGUGAAAUUCUUGCAAUAGUACGACUUUUAAAGAGGAGGUAGGACUGAUGUAAUAACGCUGACGGUGGAGAAGAAAUCCGUUUUGAACAGAGAAGUCAACUGACAGUUUGCCUUGUAAAAGUUGCUGGUGAAGUGAUAUUAAAUCAGGUAAUGUGGUAUUCUCAUUAAGUAAUGACUGCAGCAAUUCAAAUGAAGGAUGGCUGUUGAAAGAAAGGCAAGUGGGGGAGAUGUUGAUGUUAUCCUCAGGAGCUGUUUCAUGGACACGGGAUAGAGCAUCAGCGGCGCUAUUGGUACAACAUGGUCUGUACUCAAUUCUGAAUUGGAAACCCAAUAAUUUGCGGAGAUAAACUUGCUGAUCUAGUGUUUGUAUCACUUGUUGAAGGAGUUCUUUGAUACUCUUAUGAUCCGUGCGGAUAACAAAGAAUCGGCCCAACAAAUACUGCCGCCACUUAUACACAGCUUCUACAAUUGCAUGCAACUCCUUGAUGUAAGUGGAAGAAGCCCGCAAUUUGGGACCCAACUUCUUGCUGAAAUAAGCAAUUAAAUGCCCAUGUUGUGUAAGUACAGCUCCUAUGCCUACAUUAGAAGCAUCGGUCUCAAUGACGAAUUCGAAAGUAAAAUUCGGCAACUUAAGGACUGGAGCUUGCACCAUUGCUUGUUUAAGAGCUUCAAAGGCCUCCAUGGCUGUCAAAUUCCAUUGAAAGGCAUCAUUUCGCAGCAAAUCAGUGAGUGGGGCUGCCAAGGAAGCAUAACCACGGAUGAAGCGCCUAUAAUAUCCAGUGAGACCAAGAAAACCCCUCAACUGUUUGAUAGAACGUGGAAUUGGCCAAUUAAGCAUGGCAUCAAUCUUUUGGGGGUCGGCUUGUACUCCCGAGGCUGAAACAAUACGGCUUAGAUACUCAAUAGCGGCUUGGCAAAACAAACAUUUGGAUAAUUUAAUAAAAAAUUGAUGAAGAUGUAAACAAGCUAAUACUUUCUCAAGAUGAAGCAAAUGCUCGGCCAUGGAGGAGCUAUAAACCAAGAUAUCAUAAAAAAAAACGAUCACAAAUUUCCGGAGAUGAGCUGCAAAAAUCUGAUUCAUUGUGGCUUGAAAAGUGGAUGGGGCAUUUGUCAACCCAAACGGCAUGACAAGAAACUCAUAAUGGCCCUCAUGUGUUCAAAAUGUCGUUUUGUAUAUGUCGCGGUUGUGGACACGAAUUUGAUGGUAUCCCGCGCGCAAAUCCAAUUUGCUAAAAAUGGUGGCGCCCCCAAGUUCAUCAAACAACUCAUCGAUUGUCGGUAUAGGAAAUUUGUCUUUGAUGGUUACGGCAUUUAAUGCACGAUAGUCAACACAAAACCGAUAGGUGCCAUCUUUUUUCUUGACCAAGAGAACCGGGGAGGAAAAAGGGCUUUAGUUCGGUCGGAUUAUGCCCUACUCUGACAUUUCCCUGAUCAGUUUUUCCAUUUCAGAUUUCUGGAAGUGUGGGUAGCGGUAUGGACGAACAUUGACGGGGGCUGUGUUGGGUAAUAAAUGGAUUUUGUGGUCAAUAGUUCUGUGCGGUGGUAGGCUAGAAGGUUGGAGAAAUAGGUGUUUGUAUUGCUGUAAAAGGUUGAGAAAUUGAGCAGGAAGGGAAAAAGGAAAUUCAAGUGAGGAAGUGUCUGUGAUGGAAAAUGAAGGCAAAGCAUCGAUAGCGGGCACUGGUUGUAAGGCACAAAGGCUGGUCACGGUAUCACUUUGAACCAAUACCUGCAAUUGAUUAUAAGUGAUCAAAUUAUUAGAAGACAAAUCACCAUGAAGCAUCACUGGUUGCUCAUUUAAAGAAAACUCCAUAGGACACUUUGCCCAAUUUCUGUAGCCAUUGAAUGCCAAGGACCACAUAUGUGCCCUCAAUUGGCAAAAUGAAGAGGUCUACCAUAAAAGCCGUGCCUUGCAUUGUUAAGUUCACUUGAGGACAGAACUGUUUACACACCAGGAAGUCACCGUUGCCAAUAUACACUCGGAAAUUGGUAGUUGGAUGAAUGGCUAACCCCAAUCGUUCCGCUAACGCCGGUUUUAUGAAAUUGUGAGUGUUGCCACUAUCAAUCAGCACUUGAAAGGUGUGCGAAUCAAUUUCUCCAAUUAAACGAAGAGAGCGAGGAUUGGCCUGCCCUGCUAGAGCAUUUAAGCUAGAGAUGUCACCAGUAAUACCAGCAUCUACCAAUUCUGAUGGUUCCUCGUUAUUUUUGGGUUCCAAUUCUUCAUCAUCCGUGCCCAUGAGAAGUAGAAAUUUACUGCGACAGAGAUGAUUGUUGCUGUAUUUUUUGUCACAAUUGUAACAUAAACCCUUCUCGCGUUUGUCGCAAAGUUCAGCCGAAGACAAACGGCGAAUUGGUAAUGUUGGUGUCGAUAAUAAUGCAGGUAAAGUGUUUGAUUUAUUGGUAUUGUGGGUUUGUGAGGGAAGAGUUGAAGAUGAUACGGGGGUGAUGGCUGUGGUAACAGUUGCAAGUGAUGAGGAUGGAUAAAUGGGUUUGGGUUGUGUUUGGAAACCAUGUGAAAGGGGAUAUGGUUGCUGCCAUUUAGGCCAUGAGCGUGAGCUCUGUUUCACUUCGUCAUAUUUGGCCUCAAAAGCACGAGCUAAAGUUUCCAUUAGUGAAGACGGUCUAGAGAAAAGCAAUUCCCGUCGAAUGUUGGGUUUCAGACCAGUGAUGAAAAAACUAAUCAAAAGAAGUUCAGAAAUUCCAGUGACCUUGUUCAUUAAAUCUUCAAAAGCUGACUGGAAAUCUGCAACCGUGGUAGUUUGACUCAAUUUGGACAAAUCACCUUGGGGAUCUUCACACAAAGAAGCACCAAAACGAUAGCGCAAGUUAGCUAAAAAUUCUUGCCAAGUAGUGAGCAAGUGAUUGUUCUUUAUCCAUUGAUACCACGCUGCAGCGCGACCCUCCAUAUGAAAAGAGACAAUCCGUAGUCGGAGGAUCUCAGGUGUGUCAUGAAAGUCAAAAAAUUCUUCUAUUCGAAAAAUCCAUCCAUUUGGGUCAGACCCAUCGAAUUUGGGCACAUCCAUUUUCAUGGAACAAAGUACUGGAGAAACUUUAGAACCAGUAAGAACGCCAUCAUAUUUAGAAGAUGAAGGGUGUGAAGGGUUGGAGGAACCAACUGGUUUGUUGGAAGACCCAUGAAUUUAUGUACGUAACUCCUCAAAACGAGAGUCAACUGAUGUCAUGAAUUGUUGGAUUGUUUGAUGGAUGGACAGUUGCUACCCAUCAAGUUUGGCGUCAAAAGUUGCUUGAAGGGUCUGUAAAGCAUAAAGAAUUUCAGAAUUUGCCAUGAUCAAUGAAAGCACCAGUGAUACGCUCUUAAUUCGUGAAACUGAGCAAUAUCAAAAUUAUCACUACUUCGAGCGAGUGUUUGCUCCAGAGGAAAGAACUGGAAGUUGAGAAAUGAAAAAGAAGAAAAGAAGAAGAGUCACAGAGAGGAAGAAAAGUGGUCCAUUCAUUUCUUGCCUUCCCAAAAUGACAAAAUCCCGCAAUAUAUAACAGACAAUAAAAAAUAACCAAUUUGACAACGCAACAGAAAAUGACAAAAAAGAAUCCAAAACAAACGCAGCCAAUCACAAUGCUUUUACAGAUCAUCCUAAACGACGUAGUCUCGUAGCCAGUCUGGAAGUUUCUUGUUUCGUUUGGGCCGUUGAUUCUCUUGCACUGGCUCAUGGUGAAUGUCCUCCUUGGGUUGACUGACUGUGGGUUCUUGGUUGAGCUCUUCCACUUGCGCCCCCUCUGAUGGCUCUAAUUUGAUAUAUAAAUUCGUAUCACAUACAUGCGGUUAAUUUUUUAAGAUAAAGGGGAAGGAUGAUGCUCAAAAAUAUAAAUUAUAGAAUUAAUUGAACUCUCAAAUAAGUUUAAAGUUCAUUAUUUUUAAUUACAUGUUUAUAAUUUAUUUUUAUUUCGUAUUAAUCUAUAGAUCUAAAUCCACUUUGGAUUCAUAUACACAUAUAGACAUAAUGUGUAUGUUAAUCUAUAGGUCUAAAUUCACUUUAGGUCUAUAUAGGUAUUUUGACAAAUGUACUCCAAUCAUGCAUAUUGGCAAGUUCAAAUUCAAUUUGGAAUAUGGUCAUGGUACGUUCUUGUUCUUCCCUCUUUACGAGUGCAUUCCCCCCAACCUCAAGCUCCCUCUCUCGUCUUCAAUGUCACUGCUUAUAUCCUUAUGUUGUUCUAGUUUGAAACAGUGGCUUCCACUAUUUCAGGGCCCCCAAAAAUCCAGAAACAUACUAUUCAUCACGAUGACAAAAUUUUGGGCAGGCAGGUGCUUCCUGACUUUCACACGGUAAUUCUCAAAUUCUGAUUUCACCAUAUUUUAAUUACUGAUUAUGCUCUCCAUUAUAAUAGAAGUCGCCGCCACACUAGUGAUUCCAAACUUUAUCUUUUUUCCUUUUUUAAAUUAAUGCAAGUAGCCGCUGUCCUUUUUAUUAAUUAAUUAAUUCGGCCGCCCACAUUUCUUUUUCUAAUGUCUUCUACUGUCGAGUUUAUUUUAUUUUCCCUUUAUUCUUAAAAUAUACUUAUAAUAAUAAAAUAUAAAAAUAAAAAUAAAAAUUAACAUAUCAAAAUAUAAUUUAACAGAAAAUUAAGAUGAAAAAUAAAAAAAAAUAAAUUCUGAACAUAUCAAUCAAUAAAUGAAAAAUAAUAAUUUUUAUUUUUAUUAAAUAUAUUUUUUUCAGUAUUAAUCAAUUAUCUGAAUAACUAAAAUCAUUUAAAAAUAAAUAAACAAAUUAUUCUUUAUAAAAAAAAAAAACUUUUUAUAACACUCACUAUGCUGGUUGUAGGGUAGACGCUUUGGGGACUGAAGUUGGUAACUUCUACAAGUAGUCUUAAGUUGAUAACUUCUACAAGUAGUCUUAAGUUGACUGGCAAAUGUUCUCAGUAUUAUAUUGGUGUGUCGAUAUUAUCUCUAACUGCCUUAUAGAUAAAAAAAUAAUCUAAAUUUAAAAUUUAACAUAAAAUAAAAUAAUUGGUAGAAAAACAAUUAUGGUUCAUUUACUUAUCAGUAAUCAGAAUAGACUGAAAUCGAAAUGAGUUGUAUUACCGUUGAUGUGUUUAUGUUGUCCUCGAAUCGGAAUGAAUUAUUUUAAGUUACUAAAAUAUCCUUGGUUUGUUAUUCUAAUUAUUAUUAUUUAAUAUUUAUUAUAAUAUUUGUCAUAUCAUUAAAAAGAAAUAAUAAUGAUGAUAAUAUUAUCAUUAUUGUUUGUUACAUUAUUAUUAUUCAAAAAAAUUAUUGUUAAUAACAAUAAUUACUUUAUUUCAAUACUAAUAAUGAUAAAAUUAAUAAUAACAAACAACAAUAAUUAUUUAUUAUGCCAAAAAUAACAAUAAUAAUAAUCAUCAUCAUUUUUUUUCCCAAAGAAGCAUUAUCAUCAUUUCAAAAAAAAUAUCAUCAUUAUCAUCAUCAUUUUUGUAGUGGCUGCCUAUCGGCUGUUGCUUUCAUGUGAGAUUGACUUGCGACGCUUCAACGGCUAUUAUUUCUGGCAAUGUCAGGUGUUACUGUUUCAAUUUAGGAAGAAGCUGUUUCGUUGUGCUAACGAUGGGAGAUGUUGUGGCUGCGAUUCGGGGAGCUACUAGUUUAUUGCACUAAUGACGGCAGGUGCUGCUGCUUGAUGCGAGGUCCAUGGCCAGUUGUCAGCAGUUCGACUUUGGUAUGGGUGCUGCUGGUUCGAUUUUAGGUGUUGUCCAAUUUCAUUUUCAGGAUUUUAAUUUUAUUUUUCUUUUAUAUUUUCAUUAAUUAAUCAGGACAAAGUUGGAUUUUAGAAUUUGGAAUGAAGGUAAUUUUGUUAAUCAUGGAAAUGAGAUUCUGAUUGUCGAGAAUGAGCUUACACAAACAACUACAAAUUAAGUGAAAACAAAACGCUUUUUCUCUUUGUGUGAUUAAAACAUGAUAUGUACCAUAAAUAAAUAGGUAAAAAAUAAAUUAAUACAAUCCAAAACAGUAAACUAAUUACAAGAGGCACAAAUUUUUAUGUGAAAUACCAAAAAUAGAAAAAACCACAGCAUCUUAGUAUGAGAUAAUCUUCUACUAUAUUAAUGAGAUUAUAGCACAAAUUCUUCCUUAUAUAACACUAGAGGUUAACAACAUCAAGAAUUUCAAUAAUCUUGACUUACAAUACAGCCUAAUAUUUGUCUCUCUAAUAAGUAGAUAUCUAAAAUAACAGUCUCUAAUAAAUAAGUAUCUCAAAUAACAGUCUCUAAUAAGUAUCUCAAAUAAUAAUUUCUAAUAAGUAUGUAUCUCAAAUAAUAGUUAACAAGAGGAUAAAACAAAAAUUAAGAUUAGUAGGAUUGUAUAAGGCGAUGCUAUCAACUUAUCUUCUAAAUUUGAGAAAAAUAGUUAAAUUCACUUUUUCGAUUGUGACCAAAGAUGGAAACCUUUGCCCCAAAACCAAAGGAAUCACCAUUUCUCUCUCUCUCUCUCUCUCUCUCUCUCUCUCUCUCUCUCUCUCUAUCUCUCUCUCUCUCUCUCUCUUCUUCUACUUUUCUUAAUGUUAGCCGCCACUCGCUUUUAUUCUUUAUAGCAUUUAAAAAGCUACUUUUAAUGGUAAAUUUCAUUUAAGUCCAAAACUUAGUGAUAAUUGUACACCAAACAAUUCUUUUUGGACUAUGAGCUUUUGGGCCUCCAAAUGAGAUGAAUACAACAAAUCUCCCCCUUUAGAUCAUGUGGGGGGCACCACAAGCCUGCUCUCUGCAUAUAGUUUUUCAACUUCUCCUUGAAUAAUGACUUUGUCAUCAUACAUAACCCAUUCUCUGUUGUGUAAAUUUUCUCAAGCUGUAGCUGUUGCUUCUCAAGCACGUCUCGUAUCUAAUGAUAUCUCACAUCAAUAUGCUUAGAUUUCGAAUGGUUUAUCAAAUUCUUUGAACGGCACUCUGACUGUCGCAGUACAUAACAUAGCUGUCUCGUUUUACACCCAGCUCUUAUAGGAAAUUCAUUAUCCAUAAUAUUUUUUUGCAACCUUCAAUAAUUGUUAUAUCAUUUGCUUUAGUGGUAGAAAACGUAACUUAUUACUAAAGUUUAGAUUGCAAUGAGACUUCUCCCCCUGCAAAAGUGAGCAAACAUCCUAGAAGGAAUUUUUCGGAAUCAACAUCUUCUGCCAUAUCUACACACUUGUAACACAGGUUUGUCACCACUAAAAUAUAAACAUGCUCUGGAAAUGCCUCUAAGAUAUCUGAGAAUUUUUCAUUGUUGUCCAAUGCUCUUUUAUAAUAAAUACAAACAUAAUGAAUUUAUAAAACAUUUAGAGUAUUUUGAAUAUUAUAUAAAAUAAUUUUAAUAUAAUGCAUGAGAUAUAUUUUAUUAAUUUAAAAUGCUAUUUAAUCUAAAGAUUUAUUUAAGAUAAAUUAAUAAUUAAAUUUUUUUAAUUAUUUCAAAUAUUAAAAAUUUGUAAUAUUAUUAGUCUAUUAGAUAGAUUAAAUUAUUUAUUUUAUUUUGUAUUUAUUAAAAAAUUUUAAAGUCAAUAUUUUUAAUUACUAUUCGAAGGAUAUAAUGAUUAAAAAAAUCUUAAUAUUUUUUAUUAAAAAUUUAAAAAUUUACAUGACCAUUUCUAUAAAUAUUUAGGGUAUAUAUGAGCCACGGUGGAGAAGAUUUAUUUAAUAUUAUUGAUUUAAAUAAUAUCUAAUUAAAAAUAUACUGAGAAAAAAUUUCGGUGGGUAUUUUAGUCUUUUCAGCAAUCACAUGAUUAGCCUUUGGGCUUUGGCCUUGAAACGUCGGUCAGAAAAGUUUUAAACUGCUUAAUUGUUUUUCACUUUUAACGUUAGUGGCUGCUUAUAUUUUAGGAAAAUGAGAUUCUCACCACAGUGAGAACCACACUGAGCACAGAACGGUGCGUUUUGUGCUCAGUAUAAAUUCUAACUGUAGCGGAAAUAUCGCAACACAAACGCGCCAUUCCAAACCCACGCGCGUUCUCCCUCACGCCAGCAAAUCUCACCACGCUUCCUCCUCACUGUAAGCGCCCCCCCUCCCCGGGGGCGGUCGGCUGCGUCACGCUCCCUCACGGCGCCUCACUCUCUCGGCUCUCUUAGAAAAUUGAAUUGCGGCUUCCGCCGUGGGGUUCUCUCCUCAACUGCCGUUGUCUCGUCUCUGACAGCUGCCUUAAUCAAAUUCUGAAGGUAGUUUGCUUCAAUUCAUUACAUUAAUUUCAAAUUUGGUUUGUGUGGGAUUAUGAGUUUGUGAAGAUUUAGUUCUGUUUCAUGGUAAACUAUUUUUUGCUCAGUGUGUUGAGAAUAUCAGCACGGUUUAAAAUUCUUUUUAGAUUCUGUCGUAAAGUUUUCUUUGUAUUGGGCAAGUCAGUUACUUUAGUUUUGUGUCUGAAAACAAAAACACUUAGCUUAGUGAGUUUUAAGAGAUUUUGCUAUUUUGUUCAACGAAGCUUAAAAAGGGGAAGCUUUUAUGGCGUCUGUGAGCCGAGGCAAUUUGGAUCGGGUGCUUUUUCAGUUCAUUUGUUUGUUUCUUAUUUGGGUUCUUUAUUGUUAGAUGUUCUUUUGAGAUUCUGGCAUCUGGCAUCUGGCUACUUGCUUUUGUGGAGUUUUUUUAUUAUUUGAAUUCUGUGAAUUCUUUGUUUUCUUUCCCAAAUGAUUCCACUCUAUAAAAUAUAUAUUGUGCUUGGCUAGAAUUUUCUUUUAGAUAAUUGCAUCCUGUACAUUGGCUUAACCUGUCAAGAAUGAGAAUGAUGGAAGAUGCCUAUCUUGGAAAGAAUAUAUUGAGUUACAUAGUACCGGUUCCAAAUGAAUAAAUUGGAACUUGCCUAAAACAGGCACCAAUCCACCAUGACACCAAGCCUUUUUAAAAUUUUUUUUUUUUUAAGUUUAAAGAAACUUAUGUUGCUUCUUUAGAUCUGUUUUAGCUUAUGAUGAAUUUUGCUAAUGGUAAAAUCCCUCCCCUUCAAAGUUGGGGGAGGGGAAGCAUCUAUAUGCAUAUGUGUACAUUAUGGAGCUCGAACUACAUGUCGCAGUAAUACAUUAUUCUCUUUGCUUUGCAGGUUUUGAUCAACAUGAGUGAUUGGGAUGUAGGUCUGUGCUUGAGAGGCCGGAGUGAUGACCAGAAUUCUGUCAACCAGACCAAAGACAAUCAACUGAUGAAGUGUUGUUGUUCUCUAUAUUGAUUGUUGGAAAUUAUGUGUUAUUUCCAGAUUUUUAGAAAAUUAUGAUUGCUGGAAAUAAUUAUAUAUGUACAAUCAUUAUGUCCUCCAGCACAAGUGAAUUUCCAAACCCACAACUGAAAGCUUGCGAAAAAUUUGUAGAAAAUUUGUACAUCAAAUCCACAAGCUAAGUGUUGUAUCAGAAUAUGAAUGACAAUAAAACAAAAAUCUGUGUUCUUCAUUCUUAAAAUACUAAUACAAUACAAGUACAUUCUUAUUCUGAGAAAUAACUACCUAUUAACUCCAUAUUCAUUAUCUUGUUGAAAGAGUAGCUGCUGAAAAUGUCCAUGUCGCUGAGCUUGUAUGUGCUAUUAAAAAAAAAUUAAACAUCUUGUUGUCAUCCGAAAAAAUAAAGAAGGCAAGAUGAACAAAUAAAAAACUUAUCACUACUUACGGUGCAAGAAUUUUAUGUAGAUAUUGAAUAAACAUUAUCCUCAAUUAUUUGUCACAAUAAUUUAUAUUCAAUUCAUGGUGUGUUGCAGCAAGCUUCCAUUGUUUAACUAAAUGACAGCUGAAUCUUUACAACUAAUUAUCUUUACAAUCAAAUUUGGAAUUAAUUAAGCAAAUUACCGCUAGAAAUCGACGAGUGAAGCUAAGAGAGUGAGGCUGCAAGUCGAAUUUUUGAGACAGCCGAGAGAGUGAGGCGCUGUGAGAGAUGCAAUGGACGGGCGAGAGAGAGACGAAGCCGAUGGUGAUUGCUGCAUUGGUAGGAUUGAGGGAGAGAGCGAAAGAGCCAGAGCGUGCGUGCUUGUUCUGCCAGAGAGCGCGUAUGUUUUUUCUCAAUGCGCGUGUUGCGUAAUUAUCCAUCUACAGUGACCAUUUUAUAGUUAUCUUGAAACGCACCGUUCGGUGCUAUAUGUGGGGCUGAAUGUUGUGAGCAUAUCGGUGCUGUAUAUUUUAUUAAAAAUUAAUGCUAACAAGAAAAAACCCCUCAAUGAAUGAGGGUGAGAUUGCUAAAAAUUACGACAGGUGAUAUUUUAUUAUUAUUAUUAUUAUUGGGGGAGAAAUCCUCACCAAAGUGAGGAGAUUUUAUCAAAAUCAAAAUAAAAAUAUAACAAGAACUGAAAGUUGGGCAGCCUAAAAGCUAGAUAAACUAAAAUUCAGGCGCCUAAAAACAACCUUAUGCAAAAGAGAAGCAACAUGAGACCGAUCAAGUAAAAGAAUCCACCGCAACACCUAAAUUGGCCAAAUUAUCUGUUGGUAUUACAAGUUUCUUGUUAUAAAAGUGUAGAAUGAAGAAGGUGACGUAGUUUUAAGUUACAGCUGCAUGCCCGAUCGCAAUAUCAAAUAAUGAUUAAAUAUCAAAUAAUACUUAAAAUAGUUGCCUAGACCCGCCACAAUUUAUAUUAACUCUUAAAUUUAUAAAUAAUUAAAUUUUUAAAAGUUCGGAUUUAUAUUAAAAAAUCUUCAUAUAAAUAAAUAAUAUAUGCACUUUUACAACACAGUCUUUAAAUUUAAAUUUUUCUAGAAAAAUCUUCUGUAUAUCUUUUCUAUUAAAAAAUUUCCAUAUAAAUAAAUAAUAUACCUAAUUUAAUUGGACCCAGCGCAACGCAUAUGCAUAGAACACAUUCCGAAAAGCCAUGAUAUUCGGAAAUUGACGAAUGAAAAGUGAGGAGGCAGCAGUCAAUGCUAUUUCGGCUUGGCCCAAAAUUGAUUUAUCAGUUUGACGUGUGCCAGGAAUGAAGAACUGGAAUAUCACCAUCAAGCAAGCAACCUGCGGAGCAAUACCAUAGAAUGCACAAUCCGGCUUUGCAAGGUGACACUGGAGGCUUUUUGAAAAGUGCUUCACGCUCACUUGACAGAUUGAGCAUCCCCUCUGGAUAUUGCCCUCUCUGAUCGAAUCUGAGCACUCAAAUUUCGGUCCUCAGAUGGAGCUACAGCUUUCUCUCCAAUAACCAACAAUUUUCUAAACUCAGCACCUAGUGUGAUCAGAGUUGUUGAUAUUUGUAAAUGGAGAUCCCCGUAUUUGCAAAUGGAGACAUUUACCAAAUCACCAACAUGCUUCAUCCAGUCUACGAAAUUCUGCAGCUGAUUCAAAUCCGGAACCUGAACAAGAGUCGGAGGUAAAUCUUGAGCCAUAUCUAAAGCAGUCUGAAGUUCAAGUACUUGAGCCCUUGACAAUGGUUUUGAAAUUGGAACAUCUUGGAUUACUGCAGACUUGUGCCCCUUGGUUUCAAAGGUAAGGAAAGGCAUUGCUUGAGUACAAUUUGGAGGCAGCUUCUUCACCAAUUUUAUUUGGAGGCGAUUGGCAGCGGAUCCAGCUGCACCAAUUUCAGAGCAAAUACUGACACUACUUCGAACAGCACACUGAAGAAGUGAUAUGUCUACGGCAAAGGCAAUGCAGUCCUCAUUUUGGCUUGAGAUGCAGUAAUCAUCGAAGAGAGUUUCCUUGUGAAACUGGGCAACACAUUGAAUCCCUUCGCCACUGAGAAGGUUGCGGAGGAAGUAAGCUUUCUCUCUAGUGAGGAAGAGGUGGCAUACCUUCCCCAUGUCUAGGGCAGGUAGGAAUCUUUUUUCUAAGAGAUUUACUUCAUUCUCUGUGAGAAAUGCUUUGAACUUCAUCCCUCUGUCUCUAUCCUCACUUAUCAGUAAAAUAGUUGAAAGUGCUACAAGGAGAGAAAAGAAGAGUAUUAAGAUAUAUAUAGACAAGAAAAACAUUAGAUGUCGAUCUUACAAGCUAAUACUUCAAACAGUAUCCUAGAAAGCUAAAAACUGCAAAAUGGCUUGACAUUUGAAAAGAACACAUGCUUUUCCUCCUUAACUUGAGAAAAUGUUUAAUAUAGUGCACCUUACAGAAACAUUUAAGCAAUUAGAACUUUGCACAAAAAUAUUCAAGAAGACUAAACAAAUCAGAUGCAGUGUAUUUCUCCAAGCACAAAUGGCAUUGCAUUUUUUCCUCAACUGUAAUAUUUAUUGAUGAAAAUCAGUACAGGUCCCUCAUUUGUUAUGGAAAGCUUUCUUGUAGUCUGACUGGUUAAUUCACGGAUCUAUAAUUAUCUUGCAAAGUUACAGGCAUUUCUUUCGAUUUAAAGUCUUUGCAUCACCACCUCAUCACACACCUAGCCAAUAUUCCGUCUACUUCUACAACAAAAAGUUUUAAGUAAACGAUCCUAAUGCAUGCAGCCAAAUAAAAUGCAGUAAGAAUAUUCAACUUAAAACUCUGAAAGCCAUCUUGGUGAAUUGCCUCCUUAGGGGAAGUUCCAUGAUUUACUAUACUUGACAGGACUGAGCAAAAGCUUACAUACAACAGAUUUUGAAAAUGAUGAUGCCAAUAGAUACUCAUACAAUCCAUUGAAACUCCUAAGGUCCAUUGUUCACAGAGGUUUACAGAGUUUUGGUUAUCAAAUAGCUCAGACCUUAAUCCCAAACAAAAAACGAGUGAAAAUUAGAUCACCAGCAGCAAAUUGUAAAUUCUAACUUAACUCUUCAUCUCCUUUGUAAACAGGAGACAAAAUGGAGACACGCAAAAUGAAUAAGGAGAACAUUUGAACUCAAAUGAAAUGAGGGCACGAAAGCAAACAAAUGGCAUGCGCAAACAAACCAAGCCUCAAUCAAAAACUAAUUAACCAUUAAAAAACAAAACUGGUCAGCUUCUGGUGUUCUCAAAUUGUAUAACAAGAGAUCGACACAUCGAAUCAGAAGAACUCAAUUCAAAUUUGUCUCAAAAAUCAAAAUUAGAAGAUUUCACAUUUCGAGAGGAACAAGCGACAGGUCAGAUGCAAAAUUUUCAGCCAUAACAUGCCACAAUUAACGGUUUAUUUCCAUGGAUUUAGAGAGCUGACUGACCUUUUGGCUUUUGGAAUUGAGAAGAUCGCGCGCCAAAAUGGAAGAGGGAAAGCGAAAGUGCGGGUUUUAAUAGGGUAUUGGAUUAGCAAAUUUUAUUAGUUUGCGAGGGUAAAAUAGGAAAGUGAUAUCACUAUUAACCUUUUUUUUAAUAAGAAAAAAGAAUAAUAAAGAAUAUUUUAUUGUCAUUUGCAGCAUUUAUUUUUUUUAAAUGCUAUUAGAAAAAUACGACAACAAAGAAAUGCUCUUUUUUUUUUUUUUUUUUUUCUCGAAGGUAAAAUCAAUUAUUUAGCUCCUUAUAUGUAAUCAAACUACAUUUCUUACUUUAAGUCAUAUCCAACGGACCAACAAAGUAAUUAUUUUUUUUUUCAUUCAUUUUUGCAGAAAAUUAAUAACUUAAAAAUAUUGAAAGCUAUUGUAAAAUUUUUUAUUAUCAACCUCAUAGUUUUAUUUUUUGGGAAGAAUUGAAUUUUUUUUUUUAAUUUCCAAGAAUUUCAUUCUCUAGUUUUUCCAUUAAUAUUACUUAUCUUGAUACCCAUCUUAAUUAAAAUCUGUAGUUUUAUUCAAGAGUCAUGCUAUUCAUUCACUCACAGACCAAAGGCUUUCCGCAGCAAUAUUAUUAUUUAAAUUACAACAAAGGGGAAAUCAAAUACGUCAUACAGAAGCUUAAAGCUGAAUCUACAAAAUCUAGAGCUCUCAACUACAUAAAUUACACUUGAUGAUCCUCUACAAGAUGAAGCUUGUUCAAUAUCUCAUCCAAAGCUUGUAAAGUAACAUUAUAACGAUCUUGAGAUUGCCUGCCUUCCUCGACGACCUGCACGAUGCGUUUGUACAAAUCAUCAUACCUGUGCACCGGAUUUUUAAUAUCAAUGCCACUGCAGCUGUGAUCAAGAACAUAAGAGCGUUUAACAUCUUUUCUCCAUCAAGAAAGAAUGUAGUGAGAUGGGAUCUCCUGCAUGCCACUCUGGUUUAGAACACAAAGAAUGUGUCUGCAUAAAUAUCCUCUGAAAUUGAACAACCCACAAACACAAAGCACCUCCAAGUCGGAGGCAUUGUACAAAACAUCGAAAAUAGUUAUGUUUUACAAUCUAUUAGACAUAUUUUAUUAAAUUAAUAUAAAUUUUCUAUAAAAUAAGAAUAUAAUAUUAAAAUAAAUUCACAAAAAAUUAAAGAAUUUUGAAUGUAAAAUAAUUUUAAUAGAUUAAUACGUGAGUUUUUUUAUUAAUAUAAAAAUUAUUUAACUUUAAGAUUUUUUAAAAUCUUUACAAUAAGUAUGACUAUAUUAUUUACAUUUAAAAAUAUUUAAAUAUUAUUAACCUACAAUUAUAUUUGCAUUUGUUAGAAUUUUUUAAGUCAAAUAUUUUGCACUUCUAUAUUAUUAGAAUUAUUGCACACAAAGAAAGAAACAUAUACCUUUAGAAAUUGUUUUCUUUUAAAAUAGAGAUGAUGAUUAGUAUAAGGAUGAAAAAAAUGAUAAAGAAUAUUAAUGAUUAACGAAAUCUCUAUACAAAUUGAUUUUAGUAGGAAAAGAGUGAGAUGAAUGAUUUCUUUUACGGUUAGAAACAUAGAUGAUGAUUAUUAUAACGAAGAAAAAAAGAUAAAGAAUAUUAAUUAUUAAUGGAAUCUCUAUGCAAAUUGAUUUUAGUAGGAAAAAAAAUGAGUUAAAUGAUUUAGAGUGCGUUUGGAAUUGAGAUUGGGCAGCCAUAGAUUUUAAGUUACAAUACUGAAGUGUUUGAUAAAUACUAGCUGCUGCAGAUUGAAAGUUAUAUUGAUAUGAUUUUUCACAUGUAUCAUAGAAAAUAUAUUACAUCUUUAAUAAUUUUUUUAAAAUUUAUAUUUGCUAUAUAUUAUUAAUUUUUUUUUAUAGUUAUAACUUUUUUUCCACAGCAGUUGUAGCUUAAAAGUCACAGCAUCUCAAUCUCAAACAAAUCCUUAGACAUUCAUAGUGUGUUUAUUUUUUGGAUUGGUGAAUCAAAAUUAUUGACAACGCUAACUUCAUCUUCAUUGUUCGCAAUCCAACAGCAGCAGCAAUUGUCACCAAUAAUGAUAUCUCCAAUGAUGAUGACAAUUAUUAUUAUUAUUAUUAUUAUUAUUAAUUUAUUAAUUAAUAUAUUAAUGUUAAUAAUAUUAUUAUUAAGAUUAACAAUAAUUAGUAGUAAUACAAUUUUUUGAAUAAAAAUAAUCACAAUAAUUAAAAUACAAAUUAAUAAUUAUGACAAUAGUUAAUUAAUGUCUUUUUAGUAAUUUGUAAUAAUCUAACUCAUUUUGAUUCUGAUUAUUACAGCUUAAGUAAACAAAUUAUUAUGAUUCCUAUUUUCCUUUCCUAUUUUAACUCACUUCGAUUCCAAUCUAUUCCAAUUUCUAUCUAAUAAAUGCACCAUUAGUGCUAAAGUAAUAUUUCAUACAUAGAAAAAUAAAAACUACACCUAAGGUUAAGGGAAAGGACUUCAAAACUCUCUUUUGAUCAUAAUACAUUUUGUCCUAAUUAACUUAAAGAUUUUGAAUCUAAUAUUUUAUAAUAAAUAAAAAUAUAUUCCUAAAAUAAAUAUAAUAUCAAUAUUUAAAAUAUGUUUUAAUAUUUUACAAUCUAUCAUACACAUUUUAUUAUAUUAAAGUAGAUUUUAUAAUAAAUACAAACGUACUAUUAAAAUUAAUAUAUAAAAAAUUUAGAAAAUUUAGAAUAUUAUAUAAAAUAAUUUUAAUAUAAUGCGUGAGAUAUAUUUUAUUAAUUUAAAAUUUUAUUUUACCUAAAAAUAUGAUAAAUUAAUAAUUACAUAUUUAAAGUUAUUUCAAAUAUUAAAAAAAUUUAAUAUUAUUAGUUUUUUAGAUAGAUUAAAUUAUUUUUAUAAGAGAUAGAUUAAAUUAUUUUAAAAUACCUUAAUUGUUUUUACUUUUAACGUUACCGGCCUUUCUUUUAUUUUAUUGUAAAUUAAUGCUAACAAGAAAAAGCUAGAUCAUAUUCCACAAAAGCAAAAGUGACAAACACAAUCAGCUGGAAUCUUUUAUAAAACUACAAAUUAAAAUGGUUUUUUUUUUUUUUUGAUAAAUUACAUAUAAAAGUGGAUUCUUUUGAAUAUAAGUGGGGUAGGCUCUUUUAUUUUUUUUUAAUACUGUAUAACAAGAUUGUAGACUCCUUGAUUAAGCACAAGUAUAAAGUAGUCGAGACGAUACUUUAUGCUAGGUGUCCAUUGAAUAUUAGAUCUUCAUUUCUUUGGCCAUUUAAUUUUUUCGAGAAAUUUUUCUUACGAUCCCGGCUAAGCUUGAAGAAAAGACAACUCAACGGUUUUUUUAAAACAAGUUUCCGUUUUGGUUGGUGAAAUGAAAACGAAAUAAAGCACUUCCAUCCAAAAAUCAUUCUUCUGGAGAAAGGGAUGACAGAUUAAAGAAAAGGGGUGUACUGAAAGGAGAAAAAAGGUUCUUGCAUGAGAGCUGGACACGUUAAAAGAAGUUGAACAAAUGUCUCAAAAAGAAGCUAUUUCGCUUUCAUACUAAAGCCUAUUUGUAAUAGCAUCAGCAAUGCUCCACUAUCCACAUUCUUGUGCGGAUAUCAUUGCAAUCUACUAAUGGUAUAUAAACAUGCAUGUUGUCCCAUGAUGAUUAAGUUAACACACACUUGGAGGUACUUAAAUUAUGCCAUAAAGAGAUAUAGUUAUUACGCAUACAAAUGUUAUUCAAUGGUUAAAAUGUAUGAUAAAGAAAUCGCUUGAAUUUUUUAUUUGCCGUUACGUAAUUUUUUUAUUGAUUCCGAGUUUGAAUCUUAAAAGAAAUAAAGGGUUAGAAAAUUAAUUUGAACUUUGUCCACUCUUUAACUUAAUGAGUAUAAAAACAGAAAAUGCAGGUAAUUUAAUUUUGACAUCUAACAUUUAAGAGAUAGAGCUUGAAAGAGUCCAAUAUUAAAUUAUAAAAUAAUUGAAAUAAAGUUUGCCCCAUAAGAAAAAUUGAACAAAAAAUCUUAAGUAUGAUAUGAUGCUAGAGAAAUUAUUUAUCUCAAAACUUUUAUUAGGUAAUUAAGUCCUAAGAAUAUGUAAUUACACAUGUAACAAAAAUUAGAGAUGAGGGUCUUUUAUUAAACUACAAAUUGUAUAGUCUUUUUAAAAUUGUUAUAAAUUGGUGGCCCCUACAAUCCUCAAUAAUUGUGCCGAUAUUCACAAGUUGGUGGCCCCUACAAUUAUCAACUGUGCAAGUGCUCAUUCACAAUCUUCCAGGUCAUGCUCUUAAUAAUUGUUUUUUUUUUCUGCAUUCCCUUUCAUGCUCUUAAUAAUUGAAGAGCAUACUUUUCAAAUAUGGAGCCGCAGCUAAUGUCGCUAAUUUAAUUUGGGAUUAAAUUAGGGGACCAUUAUGUUGCAGUGUGCACUAAUUUUUGUGUUUAUCUAAACUCCUUAAAUUUAAGACAUAUUACGGCAUAAAUAAGAAUAUAACAAUAACAAAAGAGUUAAAAAGUGUAGAGAAGAUCUUGCAGAAAUAUAAAUAAUAUCUAUUUUAAAAUAAUAUCAAUAUUUAAAAUAAUUUUUAAUAUUUUAUGAUCCAUUAGAUAUAUUUUAUUAUAUUAAAGUAAAUUUUAUAAUAAAUAAAACAUACUAAAUUUAGAGUAUUUUAAGUAUUAUAUAAAAUAAUUUUAAUAAAAUAUGUGAGAUAUUCAUAUUUUAUUAAUUUAAAAUACCAUUUAACCUAAAGAUUUAUUUAUGAUAAAUUAAUAAUUAUAUUUUUGAAAUUACUUCAAAUAUUAAAAAAAUUAAUAUUACUAAUCUAUUAGAUAGAUUAAAUUAUAUAUAUUAUUUUCUAUUUAUUAAAAAAUUUUAAAAUUAUUUUUAAUUACUAUUCAAAAAAUAUAAUGAUAAAAAAAAAUCUUAACAUCUUUAUUAAAAAUUUAAAAAUUUUCAUGAUCAAUUCUCUAAAUAUUUAGGGUAUAUGUGAACCACGGUGGAGAAGCUUUAUUUAAUAUUAUUGAUUUAAAUAAUAUGUGACAAAACAACUAGGUGGACUACAAAUUAAAGUGGAUUCUUUUGAAUACAAGUGGGACAGACGAUUAGGCUCUUUUUAAUUUUUAUUAAAGGCAAGUAAAAAGUAGUCGAAUAGUCUUUUUCAAAUUCUUGUUUUAUUGUUUUUCAAAACUAACAAGAAAAAGCGAGAUCAUAUUCCACCCCAAAAGCAAAAGUGACAAAACAACCAGCUGUAUUCUUUUAUUAAACUACAAAUUAAAAUGGAUUCUUUUGAAUACAAGUAGGACAGACGAUUAGGCUCUUUUUAUUAAACGCAAGUAAAAAGUAGUCGAAUAGUCUUUUUCAAAUUCUUGUUUUAUUAUUUUUCAAAAUUAGUUUUUGGUAAUUACUGUUUUUCCUUCAAAAGUUAGCGGUUCAUGUUUGCAAGUGUGAAUGUGCGAUGCUCUUUUCUUAAAGGCAAUUACAGUGGGGCCCGAAUGCCUAAAUCUUUUUAAAAUUUUUGCCGUAUAACGAACAGAGGUCAUUACUAAAAUUUCUCUUCCACAGCCUACAGCAGCUUCAGUUUAUCAAACUCAAUCAAUUUUCUUUCUUAACAAAAUUCCAAAGAUGUGUAGCAUUUUUCAGAUCGCAUGCGAUGGUGCUCUUUUCAAUCGUUGCUUGGAUUGCUUUCUUGGAAAAGCAGCAUACCUUCGUAACCUCCCAGAUAAUCUUGUAGACUUGGAGACUGAACUGGGAAGACUAAUCGCAGCAAAGAACGAUGUGAUGAUGAGGGUUGUCAAUGCUGAACGGCAACAAAUGAGAAGGCUGGGCCAAGUGGAAUGGUGGGUUUCGAGGGUGGAUGCUGUUAAAACUGGAGCCGAUGAACUUAUCACAGACGGCUCUGAAGAAAUUGGCGAAUUAUGUGUUGGAGGCUACUGUUCCAAGAACUGCAGGUCAAGCUACAAGUUCGGAAAACAAGUGGCUAAAAAGCUACAAGAUGUGAAGGCUUUAAUCGCCGAGGGAGUUUUUGAGGCGGUGGCUACUGAGGUGGUGCCCGAGAGAGCUCCGGAACCUGUAGCAGAUGAAAGACCCAUUGAGCGAACAGUAGUAGGCUUGCAAUCACAACUUGAACAAGUCUGGAGAUGUCUUGUAGAAGAAUCAGUGGGAAUCAUUGGCCUAUAUGGUAUGGGCGGUGUUGGUAAAACCACACUGUUGACCCAUAUCAACAAUAAAUUUCUUGAGAGUCCCACCAACUUUGAUUGUGUGAUUUGGGUCGUAGUUUCAAAAGACCUGCGACUUGAAAAAAUUCAAGACGAUAUUGGGAAGAAGAUAGGUCUGUCUGAUGAUUCAUGGAAGAAUAAAAGUUUUGAGGAGAAAGCUGUAGACAUCCUGCGGAGUUUAGGAGAGAAGAGAUUUGUAUUGUUGUUAGAUGAUUUAUGGGAGCGGGUUGAUUUAACAAAAGUGGGCGUUCCACUUCCCGGACCACAAAAUACUACCUCAAAAGUCGUAUUCGCAACCCGUUUCAUCGAUGUUUGUGGUAGCAUGGAAGCUGACAGGAAGUUCCUAGUGGCGUGCUUAUCAGAAAAGGAUGCUUGGGAACUGUUUCGAGAAAAAGUUGGGGAAGAAACUCUUCAGAGUCAUCAUGAUAUCGUUGAGCUAGCCCAAAUUGUGGCCAAAGAGUGUGGUGGUUUGCCACUCGCACUUAUUACUAUUGGUCGAGCUAUGGCCUGCAAAAGGACAGCCGAGGAGUGGAUACACGCAGUUGAAGUGCUAAGAAGAUCAGCUUUUGAGUUUGCAGGUUUGGGAAAAGAGGUGUAUCCUCUUUUAAAGUUUAGCUAUGAUAGUUUGCAGAAUGAGACGAUUAGAUCUUGUUUCUUAUAUUGUUGUUUAUAUCCCGAAGAUUAUGGAAUUCUUAAAUGGGACUUGAUUGAUUGUUGGAUUGGUGAGGGAUUCUUAGAGGAAUCUGACAGGUUUAGUGCAGAAAACCAAGGUUACUACAUUGUGGGCACUCUUAUUCAUGCGUGUUUACUAGAAGGGAUAGAAGAUGAUAGAGUAAAAAUGCAUGACGUUGUUCGUGAUAUGGCUCUAUGGAUAGCUUGUGAAAUUGAGGAGAGGAGACACUUUUUGGUUUGUGCAGGCGCUGGAUUAGAACAGGCACCGGCUGUUAGAGAAUCGGAAAAUGUGACAAGAUUGUCAUUGAUGCAAAACCAAAUUAAAAUUCUGUCGGAGGUUCCCACAUGCCCUGAUCUCCUCACUUUAUUUCUUGACUUUAAUGAGGAGUUGGAGAUGAUCGCGGAUGGCUUCUUCCAAUUUAUGCCUUCUCUCAAAGUUUUGAAGAUUUCAAACUGCGGGAAUUUUACUUUUCAAUUACCUUUGGGGAUGUCAAAGUUGGGUUCACUAGAACUUUUUGAUAUUUCACGCACCGAAAUACAAGAGUUACCAGAAGAGUUAAAGUUGUUGGUAAAUCUGAAAUGUUUGAAUUUGAGGUGGACAAGCAAGUUAAUUAGAAUUCCACGGCAACUAAUAUCAAAUUCUUCAGGGUUACGUGUGUUGAGAAUGUUCGCUACUGGCUAUGAAUGUUUUCAUGAAGCACCAGAAGACAGCGUUUUAUUUGGUGGGGGUGAAGUUUUAGUACAGGAAUUGCUCGGUUUGAAAUAUUUAGAGGUAUUGGAGUUGACCUUGGGAAGUUAUCAGGCUCUCCAAAUCUUUUUGAGCUCAAAUAAGUUAAAAAGUUGUAUUCGAUCUCUUUUCCUCCAGUUGGCCGGAGAUACAAAGUCGAUUAUUGAUGCUGCGGCUUUCGCAGAUCUAAACCACCUCAAUGAAUUAUAUAUUUAUGAAGGUAUUGAGUUGGAAGAAUUGAAGAUUGAUUAUACAGAGAUAGUACGAAAAAGGCGGGAACCUUUUGUUUUCCGCAGCCUUCACCGUGUUACCAUAUUUAGUUGCGGUAAAUUGAAAGAUGUGACAUUCCUCGUUUUUGCUCCAAACCUCAAGUCUCUUGAGCUAUUGCAAUGCGAUGCUAUGGAAGAAAUAAUCAGCGUCGGAGAAAUUGCUGAGACUCCUGAGAUGAUGGGACACAUAAGCCCUUUUGAAAAUCUCCAAAGUCUUCAUUUAUCGUAUUUACCAAUUUUGAGGAGCAUCUACUGGAAGCCAUUGCCUUUCACUCAUCUCAAAAAAAUGGAGGUACGUAGAUGCGAUCAGCUUAGAAGGCUUCCGCUCGAUUCCAACAGUGCAACAGAGCGUAAUGUUGUUAUUCGUGGAUACACACUCUGGUGGAACCGACUUCAAUGGGAGGAUGAAGCCACUCAAAUUGCUUUUCGUUCCUGUUUCCAACCUCGUUCCUGAGCAGUGGUCGCAAAAUUUGAUUUCUGGUGAGUGCGUUUGUCUUUUAAAAAGAAGAAUUUAAAAGAAAUUUAUUCUUGUCGUUUUCUUCACUGUUUUUAUUUGAUUUCUGGUUAGUUUCUUUCUCUCUCUCUCUCUCUUUGUCUUCUGCAAAUCACAAUUAAAUGUUGAAUUAAUGGAAUUGAUGCUCUGGUUUUUUACUUUUUGUUGUCAAAUUUUGCCCUGUUCUAUCUUCUUAGCGAUUUAAUUUCCUGUCAAAAGACGAGCGAGAAGAACAUAUAUAUGACUUAAACCAAUUGAUACUUUAUUUAUGUGCAUUGUAUGUAAUAAAUAUUAAGUAUACUUUAUUUUUGCCCUGUUCUCUGUUUUUAUUUCAGUCUCUCUCUCUCUUUCCUGUCUUCUGCAAAAUAUAAUCAAUUAUUUUCAAAAUAUCAUUGAUGAUUUUUCUGCUCUAAUGCUAUGUAAAUAGUAUGUUAAGUAAAACAUAAUCAAUUAUUUGUGUUUUAUCUCUAAUUAGAACAUCAAUCAGUUCAGUACCUCACAAAUAAUUCGCAAUAUCUACAAAAUACUAUAAUGGCUACAAAACAAAUCCUGCUUGCAAAUUGUCAAGGAUACCUAUCCGUUCGCUUGACAAGUCAUUUGAAUAAAUAUUGUUCACAUUCCUUACUCUAUCAAUUAUCCAAAGCACCAUCAAUGGUCCUCAACUUUAGUUUGAAUAGUAUACAUGCCAUCACCAUUACCAAGAAUCAAGCAUGGAAGAGUCAUUCUAUAGAGUUAAUCGAAGCAAGGAAUGAUGUAUCAGAAAAUAUUUGGUGGAGAAUUCAGCACAAACAUAUUUUGGAUGAUCAGAAUCAAUAAAACCUGGUGGUUGCGCCAUAUAAACAUCUUCGGAAAGCUGACCUUGAAGAAAGGCGUUAUUGAUAUCCAAUUGACGAAGAGGCCAGCCAUGACUAACAUCAAUACUAAGAACAAGCCGUACUGUGGUGGACUUAACAACUGGACUGAAAGUGUCAUAAUAGUCCACACCAGGCCAUUGAUUGAACCCUUUGGCAACAAGAUGAGCUUUAAACCUGUCAACAGAACCGUUGGAAUGUCUUUUAAUACAAAAAUCCAUUUGCAGCCAACAAUAUUGGAAGGGAUGGGAGGUGGAACAAGCUUCCAUGUCCCGUUACGAACAAGAGCAUCAUACUCUUCUGACAUAGCUGGACGCCAGUGAAGAUUUUUGAUAGCUUGCGUCACAGUUGUAGGUUCACAAUCAGAAGAAGGGCUAAAAUGAGCACGGAGGUUAAGUUUUUGUAACGGCUUGUGAAUCUUAUUUUUAGCUCGGGUAGUCAUAUCAUGAUGACUUGUGGGGCAAUGAUCUAGUGGAGUUUAGGAAGAUGAUUGAACAGGAAGUGAAGAAGUGCUUUGUGUAGAGGUAGAAGUAGGUUGGGAGGAUUGCUGCGGAGAUGUUACCGGUAGAGAAGAAGGAGCAGUACACGGUGGCAACUCCAGAGGGCCCACAAUAGAUGGAGUAGGUGCCGACAAUGGAGUACUAGGAAAUGAAACAGGAAGAAUUGGUGGAACACUUGCGUAAUUAGGAGUGGUAGAUGAGCUUGUAAUGAUUUGUAUGGAAAAACAAACUCUACAAAUUUAACGUGACGUGAAAUAAAAAUUCAACCCGAUUGCAUAUUUAAGAACAUCUCAAAUGAAUUGCUUACUGCUAUCAUCAUCAUUAUUGUCUAUAUAAUAAUGGAUCUUUAUUAUAUAUAUGUUUCCACUAAAAUAUAUUUAAUUAUUCUUUAUUUUUCUAUUGUUGCGUGUAAGAUUUAUUUGAGUUCUAAGUUAUAUCAAUACAAAUGUUAUCUUAUCCAUAAAAAGUUAGAUCCAACAAUUAUGAAAAUUACUAUAGAGUUGCUUUCAAUUAUUUUUUUAAAAUACCAGGAGUAAAUAAUAAUUAGUUCAAAUGGUGGAGACUAAAAUGCGUUCACCUUUAUUUUUUAUCUGUUAUUUACUUUUGUCAUUACAUUAAUGCACAUGCUAUACAUUUGAGACAUUCCAUUAAUUGCCAAUUAUGUAUGUGAGAUAGUAAUUUAAAUUAAAAAAUAAAAGUGAAAGUUAAUCCUAUGCAAUGUGAAUAAAUUUCUUUCCUUUUUCCUUUACUCUUUUUAUUUGACAAUAAAGUUUCCAUCUAUCAUCUAUCAUCUAUGUACACAAAAUUUCUGCAACAAGUACAAAACAUAAAAAUAUAUGAAUAUUAAGGGAAACACGCAGAAGUUCAUCAUUUCAAUGUUCAGUAUUACCAAUUUUGGCAUUAAGCUUGUACGAAUAUAUUCUACUUCGAAAGCAAAAUAUUAGACUCGUGAUUUUAAUUCAUUCAUUAUCUCUCAUUUUAAUCCCAAAAUAUUCAAGAGUAUCCAAGUUACCAUAAGACUUCAGAGGCUCGAGCCUUAGCCAGAGAUGGUUAAUUGAUAGACUAUGUGCCUGGGUCGAGCACUGGAAGCCUGCAAUGCAGACUGAUUGAUUUAUCAGUUUAACGUGUGCCAGGAAUGAAGAACUGGAAUAUCACCGUCAAGCAAGCACCCUGUGGAGCAAUACCAAAGAAUGCACAAUCUGGCUUUGCUAGGUGACCCUGGAGGCUUUUUGAAAAGUGCUUCAUGCUCACUUGCACAGAUUGAGCAUCCCCUCUGGAUAUUGCCCUCUCUGAUCGAGUCUGAGCACUCAAAUUUCGGUCCUCAGAUGGAGCUACAGCUUUCUCUCCAAUAACCAACAAUUUUCUAAACUCAGCACCUAGUGUGAUCAGAGUUGUUGAUAUUUGCAAAUGGAGAUCCCCAUAUUUGCAAAUGGAGACAUUUAACAAAUCACCAACAUGCUUCAUCCGGUCCACGAAAUUCUGCAACUGAUUCAAAUCUGGAACCUGAACCAGAGUCGGAGGUAUAUCUUGAGCCAUAUCUAAAGCAGUUUGAAGUUCAAGACCUUGAGCCCUUGACAAUGGUUUUGAAAUUGGAACAUCUUGGAUUACUGCAGACUUGUACCCCUUGGUUUCAAAGGUAAGGAAAGGCAUUGCUUGAGUACAAUUUGGAGGCAGCUUCUUCACCAAUUUUAUUUGGAGGCAAUUGGCAGCGGAUCCAGCUGCACCAAUUUCAGAGCAACUACUGACACUACUUCGAACAGCACACUGACGAAGUGAUAUGUCUACGGCAAAGGCAAUGCAGUCCUCAUUUUGGCUUGAGAUGCAGUAAUCAUCGAAGAGAGUUUCCUUGUGAAACUGGGCAACACAUUGAAUCCCUUCGCCACUGAGAAGGUUGUGGAGGAAGUAAGCUGUCUCUCUAGUGAGGAAGAGGUGGCAUACCUUCCCCAUUUUGUCUAGGGCAGGUAGGAAUCUUUUUUCUAAGAGAUUUACUUCAUUCUCUGUGAGAAAUGCUUUGAACUUCAUCCCUCUGUCUCUAUCCUCACUUAUCAGGAAAUAAGUUGAAAGCACUAUGAAGAGAGAGAGAGAGAGAGAGAGAAUUAAGAUAUAUAGACAAGAAAAUAAUUAGACGUUGAUCUUACAAACUAAUACUUCAAGCAGUAUCCUAGAAAGCUAAAAACUGCAAGAUGGCUUGAAAUUUGAAAAGAGCACAUGGUUUUCCUCCUUAACUUGAGAAAAUGUUUAAUAUAGUGCACCUUACAGAAGCAUUUAAGCAAUUAGAACUUUGCACAAAAACAUCAAGAAGACUAAACAAAUCAGAUGCAGUGUAUUUGUCCAAGCACAAAUUGCAUUUUGUCCUCAACUUUAAUAUUUAUUGAUGAGAAUCAAUACAGGUCCCUCAUUUGUUAUAGAAAGCUUUCUUGUAGUCUCACCAGUUAAUUCACAGGUCUAUAAUCAUCUUGCAAAGUUAAGGGCAUUUCUUUCGAUCUAAAGUCUUUGCAUCACCACCUCAUCACACGCCAAGCCAAUAUUCCAUUUACCUCUACAACAAAAAGUUUUUAAGUAAAUAAUCCUAAUGCACGCAGCCGAAUAAAAUGCAGUAAGAAUAUUCAACUUAAAAAUCUGAAAGCCAACUUGGUGAAUUGCCUCCUUAGGUGAAGUUCCAUGCUUUACUAUAGUUGACAGAACUCAGCAAAAGCUUCCAUACAACAGAUUUUGAAAAUGAUGAUGCCAAUAGAUACUCAUUCAAUCCAUUGAAACUCCAAAGGUUCAUUGUUCAUAGAAGUUUACAGAGUUUUGGUCAUCAAAUAGCUCAGACCUAAUCCCAAACAAAAAACGAGUGAAAAUUAGAUCACGAGCAGCUAAUUGUAAAUUCUAACUUAACUCUUCAUCUCCUUUGUAAACAAGAAACAAAAUGGAGACACGCAAAAUGAAUAUGGAGAAAAUUUGAACUCAAAUGAAAUGAGGGCACGAAAGCAAACAAAUGGCAUGCACAAAAAAACCAAGCCUCGAUAAAAAACUAAUUAACCAUUAAGAAAAAAAUUGGUCAGAGAAUGAACUCCAAAUUCAGGAGUCAAGCAAGAAGCUUUCAUUAUUUCAGAAGCUCCUGUACAAAUUAAUAAGUUAUGCUCUUUGGAAGCAAACCUAAAUUCCAAGAGAAACAGAACCCAAAAAAUUUGCAAUUAUACGCAAAGGAAGUGAAGCACAGGAUUCUAUCACACAUAGGAAUUGUAUAACAAGAGAUCGAUAUAUCGAAUUAGAAAACUCAAUUCGAAUUUGUGUCAAAAAUCAAAAUUAGAAGAUUUCACAUUUCGAGAGGAACAAGCAACAGAUGAAGUUCAAAAUUUCAGCCAUAACAUGCUAAAAAUGCUACACUUAACGGUUCAUUUUCAUGGAUUUUCUCGGGAAACAAACAGAAAAUUACGGUUUAGAGAGUUGACUGACCUUUUGGCUUUUGAAAUUGACCAGAUCGCGCGCCAAAUUGGAAGAGGGAAAGUGAAAGCGCGAGUUUUAAUAUGGGUAUUAGAUAAGGAAAUUUUAUUAGGUUGCGAGGGUAAAAAAGGAAAGAGAUAUCAUUAUUUUAUUAUCGAUAAUUAUUAAAUUUUUUUCCAAAAAAAAGAACAAGCAAGGAUUUUUUAUUGUCAUCACUAAGUUAAAAAAAAUUGUUUCAAAAUUACUUGAGUCAUAUCCAAUGGACCAACAAAGUAAUCGUUUUUAUUUUUAUUGAUUUUUGCAGGAAAUUAAUAACUUAAAAAUACUGAAAGCUACUGUAAAAAUUUUUAUUAUCAACCUCAUAAUUUUUUUUUUUUGGGGAAGAGAAUUCAAACUUUUUUUUUAUGAAUAUCGCUGUUUCGUUUGAGUUGGAUGUGAAUUCAAAUCCAAAUAUUCUUUGUUUUUCAAUUUUGAACUCAAUUUCUUUUUCUCAAGAAUGUUAUGCAGAAAUAAUUUUUACUAAAUCUUUUUUGAUGAAUUGUUUAAAUUAAACAAUUGGAAUAAGAAUUGUAACGAUUUAUCAUAAGCGUGCUAAUAUGAUAACUUGUUUUACGAAGGAUUAAUUAAUCAAUUAAUAUUAAAUUAUAUAUUAGUCAAUUAGAUAUGUGUUACAUUUAUCAUGUUUUGUAGGUGAUAGUACAUCAUUUCUAAAAGAAUAUAGUACGUUAAAAUAUUAUUUUAAUGAAGAAAAUUUUAUUAUUUUAUUAUUAGGUGACACAAUAAUAAAUGGAUUUCUGUAAGAAUUGAGAUUCUUGAUAUAAUUAUUACAUAAGGAGAAGUUUAGUUGGUUCAAUUUUGACGUGAUAAGAAGACAACACAGCACAGAAAACCCAAAUUGCCACUUCCACUAAUAAAAGAUACCUGUUUGAAAAGUAAUUAUAAACUAUCUUCUUUGUGUUAUUUCUCAAAACUUUUGUGGCACAAAUGUUAUUUCCAUUGACAACAGUACGAAAUACCACCCCUUUCACUUGAGCAGGAGCAAAGCAAAGGUAUGAUGAGCUAUCUCUGUAUAAUUGAAACGCCAUUACUAAACGAUUCUUGAUGAUGGGAGCCACCGUGCCAGCUUUGUCGCUGAUUUGCAUGAUUUAUUAGUUGUCCAGAUGGCGGAUUUUGUACUGUUACCUUCGUUUCAUUCUUCAGAGCCAUGUACUGUUCUAGGAUACCAGAGAAACCAAGGUGGCAUUGAAGUUGCCCUGGUGGUUAGUUUUCCGAUCAUUUUUUUAUUCAAUUAUUUAUGUUUUUAGAAAAAUGUAGGAAAUAUGUAGAAAUGUUGACAGCUAUGAUUUUGAAACUUUUGCCUAAAAUUGUUAUCAUUACUUGUUGUUUCUUAUUUAAAGAGAAAUUCUAGAAACAUGAAAUGAUUAUUCUACGCUUGUUUUAAUAUUGUGCUAUGAAGAUUACGAAGGUUUGAUUAUAUGUCACUAUCAAUUGCCUUAAUCGUUUGUCGUAAAUCAAUUAAGCAUUUUGAUGCGAAUGAUUCCCUAUUAAAAAAUUCAAGUCAGAGCUGAAUUGCAAAGUAGUUAGUCGUGCUUGCAAUUCAAAUUAAGUAUUGUAUUUUCUCCCUGAUUUGGUUGAUUCAACUAUGUGCAUUUGCUUAUGAACGUUGCAGUAUAGAAAUCGAAAUAUCUUGUCUUUUGCUAAGCCCAGAAGCAAAUUCUUUGUAUUCUACUCAUCAGUUUUCUUCAUUCUCUUUGUUGAAAUUUUAUCUAAACAGCGGUUUCUUCGAAUUUAUGCCUUCGCUUACUCUUUUAAAUUUUAUCCAAACAACGGUUUUGAAAUUGUUUUCACUACAAUACCUUAGUCUUUCAGAUGCUCCCGUCACUGAGUUGCCAGAAGAGCUAAAAGCCUUGGUAAAUCUUAAGUGUUUGAACCGGAGUACACAAAUUAUCUCUCUACAUUUCCAAAGCAAUUGAUUUGUUACUUUUCGAUGCUACAUGUUCCGCGAAUAUUCAGUUGUGGUUAUCUUGUUCAGAUACCAGAAAAUAGCGUUAUAUUUAGUGGUAAUGAAUUCUUGGUUUGGGAGUUGCUUAGUUUAAAACGUUUAAAUGUAUUAAGCAUCAUCUUGAAAAGUUUUUCUGCUGUCCAAAAACUUAUGAGCUUCCAAAAGUUUCAAAGCUGUACACAAUGCAUGGAGCUUGUAGACUGUGAUGAUCCAAAGUCAUUUGCCGUGGCAGAGUUGAAGCAUCUUGAAAAACUAGGUUUUUCAAGUUGUGGAAAUUUGGAAGAGUUAAAGUUCUGCUGUGUCGAAGUUGCAAAGGCUCGAGAAUGUUUUCGUUUGAACAGCCCUCACUGAGUUAAGAUGAAGGCUUGUCAUAAAUUGUGGGAAGCGACAGGUUAUUCAAAUAGAAAAAUUUAUGGAGAUGGAUGUUAAUCUUAAGGUUAUUCAAUUAGAAAAAUUUGAAUAAAAUUUAUGGUAAGUGCUUUUCCAUUUAUUGCAUAUUUAUAUCUAAUUUUUAUUUUCCUUUAUUGUUAAAUUUUGGUCUCUAUUUGUUGUUGUAUGGUGGCAUUCUUGUACAAUUAUUAGCUUUUCAUUUCUCUUCUCACAUUAACUGCCCUUCUGAUCAUGUAGGAUUUGCUGAUGCAAAGAGUCAUAAUUUGGGAUACAAAUGUAAGAAUUAGACAGAUGACAUGUUGUUUUGAAGCUCUCAAAGAAGGACUAAUUAUGUCAUUGAAAGCCUCCAAUUUUGUGAUUGGUUUCUUUUUAUUUUAUUUGUUGUUUUCUCUAUUUUCAGAUCACUUAAUUGUUAGUUGUUGUAAUGUAAUGUUUUAGUAUAGCAAAUUAUAUUCGGCCAAGACAGUGAUAGGAGGGCACAUUGUGCAUGCACACUAGUGGAUUUGGCAUGCCAAAUCCAAUUAGGAUGGAUAACACUUUAUAAGCAUUAGGCUUCUCUCAUACCUGAGUAAUAUAGAAUAUGUUUAUAAGUUGUGAAUCACCCUUUACAAGUGUUAGGCUUCUGCUAUACUCAGUGAUGUGAAAUAUAUUUAUAAGCACUAAACUUCUCCCAUACACUUUAUGUUAAUAAUAAUAAUAAUAAUAAUAAUAAUAAUAAUAAAAUAAUAAUAAAUAAACCCAUUUUAACAGACUCUUUUUUCUUUUUCUAUAUGAACAAAUGCAUUCUUCAAAGCAACUGUGGGGAGAAGAAGUGAGUAGAGAAGAACUGAGCCCCUGUCAUUCCCCUAAAACCUCACCAAAACCUCUCUUGUAAGCUUCUCGGAUUUUCUUUCUAUAUUUCUUAGGAACUCAUUUUUUAUUGAAUCACUUAUUUUGCAUGCUGCAUUUUUUGGUUGUCGUAUUUGUGUAUUAUCUUAUCUGGAAUGCUGUUAUGAUUGAUGGAACAAGUAAUCGAUUUUUGGUCUAAUGGAAGUUGAUUUAUUUAUUUAUUGUUGUUUUUAUUUGAAAUUAUGUACAAUUGUAUUUCAUUCAUUUCUCUCUCUUUUGCUUUUUUCCCCCCAUAUAUUUGUUAUGUAUAAUUGCGUUUCAUUUAAUAUUGAUCAUACUGUAGGUAACCAUGUGAUUGUAGAUGGGGAUUUCGAGUUUGUUGAAUAUUCAUGUAAGUGAAGUAACCGUCACAAUACUAGUGAAAUUGGGAGCUUUAUUCAUGAGUUUGUGGUUUUGAAAAGUACCACAGUUCAACUGGUGAAGGCUCCGUUUUGGGAUUCUUCUUUUUCUAGGCUGCAAUUAGGAUAUGUACAUGAUAGACAAUCUUUUGUUGGUUUAGCAUAUCUUCGCUGAUUUUGUCUUUUAUUCCCCAAUUUUAUAAUUACACACCAUGAAUGUUGGGUGAUUGUAUAGAAAAUUUGUGUUAUAACAAAAACAUUGUGAAGGAGUUUCCGUGCUAAUAGUUAGUGGCUUCUGUUUUAUUGGCAUUGAUUGGGUAGAUUACGUGUUACAGUGAUUCAAUUUGUGUUCCAAACUUUGCUUUAAUUUUCUGUUUUCCCCAACUAUUUAUGUCAAAUUUAAAUCCAGAAGCAUGUGCUGAUUUUUUCUUUUUGUAUUAAUCUGUGAAGUUUAUUUGGAAUGGAAGUAACUGGGUCGGGUCUAAUGGAUUAAAUUAUGACAUUGAGGGGAAGGCACUAAAAGGGUUUGCUUGACACAUUUGGUUCUGUGUUUACUCUGCAAGAAAUAACUUUUGCUUAUUGCAAUGCAGGGGGAAAUCCCGAUUUGGCUGGUGAAUUUCUCUGCAACAAACAGGCAAACACCUCAACAUCUUCUGUCCAUACUUCUGCUGGGGAGGCAAGGGGUAAAGAGUCUUCAAAAUCAUCAAAUAGUUACAUCUCUGAGAAUUCAUUUUAUGGAAAUGGAAAAUCUAGAGUUUCUAAUACAAAAUGGCAUCUGGUAUCAGGACGUACCGUUUCAAGUUUUCUUGGUAAAGAUUAUGUUAAACCUGCACAGCCAGCUAAUGGCACUUUUCUGGCAUCAAAGCCAUUGAAGUUGGAUCCAAGGGAGUUUCGCAUUUCUGCACUUUCAGAGAAGAAACUAAACCGACAAUCAAAGGAUGACCAUUUGCAGAAGGAUAUGGAAGAUUUUCUUUUUAAAUUGCUAGGAGAAGGGUUCCAGCUGUACAGGGAUGUGAUUCAGGAGGUUCAUGGUAACGUCUUAAAUAUAUUGAUGCCAAUUUAAUACAUAUUGUCCUUUUCAAUGUUCUUUCUUUCUUUCUCCUCUUUUUAUUAUUCUUCUUCUUCUUUUUUCUUUUCAUGUGCAUGUGAUCACUAAUUUGGUAUUAUUCUUGACUUGCAGAUAGUUGUGGAUAUGAAAUGCAAAAGGUAAGGGCUAUAUCUUCUUGAUGGAGGCCUCUGAUUUUUUAAAUCGCAUUUUCCUUUGUGAUUGAUAUAUCAUACCAAAGUCAAGUCUUAAAUACUGCUGUCAUAUGUUAAGGUUCAACUUCCAUUUUGAUUAACGUCGAUUUGCUACUGCUUCCAAAAGUGAGAAUGAGAUACUUUGGUUAAUUUCAGUAGUUGAACUCAAUGGAGUACUUUAUUUAGAUCUUCAUGGUUCAAAGGCCUGAAAAAACUUGCCGGUAUUUGCAAAAUGACAUCUGUGCUUUUAUUUAGACUUAUUAUUAAAGACAACAUUUUAUUUCAGCCAAAAAUGUUUGUUUCAAUUAAAGACUUGAACCAUUUUCAUUUAACCUGAUUGUGAUGCUUUACAUUAUGCAUGUUCCUCUCAAUCAAUAAAAGUUGAGGUCAUGAUUUUAUAUUUCUAUUUUGUAACUUGAAAUAAUUGGUCUGCCUGUUUCUGUUGCUUGAUAACAUGAAUUUUUCCUUCUGAAGUUAAUUUGAUCAAUAAAGUAAUUCUUCGGAGAGGAUAUGCCCAUUCUAUAGUCAUUUUCUUAGCUAACAUGUUUUUUCUUCACUCUUCAAAGCAUGUCUAAACUAAUUGAUCGCUCAGCGGAGACUUUGGGUGAGAAGACAAAAUUUCUUGGUAAAUCCUCUGAAAAGGUAUGCAUAAUUCCCGAGUAUUAAAUAAUCAUUGGUCAUAAUUUUUGUACACGACUCUUGUUUUGGAGAUCGUUAAAAGUGGUUGAUGAUCUAUUUUGUAAUAUCAUAGAGGGAUCAUGAAUUCCUUUUCUUUUCUGUGGCUAGGCAACACUUUCGAGCCAAGCUAAGGAAAUCUAUUUUAGGUAAUGUGAAAACUAGUUGUAGGAUGUAAUAGUUUAUUAUGCCCUGACAAUAACUUUUUGUAUAAUUGUCAGUUUAAUGAAUACAAGAGGAACUCUGUUGGCAAGUUCAUCCAUGAUAGAUGCUAAAAUUAUUUAUGCAUACCAGUUGCCUUAACUAAUUUUUCUCAACACUGGUAUUGAACAGGAAAAUGAAUAUGCAAUUUGUAUAUUGUGCCAUUGUGGAGAAUUUGGAUAUUCUUAUUUAAGUAACAAGGAGAGUAUUUGCCUCAUCUUUAAACAAUGAAUCUUUGAGAAAUGAGGAGUGGGUGAUUGACAGUGUCUUCAUGUAAAUGUUCAUUUAUUUGUAUUUUGAACUAUUAUGAGAAUCUUUGUAUGCCAAAUUAGUAAUACAAAUGUUCAGAUGAUUUUUCCUGUUGAUCAUGCGUGUGUAUCUGCACACAACCAUUGUGUACCACUUUAUUCUGAUGCACAAAUAUCUGUAGUUUAGAAGAAAAGAAAUAAUAAUCAUAUAUUAUUGCUUGGUUCAUGAUUAUUAAAUGAUUAUGGCUUUAGAAAAUCCACAAAUCCUUUGUGUUCAUAUAUGAAUGUGCGAAGUUCGCUAUAUCUUAGAUUACCUUCUUCCAAGAUAACAAGUUCAUAUAUUUUUUUUAAUCCUUUUUCAUCACAGUUGAAUUUCAAGUGUAAGUUUUGUUAUUAAUAGCUGGUUUCCUGUUAUUAUGAUUUCAUAAACAAUGAGAGGAUAUGUGCUCUACUUUUGGAUGGCCUCCACAUAAAAGAAAAUUGCAACAAUUGAAUUCUUCUGGAGGGUAUGGUAUUUAAUUUAUUUUCUCAGCUUGUUGUAAGACUAAUAUAUUUCCUUCAGUACGCACGGCAUGGUGGGAAGGGUUUUUAUUGAAAGAAUUAUGAUAUUUCUUAGACUUUGUUUUGGAAGGGGGUGGAGGGAUUUCUCAUCCAUGUAUGGUUACUUGAUUAGCUUUUGACUGUACUGUCUCCGUCGUGCAAAGGAAAAUCCAAAUACUAACGAAGGGGAAUUGCUUAGGCACCCAAAGGACAGAAAUGAAUUACGGAAGGAGGUUUUUGCUGCUUUAUUUAGUGCUGCUGAGAAAUCUGAUGAAUUUCCUGAAAUUACGGUGAAGACGGAGUGGAGGUCCAACGCAUUAGGAAAGGUGGUGAGUGAACCGCCAGAGGAAUUAGUACCAGAAUACAAGGCUAAUGUGGUGCACUGGCAGCAAGAUGACCAGACCUGUAUGUGCUCUUAUAUUAACUAUAUUGGCUGGAUUUGUGAGUGUGUUCAUUUUUGUGUGUAUACUCACUUUUGUAUUUAUGCAUAUUCACGUGUGUAGGAUUCUCGAUUUCUGCCACUUACUGGAGAACUAGUGGAAAGCUUUAUACUGAUAUAUGUGCUAUAUAACUAAUGGAAACUACAAUAUGAAUAUUUUCUCUCACCUGGAGAGCAGUGUAACUAAUAUAAUUUGUGGCUCUGGAAUACUGAAGAUUCUGCAAUAACUAAUGGAAAAUAUGAUAUGAAUAUUUUUUCUCACCUGGAGAACUUUGUAACAGAUACAUUUUGUGCUGGAAUGUCUAAAGAAUGCUUCAGUUUAUAUCAAAUAUCUUUUAGUUAGAAAAGAUAAAAUUCUCUGAAUCUGAAAGACUGAAACAUUUUGCAUAUUUCGUGAAAGGCAAGUAUCUGUAGAUACUAGCUCAUGCAUUGAGGUAAUAUCAAUGUUAAAGAAAAACAGCAAUAAUUUAUUAUACAGAAUUAGGUUCACUUGCUUUAAAUGCUGGUCUGAUCAACCAUAUCAACCUGUAAUGGUCCUGCAGAAAUAUAUAUACGGGGAGAAACUAGCUAAUUUUCCUUUCACUUAUGGGUUUGGUCUUUUUUUCCCCAAUUUUUCAGCUUUCCUUCUCCUGAAGUAUGUUAAUAAUUGCAGAUAAUGGCGAAGAGGACUGCUUCCAGGCUACCGGCAAAAACUUUGUGAAAGCUUUGGAGUUAAACAGGGAAUUCACUUACUGCUAAGGACAAUUGGUGGCGAGCUAUUUCAUUCAUUUUAUGUCCAUACAUCUAUUUAAUUAUUAAAGAUAAUGUACGCAUUUGUAAAUUUCAGAUUGUGUGUCUCUGAAAAUAACAAUAUUUAAAAUGUCUCUUAAAUUAUUAUAAAUUUUAAUUUACUCUCGAUUUAAAAUGGAACAUGUUGGUGAAAUAUUUUUUCUUCUUAAUAAAAUUGAAAUAAAUUAUGUUAGCAGUAGUUUGAAAUAUUUUAAAGAUGAUUAUUUUAUAAGGGAGUAAUAUGAAAUGAAAUUUACUUUUCAUGCGUGAAAUGUUGAAAAAGGACAAAGCAAGUGUCCCUGCUUUUAUUUUAUUUCAAAGUGGAGUCAUCUCACAUACUUUAGCUCUAUCAUUAGGAGCCGGCUAAGUUACGUUAAACGUAAUUUACGCCAGGCACAGCAAUAAUGACAAGUCCCAUGACUAGUAUUGUUGCUGUGUCUGACGUAAGUUACGUUUAACGUAACUUAGCCAAAGCCCUAUCAUUAAUAUAUAUUUAAAUUUAACACAUGCAUGUGGGUUACUUUUCCGUAAGUUCCUUAAUAUAUAUUUAACACAAAUCAUGGAAGAGAUGGGAGUAUAUCAAGAUGAUCAAAGCAUGAAACAAAAAUAUUUAAGAAGUAAAACACUGAAAAUGGAGAAGAGAUGCAAGCAAAAGAUAUUCUAAAGAAAAGCAAUCUAUCCCCUUUCGAGGGCAAACUUAUCAGGUUUAAGAAAAGUACAUGCUUUGGAUUGGUAGUUGCAGCCUUGCAGGAUAAUUGUUUUUGCCACUAUAUUAGUUGGAGGAGUUGAACCCAGUGAAGAAUGUUAUGGAAGAGCAAAUGAUAUUUCUGAUAGACUCUAUUUGAUUAUGUAGCCUGAAUAGAUGUCUUGUUGAAAGAUAUAUCAGUGCAUUAGUUCAUCCUUGUCUGUCAAUGUGUUUUUAAUGGUUUUUCCAAUUGUUUUUUUUUUUUUUGAAACUGAUUAAGCAUCAGGUUACUGCAUUACACAGAUAUAUAUACAACUGCUAUGACAGCAGGUCAUUACACUGAUAUUUACAAUCAGAUAUAUAUACAUGGGACUUAUAUUAUUACAUUUUUAUUCUAUGAAGUACAUGCCCAUCCCAAAUACCCCUCACGGAGGAGGGAUGUCUCUACUCCACUCGCAUUUCGCAAGGGAGAAAGACGUUUAUAGAAAUCUCCACACAAUUAUGUUUAAUUGGAGGAGGUUGAGUCCGUGGGGACUCGAACCAUUGCCCUCAAAGUCAUGCUUAACUUUGAGGGCAAUGGUCCACCACUGGGCUACAAGCCCAAGUGGCGGUUUUUCCAAUUGUUUAUUGCUAUAGAUUGAUUGUAAAUUGAUGUGAACUUAAUGUUGAAAUAUUUUCUCUUUAGUGGAAUGAAAGUUAAACAUUCAAGAUUAGAUUAUUCAAGGUCCACAUAGUAUGUGUUCCGUUGUGUUGUCUGUAAUUUUGCAUUUAAAUAAAUUUGAGUGCUGCCGUUUCGCUCCCACAAUCUCUCGCCUUUUUUUAAUUUUAAAAAUUAAAAUAUUAAUAAAAAACAAUAAAGAAAAUCGAAUCCUUUAUGUCAUUCCAUCUUUACAACUCUCUCUCACAAACUCCAUCUAACAGACUUCUCUCUUACUAUCUCGGUCGAACAAGACCAGUGACAAUGAUGACACGACCGCCGACGAUGAGAUGGUCAUCGCUAAAGAAUCGGGCCGUGUAUUUUACAAUUUCUUGGUUUGUGACAACAAUGGAAAACUCCUGAAAAUUUUGAAUUUGUAGUCGAGCAAAGGAAGAAGCAAGUUAUCUUCAAAGCAUUUUCCAGUAAUAGCUGAUGAAAUUUAAUACUUCAAGCUGGCCCUUUGCUGUCACAACUAGAUGCAUUUGCACUGUCAUUACAAUUUAUGGAAAUUAAAGUAAUUAAUGGUUCUAAUUAAUAGCUUCCCAAAAAACCAAUCUGCCCUUGUGAGAACCAAAGCAUUAAUUUCUUGUAAGAGCUGCAGAAGGCCAGAGAAUUUCAGAUCGUGAAAAGGAGUGUGUGAGUGAGAGAGAGAUCGUGAAAUAGUGAGAGACAAUGAGAGAGAGAGCCGCUCGACUGAGAUGGUGAGAGAGUUGCAAAAAUGGAGUAAGGAGCAGAUAAGAUUAUGUUUUCUUUAUUAUUUUUUAUUAAUAUUUUAAUUUUUUUAAUUAAAAAAGGGCGAGAGAUUUUGGGAGUGAAACGGCAGCAUGUUCCAAUAAAUUUUUACCAAAGUUUCUCUCGUGUUUCUCUCACCUUUCUAGAUACCAAGCAUUUUCCAAUAAAUUUUUACUAAAAACUUAGCAAGCCCUUGAAACUUUGGUCAAAAUUAUUGUUAUUAUUACUUUUAGAGGAAAAACUUUUAUUAAAACCUCAUUAACACAAUUCUUAAUUAAAAUUAUAAGUUUGUGUUGGUGUAAGGAUUUGCAGGAGCAAUUACUGCCUAGCCAAGUGUCAAAAGCACAAAAUAAAUCAAGAGAAAGUAGACAUGAAUUAGGAUCCAAUGAAAUUUAAAUCCCGGAGAAAAGAAAUAAUCAUGCAGAUUAUCAAGAUUUCAAUAAGGGAUAUUGAUAUCCUAUUUUGAUUAAUAAUAUCCUUUUACUGUGUUAACUCAAAAAAUAUGUAUAUUCUAAUAUUUUACAAUAAAUAGAAAUCUAAUAUUAAAAUAAAUGUGAUAUAUAUAUAUAUAUAUUAAAUAAUUUAAAUAUAAAAAAUAUUUUAAUGUUUUACAAUCUACUACACAUAUUUUAUUAAGUUAAUAUAAUUUUUCAAAUAAAUAGGGACAUAAUAUUAAAAUAAAUUUAUAAAAAUUUAAAUUAUUUUGAAUUUAAAAUAAUUUUAAUAUUAUUAAUAUGUUAGAUAUGUUUGAUUAAUUAUAAAAAUUAUUUACGCAAAUUUUUUUAAUAUUUUCAGUAGAUAUAAAUAUAUUACUUACAUUUUGAUUAUUUAACUAUUAUUAUUCUACAAUUAUUUAUAUAAUGUUUGCACUUAUUAGAAUAUAUUUAAAGUCAAAUCUUUUGCACUUCUACCUAGCUAGAAUUAUUGGACGCAGAGAAAUAAGCAUAUAUGCUUUAUAACUUUAGAAAUCGAAUUAUCUAUACAAAUUGAUUUUAGCUGGAAAAAAAGUGAGCUGAAUGAUAUAGGCGAUUAGUGUGGUAAUAUUUCAUAGAGUUAGACUAUUGAAUUUGGCACCCCUCCAAUCUUCUCAUGAUUACCUUUUUGAGUUAUUAAUACACUUCUAAUUUUUCGUUUAAUUUUUUUUAUUGUUAUACUCAAAGUAGUAUUGUGAUAUUUUAUAUUUCUUUUGCAAUCUUAUUAUUAUUUUACACAAAAUUAAAAAGUUUUCUAGGUGAUGAACUUUUGAGUUUUGAACAUUAAUCAUUGGCUUAAAUUUCAUAUAUUUUACAUUAUAAUUUGAAAUUAAGUACGAAAAUAUUUAAUAAAUUAUGAAAAGAUUAACAGAUUAUUCUAAAUUGAUACAACUUAUUUUAGUUAAAUAAAAAGUAACAGGUAAAAAAAAAAAGGAUUGGUUAUGAAAUUUGUUGGAAAAAAAUCUGUGUGUGUUUAAUUUUUAUUUGUCCUUAAUUGUAAUUUAUUUGAAGUGAGGUUUUAUAAGGAUAAUGAAGGGGUGCCAUAGUUUCACUCUAUUUCAUAUGGAGAGAGAAGUAAAAGGUACACCUGAGGUUAAUGGAAAGGACUUCGAAAGUUUCUUUUGAUUAUAAUACUGUUUGUUCUAAUUAACUUAAAAAAUUUUACUUUAAUAUUUUAUAAUAAAUUAAAUUUUAAUCUUAAAAUAAGUAUAAUCAUAUAUUUUAAAAUAAUCUUAAAAUAAAUACAAUCAUAUAUUUUAAAAUAAUCUUAAAAUAAAUACAAUCAUAUAUUUUAAAAUAAUCUUAAAAUAAAUACAAUCAUAUAUUUUAAAAUAAUCUUUAUAUUUAAAAUUUAUUUAUUUGUACAUAUUUUAUAAUAAAUAUAACACAUACUAUUAAAAUAAUAUAUAAAAAAUUAAAGUAUUUUGAAUAUUAUAUAAAAUAACUUUAAGAUUCUUAAUAUGUAAGAUAUAUUUUAUUAAUUUAAAAUUCUAUUUAAAAUUUUAUUAAUUUAAAAUUCUAUUUAACCCAAAGAUUUAUUUAAGAUAAAUUAAUAAUCAUAUUUUUUAAAUCAUUUCAAAUAUUAAAAAAUAUUUUGAUAUUACUAGUCUAUUAAAUAGAUUAAAUAUUUUUAUUAUUUUGUACUAAUCAAAAGUUACAGCUCGAAUGAUAUUAUGAGAACAGAAUUUUUAUGUCUUUAUUAAAAAUUUGGGUUUGUAUAAUUAUUUUUUCAAAUGUUAGGGGCAUAGCUGUCUUUUUACUUUUAUAUAUGUGAACCGCGGUGGUGAAAAAGUGUGAUUUAAUAUUAGUUAUUUAAAUAAUAUCUGAAUUAAAGAUGUACAGAGAAGAAAUUUCGGUGGGCAUUUUAGUCUUUUAACGAUUAUCAUGAUUAGGGAUUAGGUCCUGCUCUUGAAACGUUGGUCAGAAAAGUUCUAAAAUGCGUACAUUAUCUUUACUUUAAAAAAGUUAUUUUAUUUUAUUACAAAUUAAUGCCGACAAGAAAAAGCAAGAUCUUAAANNNNNNNNNNNNNNNNNNNNNNNNNNNNNNNNNNNNNNNNNNNNNNNNNNNNNNNNNNNNNNNNNNNNNNNNNNNNNNNNNNNNNNNNNNNNNNNNNNNNAUAAAGAUGAAGAAAAGGGCAAAAAAAUAUUAAUGAUUAACGAAAUCUCUAUCCAAAUUGAUUUUAGCAGGAAAAAAGUGAGCUAAAUGAUGUAGACGAUUAGUGGUAAUAUUUCAUAGAGUUAGACUAUUGGCACCCUUCCAAUCUUCUCACGAAUCCUCUUUUUGAGUUAUAUUUAUUUUAUUUUUAAAAUAUCUUUUUUCUCUUUUACUACACUUCUAAUUUUUCAUUUAAUUUUUUUAUUGUUAAACUCAAAGUAGUAUUGUGAUAUUUUUAAUUUCUUUUGCAAUCUUAUUAUUACUCUGCAUAUAAAUUAAAAAGUUUUUUAGGUGAUGAAUUUUUGAAUGUUAAUCAUUAGCUUAAAUUUCACAUAUUUUACAUUACAAUUUGAAAUUUAAUAUGAAAAUAUUUAAUCAAUAAGAAUUAUGAAAAGAUUAAUAAAUUAUUCUAAAUUUAUACAACUUAUUUUAGUUAGAUCAGAAGUAGCAGGUUAACAAAAGAAAGGAUUGGUUAUGAAAUUUGUUGGAAAAAAAUCUAUGUGUGUUUAAUUUUUAUUCGUUGUUAACUCUAAUUAAGUAGGUUAAAUAUUUUUGUUAUUUUUUACUUAUCAAAAAAUUUAAGAUCAAUAUUUUUAGUUACCAUUCGAAGGAUAUUAUGACAAAAACAGAAUUUUCACUUCUUUGUUAAAAAUUUGGGGGUUUGUGUAACUAUUUUUUCAAAUGUUAGGGGCAUAUCUGUCUUUUUACUCUAUAUAUAUGAACCAUGGUGGUGAAAAAGCGUGAUUUAAUGUUAUUUAUUUAAAUAAUAUCUCAAUUAAAAAUGUAAGGAGAAGAAAUUUCGGUGGGCAUUUUAGUCUUUUAACGAUUAUCAUGGUUAGGCCCUGGUCUUGAAACGUUGGUCAGAAAAGUUCUAAAAUGCGUUCAUUUGUCUUUACGCCAACAAUAAAAAGCAAGAUCUUAGUGUCCCACAAAAGCAAAUCGUAAUAUUCCGCAAUGGAGUUAGAUCCGCAAAAGCAAACAAAUUCUUUUAUUAAACUACAAAUUAAAGUGGAAUCAUUUACUAAACAACAAAUUAAAUUUGAAAUAUUUAAAUAGUCGUGCGUUAGACGAUUAGAGACUCUUAUUAAAGGCAAGUACAAAGUAGUGAAGAAUCGAAUAUUUCUAUUGUCUAGUCUUUUUUUAAAAAAAAUUUUCUUUUAUUAUUUUUCAGAAUAUGUUUUGGUGAUUACUAUUGGGUUAUUAUUCAGAGUUAUUGUUAUCUUCCGGGGCAGUUUCUGUUCAUCGAAUUCGUUAAUAAAAUUUUAAAACUCUUAUUGAAAGAAUGUUUUUCCGUUAUCUUUUUUAUAAUCUAAUUUUAAGUGUAAGAAGUAGUCAUUUUAGAAUUUGGGUCUUGAAUCGAAUUUCAAUGCAUGAAUUAAUAUUUAAAAAAAAUUUACUACAUGCAGUUUAGGUUACAAACUAUUUUUUGCAAAGUUGACUAUGAAAUUGGAGAAAUUAAGUAAUUUAUAAUGUUUGCAAAGAAAGAGACCAACAUACUUCCAAUUACACUAUAUCUCAAUUAUCAUAAUGUUAAGAUUAAACUAACUUAAAAUAAAAUUUAUUUAAAAAGUUUAUCAAACGCAGUCUAAUUUUAUUAACUUGAAGAGAUAAUAGUUAUAGAAAUUAUUAUUCUAACUUAAUUAGUAAAAGUGGUAUAAAGGUUAAGUGUGCACUAAAUCUAUUUAAAUUUUUUUCCAGUAUAACUAACAGAGGUCAUUACUAGAAUUAUAUUACUAGUCUAUUAGAUAGAAAAAAUUAUUUAUAUUGUUUUAUAUUUAUUAAAAAAAUUUAAAGUCAAUCUUUUUAAUUACUAUUUAAAGGAUAUUAUAAUUAAAAAAAUUUUAAUGUCUUCAUUAAAAAUUUAAAAUUUUAUAUGACCGUUAUCUAAAUAUUUAAAGUGUAACUGUCAUUUUCUCAUAUAUAUAUAUAAUUUCAUCAACCCCUUAUACUUUAUGUUAUUUAUAUUUUAUUCAUGAAUAUUAUAAAUUUUUUGAAAUAUAAAAUUUCGUUUAACCCUUUAUACUCAAUUUUAUUUUAUUAAAACCCUAGAGUAUGAAUUCGUCCCUAUAAUAUUAAAUUCUCAAAAUAACUUCCAUUUAAUUAAAAAAUAUAAUUAUUAUUAAAUGAAUUAUAAUUAUUAUUAUUAUGUUAUUAUAAUCAUAAAAAGCGAGAUCAUAUUCCACAAAAGCAUAAGUGACAAAACAACCAACUGGAUUCUUUUAUUAAUCAACAAAUUGUAUAGUCUUUUUCAAAUUGUUAUAAAUUGGUGGCCCCUACAAUCCUCAAUAAUUGUACCGAAAUUCACAAGUUGGUGGGCCCUACAAUUCUGUUCCGAUAAUUUAACUGUGCAAGUGCUCAUUCACAAUCUUCCAGGUCAUGCUCUUAACAAUUGUUUUUUCUUUUCUGCACGCCCUUUCAUGCUCUUAAUAAUUGAAGAGCAUACUUUUCAAAUGUGAAGCCGCAUCUAAUGUCGCUAAUUUAAUUUGGGAUUAAAUUACGGGACUAUUAUAUUGCAGUGUGCACUAAUUUUUAUGUUUAUCUAAACUCUUCAAAUUUAAAACAUAUUAUGGCAUAAAUAAGAAUGUAACAAUAACAAAAGAGUAAGAAAGUGUAGAGAAAAUCUUGCAGAAAUAUAAAUAAUAUUUAUUUUUAAAAUAAUAUUAAUAUUUAAAAUAAUUUUUAAUAUUUUAUGGUCCAUUAGAUAUAUUUUAUUAUAUUAAAAUAAAUUUUAUAAUAAAUAAAAACAUACUAUUAAAAUGAAUAUAUAUAGAAAAUUUAGAGUAUUUUAAGUAUUAUAUAAAAUAAUUUUAAUAAAAUAUGUGAGAUAUUCAUAUUUUAUUAAUUUAAGAUACCAUUUAACCUAAAGAUUUAUUUAUGAUAAAUUAAUAAUUAUAUUUUUGAAAUUACUUCAAAUAUUAAAAAAAUUAAUAUUACUAAUAUAUUAGAUAGAUUAAAUUAUAUAUAUUAUUUUUACUUAUUAAAAAAAUUUUAAAAUUAUUUUUAAUUACUAUUCAAAAAACGUAUUCAAAAAACAUAAUGAUAAAAAAAUCUUAACAUCUUUAUUAAAAAAUUAAAAACUUAUAUGAUAAAUUCUCUAAAUAUUUACGGUAUAUGUGAACCACGGUGGAUAAGCUUUAUUUAAUAUUAUUGAUUUAAAUAAUAUGUCAAUUAAAAAUGUACAGAGAAGAAAUUUCGGUGGGUAUUUUAGUCUUUUAAGCAAUUAUCAUGAUCAGAUCAGCCUUUAGCCUUCAAACGUCGGUCAGAAAAGUUUUAAAAUUAAUGCUAAAUUGUUUUUCACUUUUAACGUUGGUGGCCUUGAAAUUGCUUGUAUUUUAUUAAAAAUUAAUGCUAACAAGAAAAAGCUAGGUCAUAUUCCACAAAAUCAAAAGUGACAAAACAACCAGCUGGUUUCUUUUACUAAACUACAAAUUAAAAUAAAUUUUUUCGAUAAAUUACAAAUUAAAGUGGAUUCUUUUGAAUACAAAUGGGACAGACGAUUAGGCUCUUUUUAUUAGAGGCAAGUAAAAACUAGUCAAGAAUCGAACAGUCUUUUUCCAAUUCUUGUUUUAUUAUUUUUCAAAACUAGUUUUUGGUAAUUACAACCGGGUCAUUAAUCAUUAUUCAGAGUUAUCUUCCGGGGCAGUUUCUGUUCAUCGAAUUCGUUAAUAAAAUGUUAAAACUCUUAUUGAAAGAAUGUUUUUCCGUUAUCUUUUUUAUAAUCUAAUUUUAAGUGUAAGAAGUAGUCAUUUUAGAAUUUGGGUCUUGAAUCGAAUUUCAAUGCAUGAAUUAAUAUUUAAAAAAAAUUUACUACAUGCAGUUUAGGUUACAAACUAUUUUUUGCAAAGUUGACUAUGAAAUUGGAGAAAUUAAGUAAUUUAUAAUGUUUGCAAAGAAAGAGACCAACAUACUUCCAAUUACACUAUAUCUCAAUUAUCAUAAUGUUAAGAUUAAACUAACUUAAAAUAAAAUUUAUUUAAAAAGUUUAUCAAACGCAGUCUAAUUUUAUUAACUUGAAGAGAUAAUAGUUAUAGAAAUUAUUAUUCUAACUUAAUUAGUAAAAGUGGUAUAAAGGUUAAGUGUGCACUAAAUCUAUUUAAAUUUUUUUCCAGUAUAACUAACAGAGGUCAUUACUAGAAUUAUAUUACUAGUCUAUUAGAUAGAAAAAAUUAUUUAUAUUGUUUUAUAUUUAUUAAAAAAAUUUAAAGUCAAUCUUUUUAAUUACUAUUAAAGGAUAUUAUAAUUAAAAAAANNNNNNNNNNNNNNNNNNNNNNNNNNNNNNNNNNNNNNNNNNNNNNNNNNNNNNNNNNNNNNNNNNNNNNNNNNNNNNNNNNNNNNNNNNNNNNNNNNNNNNNNNNNNNNNNNNNNNNNNNNNNNNNNNNNNNNNNNNNNNNNNNNNNNNNNNNNNNNNNNNNNNNNNNNNNNNNNNNNNNNNNNNNNNNNNNNNNNNNNNNNNNNNNNNNNNNNNNNNNNNNNNNNNNNNNNNNNNNNNNNNNNNNNNNNNNNNNNNNNNNNNNNNNNNNNNNNNNNNNNNNNNNNNNNNNNNNNNNNNNNNNNNNNNNNNNNNNNNNNNNNNNNNNNNNNNNNNNNNNNNNNNNNNNNNNNNNNNNNNNNNNNNNNNNNNNNNNNNNNNNNNNNNNNNNNNNNNNNNNNNNNNNNNNNNNNNNNNNNNNNNNNNNNNNNNNNNNNNNNNNNNNNNNAUUGUGGGCACUCUUGUUCGUGCAUGUUUGCUAGAAGAGAUGGAAGAUGAUAAAGUAAAAAUGCAUGACGUUGUUCGUGAUAUGGCUUUAUGGAUAGCUUGUGAAAUUGAGAAGGAGAAGAGAAACUUUUUGGUUUGUGCAGGUGCUCGAUUAGAAGAGGCACCGGGUGUUAAAGAAUGGGAAAAUGUGAGAAGAUUGUCAUUGAUGCAAAACCAAAUUGAAACUGUGUCAGAGAUUCCCGCAUGCCCUCAUCUCCAUACUCUAUUUCUUGCCUCUAAUAGGAAUUUCAGGAUGAUCACGGAUGGCUUCUUUCAAUUUAUGCCUUCUCUCAAAGUUUUGAAGAUGUCACGCUGUGGGCAAUUCGAAGGUUUUCAAUUACCUGUUGGGAUGUCAGAGUUGGGUUCAUCACUAGAACUUCUUGAUAUUUCACAUACCACCAUAAGAGAGUUACCCGAAGAGUUAAAGUUGCUGGUAAAUCUGAAAUGUUUGAAUUUGAGGUGGACAGGUGCGUUAAUUAGAAUUCCACGGGGACUAAUAUCAAAAUUUUCAAGGUUACGUGUGUUGAGAAUGUUGGGUACUGGCGGGUUCAUUUUUUAUGAAGCACCAGAAGACAGCGUUUUAUUUGGUGGGGGUGAAGUUUUGAUACAGGAAUUGCUCGGUUUGAAAUAUUUAGAGGUAUUGGAGUUGACCUUGGGAAGUUAUCAUGCUCUCCAAAUUCUUUUGAGCUCAAAUAAGUUAAAAAGUUGUAUUCGAUCUCUUUACCUCUAUUUGACCGGAGAUAAAAAGUCGAUUAUUGAUGCUACGGCUUUCACAGACCUAAACCACCUCAAUGAAUUAUGGAUUGAUAAUGGAAUUGAGUUGGAAGAAUUGAAGAUUGAUUAUACGGAGAUAGUACGAAAAAGGCGGGAACCUUUUGUUUUCCACAGCCUUCACCUUGUUACGAUAUAUAGUUGCCAUAAAUUGAAAGAUUCGACAUUCCUCGCUUUUGCUCCAAACCUCAAGUCUCUUUCGCUAUUCAAAUGCCGUGCUAUGGAAGAAAUAAUCAGCGUCGGAAAAAUUGCUGAGAAUCCUGAGAUGAUGGGACAUAUAAGCCCUUUUGAAAAUCUCAAAAGUCUUGAUCUAUCAUAUUUGCCGGAGUUGAAGAGCAUUUUCUGGAAGCCAUUGCCUUUCACUCAUCUCAAAGAAAUGGGGGUAAGAGCAUGUGAUCAGCUUAGAAAGCUUCCACUCGAUUCCAACAGUGCAAAAGAGCGUAAAUUUGUAAUUCGUGGAGAAGAAGACUGGUGGAACCGACUUCAAUGGGAGGAUGAAGCCACUCAAAUUGCUUUUCGUUCCUGUUUCCAACCUGAUUCCUGAGCGGUGGUCGCAAAAUUUGAUUUCUGGUGAGUGCGUUUGUCUUUUAAAAGAAGAAUUUAAAAGAAAUUUAUUCUUGACGUUUUCUUCACUGUUUUUAUUUCAGUCUCUCUCUCUCUCUUUUUGUCUUCUGCUAAUCACAAUUAAAUGUUGAAUUAAUGGAAUUAAUGCUUCAUAAAUUUGCCGGCACUGCCAUUACUUUUUUUUUUUUUAAUACAAAUUGAUACUUUAUUUAUAUCUUCUUAGCGAUUUAAUUUCCUGUCAAUUGACGAACGAGAAGAACAUAUGACUUGAACCAAUGCUCGCAUAAACUUGCUGUAAAAAGAUAUAAUCUCACUGAAAUGCACACGCCUAGAAUGAAUAGAAUUAAAACAGGGAAAAUAUUAAGUAUAUUAGCCCUCUUUACCGAAAAUCAAAUGACAAUAAAUUUUUUGAAGUUUUGAUUUUCUAUGGUCAAUUCCACCUUUUGCAAUUUCUUCUGUUCUAACAAAAACCAAUUUCUUUGUUCAAGUAUUUUCGUUUGGGUAUUAAUAAUUCUCCACCGAAAGAGUGAACUCUUGCUCAAGGGAUCUCUAAUCAAUAGCCGGAAGGGCGCCGAGACCUGAUCGGACCUAGGCCCAAGUUUGGUCUUAAAGCCUGGGCUUGAGCCUGGCAAUUAAAUUAAAACAGUAAUUGAUUUCUUGAAUGAAUUGUCGUGUAAUUGAUUUAUGGGGGAUGACACAUCAACAUACUUGAAAAUACACUAAUCUCAGCAUCAUCCGUUAAUAACUUUUAGAUUUAUGGGCAAUCAAUAGUUAAAUUAGUUGUCAUUAAUACUAAAUAAUUUUUACUUUUUUUGUCUCUUCUAGAGGAUCUUCUAGAAAAAUGCAUCCACAAUUAAAUUUAAUACUUUACAUAAUAAAGAAAGCAUAAAUGUUAAAUUUAAGAAACUGCAUUGUAUUUCAGCUGAAGUUGACUUUAAUAUUUAGGGUAGAAAAAAAUUAAAUCCUUAAUGUGUUUAAUUUCUAUCACUUGUGUCAUUAAAAUUUUCUAGUCACCCUAACCAAUUACAUCUCAACCCACUUUUUUUUGGAUGAUUUUAUUUUUACACUAUUAUUUUCAACAUUUUUUUUUCCUUUUAACACCAACAUUAGUGUAUGUUACGUAACAUAAUCCAUAUUUGGAUAAUUUGAAAUUUGUUUGUGUUUUAUCUCAAAAUAGAGCUUCAAUCAAUUUGUACCUCAUAAAUUCACAAUAUCUGGCAUAUUGUCAAAUGUGCUUAUCCUUUUGCUUGACAUGUCAUUUUAAAAUUGUCAUUCAAUGUCAAAAAAUCACAUCAACUAAUGGCCGACUACUUUAAUUUGAAAGCAUGCGUGCGAUCGCCAAUAAUUAUAACUUAAUUGUUAUAUUGAAAUUUUUUUCUUUAUAAUUUAAGUUUAAUACUGCUACAUGUGUGGCACAUAAGUUGGAAAAUAUAACAUAAAAUUUGAAAAAUGUGUAGUUUUCGUUCCUUUUUUUUCUAAAAAAAUGGGAAAAAAGAAUGUAAUUUUGUUUAAAUUACUGUUGUCAUAACAAUUAUUAUUUUAUUGAUUAAUUGGCAGAGAAUCGUAAUGGUUUCGCAUGGUUGUUAAAACAUUGGAAAGUCCACUACAUCAUCGGUUAAUAACUUUCAGAUUUAUGGUUAAUUAAUAGCUGAGAUUUAUUAUCAUUAAUGCUAAAUAUUUUUUCUCUCUCCUGGAGGAUCAUCCACAGGCAGGUGCUUCCUGACGAUGACAAAAUUUUGGGCAGGCAGGUGCUUCCUGACUUUCACACGGUAAUUCUCAAAUUCUGAUUUCACCAUAUUUUAAUUACUGAUUAGCAUAUAUUCAAGUGCUCUCCAUUAUAAUGGAAGCCGCCGCCUCACUCGUAAUUCCAAACUUUAUCUUUUUUUCCUUUUUUAAAUUAAUGCAAGUAGCCGCUGUCCUUUCUAUUAAUUAAUUAAUUCGGCCGCCCACAUUUCUUUUCCUAAUGUCUUCUACUGUCGAGUUUAUUUUAUUUUCUCUUUAUUAUUAAAAUAUACUUAUAAUAAUAAAAAAAUAAAAAUUAACAUAUCAAAAUAUAAUUUAACAGAAAAUUAAGAUAAAAAAUUAAAAAUAAAUAAAUUAUGAGCAUAUCAAUCAAUAAAUGAAAAAUAAUAAUUUUUAUUUUUAUUAAAUAUAAAUUUUUCAGUAUUAAUCAAUUAUCUGAAUAAAUAAAAUCAUUUAAAAAUAAAUAAAUAAAUUAUUCUUAAAAAAAAAAAAAAAACUUUUUAUAACACUCACUAUGCUGGUUGUAGGGUUGACGCUUUGGGUACUGAAGCUAGUAACUUCUACAAGUAGUCUUAAGUUGACUGGCAACAACUAUAUUGGCAUUUAGAAAUAAUGUACUGCAACCAUAUUGGCAUGUUCAAAUGUUCUUAUUAUUGUAUUGGUGUGUCAAUAUUAUCUCUAACGGUUUUAUAAAUAAAAAAAUAAUCUAAAUUUAUAAUUUAACAUAAAAUAAAAUAAUUGGUAGAAAAACAAUUAUGGUUCAUUUACUUAUCAGUAAUCAGAAUAGACUGAAAUCGAAAUGAGUUGUAUUACUGUUGAUGUGUUUAUGUUGUACUCGAAUCGAAAUGAAUUAUUUUAAAUUACUAAAAUAUCCUUGGUCUGUUAUUCUAAUUAUUAUUAUUAUUUAAUAUUUAUUAUAAUAUUUUUCAUAUCAUUAAAAAAAAAUAAUAAUGAUGAUAAUAUUCUCAUUAUUGUUUGUUACAUUAUUAUUAUUCAAAAAAAUUAUUGUUAAUAACAAUAAUUACUUUAUUUCAAUAAUAAUAAUGAUAAAAUUAAUAAUAAUAAACAUGACAACAACAAUAAUUAUUUAUUAUGCCAAAAAAUAACAAUAAUAAUAAGAAUAAUAAUCAUCAUCAUUUUUUUGCCAAAGAAGCAUUAUCAUCAUCAUUUCAAAAAAAAAAUCAUCAUCAUCAUCAUCAUUUUUGUAGUGGCUACCUAUCGGCUGCUGCUUUCAUGUGAGAUUGACUUGCGACGCUUCAACGGCUAUUAUUUCUGACAAUGUCAGGUGUUGCUAUUUCAAUUUAGGAAGAAGUUGUUUCGGUGUGCUAGCGAUGGGAGAUGUUGUGGCUGCGAUUCGGGGAGCUACUAGUUUAUUGCACUAAUAACGGCAGGUGCUGUUGCUUGAUGCGAGGUCCAUGGCCAGUUGUCAGCAGUUCGACUUUGGUAUGGGUGCUGCUGGUUCGAUUUUAGGUGUUGUCCAAUUUCAUUUUCAGGAUUUUAAUUUUAUUUUUCUUUUAUAUUUUCAUUAAUUAAUCAGGGUAAAAUUGGAUUUUAGAAUUUAGAAUGAAGGUAAUUUUGUUAAUAAUGGAAAUGAGAUUCUGAUUGUCGAGAAUGAGCUUACACAAACAACUAUAAAUUAAGUGAAAACAAAACACUUUUUCUCUUUGUGUGAUUAAAACAUGAUAUGUACCAUAAAUAAAUAAGUAAAAAAUAAAUCAACACAAUCUAAAACAGUAAACAAAUUACAAGAGGCACAGAUUUUUAUGUGAAACACCGAAAAUGGAAAAAACCACAGCAUCUUAGUUUGAUAUAAUCUUCUACUAUAUUAAUGGGAUUAUAGCACAAAUUCUUUCCUAUAUAACACUAGAGAUUAACAACAUCAAGAAUCUCAAUAAUCUUGACUUACAAUACAGCCUAAUAUUUGUCUCUCUAAUAAGUAGAUAUCUAAAAUAACAGUCUCUAAUAAGUAUGUAUCUAAAAUAAUAGUCAACAAGAGGAUAAAACAAAAAUUAAGAUUAGUAGGAUGUGUAUAAGGUGAUGCUAUCAAUUUAUCUUCUAAAUUUGAGAAAAAUAGUUAAAUUCACUUUUUCGAUUGUCCGACCAAAAAUGGAAACCCUUGCCCCAAAACCAAAGGAAUCACCAUUAUGUUUUUCUCUCUCUCUCUCUCUAUCUCGUUCUUUUCUUCUUCUUUUCUUAAUGUUAGCCAUCACUUGCUUUUAUUCUUUAUAGCAUUCAAAAAGCUACUUUUAAUGGUAAAUUUCAUUUAAGUCUGCAACUUAGUGAUAAUUGCACACCAAACAAUCCUUACAUAGUGUUUUGGGCCCUCAAAUGAGAUGAAUACAACAAAUCUCCCCCUUUAAAUCAUGUGGGGGGCACCGCAAGCCCGCUAUUUGCAUAUAGCUUUUCAGCUUCUCCUUGAAUAAUGACUUUGUCAUCAUACAUAAUCCAUUCUUCGUUGUGUAAAUCUUCUCAAGCUGUAACUGUUCCUUCUCAAGCUGUAAUUAUUCCUUCUCAAGCACGUCUCGUAUCUAAUGAUACCUUACAUCAAUAUGCUUAGAUUUCGAAUAGUAUAACAGCACUCUGACUAUCGUAGUACAUAACAUAGCUGUCUUGUUUUACACCCAGCUCUUGUAGGAAAUUCUUCGUCCACAAUAUUUUUUUGCAACCUUCAAUAAUUGUAAUAUCAUUUGCUUUAGUGGUAGAAAAGGCAACUUAUUACUAAAGUUUAGAUUGCGAUGAGACUGUUCCCCCUGCAAAAGUGAGCAAACAUCCUAGUAGGAAUUUUUCGGAAUCAACAGCUCCUGCCAUAUCUACACACUUGUAACACAGGUUUGUCACCACCAAAAUAUAAACAUGCUCUGGAAAUGCAUCUAAGAUAUCUGAGAAUUUUUCACUGUUGUCCAGUGCUCUUUACCGAGGUUGAAGAGAAACCACUGACUACACUAACUGUAUAGGCAAUAUUUGGUCUUGUACAAAUUAUGGCGUACAAUAAACUGCCAACUGCUGAAGCAUAAGGAACUCCUCUCAUGGAGAAAUGGGUUUUACUCUUGAGAUUUUUGGGACCAUGAAGAAUAAAGAUGUAAUUUCUUAUACUGCCAUUGUUUCGGGAUAUAUAAAUAGAGAACAAGUCGAUAUAGCUCGACAGUGUUUUGAUCAGAUGCCAGAACGAGAUUAUGUCUUAUGGACUACCAUGAUUGAUGGGUACCUUCGAGUGAAUAGGUUCAGAGAGGCUUUGACACUUUUUCAGGAGAUACAAACUUCAAAUAUAAUGGGAGACGAGUUUACCAUUGUUAGCAUUCUUACAGCUCGUGCGAAUCUGGGGGCACUAGAACUGGGAGAAUGGAUAAAGACUUAUAUUGACAAAAACAAAGUCAAGAAUGAUAUAUUUGCGGGGAAUGCUUUGAUAGACAUGUACUGUAAAUGUACUGUAAAUGCGGAGAUGUUGAGAAAGCUCAAAAGGUAUUCAGGAAGAUGCUUUGAAAGGUCAAAUUCACAUGGACGACCAUGAUUGUUGGCCUUGCCAUCAGUGGAAAUGGUGAUAAAGCUCUUGAUAUGUUUUCCCAAAUGCUCAGGGCUUCGAUCAAACCAGAUGAGGUAGCUUAUGUUGGUGUUCUGUCUGCCCGUACUCACAAUGGUAACGAAACUUUUGUGAUAAAUAGUUGCAACUUAAGGUGAGAACUGGAGGAAGGGAAAUAGAUUGAAGUUGUUCAAUCAUCAGUAGUUGCUACUUGGUUUUAAGUUGUUCAAUCAUCGGUCGUCUCUAUUUGGUUUUCUCCAAUAUCUCAUCUUCAAUUUUGACUCAGAUUGUAUCUUACCACUAGUAAUUACAUAGACUUGCUGCCAAAGGUAAGAAUGGGAAUAAAUUAAAUAGAUUAUGUCGAAAACGAAAUAAAUUUACUAUUGUUCUGUUCAUUCUAUUUGUUUCCUACAAAAUAUUUCUCCUGCCUAAAAUUUUUUGAAUCAGUAAGUUUUUACCUUAUGGAUGAAUUGUGUUGAGAGUAAUUCCAUUUCUCAGUCUCUUUAUGUUUCAAUGAAGACGUAAAACUUGUGUUCUAGUGCACCAACGUUUAUGCUUCUUACAAUUUGACUUUAAUUUACUUUGUAAAAUUUUUGUCAAAAAGUACUAAAAAGUAGUGCACCAAACACCAACUUUAUUACAGAGAGGACUUUAGUUAAAUUUUAAGAAAACACUCAAAAGAAAGAGUUGUAAAUUAUUAUAAAAAUAUUUCACAUAAAUAAAAGCCAUCCCAUGCUGCAAAGAUCUUGCUAUAAUCACCAAAAACUAUCGGGAGCUUUUAGGGUUUCCAUAAAAAUGCCAUUUCGUUCCAUGUAUAUGAUUCUAUAGUCUCACUGGCAAGUAAACCACAGCCCAACAGCACUGACUGUCCAUGAUGAUUCACCCCAAUGAACGAAACCAGCGUUGCAUCAUAUCUUUCUGUCAAGCAUGUAAUAUCAAUUGAUUUGAGCUAUUAACAUCAUUUCCAAAUACUCCAUUGGCAUCUACAUUACCAUUUCCCUCGGCAUCAAUGAUAAGAGUUCGAAACAGUCUAAUCUUUUGAACUUCUUCAGCACCAUCUAAGAGCAAUGUUCUUUUGGUUCCAAUACCCAUGUGCUUAUGAUAUUUGUAAAAUAAUUAUUUGUAAAAUAAUUAGUUCAAUUUUGACAUAAUACGGAAUAAACACAACCUGCCAAUCUAAGUUACUAUCUUUUCCCGUCAUCAGGUACCUGUUUGAAAAAUAAUUAUAUACAAUUUUAUUUGCGUCGUCCCUCUAAAAAUUUGGGACUCAAAUGUUAUUUCUAAUUGCUAAAAGUACGAAAUUGCCCCCUUUCUCUUCAGCUAAAGGAGUGCAAAGUCAUCUGUAUAAUUGAAUCUGCAUCAUCAGUUUCUAUUGCUGGCUGGUGUUACUGCAUGCUUACAGUUGCUUGACAAAGUGAGCCAGUUUUUUGUUUAUUAAUUUUUUUUCUUGUCGAGACAGUCACAAAGUAUUACUUGUUCUAUUUGAGAAUGAUGUGAAUCAAUUUUUCAAUUAUGCAUUCUGUGGUAAUUAUUGUGAAUUUAGUUUCAUUUGUCUUGUCUCCUGCAAAUUUUGAAGAAAAUGCAGACAUACAAAUUUACAAUAUGUAUUUGCGUUAGUAUAAAAACAAUUGUUAGAUGAUUAAAGCGAUUUAUUUUUUUUUUUACAGCAUUUGAUUGUAUUAGUUAAAAUCAUUUUUUAAGGAUAAAAAUAAAUAGAAAAUUAUUCUCAUGUAGUGUGGAAAUCUUUUCUAAUUUCUUGUUGACUUGUACAUUUAUUUCAGAAUUUCCAUUCAUUAAUUCUACUGUUUUAAUCUUUGACUUAGCUACCGUAGUUGACUUUUUAUAUCAAAGGCUUAAACAGCAUGCAUUUUUGAAUUGACUGAGAAUAAUUUGGUGGACAAAUUACUAGUAAAGGACUUCAAAUGGUUGAAUUGACUGUGGGUUUUUCAUGCCCAAGUCACUCGUCACGUCGUUUCAUCGAAACAAAGUGCCCGGUGCAAAUGGUGUGAUGUAAAACACCUUUUUAAAUUGUCAUUUUUUUUCCUUUGCUUUUGCUUUAAUUUUCUAAAUGCUCAACGCCAUAAAUCCAUGUAUUCUUAAUUUUCGUUUGCUGUAUUGAUUCCCAACCCUCUAUGUCACAAGGUUUUGAAUGCCAGUAAUUAAGUUAAAUUAAACAUAUUUUAAGUCCUACUUUAAAUUAUUGAAAAAUGUAUUAUGGUUGAACUGAAUUUUAACUAAAAAAUAUAUACAAAAUAAAAGAUUAAUCAUAUCUUUUUAUGAGGAAGGUCAGUCAUCAUUCUGACCACAGACACUUAAAAUUAAUUGAGUGGAAUAUUGCAAAAUAUAUAUAAACCAUGCCAAAACUAGAUGUUUGAGUAAUGAAAACGAGAAUUCAUAUGACUCAGAAAUAUGGUCGCUUUCCUUUUUCUGAAAGGCAAAAAAAAAGGGGGAACCAAAAAGGACCAAAAUGAACAAAAAUGGAAGGCGAAGGUAAGCAGACAUGUUAUAUGUUUUACCUAAGAUGCCAAAUGCAACUCCCCAUUGAUGGUGAUCGAACAUUAUGGCCAUUUUCUUAGUAAACAAAAAAUGAAUUUUGAACACUCAACAACGAAACUUGAGCAGAAGAUCAAGCAAGGGCCUCGAUCUCAAAGAAGAUACUAUGAAACCCUACUUAAUGGUUAAAUAACUUUCAUUCAGCUUUGGACCCUAUUUCGUGAUACGGAAAGACAAACCUUUCUUGGCCGGCAGUGUCCCAGAUCUGGGCUUUGAUGAUCUAGAGGUUGAUGGUGACAGUUCUGGUUUGGAACUCGACGCCAAUGGUUUAUUUCGAUUCAAAGCAAAACUCAUUCUUGGUGAAUCUCGAAAGAAUCUGAGACUUGCCCACGGCCGAGUCACCGAUCACCACUACCUUGAAUACAUAGUCUAUUUUGUCAGGAAUCAUAUUCUCUCGUUGUUGAUGACGAUGAUCGGUGCCAUCACCACUCAUUUCUUCGUUCAUUCAUUCUAUGUCCAUUGAUCUUUUUGAAUUAUUGAAGACAAGUGGCUCACCGCUUUUAGUAUUGGUAAAAUUCAGAUAAUCUCUAUUCCGAAAUAAUAAUAUUAAAAAUAUCUCUUAAAUCAUUAUAAACUUCAAAUCUAUUUUAAUUUUAUUUAAAAGAUAAAAGAAAAAUAAGUUAUGUUGGUGAUUUUUUAUUAUCUUUUUAAUAAAAAUAGAAUAAAUUGAUGUUUAUAAUUAUUUAAAGUAUUUUAAAGAUUGCUAUUUUAUGAGAGAAUAAUAUUUCAUUUUUUUUUUCGUGUGAAAGACCGAAAAAGGACAAAGCAAGUUUCCCUAAUUUUUAUUUUAUGUGAAAUUGGUCAUCUCAUAUACUUUACCCUUCAACACUCUAAUUUUUUUGGUUAUAAUUUUAUUAUUUUUUCUCUUUUACACAUGCAUGUGAAUUACUUUUCUUUAAGCUCCUGAAUAUUUAAGACAAAUCAUGGAAGAGAUGAGAGUAUAACAAGAUGAUCAAAAUAUGUAACAAAAAAAUUUUAGAAGUGAAAAAUAUGUUAGAGUCGAAGUAAAACUCUGAGGUGAUGUUUGAUUUGAAGAAAAUGGAGGAGAGAAAAAGAGUGGAAUGGAGAGGAAAAGAGAGAAAAGGAGAGGAGAGGAGAGGAGAGUGAACUUUUUUUCUAAUGUUUGGUUUGUCACAUAAAUAUACAAAGAAAGGAAAUCUCCAAUUUUUUAUUUAGACAAUUUUAACCUUAAUAAGUAUUAAGCUUUCAAUAUUUAUCAUGUGUAUAAUUUAAAAAAAGUAAAUGGUAGAAAGCGGUUUCUGAUUCCGGCCACAUCGCCGGCAAUGGAAGGUACUUAUCAGAACAUCAAGAACCGGCCAUCAUUCCCUAGCCAUCACUGCUGUAGGAACACUGCUAAAAAGCUGCCGAUUGAACCGCGAAAAGUCGUGGAAAUCGUUGCCUCAAAUCGGUGAGUUUCGCCUUUUUCUGGUCAUGCCGUCGCCUUGGCUUUGUCCAUCAACGCUGCCACUUCCAUUUCAACCAUCCAUAGCCACUAUUAACCGCCAAAUCGCCGCCGAUCAGCGGGAUCUGUGGAAGUUAAAAAGUUUCUAAAAUUUUUUAAUUGGAUUUGAACAACAUACAACCAUUUUUUGAUCUCAAUAACGACAUAGUAAUGUUGAUCGUUGGUCGGCAAGUCGAAUGGUAGUGGCGGUGAGUAACACGCGCCAAUGACAUCGGCGGCGGCGGCGGCACUAUCCGGCUACUGUUAAAAUUAAUAUUUUAUAUUUGUAGAUUAAAUAAAUUUAUUUUAUUAAACUUUUUAAAUCAUUAUUUAAAUUUAAUUAAUUUAAAAUUAUCUAUGAUGUUGAAUUGAUAAAAUAAAUUUAUAAAUAAUAAUUAUGUGAUUACAUUAAAUAAGUUAAAAAGUUGAAGGGUUAUUUUUGGAAGAUUUAGUUUCCAACACAAAGGGAAUUUGAAUUCUUCACUUCUUAGUGUGGAAUUCAAAUUCUAUAUUGUAAUGGAUAUUAAAUUCCAAUAGAAAUUAAAUUCUUAUAAGUUAUGUCAAACCAAACAACGGAAAUAAAAAAAAAGAAUUUAAAUUACUUUCCUUUCCUCCACCCUCUCCUUCCAACCAAAUACAUCCUGAAAAUAGAGAUAUUGAUUAAUUUAGAAGAGAUGCAAGCAAAAGAUAUUCCACAAAAAAAAAAAAGCAAUAUGUCCCUUUGGAGGGCAAACUUGUCAGUUUUAAAAAAGUACAUGCUUUGGAUUGAUAGUUGUAGGAUAUUUGUUUUGUCACUAUGUGUUAGUUGGAGAAGUCAAGCCUUGUGAAGAAUGUUAUGAAAGAGCAAAGGAUAUUCCUGAUAGCUGAUAGAGCUCUAUUUGAUUAUGUAUCCAAUGAAUGGAUGUGUUGUUGGAAGAUAUUUGAGUGCAUUAGUUCAUAUGUGUCUAUCAAUGUGAUUUUAAUGAUUUUUCCACUUGUUUGUUGUAAAAGAUUAUUGUAAAUUGAAAUGAACUUGAUGUUGUAAUAUUUUCUCCUUAGUAGAAUUUCACCUAGUAUGUAUUUAGUUGUGUUGUCUAUAAUUUUGCAUUCGAAUAAGUUUCACCUAAAAUAUUAGCAUGAGUAGUGGCCCUUGAAACUUUGGUCAAAAUUAUUGUUAUUAUUUCCGACUAGAUGUAAAUUUUUUAUUAAAUCUCGCUAACACAAUUCUUAAUUAAAAGUAUAGGUUAGUGUUGGUGCAAGACUUGCCACACCAAAUUCUGCCUAACUGUCAAAAGUGCAAAAUAAAUGAAGAGAAAGCACAAAUACACGACUUGAAUAAGGAUACAACGAAACUUAAAUUCAAGAGAAAAUGAUAGCUAUAUCUCAAGAUUUGAAAAAACGGUCAUGUAGAUUUUUAAGAUUUCAAUAAGCGACUGAGAUUCAAAUAAUAUCCUUUAAUUCUAUUAACAAAAAACAAAGACUCAAAUAUUUUAUGAUAAAUAAAAAUAUAAUAUUAAAAUAUAUGUGAUAAUAUACACAUUUUAAAUACUUUCAAUCCAAAAAAAUAGUUAUGUUUUACAAUCUAUUAGACAUAUUUUAUUAAAUUAAUAUAAAUUUUCUAUAAAAUAAGAAUAUAAUAUUAAAAUAAAUUCACAAAAAUUUAAAGAAUUUUGAAUGUAAAAUAAUUUUAAUAUAUCAAUACGUGAGUUUUUUUAUUAAUAUAAAAUUUAUUUAACUUUAAGAUUUUUUAAAAUCUUUACAAUAAGUAUAACUAUAUUAUUUACAUUUAAAAAUAUUUAAAUAUUAUUAACCUACAAUUAUAUUUGCAUUUGUUAGAAAUUUUUUAAGUCAAAUAUUUUGCACUUCUAUAUUAUUAGAAUUAUUGCACAAAAAGAAAGAAACAUACACCUUUAGAAAUUGUUUUCUUUUAAAAUAGAGAUGAUGAUUAGUAUAAGGAUGAAAAAAAGGAUAAAGAAUAUUAAUGAUUAACGAAAUCUCUAUACAAAUUGAUUUUAGUAGGAAAAGAGUGAGAUGAAUGAUUUCUUUUACAGUUAGAAACAUAGAUGAUGAUUAUUAUAACGAAGAAAAAAAGAUAAAGAAUAUUAAUUAUUAAUGGAAUCUCUAUACAAAUUGAUUUUAGUAGGAAAAAAAUGAUUAAAUGAUUUAGAGUGCGUUUGGAAUUGAGAUUGGGCAGCCAUAGAUUUUAAGUUACAACACUGAAGUGUUUAGUAAAUACUAGUUGCUGCAGAUUGAAAGUUAUGUUGAUAUGAUUUUUCACAUGUAUCAUAGAAAAUAUAUUACAUCUUUAAUAUUUUUUAAAAAUUUAUAUUUGCUAUAUAUUAUUAAUUUUUUUUUAUAGUUAUAACUUUUUUUCCACAACAGUUGUAGCUUAAAAGUCACAGCACCUCAAUCUCAAACAAAUCCUUAGACAUUCAUAGUGUGUUUAUUUUUUGGAUUGGUGAAUCAAAAUUAUUGACAACGCUAACUUCAUCUUCACUGUUCGCAAUCCAACAGCAGCAAUUGUCGCCAAUAAUGAUAUCUCCAAUGAUGAUGACAAUUAUUAUUAUUAUUUUUAUUAUUAUUAUUAUUAUUAUUAUUAUUAUUAUUAAUUAAUUAAUUAAUUAAUUAAUUAAUUAAUUAAUAUAUUAAUGUUGAUAUUAUUAUUAUUAAGAUUAACAAUAAUUAUUAGUAAUACAAUUUUUUGAAUAAAAAUAAUCACAAUAAUUAAAAUACAAAUUAAUAAUUAUGACAAUAAUUAAUUAAUGUCUUUUUAGUAAUUUGUAAUAAUCUAACUCAUUUUGGUUCUGAUUAUUACAGCUUAAGUAAACAAAUUAUUAUGAUUCCUAUUCUCCUUUCCCAUUUUAACUCACUUUGAUUCCAGUCUAUUCCGAUUUCUAUUUAAUAAAUGCACCAUUAGUGCUAAAGUAAUAUUUCAUACAUAGAAAAAUAAAAACUACGCCUAAGGUUAAGGGAAAAGACUUCAAAAUUCUCUUUUGAUCAUAAUACAUUUUGUCCUAAUUAACUUAAAGAUUUUGAAUCUAAUAUUUUAUAAUAAAUAAAAAUAUAUUCCUAAAAUAAAUAUAAUAUCAAUAUUUAAAAUAUGUUUUAAUAUUUUACAAUCUAUCAUACACAUUUUAUUAUAUUAAAGUAGAUUUAUAAUAAAUAUAUAAAAAUUUAGAAUAUUUAGAAUAUUAUAUAAAAUAAUUUUAAUAUAAUGCGUGAUAUAUAUUUUAUUAAUUUAAAAUGUCAUUUUACCUAAAAAAUAUGAUAAAUUAAUAAUUACAUAUUUGAAGUUAUUUCAAAUAUUAAAAAAAUUUAAUAUUAUUAAUCUUUUAGAUAGAUUAAAUUAUUUUUUAUAAGAGAGAUUAAAUUAUUUUAAAAUGCCUUAAUUGUUUUUACUUUUAACGUUACGGGCCUUUCUUUUAUUUUAUUGCAAAUUAAUGCUAACUAGAAAAACAAAAACAAAAGUGACAAACACAACCAGCUGGAAUCUUUUAUAAAACUACAAAUUAAAAUGGAUUUUUUUUUUUUGUUGAUAAAUUACACAUGAAAGUGGAUUCUUUUGAAUAUAAGUGGGGUAGGCUCUUUUAUUUUUUUUUUAAUACCGUAUAACAGGACUGUAGACUCUUUUAUUAAGCACAAAUAUAGAGUUGUCGAGACAAUUAGGGUCUUUUAUUAAACUACAAAUUGUAUAGUCUUUUUUAAAUUGUUCAGAUAUUUAUAAAUUGGUGGCCCCUACAAUCCUCAAUAAUUGUACCGAUAUUCACAAGCUGGUGGCCCCUACAAUCCUUAAUAAUUGUUUUUUUUUUUUUCUGCAUUCCCUUUCAUGCUCUUAAUAAUUAAAGAGCAUACUUUUCAAAUGUGGAGCCGCGGCUAAUGUCGCUAAUUUAAUUUGGGAUUAAAUUAGGGGACUAUUAUAUUGCAGUGUGCACUAAUUUUUAUGUUUAUCUAAACUCCUUAAAUUUAAGAUAUAUUAUGGCAUAAAUAAGAAUAUAACAAUAGCAAAAGAGUUAGAAAGUGUAGAGAAGAUCUUGCAGAAAUAUAAAUAAUAUUUAUUUUAAAAUAAUAUCAAUAUUUAAAAUAAUUUUUAUUAUUUUAUGAUCCAUUAGAUAUAUUUUAUUAUAUUAAAGUAAAUUUUAUAAUAAAUAAAAACAUACUAUUAAAAUGAAUAUAUAGAAAAUUUAGAGUAUUUUAAGUAUUAUAUAAAAUAAUUUUAAUAAAAUAUGUGAGAUAUUCAUAUUUUAUUAAUUUAAAAUACCAUUUAACCUAAAGAUUUAUUUAUGAUAAAUUAAUAAUUAUAUUUUUGAAAUUACUUCAAAUAUUAAAAAAAUUAAUAUUACUAAUCUAUUAGAUAGAUUAAAUUAUAUAUAUUAUUUUCUAUUUAUUAAAAAAUUUCAAAUUAUUUUUAAUUACUAUUCAAAAAAUAUGAUGAUAAAAAAAUCUUAACAUCUUUAUUAAAAAAUUAAAAACUUACAUGAUCAAUUCUCUAAAUAUUUAGGGUAUAUGUGAACCACGGUGGACAGAGGUCAUUACUAAAAUUUCUCUUCCACAGGCAAUUACAGCAGCUCCAGUUUAUCAAACUCAACCAAUUUUCUUUCUUAACAAAAUUCCAAAGAUGUGUAGCUUUUUUCAGAUCACAUGCGAUGGUGCUUUUUUCAAUCGUUGCUUGGAUUGCUUUCUUGGAAAAGCAGCAUACAUACGUAACCUCCAAGAUAAUCUUGAUGCCUUGGACACUGAACUGGGAAGACUAAUCGCAGCAAAGAACGAUGUGAUGAUUAGGGUUGUCAAUGCUGAACGGCAAUAAAUGAGAAGGCUGGACGGAGUGCAAGUGUGGGUUUCGAGUGUGGAUGCUGUUAAAACUGGAGCCGAUGAACUUAUCACAGACGGCUCUGAAGAAAUUGGCAAAUUAUGUGUUGGAGGCUACUGUUCCAAGAACUGCAGGUCAAGCUACAAAUUCGGAAAACAAGUGGCUAGAAAGCUACGAGAUGUGGAGACUUUAAUCGCCGAAGGAGUUUUUGAGGCGGUGGCUACUGAGGUGGUGCCUGAGAGAGCUCCAGAGCCUGUAGCAGAUGAAAGACCUACCGAGCGAAAAGUAGUAGGCUUGCAAUCACAACUUGAACAAGUCUGGACGUGUCUUGUGGAAGAAUCAGCGGGAAUCAUUGGCCUAUACGGUAUGGGCGGUGUUGGUAAAACCACACUAUUGACCCAUAUCAACAAUAAAUUUCUCGAGAGUCCAACCAACUUUGAUUGUGUGAUUUGGGUAGUAGUUUCAAAAGACCUGCGACUUGAAAAACUUCAAGAAGAUAUUGGGAAAAAGAUAGGUUUGGUUGGUGAUUCAUGGAAGAGUAGAAGUGCAGAGGAGAAAGCUCUCGACAUCUUCCGGAGUCUAAGAGGGAAGAGAAUUGUAUUGUUGUUAGAUGAUAUAUGGGAGCGGGUUGAUUUAACAAAAGUGGGCGUUCCACUUCCUGGACCACAAAAUACUACCUCAAAAGUCGUAUUCACAACNNNNNNNNNNNNNNNNNNNNNNNNNNNNNNNNNNNNNNNNNNNNNNNNNNNNNNNNNNNNNNNNNNNNNNNNNNNNNNNNNNNNNNNNNNNNNNNNNNNNNNNNNNNNNNNNNNNNNNNNNNNNNNNNNNNNNNNNNNNNNNNNNNNNNNNNNNNNNNNNNNNNNNNNNNNNNNNNNNNNNNNNNNNNNNNNNNNNNNNNNNNNNNNNNNNNNNNNNNNNNNNNNNNNNNNNNNNNNNNNNNNNNNNNNNNNNNNNNNNNNNNNNNNNNNNNNNNNNNNNNNNNNNNNNNNNNNNNNNNNNNNNNNNNNNNNNNNNNNNNNNNNNNNNNNNNNNNNNNNNNNNNNNNNNNNNNNNNNNNNNNNNNNNNNNNNNNNNNNNNNNNNNNNNNNNNNNNNNNNNNNNNNNNNNNNNNNNNNNNNNNNNNNNNNNNNNNNNNNNNNNNNNNNNNNNNNNNNNNNNNNNNCAGGAAGUCCUAGUGCGUGCUAUCAGAAAAGAUGCUGGGAACUGUUUCGCGAAAAUGUUGGGGAAGAAACUCUUGAGAGUGAUCAUGAGAUCGUUGAGCUAGCCCAAACUGUGGCCAAAGAGUGUGGUGGUUUGCCACUCGCACUUAUUACUAUUGGUCGAGCUAUGGCCUACAGAAAGAAAGCGGAGCAGUGGAGACGUGCAAUUGAAGAGUUAAGAAGAUCAGCUUCAGAGUUUGCAGGUUUGGGAAAAGAGGUGUAUCCUCUUUUAAAGUUUAGCUAUGAUAGUUUGCAGAAUGAUACAAUUAGAUCUUGUUUCUUGUAUUGUUGUUUAUAUUCUGAAGAUUAUGGCAUUCUUAAAUGGGACUUGAUUGAUUGUUGGAUUGGUGAGGGAUUUUUGGGGGAAUCUGACAGGUUUGGUGCAGAAAACCAAGGAUAUGACAUUUUGGACACUCUUGUUCGUGCAUGUUUAUUAGAAGAGGUGGAAGAAGAUGAAGUAAAAAUGCAUGACGUUAUUCGUGAUAUGGCUAUAUGGAUAACCAGUGAAAUUGAGAAGGAGAAGAGAAACUUUUUGGUUUGUGCAGGUGCUGGAUUAGAAGAGGCACCGGAUGUUAAAGAAUGGGAAAAUGUGAGAAGAUUGUCAUUGAUGCAAAACCAAAUUGAAACUCUGUUUGGGGUUCCCACAUGCCCUCAUCUCAUCACUUUAUUUAUUGACUUUAAUAGGGAGUUGAAGACUAUCGCGGAUGGCUUCUUCCGAUGUGUGCCUUCUCUCAAAGUUUUGAAGAUGUCAAACUGUGGAAAGCCUUAGAAAGGUUUGGAAUUACCUUUGGGGAUGUCAAAGUUGGGUUCACUACAACUUCUUGAUAUUUCACACACCUGCAUACAAGAAUUACCACAAGAAUUAAAGUUGUUGGUAAAUCUGAAAUGUUUGAAUUUGAGGCGGACAAUUUGGUUAAAUAAAAUUUCAUGGCAACUAAUAUCAAAAUUUUCAAGGUUACGUGUGUUGAGAAUGUUCGCUACUGGCUGGUUCAGUUUUCAUGAAGCACCAGAAGACAGCGUUUUAUUUGGUGGGGGUGAAGUUUUGAUACAGGAAUUGCUCGGUUUGAAAUAUUUAGAGGUAUUGGAGUUGACCUUGGGAAGUUAUCAUGCUCUCCAAAUUCUUUUGAGCUCAAAUAAGUUAAAAAGUUGUAUUCGAUCUCUUUUCCUACAGUUGUUCAGAGAUACAACGUCGAUUAUUGAUGCUACGGCUUUCGCAGAUCUAAACCACCUCAAUCAAUUAUGUAUUAGUAACGGUUCUGAGUUGGAAGAAUUGAAGAUUGAUUAUACGGAGAUAGUACGAAAAAGGCGGGAACCUUUUGUUUUCCGCAGCCUUCAACGUGUUACCAUAGAGGAGUGCCAUAAAUUGAAAGAUUUGACAUUCCUCGUUUUUGCUCCAAACCUCAAGUCUCUUUCGCUAUACGAUUGCGGUGCUAUGGAAGAAAUAAUCAGCGUCGGAAAAUUUGCUGAGACUCCUGAGAUGAUGGGACAUAUAAGCCCUUUUGAAAAUCUCCAAAUGCUUUAUUUAAUGGCAUUGCCGGAGUUGAAGAGCGUCUACUGGAAGCCAUUGCCUUUCACUCAUCUGAAAGAAAUGGAGGUACUUGGGUGUGAUCAGCUUAAAAAGCUUCCACUCGAUUCCAACAGUGCAAAAGAGCGUAAAUUUGUAAUUCUUGGAGACACACAGUGGUGGAACCGUCUUCAAUGGGAGGAUGAAGCCACUCAAAUUGCUUUUCGUUCCUAUUUCCAAACCUGAUUCCUGAGCGGUGGUCGCAAAAUUUGAUUUCUGGUGAGUGCGUUUGUCUUUUAAAAGAAGAAUUUAAAAGAAAUUUAUUCUUGUCGUUUUCUUCUCUGUUUUUAUUUCAGUUUGUUUCUCUCUCUCUCUUUUUGUCUUCUGCAAAUCACAAUUAAAUGUUGAAUUAAUGGAAUUAAUGCUUCAUAAAUUUGCCGGCACUGCCAGUACUUUUUUUUUUUUUUAAUACGAAUUGAUGCUUUAUUUAUUUCUUCUUAGCGAUUUAAUUUCCUGUCAAAAGACGAGCGAGAAGAACAUAUGACUUAAACCAAUUGAUACUUUAUUUAUGUGCAUUGUAUGUAAUAAAAUUUUCUCUGUUUUUUUCAAAUUGAGGCUUUAUUUAUAUUUUCUUCGUGAAGAGUGAUUUAAUUUCCUGCCAAAAGACAAACGAGAAGAACAUUAGAGUCAAACUAAUGCUCACAUAAAUUUCCCGUAAGAAUAUAUAUAUAAUUAGACUGGAAUGCACACCUCUAGAUUGAACAGAAUUAAAGCUGAGAAAAUAUUGAGUAUAGUAGCCCUCUUUACAGAAAAUGACGCGAAAGUUAAUUUAGAAAGAUAUAUUCUUGAUUAAUCCAUUUUCUGAAGUUUUUUAUUUUGUAUGGUCAAUUAUACCUUCAUACUAAAAAAAAAAAAAAAAAAGAGAAAAUAUGUAAUCCAUGAAUGGUUAAUUUUGUUUGUUUGUUUUUUUUUCUUAAAUAUCAUUCUUUUUCGGCCACCCAAGGACAUUUUCACAAAUACCUUUUGUGUGCAGAAGUCUUCCAAACCAUCAAUGGAAAAAUAAAAAAUAAAAAAAACACGGUCCAGUAUACCUCAAAAUAUCAUUGAUGACUUUUCUGGUCUAAUGCUAUGUAAAUAGUAUGUUAAGUAAAACAUAAUCAGUUCAGUACCUCACAAAUAAUUCGCAAUAUCUACAAAAUACUAUAAUGGCUACAAAACAAAUCCUGCUUGCAAAUUGUCAAGGAUACCUAUCCGUUCGCUUGACAAGUCAUUUGAAUAAAUAUUGUUCACAUUCCUUACUCUGUCAAUUAUCCAAAGCACCAUCAACUUUAGUUUGAAUAGUAUACAUGCCAUCACCGUUACCAAGAAUCAAGCAUGGAAGGGUCAUUCUAUAGAGUGCAGAACAUGACUCUAUGCGGUAGUCAAUUUGACACACGACGAACACCAUAUGCUGCAUAACAUACAAAUUAAUUUCCCAUAUGUGAUGCAAUUUUCUCCUCAACAUAUGCGCAAUUCUUUCCAUUCCGGCAUUUACACUCAAAUUUUCCUUCCUUUCUCUUUGUGGUUGAAUCUUACACCACAACUCAUGUGAUGCAAUCUCCUCUCGCUGCCUAAAUUGCACUCUCAGCAAAGCAGCAUAUGUAAGCAAGCUUGAAGAUAAUCUUGCUGCUCUGCAGAAGAACGGCAAAAGUUAAUCGAAGCAAGGAAUGAUGUAUCAGAAAAUAUUUGGUGGAGAAUUCAGCACAAACAUAUUUCGGAUGAUCAGAAUCAAUAAAACCUGGUGGUUGUGCCAUAUAAACAUCUUUGGAAAGCUGACCUUGAAGAAAGGCGUUAUUGAUAUCCAAUUGAUGAAGAGGCCAGCCAUGACUAACAUCAAUACUAAGAACAAGCCGUACUGUGGUGGACUUAACAACUGGACUGAAAGUGUCAUAAUAGUCCACACCAGGCCAUUGAUUGAACCCUUUGGCAACAAGAUGAGCUUUAAACCUGUCAACAGAACCGUUGGAAUGUCUUUUAAUACAAAAAUCCAUUUGCAGCCAACAAUAUUGGAAGGGAUGGGAGGUGGAACAAGCUUCCAUGUCCCGUUACGAACAAGAGCAUCAUACUCUUCUGACAUAGCUGGACGCCAGUGAAGAUUUUUGAUAGCUUGCGUCACAGUUGUAGGUUCACAAUCAGAAGAAGGGCUAAAAUGAGCACGGAGGUUAAGUUUUUGUAACGGCUUGUGAAUCUUAUUUUUAGCUCGGGUAGUCAUAUCAUGAUGACUUGUGGGGCAAUGAUCUAGUGGAGUUUAGGAAGAUGAUUGAACAGGAAGUGAAGAAGUGCUUUGUGUAGAGGUAGAAGUAGGUUGGGAGGAUUGCUGCGGAGAUGUUACCGGUAGAGAAGAAGGAGCAGUACACGGUGGCAACUCCAGAGGGCCCACAAUAGAUGGAGUAGGUGCCGACAAUGGAGUACUAGGAAAUGAAACAGGAAGAAUUGGUGGAACACUUGCAUAAUUAGGAGUGGUAGAUGAGCUUGUAAUGAUUUGCAUGGAAAAACAAACUCUACAAAUUUAACGUGACGUGAAAUAAAAAUUUGAAAGGUGGAUGGGUCAAAACAUAAAUAAGCACUUUGAGAUAAAGGAAUAUCCUAGAAAAACACAAGGCUUAGAGGGUGGUUCGAGUUUAUGUGAUGAAACACAAACAUUCAAAAAAUUUUAAGUUUAUAUUAAUUAGGAGUGGUACCAAAAAUUAAUUAGCUAUGGGGUUGUUGGAUGUGUUUUGGAUAUUUACAGUUAAGUUUGAGUAUCUCAACUUAAAAUUUGUAGUUUUCACUUGAAAAAAUUCAGUUAAAUUUUGCAAUGCAGACUGAUUGAUUUAUCAGUUUAACGUGUGCCAGGAAUGAAGAACUGGAAUAUCACCGUCAAGCAAGCACCCUGUGGAGCAAUACCAAAGAAUGCACAAUCUGGCUUUGCUAGGUAACACUGGAGGCUUUUUGAAAAGUGCUUCACGCUCACUUGCACAGAUUGAGCAUCCCCUCUGGAUAUUGCCCUCUCUGAUCGAGUCUGAGCACUCAAAUUUUGGUCCUCAGAGGGAGCUACAGUUUUCUCUCCACUAACCAACAAUAUUCUAAACUCAGCACCUAGUGUGAUCAGAGUUGUUGAUAUUUGCAAAUGGAGAUCCCCAUAUUUGCAAAUGGAGACAUUUAACAAAUCACCAACAUGCUUCAUCCGGUCCACGAAAUUCUGCAACUGAUGCAAAUCUGGAACCUGAACCAGAGUCGGAGGUAUAUCUUGAGCCAUAUCUAAAGCAGUUUGAAGUUCAAGACCUUGAGCCCUUGACAAUGGUUUUGAAAUUGGAACAUCUUGGAUUACUGCAGACUUGUACCCCUUGGUUUCAAAGGUAAGGAAAGGCAUUGCUUGAGUACAAUUUGGAGGCAGCUUCUUCACCAAUUUUAUUUGGAGGCGAUUGGCAGCGGAUCCAGCUGCACCAAUUUCAGAGCAACUACUGACACUACUUCGAACAGCACACUGAAGAAGUGAUAUGUCUACGGCGAAGGCAAUGCAGUCCUCAUUUUGGCUUGAGACACAGUAAUCAUCGAAGAGAGUUUCCUUGUGAAACUGGGCAACACAUUGAAUCCCUUCGGCACUGAGAAGGUUGUGGAGGAAGUAAGCUUUCUCUCUAGUAAGGAAGAGGUGGCAUACAUUCCCCAUUUUGUCUAGGGCAGGUAGGAAUCUUUUUUCUAAGAGAUUUACUUCAUUCUCUGUGAGAAAUGCUUUGAACUUCAUCCCUCUGUCUCUAUCCUCACUUAUCAGUAAAAUAGUUGAAAGCGCUACAAGGAGAGAAAAGAAGAGUAUUAAGAUAUAUAUAUUAUAUAGACAAGAAAAACAUUAGAUGUCGAUCUUACAAGCUAAUACUUCAAACAAUAUCCUAGAAAGCUAAAAACUGCAAGAUGGCUUGAAAUUUGAAAAGAGCACGUGCUUUUCCUCCUUAACUUGAGAAAAUGUUUAAUAUAGUGCACCUUACAGAAGCAUUUAAGCAAUUAGAACUUUGCACAAAAACAUCAAGAAGACUAAACAAGUCAGAUGCAGUGUAUUUGUCCAAGCACAAAUUGCAUUUUGUCCUCAACUUUAAUAUUUAUUGAUGAGAAUCAAUACAGGUCCCUCAUUUGUUAUAGAAAGCUUUCUUGUAGUCUCACCAGUUAAUAUGGAUAUUAGAUAAGGAAACUUUAUUAGGUUGCGAGGGUAAAAAAGGAAAGAGAUAUCAUUAUUUUAUUAUCGAUAAUUAUUAAAUUUUUUUCCAAAAAAAAGAACAAGCAAGGAUAUUUUAUUGUCAAUUGCAACCUUUAAUUUUUUUAAAUGCUAUUAGAAACACAAGAUAACAAAAAUGUAGUGAGAUGGGAUCUCCUGCAUGCCACUCUGGUUUAGAACACAAAGAAUGUGUCUGCAUAAAUAUCCUCUGAAAUUGAACAACCCACAAACACAAAGCACCUCCAAGUCGGAGGCAUUGUACAAAACAUCAAAAGCCCUUGAAUCCUUCUCGUUGCCACCAACCUCGAAUUCUUCCUUCACUAUGUAUGUUAUAGGUCCAUCAGAACUAAUAUGUUUUGUGCUAUAGUAAGAGUACAUAGCCUCCACCUCCAUCUGAAACUUCCUUAACAUUUCAUUUGUGUACAGUUUUGAGAGUUGAAAUUCAUAGUAACAUCUUGGUUUCCGGAUACAACUUGAAUUUCUUGAAUCCAUAUCUGCCAAGGCUACCAGUUGAUAAUUCGCCUGCAGUGCUUGAUCAUACUUGUCUAAGAAUUCUUUCAAAGGAGUAUUCUUAUCAAGAUAUCCUUCAAAGUAUGAAGUAGAAACCUCAUUCUGCAGGAACGAAAACACUCCUGAUAAAAAAGCUUCCUUCAAAUAAAUAGGAGCCCACCUUUUAUGAUCUUCAUAUAAAGUUUGAAUCCAUCCGUGAUCCUUUAUUCCAUGACAUUGAAUCAUGUCUUCCCAAGCUGCUUCAAAUUUCUCAGGCCUGAGAGAGUGAUAAAUUGCUCUAUGUAAUGCAGCUUUAAUAGCUUCAUAUUCAAACAAUCCUUGGAGUUUCUCUGGAAUUUUUUUGCAUGAUGCAUGACAAUGAAAAGAAAUGAUAAGCUCUUGGGAAAACAUCACCAACAGCAAUUUGCAAGAUUCUACAUUGGUCAGUGAUGAUUGUUUGUGGAGAGCGCCCUAACAUACAUGUAAGCCACGCCGUAAACAACCAUGUAUAUGAUUCUAUGGUCUCACUGGCAAGUAAACCACAACCCAACAACACUGAUUGUCCAUGAUGAUUCACCCCAAUGAAUGAAACCAGUGGUACAUCAUAUCUUUCAGUCAGGCACGUAGUAUCAAUUAAGACCACAUCACCAAAGUACCUAUAUGCAACUCUUGACCUGGUAUCAGUCCAGAAUAGGUUUUUCAAGCAUCCCUUUUCAUUUAGAUCCACUACAUUAAAAAAGUUUGGAUCUGUCAACUGCAAAUGACAAAAGAAACUCUGGACAGCUUGUGCAUCUCCUGGUUUAAGCUUCAAUUGAUUUGAGCUAUUAACAUUAUUUCCAAAUACUCCAUUAACAUCUACCAUUUCCCUUGGUAUCAAUGAUAAGAGUUCGAAACAGUUUAAUUUUUUGAACUUCUUCAGCACUAUCUAAAUGCAAUGUUCUUUUGGUUCCAAUACCUAUGUGCUUAUGUGACUUGUAAAACUUUCCGCUUCUUGGGCUUAACAAGUGGUUAUGCUCAAGCUCGACUUCAAUGAUUCUCCACCUUUUGGUUUCCAUCAACCUAAACUUUAUCAUUGCUGGACAGCCAGUUCUUGUUUCUGGUCUUGGGCGGUUUGCCUCGCUUUUCUUCUUGAAGCCUGCACUACUACAGCUCAGCUUUCCUCUAUACUUUUCUCUACUCUUUCGGUACCAUGGAUUGCUAACUCUAACACCAAAACCCUGUUCCUUGGCAUAGCAAUUGUAAAAGUAAUAUACAUCAUCAUACAUCUCAAACUCCAUUCCAACAGUAGGAGGCAAGGGAUUUUGGAUUAUCCCAGUUUGUCCAACAUAUUCAGUCAUCGCACAAUCUCCUACAACCUCAAAAUCAUCAGUGUCAUCAUCACCUACUGGUUCGGUGUUGAGAGAAACUUCAUCCAUCUACAAUGGAUGUUCAAUGAAGUGAGCUUUAAGGAGAAAAAGCAAAAUCUGUUCAAGGAAUGAUAAUAUAAUCAUACAGUUACUUUCACAAAGCUUCAUAUUUCAUCACUGCUUUACCAACAUGCAACUGCCAGAGAACAAACAGACAUGUCAUAGACGCUUGAAUUAAGUAUUGGUACAAAUGAGCACACAUCAUGUGGGACAAAAUUUCAGUCACUAAACCCAAUACCACUUUUUACAUCAUACCAAGGAACAGAUUAAACCCGACACCUUCUUUUAAACCAUACCAAGGAACAGAUUAAAUCAUCAAUGAAAAAUUAAUCACAUAAUAACUUAACCAGACAAAUGAAGAGCCUGAAACAGCACAAAACUUGAAUCUGAUUAUGAUAAUUGUUGAGUCCUUGUAUCUACAGCUUUCCUUCAAUGAUAAGACAAUGAACAUAAACGAGACACAAAAAAAUUAUUUUAAACUGACAGCCCAUGAUAUAAAUCAAACAAAAUCAACUCCUUUUUUUACACAUUACAUCUCAUAUUCAUUUACAUUGAAACACAAAAAGGAAGCAGGAGUGGGAAAAAAACAACAGCAGAGGAACUUAUUUCCAUAAGGUUUACGAAAUAAGGAAUCUAUUAAAACCCAAAACUUGAGGUCACCACUAAGAAUUUGGUUCUCAUUAUUUUUUUCUUCAUUUUUCACCAAUUGAUGAACUUAAAAUACAAUCAUAAAUGAUAAAACCCCAUCUCCAUCUUUUUGAACUAGAGCUAAAGCAAAGCAUUUUAAGAUGUUUCAUCAUUUUUUUUUUUAAAAAAAACUCAAUAGUACAAUGUUUUUCAAUGCUAAAUGCACAAUUCAAUCUUCUCCUAAUUUACUCUAAUAAUCUCUUAAUUAAGGAAGAUUAAGCUUCAGUUGUAAGCUAAAACAAAUUUCUUAAAUCAAGCCCCAAUGCUUUAUGCUAUUCAACAAGGGCUCAUAAAUGAUAAAACUACUUCUAUAAAGAUACCCAUUUUCUAAAUUAAUUUCACAAACUGAAAUCAAACUCCUGAAACGUAACGAGCAUUAAUAUAAUCAAGCCCGAACAAGAAUUGAAAAAUGAUACAUAAACUCGUUUACACAUUUCGACAGACACUUUGCAAUCAAUGAGCAAAAAAUUAAUGGAGAAGAUAAAAUUCAAACGAAACAUGCCUUACAUUGAUAAAUUAGAAGGGCAAAAGAAAUUUUAGUACGAUAUGCGAUCAGGGUCUUGCCACGGUGAUGUUAUUUGUGAAGUUCGAGCGACUCAGCAGCCUUCGAGGUUGAAAAUUUGAUUGACCAAAAGCUUCCCGUUCGUUGAUUCUCUAAUAGUAGAAACGAGACUGGCAGUAUACACAAGAAGUUCGCCGAUUUUAAAUUCCGUUGUUUGAGAUGGAAAAUUUUUUGAAAAAAUUAAUGUGUUCGAUGAAAAUCAAAAUCUCAAAAACCUCUUGUUUUUCAUUUUUUUGGAAAAAACCAUUGAGAUCCUUACUAUUUUUUCUUAUAUCAUCUUCCUUAAUAAUUUGCAAAGUCUAUCGCAUAGCACCCAUGUAUGAUGUAUGCUGCGUUGUAAUUUACAAAAUUGCACAUGAAUAAAUCCAGCUAAAAUUUGUUAAAAGAAAAUAAUAAUAACAUGUUAAAACUUUAAAAUUUGAUUAUUCGAAGAAAUUUUAAUUUAGUUAAGUAGGUGACAUGAUAAUAAAUAGAUACGUAUAAUGUCCGAGAUUUUUUAUAAGAUUAAUAAAUAUGAUAAAUUUGGAUUAGUUCAAUUUUGACAUAAUUCAUAAUAAACACAGCUUGCUAAUCUAAAUUGCCACCGUUACUCAUCAUCAGGUACCUGUUUGAAAAAUAAUUACAAACAAUUUUAUUUGUGUUGUUUCUCUAAAAGUUUGAGACACAAAUGUUAUUUCAAAUUGAUAAAAGUACGAAAAUUCCCCCUUGCUCUUCAACUAAAAAUGAAACAUGCAAAUAUACACACUAAUUUAGAUGUGUGAAUAACAAAUAUGGAACGACACAUGCAAAGUCAUCUGUAUAAUUGAAACGCCAUGCACUAGUAGUAGGUAAGAGAAACCAAGGUUGAAGUUGCUCCAAUGGUUACUGUUAAUUUAUUUUUAUUUAUGAUUUUUUUUGUAAAAUGUAAGAAAUAUGUAGAAAUGUUGCCAGCAAUGAUUUUGGAACUUUGCAUAAAAUUUUUAUCAUUAUUGUUUUUGGUAUUAAGAAAUCCGAGGCGGUGAUUAGACGUAUGUUGCAACAAUUAAGAAAUUUCUUAUUGGAGAUAAUUUGGUAGGUUUGCAGCAAUUAGAGAAUAAUUUUCCUGCCAGUUAAUCAAUCAAUAAUAAAUUUCAAAUUGCAGAAAAUAAAAUAAUACAGCCUCACUUAGAAUCAUCUUUUCUAUCUCUUUCAAUUGUGGCAAUCAUUUGCAACAAAUAAAUCAAUUUGAUGCACAUCAUUUCCCCAAUUCAAAGUUCAAGUCACUGCUCAAUUACAGAGUAGUUAGUGGACAUGCAUGCAUGUUUAAUUAAGUACUGCAUUGUAGUAUCGAAAAUCAUAACAUCUCACCAAUAUCAGAUUAUUAACCAUGGAAAUCAUAUCACAAUAUCAUAUAGAAUUCACAAAUCUGAAAAUCAUCACCAAACAAGUACCCAGAGAAAUAAUCUCGUCAUAUCCAGACCUCAACGGACGGGCAAUGACGUACUAUUUGGGUAACGUCACACCCUGGAGCUACACGGAUAAAUAGGAAAAUACCAUCUCAUAUCUCAUCAUAUUUGUGCAUGCAUAAUCUAGUCCCCAAGGGACAAAAGCGCCCAAGCACACGGCCCAAAGCCUCUAUGUGUACUCAGACGGGCCCCAAAGGCCUGUAUCUCAUAUGUAUCAUAUGUAUCAUUUGUAUCUCAAUAUCUGUUUGUAUCUCAUUUCCGUAUAUCUAUAAUCAUCAUACCGCAUGCAUAUGCCCCCAAAAGACAAAAGCGCCCAAACACAUGGCCCAAAGCCUUUAUAUGUGUUUAGACGGGUCCCAAAAGCCUCUUAUCUCAUCUUAUCUGUAUCACUGUAUCUGGAGAGAAGGGUACUGUCUAAUGAUUUAAAAAACAAUCAUUAUACUCAUAUUUACAUACCUCUUAAUCAUAUUUGAAAUCAUAUCACAUUUGAAUCCACUUUUCUAAUCUUUAAAAUAUUAUCAUGCUUUAUUCAAAGUCGAUACGCAAAAUCAAUAACCAAACAUUUUAAAUCAAAUUAUUAACCAUGGAAAUCAUAUCACAAUAUCAUAUAGAAUUCACAAAUCUGAAAAUCAUCACCAAAUAAGUACCCAAAGAAAUAAUCUCGUCAUAUCCGGACCUCAACGGACGGGCAAUGACGUACUAUCUGGGUAACGUCACACCUUGGAGCUACACGGAUAAAUAGAGAAAUACCAUCUCAUAUCUCAUCAUAUCUGUGCAUGCAUAAUCUAGUCCCCAAGGGACAAAAGCGCCCAAGCACACAGCCCAAAGCCUCUAUGUGUACUCAGACGGGCUCCAAAGGCCUGUAUCUCAUAUGUAUCAUAUGUAUCAUUUGUAUCUCAAUAUCUGUCUGUAUCUCAUAUCCGUAUAUCUAUAAUCAUCAUACCGCAUGCAUAUGCCCCCAAAAGACAAAAGCGCCCAAACACAUGGCCCAAAGCCUUUAUAUGUGUUCAGACGGACCCCAAAAGCCUCUCAUCUCAUCUUAUCUGUAUCACUGUAUCUGGAGGGAAGGGUACUGUCUAAUGAUUUAAAAAAUAAUCAUUAUACUCAUAUUUACAUACCUCUUAUCAUAUUUGAAAUCAUAUCACAUUUGAAUCCACUUUUCUAAUCUUUAAAAUAUUAUCAUGCUUUAUUCAAAGUCGAUACGCAAAAUCAAUAACCAAACAUUUUAAUAAAAUACCAAUGCAUAAAUAAAAUUCAUUUCGAGAAAUCAUUAAAUCAGAACAUUUAAAAUACUUAUUUCGCAAACAUGCUUUACUAUCAUCGCUAACUAUGAAAAUAAGUUUUGUAUAUUCCACUUUCAGUGAUGGUGUUCACGGUCGGUUAUCGUCCAUAUCUGCAGACCGAUUCUCGCUCGCGAAUCCUCCUAAAUCAAGGAAACGACAUAAUUAUUUUUUGUAAAUCGGAAUUAUGACUAAAUUUUAUGCAAUAAACUCAAAACGAACAUCUAUUCAUAAUUGACAACUCCUAUAUCCAUAAAAUUACUAAAAUAUCCUUGAGUCCGUAGAUCAUUAACAUGCUCCGAAAUCGUAAAUCACUGAAUUACCCUCGGAAUCGUAAUUACACCCGAUCCUCAAUUAUAGGAAUUACUAACAGAUCCACAGGCUUAGAAAUUACAAAAUUGCCCUCGUAGUGUGAAAUUACCAAAAGCCGGAAGUUGGUCAACAAUGGCUAGGAAGCUCAAAUCGUAAAGUUCCAAUCACGCUGAGUUCAAUGGUACCGGCGGUGAGCUCCAACGCGCGACAACGAUGCCAGAAUCUAGCUCGGCAGCCGUGAAUUCCACCAAUCGACCGGCGGCACAACAGUGACUCUCGGUGCCUAUGGAUGGUCGAAAAUGGAAGAGGGAGCCGUGGGGAACAAAAUCCAACCGGUGGUGUCACCAAAACCGGUGAAAAUCCCGGCGGAGCAAAGUGAAACAGUCGCGGGUUUCAUGCUUCGAUCGCCGGUGUUCCGAUUGGUUUUUGGCGAGGAGGAUGGCAAGGGAACGACAGCCGGCUUCUAAGCUUCAGAUUGGUACCAAGCUCGGCCGAAACGAUGGCCGGAAAUGGGAGAUAUGACCGGGUCAAGGUCGCGGGUUCCGGGUCGGGUUUUUUGGUCUGUAGUUGGGUCGGUUUGGUAGCUUCUCUCUCACUCUCUGUUACACGUGCAUAUGUUUCCUCUGUUUCCAGCUUAUUCUUUUGCUUUUACUAACUUCUUAACCGCCUCAUACUUAUUCAUUUUUAAUUCACAUAUGUUACAAUAAUUCCCGAGUAUUAAAUAACCAGUGGUCAUAAUUUUUGUACAAGAUUCUUUUUUUUUUUUGGAGAUCGUUAAAAGUGGUUGACGAUCCAUUUCGUAAUAUCAUAGAGGGAUCAUCAAUUCCUUUUCUUUUCUGUGGCUAGGCAACACUUUUUGGCCAAAGUAAGGAAAUCUAUUUUAGGUAAUGUAAAAACCAGUUGUAGGAUGUAAUAGUUUAUUAUGCACUGACAAUAACUUUUUGUAUAAUUGUCAGUUUAAUGAAUGCAAGAGGAACUCUGUUGGCAAAUUCAUCCAAGAUAGAUGCUAAAAUUAUUUAUGCAUGCCAGUUGCCUUAACUAAGUUUUCUCAGCACUGGUUUUGAACAGGAAAAUGAAUAUGCAAUUUGUAUAUUGUGCCAUAGUGGAGAAUUUGGAUAUUCUUAUUUAAGUAACAAGGAGAUUAUUUGCCUCAUCUUUAAACAAUGAAUCUUUGAGAGAUGAGGAGUGGGUGAUUGGAUGUGUCUUCAUGUAAUUGUUCAUUUAUUUGUAUUUUGAACUGUUAUGAAAAUCUUUAUAUGCCAAAUUAGUAAUACAAGUAUUCAGAUGAUUUUUCCUAUUGAUCAUGCAUUUGUAUCUGCCCACAACCAUUGUAUAUCACUUUAUUCUGAUGCGCAAGCAUCUGUAAUUUAGAAGAAAAGAAAUAAUAAUCAUAUUUUAUUGCUUGGUUCAUGAUUAUUAACGAUUAUGGCUUUAAAAAUCUACAAAUUUCUUGUGUUCAUGUAUGAAUGUGCCAAGUUUGCUGUAUCUUAGAUUACCUUCUUCCAAGGUAACAAGUUCAUAUAUAUAUAUUUUUUAAAUCAUUUUCCAUUACAGUUGAAUUUCAAGUGUUAGUUUUGUUAUUAGUACCUGGUUUCCUGUUAUAAGGAUCUAAUAAACAGUGUACGGAUAUGUGCUCUACUUUUGGAGGGCUUCCACGUGAAAGAAAAUUACAACAAUUGAAUUCUUCCGGAGGAUAUGGUAAUUAAUUUAUUUUCUCAACUUCUUGUAAGACUAAUAUAUUUCCUUCAGUAGGCACAGCAUGGUGGGAAGGGUUUUUAUUGAAAGAAUUCUGAUAUUUCUUAGACUUUGUUUUGGAAGGGGGUGGAGGAAUUUCUCAUCCAUAUAUGGUUACUUGAUUAGCUUUUGACUGUAUUGUCUCUGUCGUGCAAAGGAAAAUCUAAAUACUAACGAUGGGGAAUUGCUUAGGCACCCAAAAGGCAGAAAUGAAUUACAGAAGGAAGUUUUUGCUGCUUUAUUUAGUGCUGCUGAGAAAUCUGAUGAAUUUCCUGAAAUUACGGUGAAGACCGAGUGGAGGUCCAAAGCAUUAGGAAAGGUGGUGAGUGAACUGCCGGAGGAAUUUGUACCAAAAUACAAGGCUAAUGUGGUGCACUUGCAGCAAGAUAACCAGACCGGUAUGUGCUCUUAUAUUAACUAUAUUGACUGGAUUUGUGAGUGUGUGCAUUUUUUUGUGUAUACUCACUUUUGUAUUUAUGCAUAUUAACAUGUGUAGGAUUCUUGAUUUCUGCCACUUACUGGAGAACUAGUGGAAAGCUUUAUAUUGAUAUAUCUGCAAUAACUAAUGGAAACUAUGAUAUGAAUAUUUUCUCUCACCUGGGGAGCUGUGUAACAGAUAUACUUUGUGGCUCUGGAAUGCUGAAGAUUCUGCAAUAACUAAUGGAAAAUAUGAUAUGAAUAUUUUGUCUCACCUGGAGAACUUUGUUACAGAUACCCUUUGUGGCUCUGGAAUGUCUAAAGAAUGCUUUAGUUAGAUCAAAUAUCUUUUAGUUAGAAAAGAUAAAAUUCUCUGAGUCUGAAAGACUGAAACAUUUUGCAUAUUUUGUGAAAGGGAAAUAUCUGUUGAUACUAGCUCAUGCAUUGAGGUAAUAUCGAUGUUAAAGAAAAACAGCAAUGAUUUAUGAUAUAGAAUUGGGUUCACUUGCUUCAAAUGCUGGUCUGAUCAACCAUAUCAACCUGUAAUGAUUCUGCAGAAAUAUAUAUACAUGGAGAAAGUAGCUAAAUUUUUCUUUCAUUUAUGGGUUCGGUCUUUUUUCCCCUUAUUUUUCAGCUUUCCUUCUCCUGAAGUAUGUUAACAAUUGCAGAUAAUGAUGAAGACGACAGCUUCCGGGCUCUCCUUAGAGCCGUGAUGGAAUAUAGGGGCACAAUGAAGGAAUAUUGUAAAGCUGUAGGUACUUUUUCUCCUUUCAUUUAUGUUUUCUCACACAUUUUGUAUAUGCCCUGAACAUGCACCUUUGUAUGUAUCAAUUGACUUUUAAAUUUUAAAAGCCAUAAAGUAAGAAUACGGUUCCUUGUCAGGCUACUGAUGACAUUCGCUCAGGGGGAUCAUGUUCGAGCAGGAAAAUUUCUAGAACAGGUAAGGUUUCCAUCUACAGCCAUCCAUUGACAGCAGAUACAUUUUCAUUCAGCAGACUCUGUUAGCAUUCAAGAUGCUGGCAGAUUCACUUGAUUCUUAUUAGCUUGUUUAGUGGCAAAGCCUAUAACCUGUAUUUCAAAGCCAAGUUGUGCUAUUGAUUAUGUUAACUUUUUUGUUAACAUAAAAUGAUAUGGAGGAAAUAAUCAGUGUUGGAAAAUUAGGUGAAAAGAUGAUGUCAAAUCUUGAACCUCUUACGAAACUCUAAGUUCUUUACUUGAAGAGGCUACGAAAUUUGAACAGCGUCUACUCGAAGGCCUUGCCAUUCCCUGAUGCAUGCAGAAUUUUUGUAUUUAAAUGCCCAGAGCUUAAGAAGCUGCCACUGGAUCUUGAAGGGGCAGACCAAGGUAAAAAUCUUAUCAAGGGAAAGGAAGAUUGGUGGAAACAACUUAAUGGGAGGAUCAAGUAACUCAGAAUGCAUUGCUUCCAUUUUUUAAAUUGACUGACAAGUGAUUGAACGGGGCAUCAUCAACAUCAUCAACAGGGAUGGAGAGAUACCGGAGCAGAUCAGCAGGGUUUGAAUAUGACCUUUGGCGGUUGCUUUUUUUUUGUGAUUUUUUUUUCAUUUUUUCCUUCCUGUCAUUUUAUCAUUUCUUUCUCUGUUUCUAUUGCGGGUGUUACUGCAUGCUUACUGUUGCUUGACAAAGUUUGCUAGCUUUUUGUUUGCAGUGUUGCUAUACACUCCGAGUCAAGCCUCGAAAAUUUAUUAAACGAAGCCGUUUCGACAGUAACAAUUCUUUUCUUUUCCCUUUGCAUGUCUCUUUCAUCUGCUGUUUCUCUAUCACUUUUCAUUUUUGAUUUCCUUGCUUCUCAGCUGCCCCUAAAUUGUUAUUCUAGCAAUAUACUUUCUCAUCUUUGAAUUUUCAUCCUUGAGUACUCCCACAGCCGUAAUUUCAUCAUCAUAGACUUCACUUGGAAUGCUGUAUUUUUUCGAUUCUUGAGCUACUUCAAUUACAUCUUAGUAUAGGAUCCUCAUCUUCCUUUAUUUCUUCAUCUUAUGAGGUAAUAAAUGGAUUUCACAACUCAUCUACUUUUAAGCAAUUACAUAUUAUACCUUGAAUGAUUCAACUGUUCUGACAGUUAAAGAUUUUAUGCUCAACCUGCAGUGCUACGAACAUUGUCCAUGAAAGAUGAGUUUCAGCAUAUAAAAUGAAAUAUAGAUGUUUAAUCUAAAAUAACCCUUCACUGCCAGAAACCUAGGUCACAAAAUUCACAGAUAAUGAUAAAGAGCUAAAAAAUUUGAAAAACUCUACAGAUCACACAUCAAGCAAGAUAUCAUGUUUUUUUCCCUCAUUCAGUGGUGAUUGAUUCGCUUUUUGAUGAUGGAUAUGGUAUAAAAGUGUUGACCCAAUUUCAAGCAAACACAAAUAGAAACACAAACACAAUCGGGACUAGAGUUGUGGGCGAUUAUCUUAGGUGUACAAGUGAAACGGUGGUGGCUGUCGAUGGUGGUAGUGGGGUGGUUGGGUAUGCGUGAUGGCUAGAUUUUAGGACAAUAAUGAUUGGAGUUGACCUCAAUCAACGAAGGAAAGUGACAACAAUUUUGACAUCAAACGGUGCAUUUUUUAGCUUAGUAAAAUGGAGCCGUUUCGAUUUUGGGGUUUAAUCCGGGGUUUGACUCGGUGCAAGUAUCAUUUUCCUUUUGUUUAUUAAAUUUUUUUAUGGUCACAAAGUAUCACUCGUUCUAUUUGAGAGUCAUGUGAAUCAAUUUUUCAAAUUUUCAAUUUUAAAUUUUGUGGUCAAUGUGAAUUCAAUUUCAUUUGUCUCCUGCAAUUAUGAAAAAAUUAAAUAGUCAUAAUAUGGAAAAAUACACCGGUAAAAACUUUGUAAAAGCUUCGGAGUGAUACGGGGAAUUCACUUACUACUAAGGACAAUUGGUGGCAAGCUAUUCCAUUCAUUUUAUGUCCAUCCAUCUAUUUAGUUAUUGAAGAUAAGUGGUCCAUUUGUAAAUUUCAGAUUGUCUCUCUCUCCCUCUUGAAAUAACAAUAUUUAAUAUAUCUCAUAAAUUAUUAUAAAUUUUAAUUUACUCUCGAUUUAAAAUGGAGCAUGUCGAUAAAUUUUUUUUCUUCUUAAUAAAAUUGACGUAAGUUGUGUUUACAGUAGUUUGAAGUUUGAAAUAUUUUAAAGAUUAUUAUUCUAUAAGGGAGUAAUAUGAAAUGAUAUUUACUUUUCAUGUGUGAAAUGAAAAAGGACGAAGCAAGUGUCCCUGCUUUUAUUUUAUUUCAAGGAGGAGUCAUCUCACAUACUUUAGCUCUUAACAUUACAUUUUUUCUGGUUACAUUUUUUAUUUAUUUAUUUUUUUUUUUUUACACAUGCGUGUGGGUUGCUUUUCUGUAAGCUCCUUAAUAUAUAUUUAAGACAAAUCAUGGAAGAGAUGGGAUUAUAUCAAGAUGAUCAAAGAAUGUUAAAAAAGAAAAAAGAAAAAAAAAAGAAGUAAGACACUGAAAAUGGAGAAGAGAUGGAAGCAAAAGAUAUUCCAAAACAAAGCAAUCUAUCCCCUUUCGAGGGCAGACUUAUCAGGUUUAAAAAAGUACACGCUUUGGAUUGGUAGUUGCAAUCAAGGGAAAAUAAAUAGGAUCCAAUGAAAUUUAAAUCUCGGAGAAAAUAAAUAAUCAUGCAGAUUUUCAAGAUUUUAAUAAGGGAUACUAAUAUCUUAUUUUGAUUAAUAAUAUCCUUUCAUUGUGUUAACUCAAAAAAUAUAUAUUUUAAUGUUUUGCAAUAAACAGAAACGUACUAUUAAAAUGAAUAUAUAAAGAAUUUAGAAAAUUUUGAAUGUUAUAUAAAAUAAUUUUAAGAUAAUGCGUGAGAUAUAUUUUAUUAAUUUAAAAUGUUAUUUUACCUAAAAAAUAUGAUAAAUUAAUAAUUACAUAUUUGAAGUUAUUUUAAAUAUUAAAAAAAUUUAAUAUUAUUAAUCUUUUAGAUAGAUUAAAUUAUUUUUUAUAAGAGAUAGAUUAAAUUAUUUUAAAAUACGUUAAUUGUUUUUACUUUUAACGUUACCGGCCUUUCUUUUAUUUUAUUGCAAAUUAAUGCUAACAAGAAAAAGCUAGAUCAUAUUCCACAAAAGCAAAAGUGACAAACACAACCAGCUGGAAUCUUUUAAUUACUAUUCAAUAAUUCGAGACGAUUAGGGUCUUUUAUUAAACUACAAAUUGUAUAGUCUUUUUAAAAUUGUUAUAAAUUGGUGGCACCUACAAUCCUCAAUAAUUGUACCGAUAUUCACAAGUUGGUGGCCCCUACAAUUCUGUUCGGAUAAUUUAACUGUGCAAGUGCUCAUUCACAAUAAUUGUUUUGUUUUUUUUUUCUGCAUUCCCUUUCAUGCUCUUAAUAAUUGAAGAGCAUACUUUUCAUUUUCAAAUGUGGAGCCGCAGCUAAUGUCGCUAAUUUAAUUUGGGAUUAAAUUAGGGGACCAUUAUAUUGCAGUGUGCACUAAUUUUUGUGUUUAUCUAAACUCCUUAAAUUUAAGACAUAUUAUGGCAUAAAUAAGAAUAUAACAAUAGCAAAAGAGUUAAAAAGUGUAGAGAAGAUCUUGCAGAAAUAUAAAUAAUAUCUAUUUUAAAAUAAUAUCAAUAUUUAAAAUAAUUUUUAAUAUUUUAUGAUUCAUUAGAUAUAUUUUAUUAUAUUAAAGUAAAUUUUAUAAUAAAUAAAAACAUACUAUUAAAAUGAAUAUAUAGAAAAUUUAGAGUAUUUUAAGUAUUAUAUAAAAUAAUUUUAAUAAAAUAUGUGAGAUAUUCAUAUUUUAUUAAUUUAAAAUACCAUUUAACCUAAAGAUUUAUUUAUGAUAAAUUAAUAAUUAUAUUUUUGAAGUUACUUCAAAUAUUAAAAAUAUUAAUAUUACUAAUCUAUUAGAUAGAUUAAAUUAUAUAUAUUAUUUUCUAUUUAUUAAAAAAUUUAAAAUUAUUUUUAAUUACUAUUCAAAAAAUAUAAUGAUAAAAAAGAAUCUUAACAUCUUUAUUAAAAAUUUAAAAAUUUACAUGAUCAAUUCUCUAAAUAUUUAGGGUUAUAUGUGAACAACGGUGGAGAAGCUUUAUUUAAUAUUAUUGAUUUAAAUAAUAUGUCAAUUAAAAAUGUACAGAGAAGGAAAUUUCGGUGGGUAUUUUAGUCUUUUCAGCAAUUAUCAUGAUCAGAUCAGCCUUUAGCCUUGAAUCGUCGGUCAGAAAAGUUUUAAAAUUAACGCUAACAAGAAAAAGCUAGGUCAUAUUCCACAAAAGCAAAACUGACAAAACAACCAGCUGGUUUCUUUUACUAAACUACAAAUUAAAAGUGGAUUCUUUUGAAUGCAAGUGGGACAGACGAUUAGGCUCUUUUUAUUAAAGGCAAGUAAAAACUAGUCGAAUAGUCUUUUUCAAAUUGUUGUUUUAUUAUUUUUCCUUCAAAAGUUAGUGUGGCUCAUGUUUGCAGGUGCGAAUGUGGGUCCCGAAUCAUUACUAAAAUUUCUAUUCCACAGCCCACCGCAGCUUCAGUUAAUCAAACUCAAAUCAAUUUUCUUUCUUAACAAAAUAUUCCAAAGAUGUGUAGCAUUUUUCAGAUCACAUGCGAUGGUGCUCUUUUCAAUCGUUGCUUGGAUUGCUUUCUUGGAAAAGCAGCAUACAUACGUAACCUCCAAGAUAAUGUUGAUACCUUGGGCACUGAAUUGGGAAAUCUGAUCGCUAGAAAGAACGAUCUGAUGAGGAGGGUUGUCGAUGCUGAACGGCAACAAAUGAGAAGGCUGGACGGAGUGCAAGUGUGGGUUUCGAGGGUGGAUUCUGUUAAAACUGAAGCUGAUCAAUUUAUAAGAGACGGCUCUCGAGAAAUUGAAAAAUUAUGUGUUGGAGGCUACUGUUCCAAGAAUUGCAUGUCAAGCUACAAGUUCGGGAAAAAAGUGGCUAAAAAGCUACGGGAUGUGCGGACUUUAAUCAGUGAAGGAGUUUUUGAGGUGGUGGCUGACAGAGCUCCAGAGUCUGUAGCAGAUGAAAGACCUACUGAGCGAACAGUAGUAGGCUUGCAAUCACAACUUGAACAAGUCUGGAGAUGUCUUGUAGAAGAAUCAGCGGGAAUCAUUGGCCUAUAUGGUAUGGGCGGUGUUGGUAAAACUACACUACUGACCCAUAUCAACAAUAAAUUUCUCGAGAGUCCAACCAACUUUGAUUGUGCGAUUUGGGUUGUAGUUUCAAAAGACCUGCGACUCGAAAAAAUUCAAGAAGAUAUUGGGAAAAAGAUAGGUUUGGUUGGUGAUUCAUGGAAGAGUAAAAGUGUAGAGGAGAAAGCUGUCGACAUCUUCCGGAGUUUAAGAGAGAAGAGAUUUGUAUUGUUGUUAGAUGAUAUAUGGGAGCGGGUUGAUUUAACAAAGGUGGGCAUUCCACUUCCCGGACCAAAAAAUACUACCUCAAAAGUCGUAUUCACAACCCGUUUCAUCGAUGUUUGUGGUAGCAUGGAAGUUGACAGGAAGUUUCAAGUAGCAUGCUUAUCAGAAAAGGAUGCUUGGGAACUGUUUCGAGAAAAAGUUGGGGAGGAAACUCUUCAGAGUCAUCAUGAUAUCGAUGAGCUAGCCCAAAUUGUGGUCAAAGAGUGUGGUGGUUUGCCACUCGCACUUAUUACUAUUGGUCGAGCUAUGGCCUACAGAAAGAAAGCGGAGCAGUGGAGACGUGCAAUUGAAGAGUUAAGGAGAUCAGCUUCAGAGUUUGCAGGUUUGGGAAAAGAGGUUUAUCCUCUUUUAAAAUUCAGCUAUGAUAGUUUGCAGAAUGAUACGGUUAGAUCUUGUUUCUUGUACUGUUGUUUAUAUCCUGAAGAUUAUGGCAUUCUUAAAUGGGACUUGAUUGAUUGUUGGUUUGGCGAGGGAUUUUUUGGGGAAUCUGACAGGUCUGGUGCAGAAAACCAAGGAUAUGACAUUUUGGACACUCUUGUUCGUGCGUGUUUAUUAGAAGAGGUGGAAGAUGAUGAAGUAAAAAUGCAUGACGUUAUUCGUGAUAUGGCUAUAUGGAUAACUUGUGAAAUUGAGAAGGAGAAGAGAAACUUUUUGGUUCGUGCAGGUGCUGGAUUAAAAGAUGCACCGGGUGUUAAAGGAUGGGAAAAUGUGAGAAGAUUGUCAUUGAUGCAAAACCAAAUUGAAACUCUGGCAGAGGUUCCCACAUGCCCUCAUCUCCAUACUCUAUUUCUUGACUUUAAUAGGGGGUUGGAUAUGAUCGCGGAUGGCUUCUUUCAAUUUAUGCCUUCUCUCAAAGUUUUGAAGAUGUCAAACUGUUCGAAUUUGAAAUUACCUGUUGGGAUGUCAGAGUUGGGUUCAUCACUAGAACUUCUUGAUAUUUCAGAAAACAGCACAAGAGAGUUACCGGAAGAGUUAAAGAAGUUGGUAAAUCUGAAAUGUUUGAAUUUGAGGUGGACAGAGCAUUUAAAUAAAAUUCCACGGCAACUAAUAUCAAAUUCUUCAAGGUUACGUGUGUUGAGAAUGUUCGCUACUGGCCGGUUCAAUUUUCAUGAAGCACCAGAAGACAGCGUUUUAUUUGGUGGGGGUGAAGUUUUGAUACAGGAAUUGCUCGGUUUGAAAUAUUUAGAGGUAUUGGAGUUGACCUUGGGAAGUUAUCAUGCUCUCCAAAUUCUUUUGAGCUCAAAUAAGUUAAAAAGUUGUAUUCGAUCUCUUUACCUCGAGUUGACCGGAGAUACAACGUCAAUUAUUGAUGCUACGGCUUUCGCAGAUCUAAACCACCUCAAUGAAUUACGGAUUGAUAAUGGUAUUGAGUUGGAAGAGUUGAAGAUUGAUUAUACGGAGAUAGUACGAAAAAGGCGGGAACCUUUUGUUUUCCGCAGCCUUCAACGUGUUACCAUAGCGGAGUGCCAUAAAUUGAAAGAUGUGACAUUCCUCGUUUUUGCUCCAAACCUCAAGUCUCUUCGGCUAUUCUAUUGCGGUGCUAUGGAAGAAAUAAUCAGCGUCGGAAAAUUUGCUGAGACUCCUGAGAUGAUGGGACAUAUAAGCCCUUUUGAAAAUCUCCAAAUGCUUGAUUUACAAGGUUUGCCACAUUUGAAGAGCAUCUUCUGGAAGCCAUUGCCUUUCACUCAUCUGAAAGAAAUGGAGGUACUUAGGUGCGAUCGGCUUGAAAAGCUUCCACUCGAUUCCAACAGUGCAAAGGAGCGCAAAUUUGUUAUUCGUGGAGAAGAAGACUGGUGGAACCGACUUCAAUGGGAGGAUGAAGCCACUCAAAUUGCUUUUCGUUCCUGUUUUAAAAGUGAUGCUUUAUUUAUAUCUUAUUCGUGAAAAGUGAUUUAAUUUCCUGCCAAAAGACGAACGAGAAGAACAAUAGAGUCAAACUAAUGCUCACAUAAAUUUCCCGUAAGAAUAUAUAAUUAGAUUGGAAUGCACACCUCUAGAUUGAACAGAAUUAAAGCUGAGAAAAUAUUGAGUAUAGUAGCCCUCUUUACAGAAAAUGACGUGAAAGUUAAUUUAGAAAGAUAUAUUCUUGAUUAAUCCAUUUUCUGAAGUUUUUAUUUUGUAUGGUCAAUUAUACCUUCAUACUAAAAAUUUCUGAAGUUAUAAAUUAGUGCAACUUGACAAUUUUUACUGAUGAUAUCUUCUAUUUUUCCCUUUUUUUUUUUUUCACUUUCAUAGACUGGCAGCGGAUCCUGCGGCACCAAUUUGAGAGAAUAUACUGACACUACUUCGAACAGCAAGCAGAAGAAGUAAUAUGUCUACGGCAAAGGCAAUGGAGUCCUCAUUUUGGCUCGAGAUGCAGUAAUCAUCGAAGAGAGUUUCCUUGUGAAACUGGGCAACACAUUGAAUCCCUUCACCACUGAGAAGGUUGUGGAGGAAGUAAGCUUUCUCUCCAGUGAGGAAGAGGUGGCAUAUACCUUCCCCAUUUUGUUGAGGGCAGGUAGGAAUCUUUUUUCUAAGAGAUUUACUUCGUUCUCUGUAAGAAAUGCUUUGAACUUCAUCCCUCUGUCUCUAUCCUCACUUAUCAGGAAAUAAGUUGAAAGCACUAUGAAGAGAGAGAGAGAGAGAGAGAGAGAGAGAGAGAGAGAGAAUUAAGAUAUAUAGACAAGAAAAAUAUUUGACGUUGAUCUUACAAACUAAUACUUCAAGCAGUAUCCUAGAAAGCUAAAAACUGCAAGAUGGCUUGAAAUUUGAAAAGAGCACAUGCUUUUCCUCCUUAACUUGAGAAAAUGUUUAAUAUAGUGCACCUUACAGAAGCAUUUAAGCAAUUAGAACUUUGCACAAAAACAUCAAGAAGACUAAACAAGUCAGAUGCAGUGUAUUUGUCCAAGCACAAAUUGCAUUUUUUCCUCAACUUUAAUAUUUAUUGAUGAGAAUCAAUACAGGUCCCUCAUUUGUUAUAGAAAGCUUUCUUUCUUGUAGUCUCACCAGUUAAUUCAGAGGUCUAUAAUCAUCUUGCAAAGUUAAGGGCAUUUCUUUUGAUCUAAAGUCUUUGCAUCACCACCUCAUCACACGCCAAGCCAAUAUUCCAUUUACCUCUACAACAAAAAGUUUUAAUUAAACAAUCCUAAUGCACGCAGCCAAAUAAAAUGCAGUAAGAAUAUUCAACUUAAAAAUCUGAAAGCCAACUUGGUGAAUUGCCUCCUUAGGUGAAGUUCCAUGCUUUACUAUAGUUGACAGAACUCAGCAAAAGCUUCCAUACAACAGAUUUUGAAAAUGAUGAUGCCAACAGAUACUCAUUCAAUGCAUUGAAACUCCAAAGGUUCAUUGUUCAUAGAAGUUUACAGAGUUUUGGUCAUCAAAUAGCUCAGACCUAAUCCCAAACAAAAAAUGAGUGAAAAUUAGAUCACGAGCAGCUAAUUGUAAAUUCUAACUUAACUCUUCAUCUCCUUUGUAAACAAGAAACAAAAUGGAGACACGCAAAAUGAAUAUGGAGAAAAUUUGAACUCAAAUGAAAUGAGGGCAUGAAAGCAAACAAAUGGCAUGCACCAAAAAACCAAGCCUCAAUCAAAAACUAAUUAACCAUUAAGAAAAAAAUUGGUCAGAGAAUGAACUCCAAAUUCAGGAGUCAAGCAAGAAGCUUUCAUUAUUAUCAAAGUCAAUUAUCUUUGUUAGUAUGCGAGUGUGACGACUAUAGGUUGUUCUUUUUCUAAUGUCAUAUGAUUCCAAUUUUAGGUACAGGGCAUCUCUCUCUCUCUCUCUCAUCGCUAAGUGGAUAUUUUUCUCUUUUGUCAUAUACUUUAGUUAUUCUUCAAUUUACUAACUAAAAUGAAGGCCGCUUUAUUAAGAAGUUAUAUCCAGUUAUAUAAUUUGUUGUAUUUAAUAUAUGUUUGGGCUCAUAAUUUUUUUUAAAAAUAUAUAUUUCAUUCUCCAUAAUUUUUUCCCAUCAUAGCUACGAAACGUCUUAGUUUCGACUAAAAUCCUAAAAUUGGUCCUUAAUUGAAUAUGCAUUGCAAUUUGCAAAUGUAAUAUUGUGAAUGGGACACUGGAGAUACCAAAAUGGUCAAAUGCGAAAUAAGUUAGGAUUGUACGAUGUAGUUUGUAUUCAUAUUCAAUGCCUUUUUUUUCAAAAAACAAAUUGAAAUGCCAUUACUAAACGAUUCUUGAUGAUGGGAGCCACCGUGCCAGCUUUGUCGCUGAUUUGGUAUUAUUCUUAACUUGCAGAUAGUUGUGGAUAUGAUAUGCAAAAAGGUAAGGACUAUAUCUUCUUGAUGGAGGCCUCUGAUUUUUUCCCUUCUAUGUAAUUUAGUAAAUCGCAUUUUCCCUUGUGAUUGAUAUAUCAUACCAAAGUCAAGUCUUAAAUACUGCUGUCAUAUGUUAAGGUUCAACUUCCAUUUUGAUUAACGUCCAUUUGCUGCUGCUUCCAAAAGUGAGAAUGAGAUACUUUGGUUAAUUUCAGUAGUUGAACCCAAUAGAGUACUUUAUUUAGAUCUUCAUGGUUCAAAGGCCUGAAAAAACUUGCCGGUAUUUGCAAAAUGACAUUCUGUGCUUUUAUUUAGGCUUAUUAUUUAAGUGAUAAAAACUCCCGUAACCUGCUGUCAAGAAAAUUUCAGAUUGUUAAAAGACAACAUUUUGUUUCAGCCAAAAAUGUUUGUUUCGAUUAAAGACUUGAACCAUUUUCAUUUAACCUUGAUUGUGAUGCUUUACAUUAUGCAUGUUCCUCUCAAUCAAUAAAAGUUGAGGUCAUGAUUUUAUAUUUCUAUUUUGUAACUUGAAAUAAUUGGUCUGCCUGUUUCUGUAGCUUGAUAACAUGAAUUUUUCCUUCUGAAGUUAAUUUGAUCAAUAAAGUAAUUCUUCGGAGAUGAUAUGCCCAUUCUAUAGUCAUUUUCUUAGGUAACAUGUUUUUUCUUCACUCUUCAGAGCAUGUCUAAACUAAUUGAUCGCUCAGCGGAGACUUUGGGUGAGAAGACAAAAUUUCUUGGUAAAUCCUCUAAAAAGGUAUGCAUAAUUCCCGAGUAUUAAAUAAUCAUUGGUCAUAAUUUUUGUACACAACUCUUUUUUUGGAGAUCGUUAAAAGUGGUUGAUGAUCUAUUUUGUAAUAUCAUAGAGGGAUCAUGAAUUCCUGUUCUUUUCUGUGGCUAGGCAACACUUUCGGGCCAAGCUAAGGAAAUCUAUUUUAGGUAAUGUGAAAACCAGUUGUAGGAUGUAAUAGUUUAUUAUGCCCUGACAAUAACUUUUUGUAUAAUUGUCAGUUUAAUGAAUACAAGAGGAACUCUGUUGGCAAAUUCAUCCAUGAUAGAUGCUAAAAGUAUUUAUGCAUACCAGUUGCCUUAACUAAUUUUUCUCAACACUGGUAUUGAACAGGAAAAUGAAUAUGCAAUUUGUAUAUUGUGCCAUUGUGGAGAAUUUGGAUAUUCUUAUUUAAGUAACAAGGAGAGUAUUUGCCUCAUCUUUAAACAAUGAAUCUUUGAGAAAUGAGGAGUGGGUGAUUGGCAGUGUCUUCAUGUAAAUGUUCAUUUAUUUGUAUUUUGAACUAUUAUGAGAAUCUUUGUAUGCCAAAUUAGUAAUACAAAUGUUCAGAUGAUUUUUCCUGUUGAUCAUGCGUGUGUAUCUGCACACAACCAUUGUGUCCCACUUUAUUCUGAUGCACAAAUAUCUGUAGUUUAGAAGAAAAGAAAUAAUAAUCAUAUAUUAUUGCUUGGUUCAUGAUUAUUAAACGAUUAUGGCUUUAGAAAAUCCACAAAUCCUUUGUGUUCAUAUAUGAAUGUGCGAAGUUUGCUAUCUCUUAGAUUACCUUCUUCCAAGAUAACAAGUUCAUAUAUUUUUUUUAAUCCUUUUUCAUCACAGUUGAAUUUCAAGUGUAAGUUUUGUUAUUAAUAGCUGGUUUCCUGUUAUUAUGAUUUCAUAAACAGUGAGAGGAUAUGUGCUCUACUUUUGGAGGGCCUCCACAUGAAAGAAAAUUGCAACAAUUGAAUUCUUCCGGAGGGUAUGGUAUUUAAUUUAUUUUCUCAGCUUGUUGUAAGACUAAUAUAUUUCCUUCAGUACCCAAAAGGACAGAAAUGAAUUACGGAAGGAAGUUUUUGCUGCUUUAUUUAGUGCUGCUGAGAAAUCUGAUGGAUUUCCUGAAAUUACGGUGAAGACGGAGUGGAGGUCCAACGCAUUAGGAAAGGUGGUGAGUGAACCGCCGGAGGAAUUAGUACCAGAAUACAAGGCUAAUGUGGUGCACUUGCAGCAAGAUGACCAGACCUGUAUGUGCUCUUAUAUUAACUAUAUUGGUUGGAUUUGUGAGUGUGUACAUUUUUGUGUGUAUACUCACAUUUGUAUUUAUGCAUAUUAACGUGUGUAGGAUUCUUGAUUUCUGCCACUUACUGGAGAACUAGUGGAAAGCUUUAUACUGAUAUAUGUGCUAUAACUAAUGGAAACUACAAUAUGAAUAUUUUCUCUCACCUGGAGAACUGUGUAACAGAUAUAAUUUGUGGCUCUGGAAUACUGAAGAUUCUGCAAUAACUAAUGGAAAAUAUGAUAUGAAUAUUUUUUCUCACCUGGAGAACUUUGUAACAGAUACAUUUUGUGGCUCUGGAAUGUCUAAAGAAUGCUUCAGUUUAGAUCAAAUAUCUUUUAGUUAGAAAAGAUAAAAUUCUCUGAAUCUGAAAGACUGAAACAUUUUGCAUAUUUUGUGAAAGGGAAGUAUCUGUAGAUACUAGCUCAUGCAUUGAGGUAAUAUCAAUGUUAAAGAAAAACAGCAAUAAUUUAUUAUACAGAAUUAGGUUCACUUGCUUUAAAUGCUGGUCUGAUCAACCAUAACAACCUGUAAUGGUCCUGCAGAAAUAUAUAUACGGGGAGAAACUAGCUAAAUUUUCCUUUCACUUAUGGGUUUGGUCUUUUUUUCCCCUAUUUUUCAGCUUUCCUUCUCCUGAAGUAUGUUAACAAUUGCAGAUAAUGACGAAGAGGACCGCUUCCAGGCUCUUUGUAGAGCUGUGAUGGAAUAUAGGGGCACAAUGAAAGAAUAUUGUAAGGUUGUAUGUACUUUCUCUCUUGUCAUUUAUGUUUUCUCACACAUUUUGUUUAUGCCCUGAACAUGCAGCUUUGUAUGUGUCAAUUGCCUUUUACGUUUUAAAAGCCAUAAAGUAAGAAUACAGUUCCUUGUCAGGCUAUUGAUGCGUUCGCUCAGAAGGGUCAUGUUCAAGCAGGAAAACUUCUAGAACAGGUAAGGUUUCCAUCUACAGCCAUCCAUUGACAGCAGAUAUAUUUUCAUUAAGCAGACACUGUUAGCAUUCAAGAUGCUGGCAGAUUCACUUGAUUCUUAUUAGUUUGUUUAGUGGCAAGGCAUAUAACCUGUAUUUCAAAGCCAAGUUGUGCUAUUGAUUAUGUUAACUUUAUUGUUAACAUAAAGUGAUAUGGAGGACAUAAUCAAUGUAGGAAAAUUAGGUGAAGAGAUGAUGUCAAAUCUUGAACCUCUUACAAAGCUCCAAGUUCUUUACUUGAAGAAGCUGCCAAAUUUGAAGAGCGUCUACUGGAAGGCAUUUCCAUUCCCAGAUGUAUGCAGAAUUUUUGUAUUAAUGCCCAGUUCUUAAGAACCUGCCACUGGAUUUUCAAGGGGUGGGCCAAGGUAAAAUUCUUAUCAAGGGAAAGGAAGAUUGGUGGAAAGAACUUCAAUGGGAGGAUCAAGCAACUCAGAAUGCAUUGCUUCCAUUUUUCAAAUCAACUGACAAGUGAUUGAAGGGGGCAUCAUCAACAUCAUCAACAGAGAUGGAGAGAUUCUGGAGCAGAUCAGCAGGGUUUGUAUAUGAUCUUUGGUGGUUGCUUUCUUUUGUGAUUUUUUUUUUCUUCCUGUCAUUUUAUCAUUUCUUUGUCUCUUUUUUUAUUGCUGAUGUUAGUGUAUGCUUACUGUUGCUUGACAAAGUUCGCUUGCUUCUUGUUUAUUAAAUUUUUUAUCGUCACAAAAUAUUACUUGUUCUAUUUGAGAGUGAUGUGAAUCAAUUUUCAAUUAUAUAUUUUGUGGUCAAUGUGAAUUCAAUUUCAUUUGUCUCCUGCAAUUAUGAGAAAACUGCAGAGUCAUAAUAUGGAAAAGUACACCAGCAAAAACUUUGUAAAAGCUUCGGAGUGAAACAGGGAAUUCACUUACUACUAAGAACAAUUGAUGGCGAGUUAUUCCAUUCAUUUUAUGUCCAUCUAUCUAUUUAAUUAUUAAAGAUAAAUGGUCCAUUUAUAAAUUUCAGAUUGUCUCUCUCUGAAAAUAACAAUAUUUAAAAUAUCUCUUAAAUUAUUAUAAAUUUUAAUACACUCUCGAUUUAAAAUGGAACAUGCUGAUGAAAUUGUUUUCUUCUUAAUAAAAUUGAAAUAAAUUGUGUUUGCAGUAGUUUGAAAUAUUUUAAAGAUUAUUAUUUUAUAAGGGAGUAAUAUGAAAUGAAAUUUACUUUUCAUGCGUGAAAUGUUGAAAAAGGACAAAGCAAGUGUCCCUGCUUUUAUUUUUAUUUUAAAGUGGAGUCAUCUCACAUACUUUAGCUCUAUCAUUACAAUUUUUCAGGUUACAUUUUUAUUAUUUAUUUAUUUUCUUUUUUACACAUGCAUGUGGGUUACUUUUCCGUAAGCUCCUCAAUAUAUAUUGAACCCAGCGAAGAAUGUUAUGGAAGAGCAAAUUAAUGAUAUUUCUGAUAGAGUCUAUUUGAUUAUGUAGCCUGAAUGGAUGUCUUGUUGAAAGAUAUCUCAGUGCAUUAGUUCAUCCUUGUCUGUCAAUGUGUUUUUAAUGGUUUUUCCAAUUGUUUAUUAUUAUAGAUUGAUUGUAAAUUGAUAUGAAAAUUUGAUAUGAAUUUAAUGUUGAAAUGUUUUCUCUUUAGUGGAAUGAAUUUAAAAGUGCAAAAGAUUAUUGCACACAGAGAAAUAAACAUAUAUGCUUUAUAACUUUAGCAAUCGAUUCUUUUACAGCUGGAAACAGAGAUGAUGAUUAUCAUAAGGAUGAAGAAAAGUAGUGCGUUAGACGAUUAGACUCUCUUAUUAAAGGCAAGUAUAAAGUAGUGAAGAAUCCAAUAUCUCUAUUGUCUAGUCUUUUGUUUAAUUCUUCUUUUAUUAUUUUUCAGAAUAAUUUUUGGUGAUUACAAUCGGGUUAUUAUUCAGAGUUAUUGUUAUCUUCUGGGGCAGUUUCUGUUCAUCGAAUUCAUUAAUUAAAAUUUUAGAACUCUUAUCAGAAGAAUAUUUUUCGGUUAUCUUUUUUAUGUUCUAAUUCCAAUUGUAAGAAGUAGCCAUUUUAGAAUUUGGGUCUUGAAUCGAAUUUCAAUGCAUGAAUUAAUAUUAAAAAAAAAAAAUUCACUACUCGCAGUUUAGGUUACAAAUUACUUUUUGGAAAGUUGACUUUGGAAUGUUUGCAAAGAAAGAGACUAACAUAUUUCCAAUUACACUAAAUCUCUAUUAUGAUAAUGUUAAGACUAAAUUAAUUUAAAUAAUUUUUAUUUGAAAAUUAUAUCAAACGCAGUCUAAUUUUAUUAAUUUUAAGAAAUAAUAAUUAUAAAAAUUAUUGUUCUGACUUAAUUAAUACAAGUGAUAUAAAAGUUAAGUGUGCACUAAAUCUGUUUUAAUUUUUUCCAGUAUAACUAACAGAGGUCAUUACUAGAAUUAUAUUACUAGUCUAUUAGAUAGAAAAAAUUACUUAUAUUGUUUUAUAUUUAUUAAAAAAUUUAAAGCCAAUUUUUUUAAUUACUAUUUAAAGAAUAUUAUAAUUUGAAAAAUUUUAAUAUCUUUAUUAAAAAUUUAGAAAUUUACAGUCCUCUAAAUAUUUAAGGCGUAACUGUCAUUUUCUCAAGAAGCUUUAUUUAAUAUUAUUGAUUUAAAUAAUAUCUUAUUAAAAAUGUACUGAGGAGAAAUUUUGGUGGGUAUUUUAGUCUUUUCAGCAAUCAUCAUGAUUAACCUUUGGUUGGCCUUGAAACGUCGGUCAGAAAAGUUUUAAAAUGCUUAAUUGUUUUUCACUGUUAACGUUAGUGGCCUUGAAAUUGCUUAUAUUUUAUUAAAAAUUAAUGCUAACAAGAAAAAACUAGAUCGUAUUCCACCCCCAAAGCAAAAGUGAUAAAACAACCGGCUGUAUUCUUUUAUUAAACUACAAAUUAAAAUGGAUUUCUUUAAUUAAAGUGGAUAUCAUUUAAUUAAUGUUUGAACAUUAAAGUUCUGAUAUAUAACCACUAUGCCGACCACCUAAUUGCUGCUAUUUAAUUUCGUUCCAGUUCUCUCUCUCUCUCUUUUUCUUUUUUUUUUGGGCCAAGCAAUAAAUAGUAAAAAUUCAAUAAAAGCAAUAUUAAUGCUGCAAGUGAGUCAUGUUAUUUAUUGUCAAUUAGGAAAUGUGAACCUAAUUUGAUUGCAUCCCUUUAAUCAUUUAAUAAUUAUGUAAGCACCAUCCCUUUAAUUAUUUAAUAACUAGAAAAUAGAACACUGCGUUUCACGCGGCUUUGAAAAAAGAAUUUAGUAUUAUCUUUUUUUCUUACUUUACACUUGAUGAAACUGAUAAAAAAUAUGAAUUGAUUUUUUUUAAAGAUGAGGCAGCCUUAUAAAAAAUAAAAAAAGCUAUUAGCCAGCAAUACAAAUAAAGAAGGAAUGCAAGAUAAAGAAUAAAAUGAGAGAAUAUAUUAUAGAGUGAUCUUAUUCAUUCUAAUUGUGUGUGUACAAAACAAAAAGAUGAGCUCUCCUUUUAUAACUACAUAAUUACUUCAUGAAAUUAAUGAAAAAUUAUGAAUCAUAAUUUCUUGUGAGAUAGUGGGAGUUAUUGGGAAGCUAAAAGUUGCUAAUGGGAGAUAGUGGGGAGACUAAGAGAUAUAUAUUAUGAACAUCUACAUUUAUUUUAAUAAAUUCAUAACACUCCCCCUUAAAUGUUCAUUACAAAGAAUAUGCCUCAUUAAAAUCUUUACAUAAUUGUUAUUGUGUAAUAACAAUCAAAUUAAUUAUAAGAAGAUGAAAAGCCAAAUCUAACAGAAAAUUUCUCUAUUUAUUAGAUAAUAGAGAAUAUAGCAAGAUGAGAAAUGGUAAUGCCACAUCAUCUCCUCACGUCCCAACUUUAUAUAUAUAUAUAUAGAUAAUAUAUAUUAUUCCUGUCCUACAUUCACAUAUUUAAUUGUCCUUUUGAAAAUAUUCAUGAGUUAGGCCAAGUAAAGUCAAAGAAAUUGGGAAAAAGGAACAAAAGGACAAACCUAAAUUAAUUGAACCUAAUUCAUGAAAAUGCACACUUUUGUGUUGCGGACGGCGGACCCUAAAGCUUCGUUGUUUGCAGCUGCAAUUAAUUCUUUUCCUUCAAAAGUUAGAGGCUCGUGUUUACAGUGGGUCCCGAAUCGGACGUACCUAAUAAAUCUUUUAAAAAAAUUUGCCGUAUAAAGGACAGAGGUCAUUACUGAAAUUUCUCUUCCACGGGCAAUUACAGCAGCUUCAGUUAAUCAAACUCAAAUCAAUUUUCUUUCUUAACAAAAUAUUCCAAAGAUGUGUAGCAUUUUUCAGAUCACAUGCGAUGGUGCUUUUUUCAAUCGUUGCUUGGAUUGCUUUCUUGGAAAAGCAGCAUACAUACGUAACCUCCAAGAUAAUCUUGUAGCCUUGGACACUGAAUUGGGAAAUCUGAUCGCUAAAAAGAACGAUGUGAUGAGGAGGGUUGUCGAUGCUGAACGGCAACAAAUGAGAAGGCUGGACGGAGUGCAAGUGUGGGUUUCGAGGCUCGAUGCUGUUAAAACUGAAGCCGAUGAACUUAUCACAGACGGCUCUCGAGAAAUUGAAAAAUUAUGUGUUGGAGGCUACUGUUCCAAGAACUGCAGGUCAAGCUACAAAUUCGGAAAACAAGUGGCAAGAAAGCUACGAGAUGUGGAGACUUUAAUCGCCGAGGGAGUUUUUGAGUCGGUGGCUGAGAGAGCUCCGGAACCUGUGGCAGAUAAAAGACCCACUGAGCCAACAAUAGUAGGCUUGCAAUCACAGCUUGAACAAGUUUGGAGAUGUCUUCUUGUAGAAGAAUCAGCGGGAAUCAUUGGCCUAUAUGGUAUGGGCGGUGUUGGUAAAACCACACUGUUGACCCAUAUCAACAAUAAAUUUCUUGAGAGUCCCACCAACUUUGAUUGUGUGAUUUGGGUCGUAGUUUCAAAAGACCUGCGACUUGAAAAAAUUCAAGAAGAUAUUGGGAAGAAGAUAGGUCUGUUUGAUGGUUCGUGGAAGAAUAAAAGUGUUGAGGAGAAAGCCGUAGACAUCUUGCGGAGAUUAGGAGAGAAGAGGUUUGUAUUGUUGUUAGAUGAUUUAUGGGAGCGGGUUGAUUUAACAGAAGUGGGCGUUCCACUUCCCAGCCCACAAAAAUACUACAUCAAAGUCGUAUUCACGACCCGUUUCAUUGAUGUGUGUGGUAGCAUGGAAAGUCACAGGAAGUUUAAAGUGGCAUGCUUAUCAGAAGAGGAUGCUUGGGAGCUGUUUCGAGGAAAAGUAAGGCAAGAAACUCUUGAGAGUCAUCAUGAUAUCGUUGAGCUAGCCCAAACUGUGGCCAGAGAGUGUGGCGGUUUGCCACUCGCGCUUAAAACUAUAGGUCGAUCUAUGGCCUACAGAAAGACAGCUAAGGAGUGGAGACAUGCAAUUGAAAUGUUAAGGAGAUCAGCUUCAGAGUUUGCAGGUUUGGGAGAAAAGGUGUAUCGUCUUUUAAAGUUUAGCUAUGAUAGUUUGCAGAAUGAUACGAUUAGAUCUUGUUUCUUAUAUUGUUGUUUGUAUCCUGAAGAUUAUGGCAUUCUUAAAUGGGAUUUGAUUGAUUGUUGGAUUGGUGAGGGAUUCUUAGAGGAAUCUGACAGGUUUAGUGCAGAAAACCAAGGAUACUACAUUGUGGGCACUCUUGUUCAUGCAUGUUUAUUAGAAGAGGUGGAAGAUGAUAAAGUAAAAAUGCAUGACGUUGUUCGUGAUAUGGCUAUAUGGAUAACCGGUGAAAUUGAGAAGGAGAAGCGAAACUUUUUGGUUUGUGCAGGUGCUGGAUUAAAAGAGGCACCGGAUGUUGAAGUAUGGGAAAAUGUGAGAAGAUUGUCAUUGAUGCAAAACCAAAUUGAAACUCUGUCAGAGGUUCCCACAUGCCCUCAUCUUCUCACUUUAUUUCUUGACUUUAAUAGGGAGUUGAAGACUAUUGCGGAUGGCUUCUUCCGAUGUAUGCCUUCUCUCAAAGUUUUGAAGAUGUCAAACUCUGGAAAGCCUUGGAAAGGUUUGGAAUUAAAUUUGGGGAUGCCAAAGUUGGGUUCACUACAGCUUCUUGAUAUUUCACACACCUGCAUACAAGAUUUACCGCAAGAAUUAAAGUUGUUGGUAAAUCUGAAAUGUUUGAAUUUGAGGCGGACAAUUUGGUUAAAUAAAAUUUCAUGGCAACUAAUAUCAAAUUUUUCAAGGUUACGUGUGUUGAGAAUGUUCGCUACUGGCUGGUUCAAUUUUCAUGAAGCACCAGAAGACAGCGUUUUAUUUGGUGGGGGUGAAGUUUUGAUACAGGAAUUGCUCGGUUUGAAAUAUUUAGAGGUAUUGGAGUUGACCUUGGGAAGUUAUCAUGCUCUCCAAAUUCUUUUCAGCUCAAAUAAGCUAAAAAGUUGUAUUCGAUCUCUUUACCUCCAGUUGACCGGAGAUACAGCGUUAAUUAUUGAUGCUACGGCUUUCGCAGAUCUAAAACACCUCAAUGAAUUACGCAUUGAGUCGGCUACAAAGCUGAAAGAAUUGACGGCUGAUUAUACAGAGAUAGUUCGAAAAAGGCGGGAACCUUUUGUUUUCCGCAGCCUUCACCAUGUUACUAUACAAAGCUGCCAGAAGUUGAAAGAUUCGACAUUCCUCGUUUUUGCUCCAAACCUCAAGUCUCUUUCGAUAGUCAAAUGCAAUGCUAUGGAAGAAAUAAUCAGCGUCGGAAAAUUUGCUGAGACUCCUGAGAUGAUGGGACAUAUAAGUCCUUUUGAAAAUCUCCAAAUGAUUGAUUUACUAGGUUUGCCACAUUUGAAGAGCAUCUUCUGGAAGCCAUUGCCUUUCACUCAUCUGAAAGAAAUAUCUGUGCGUUAUUGCCCUAAUCUUAAAAAGCUUCCACUCGAUUCCAACAGUGCAAAGGAGCGUAAAUUUGUUAUUCGUGGAGAAGAAGACUGGUGGAACCCACUUCAAUGGGAGGAUGAAGCCACUCAAAUUGCUUUUCGUUCCUGUUUCCAACCCUUGUUCCUGAACAGUGGUCGCAAAAUUUGAUUUCUGGUGAGUGCGUUUGUCUUUUAAAAAGAAUAAUUUAAAAGAAAUUUAUUCUUGUCGGUUUCUUCACUGUUUUUAUUUCAGUUUCUCUCUCUCUCUCUCUCUCUCUCUCUUUUUGUCUUCUGCAAAUCACAAUUACAUUUUUAUUCUUGUCGUUUUCUUCACUGUUUUUAUUUCAGUUUCUCUCUCUCUCUCUCUCUCUCUUUUUGUCUUCUGCAAAUCACAAUCAAAUGUUGAAUUAAUGGAAUUAAUGCUUCAUAAAUUUGCCGGCACUGCCAUUACUUUUUUUUGGGGGAUCGAAUUGAUACUUUAUUUAUAUCUUCUUAGCGAUUUAAUUUCCUGUCAAAAGACGAACGAGAAGAACAUAUGACUUAAACCAAUGCUCGCAUAAACUUGCUGUAAAAAGAUAUAAUCUCACUGAAAUGCACACGCCUAGAAUGAAUAGAAUUAAAACAGGGAAAAUAUUAAGUAUAUUAGCCCUCUUUACUGAAAAUCAAAUGACAGUAAAUUUUUUGAAGUUUUGAUUUUCUAUGGUCAAUUCCACCUUUUGCAAUUUCUUCUGUUCUAACAAAAACCAAUUUCUUUGUUCAAGUAUUUUCGUUUGGAUAUUAAUAAUUCUCCACCGAAAGAGUGAACUCUUGCUCAAAGGGAUCUCUAAUAAUACAUAACAUGAUUAUUUUCGUUUGAAUAAUUGAUUUCUUGAUUGAAUUGUCGUGUAAUUGAUUUAUGGGGGAUGACACAUCAACAUACUUGAAAAUACACUAAUCUCAGCAUCAUCGGUUAAUAACUUUUAGAUUUAUGGGUAAUCAAUAGUUAAGAUUAGUUGUCAUUAAUACUAAAUAAUUUUUACUUUUUUUGUCUCUUCUAGAGGAUCUUCUAGAAAAAUGCAUCCACAAUUAAAUUUAAUACUUUACAUAAUAAACAAAGCCUAAAUGUUAAAUUUAAGAAACUGCAUUGUAUUUCAGUUGAAGUUGACUUUAAUAUUUAGGGUAGAAAAACAAUUAAUUUUAUUUUUUGAAAUGUCCAUAUUCAGAGCACAUUUCAAAAAGACUCAAUAAUUUCUCAUAAAUUUCAAUUAAAAAUAUUCAAUUUGUUGUUUCAGUUCUUUUAUUUUUUAUUUUUUCCGACAUGAAAGCGACUUAAUGUUACUAAAUUGGGUGGUCUUUGGAUUUUCAUGACCCAAUAAUUGGAACAAAACAAUUUUCUCAAGCGCUCUCCCGCAACAUUUUAUAAUUGAAGCCGCUGCCCCGCCCGUGGUUUCAAACUUUUUUCUUUCUCCUUGUUUAAAUUAAUGGGAGCAGCCUCCGUCCUUGACUAGUUGACUGCUUGUCUUCUUUUUUUUAUUAAUUAAUUAAUUCAGCCGCCCCCCUUUCUUGUCCCAAUAUCUUCUACUUUCGGUUUCCUUUUAUUAUCUCUUUAUUUUUAAAAAAUGCUUAUAAUAAUAAUAAAAUAUAAAAUAUAAAAAUAAAAAUAUAAUUUAUCAGAAAAUUAAGAUAAAGAAAUAUUAUAAGCACAUCAAUCAACAAGUGAAAAAAAAACAAUUUUAAUUUACAUUAAAUAUAAACUUUCAGUGUUAAUCAACUUUUCUAAAUAACUAAAUUAAAAAAUUAAUUGAUUUAAUUGUGGUGUAAUUGAUUUGUAGGGGAUGAAUCAGCAGCAUCAUCGGUUAACGCUUUCAGAUUUAUAGUUAAUCAAUAGUUGAGAGUUGUUAUCACUAACGCCGUGUAUUUUUUAAUGUUUUUUCUCUCUCCUACAGCAUCUUCUAGGAAAGUGCAUCCGUUGCUAAAAUUUAGUAUCGUAAAUAAUAAACCAAGAAUAAAUAUUAAAUCUAAGAAACUGUAUUGCAUUUAAUAUUUAAGGGAGAAAAAUAAUUAUAGUGUCUUUAUUAAUCAGUAAAAAAAAAAAUUAGAAUCAUAAUAAAUUGUAUUGUUAUUGAUGUAUUUAUUUUAUUUUAUACUCAAAAUAAAUUAUUUUAAAUUAUUAAAAUAAUUUAAAAUUAGUAUUUUAUUUUAUACUCAAAAUAAAUAAUUUAAAAUUUUCAUUUCUUGUUUAUUUCGCAAGUUGUUAUUGCCUAAUGCUAUGUCAACUCGAACAUUAGCAUUUUUUUUUUUGGUCCUCUUUUAACGCAAAAUUAGUGUAGGUUAAGUAACAUAAUCAAUAUUAGGACAAUUUGAAAUCCCUAUGGGUGCGUUUGGUACACUGUAUUGUAUUAUACUGUAUUGCAUUAUUUUAAUGCUGAUGUAUUGUAUUAUGUUGUAUUGCAUUAGCACUGUAUUAUAACAAUGCUAUACAAUAUUUGGUGUUACAUUGUACUGUAUUAGAUUUUAAUUAUAUUAUAUUUAGUGUUACAAUUGUUGUAACAUAAACACGACCAAAAUAAAUUGUACUAAAUAAUCUAAGUAAGAGUUCUGUAGUAUAUGUAAUAAUACUAUUUAUAUUAUUAUUAUUAAUAAUUCUAAAUUAAUAUUAUUUAAUUUUAUUCAUAUUUAAAUAUGUAUUAUUAGUUUAUUAAAUUAUUUAAAAUAAUUAAUUUAUAUAUAUUAAUUAUUGUAACUUAAUUAAAUAAUGUAAUGCUAUAUUAUAUUUUUAUAUACUAUUUAAGUAUUUAUUAUUAAUUAUAUUUAAUUAUAAAUUUAUUAAUAAAUUAUAAUAUAAAAAUAAAAAAUAAAAAUUAAUAUUGUAUAAUAUUAUAUUAAAUUAAAGUUUUAUUUUUAUUACUAUUAUUAUAAAGUAAAAAAAAAAAAAAGGGAAGCUACUGACUUUUGAAACACAAAAGUCAGUAAUACAACCUAAUCACGAGGGGGGGCGCGGGUUUUGAUAAUGCGGCAAAAGCUGCAUUGUAAUGCUGCUCAAUGCAAUCCAUUUGAUCACCAAACACAGGUAUAUUUUAACUAAUGCUGGGCCCACAAAAUAAUACAAUGCAAUUCCGCAUGCCAAACAUACCCUAUGGGUGCGUUUGGUACACUGUAUUGUAUUAUACUGUAUUGUAUUAUUUUAAUGCUGGUGUAUUGUAUUAUGCUGUAUUGCGUUAGCAUUGUAUUAUAAUAAUGUUGUACAAUGUUUGGUGUUACACUGUACUGUAUUAAUUUUUAAUUAAACUAUAUUUGGUGUUAUAUUGUAUUGUAUUAAUUUUUAUAAUUAAUUAAAUUAAAUAAUUAAAAAAUAAUAUUUAUUAAUACUUAGAAAAAUAAUAAAUAUAGAAAUCUUAAUUGUAGAAAUUUAACAAAUUUUUUAGUAAAUAUUAAAAAUUAAUGAUUAAAUUUCUAAAAUUUGUAUUAUAAUUAUGAUAAAAUAAAUUUAUAAAAUUUAAUAUUAUAUGUAAAUAAUAAAUUUAGAUUAUAAUUAAUAUUAUAAUUGUUAAUAUAAAUUAAUAAAUUAUUAUUCAAUAAUAUUCAAUUAUAUUUUAAUUUACAAUAUAUUAUUAUUUUUACAUUUUAAUAUAUUAAUAAAUUUAUAAUUUAACAUAAAUAAUUAUAAAUUUAAAUAAUAUUAAUUUUAAAAUUAAUAUUAAUGUAAAUAAUAUUAUAAUAUUAAUAUAUUAUUUUUAUAUGAAUCAUUAAUAAAUAAAAUAAUAUUAUCAUAUAAUUUAUUUUUAUAUUUUAUUCAUUAUAUUAAUAUUUAAUAAUAAAAUAAUUUAUUUUUAUAAUAUUUUAAUAAAAUAAAUUUGCCUCAAUUGAGGCAUUAACUGUUGCCUCAAUUGAGGCAAAAAGCUUCCGCAUCCCUCGGGUUUGCGUAAUGCGGCCCCAUGCCUCAUUAUGCUGCAUUAUAAUGCAGCAUAAUGAGGUGUCAAAUUUUGCCAAACAUGUUCUUGGUAAUAAACUAAUGUGAAUAGUAGUAUAAUACCACAUAAUCUCAUGCACCAAACACGCCCUAUGUGUAUUAUUCACGGUAUCUAUGAGGGCUUAUCCUUUUGCUAGAACAAACUCUAGCAAAUUGUCAAAUGUGCUUAUCCUUUCCCUUGACGACUCAUUUUAAAAUUGUCACUCAUUUUAAAAUUGUCUUUCAAUGCACAAACACAGACAUAACCGCCGACAUCGAGCACCAAGUUUGGAAUUUAAUUGAUAAGCAUACAUUUGAUAAAUUAAUGAAAAGUUUGGAGAGUAGUUUUGAUCACCCUUGAUUAGGACGGUAUUACAAAAAAGAUCAAAAAGAAAACAUCGUCUCUCUUCACAAAAAUAAAUAUUUUCCGUUAGAAUUUAAUACAAUAAUAUUUUUUUUGAUUAAAAUUUAAUUAAAUACACAAAUAAAUUAUAUAUUUUUUAAAAAAAUUUACACCCAGUCACAAGGCUGGCUAUUAAACUUAAAGGGUGGAAGCUUCGGAGACUAAAGUUGGUAACUUCUCCAAGUGGUCUUAAGUUGACCGGAACUACCCAGACUUUAUGUUUGGUAGCCUAGACCUGAUCGGACCUAGGCCCAAGUUUGGUCUUAAAGUCCACAAUUAAAUUAAAAAAAAAUUAUUUGAUUUGUAAUUGAUUUAUGGGGAAUGAAUCCGCAGCCCUAAAAUUACACCAAUCUUGACAUAAUGACAUCAUCGGUUAAAAACGUUCAGAUUUAUGGUUAAUCAAUGGUUUGAGAUUUGUUAUCAUUAAUGCUAGAUAUUUUUUAACAUUUUUUUCUAUCUCUCUUCUCCUGAAGGAUUUUCUAGGAAAAUGCAUCCACAACAAAAAUUUUAAAUUGUAAACAAUAAACAGAGUAUAAACGUUAAAUCUAAGGAACAUCGCUGCAUUUCAGCUGAAGCGAACUUUAAUAUUUUACGGAGAAAAAUAAUUAAGUCUUUAAUGUGAUUUAUUGAUUAAUAUAUAUGACUAAUUUUUUAAAAGAAGAUGAAGGAUGAAGCUUAAAAAUAUAAAUUAUAGAAUUAAUUUAUCUCUUCAAUAAAUCUAAAGUUUAUUUUUUUUAUUACAUGCUUCUAUUUUAUUUUUAUUCCAUGUUAAUGAAUGGAGAUUUAAAUCCAUUUUGGAUUUAUAAAGAUGUUUAGAUAUUUAAAUCCACGUGUGAUUCCAAACUUGAACCUUUUUUUUUUUUUUUUCUAAUUAAUGCAAACAGCCGCCUCUUUGACUGCUUUUCUUCUUUGUUUAUUAAUUAAUUAAUUCAGCUGCCCACCUUUCUUUUCCUAAUGUUUUCUACUCCCAAAUUUUUUUAAGGACAAGGCUACGUUGCAGACGCUGUACCUAACAGCUGCACCUUCGCCAGCUUAAAAAAGGGUGCAUUUGGUAAGCAACUUUUCUUUCGUGUGCAUAUGUGUCCUGCCACCAUUGGGUGUGUACGUAACAGAUAAUGUACCGUAACAAGCUCCUAUUUUUAAAUUUGUUUAUAAUGAUAAAAUAUAAAAAUUAAGAUUAAAAUGUAAUGUAAUGUAAAAUUAAAGGUGGAAGAGUAUUAAAAUAAGGCUAAACCUAUGUUACGUUUAACGUAACAUACAUUUAAAUAUAUAAAAUAUCAAUGGAAACCCUCAAAUUUUAUGGAAACUAUAUUAAUAAAAUUAAAAGAAAUAUUUUUAAAUCUGAAAGAAGAAAUAAAAGAUAUAAAGCAAGAGAUAGGAAAACUAAAAAUAGAAAUAUCUGUAAAAGAAAAAGGAAAAGAAAAAUUAGAAAUAAAAGAAACAACUCCAACUGAAUCGAAUUCAGACUAAUGGAAGAUGUAUUAGAAACUUUAACUGAAAAAUUCAGUGACAUAAAUCUUAGUGAUUUAGAAGACUUUGAAAAAGAAUAUUAGAUAAAAAUGAAUACUGCUGGAGGACCAGAAAUGAAACCUAAUGUAGCAUAACCAAGUCAUAGAUAUGGUAUAAAUAAAAUGAAAAAUAAACCUUUUUACGAGUAUAUACCUCCUAUUAAAAAUACUCCUUGGAAAAAAGAAUACAAACCAAAUCAAGAUACAUUAACCCCAAUAAAUAAUGCUGGAACAUUUUUAAAUCUAGAUUGUAAGAUAGACAUUCGAAAGGCGUUAGCAGAAUGGGUGUUACAAAUGAAAUUAUUUUUUAUAUUUAACGGGUCAAAGGAUGACUAGAAUGUAGAGACUGAAGAAGAAAAAAUAGAUAUAUUUGUUGAAAUCUUAAUAGCCAGUUUUUCAGGAAAUGUGUUUAAUUGGUGGAGAGGAUUAAGCGAUGAUACACAAAACUUAAUAAAAGAUUCAACCAAAUAGCAUUUAGAAAAAAUAAAGCCUUAGGAAUGGAAAGGAUAACUGAAUACAUAGCUAGUGAAUUUUUAGGAGAAGAUUGGCUAGAAAAAUCGGGCAUAUAUGAAAAUUUAAAAAUUUAUGAUAAAAAGAUCUUAGUGUUUUUAUUAAAAAAUUAAAAUUUACAUGACUAUUUCUUUAAAUAUUUAGGGCAUAUAUGAACCACGGAGGAGAAAAGCUUUAUUUAAUAUUUUAGAAUAGUUUUUGAUCAGUACAAUUGGGUCCUUAUUCAGAAUUAUUGUUCUCUUCCGCAACAGUUUUUGUUUAUCAAAGUCGUCAAUUAAAAUUUUAGAAUUCUUAUCAGAAGAAGUAGUCGUUUUAGAAGUUGGGUCUUGGAUCAAAUUUCUACGAGUGCAUGAAUUAACAAUAAAAAAAUUUCAUUACACACGGUUUAAGCUACAAACUACUAUUUGCACAGUUGACUAUAAAACUUACCUCCAAUUACACUAAACCUCUCUAUUUGGUAACGUUGAGACUAAAUUAAUUUUAUUAGCAUGAAAAGAUGAUAGAAAUAUAAUUAUAAAUAUUAUUGUUGUUAAUCAAUUAGUACAUGUGAUAUAAAGGUUAAAUGUGCACUAUAUUUAAUAAUUAAUUAGUGGAGCAUGUUAAACAAAAUGUUAAUGUAUAUUUAUAUAGUGUUAGGAAUAUGCAAAGUCAAGUCCUCAAUUUGCAUUAUCCUGUAUAGAAUAUUACUCUAAAAAUGUUUUACUAUAAUUGGCUUAGAACAUUUGUAAAGAAAAAUAAUAAUAAAAUAAUAAAUAACAUACACCGUCACAUAGCACCUAGACAAUGAUAGAAAAUUAUUAAAGAGAGUGCAAACAAUUAAUUAGAGAUUUUUAUGAUGACUUUUAAUAUUCAUGAUAAUAACAAAUAAAUACAUGUAUCACUUUUUUAAAAUAUUAAAUUUGACUGCUCCAUUAAUAAAUUAUUAUUGUAAUUCAGACUCUAUCUAUAUAUCCUUGCACUAAGAAUAAUUAAGGUAACGUUUGUUUUUUAACUUAAUGACUUAAAGUGACUUAACUUAAUUAAUUAAGUUAAUUAGAGGUGUUUGUUUUAUAACUUAAUGAGACUUUUUAGAUAAUUUUGACUUAAUAAAAUAAGCUAAUUUUUUUUGGCUUUUUACUUAAUGGAGAAAUCUGAAUUAAGUCAAUUACUUGCUAAUGUCAAAAAUAUCCUUGUUUUAUAAUUUAUUUUUCAUGUCUAUCCCAAAACUCGCCCGUAGAUAUUUACCCCACAUAAAAAUAUCCCUGUUUUUUUCUUUCUUAUAUUAUAUACGAUAAAAUUUGAAAUUUAUAGUAUUUUAUAUAUUAAAAUUCUAAAAUAAUUAUGUAUUCACUUGAAUAUAGUUUUACUUAUAAAUGUUAAAAUAUGAUGGUAUUUAAUAUAUUAUUUAUUUGACAUUCAAAUUUAAUAAGGAUACAAAUGUAAAAGUACAUAUUUUCAGCUUUUUAAAUUGAAAAAAAAUAACUUAAUAUUUAUUUUCUGAGAUUCAGACGAAAAAAUAAACAUAUUAUUCAGAUUCAUACAUUCAGAUCUAUUCAGAAUUCAAACUAAUUCAAGUCUAUUCAAAUUUUAGACAAAAAAAUAAACGCCACCUAAGUCAUAAUAAAAAUUUUCGUAACUACAUCUCGUUUCUUCCUCAUAAUAAUAAUUAGAUUGGUUCGAAUAUUAUAACUAUAUAGAUUUAGUGUAUAGCCACAUCCAAUUUAAAUAUUGACCCAAUUGGGAUGGUCCCCAAAAAAAAAGAUUCGUUAAAGGAUAAUUCUAAUUAUUUUUACUUCUCAAACGUUAGUGGGACGUUUCUAUUAGCGCACUCGUAAGCCAAGUUGUCAAAUAUUUAUACUAAACUACAAUUGCUAACAAGAAAAAUCAAGAUCGUGUUAAGCAAGUGGGUCCCGAAUAGGACGUGCAAAUCUCUCGUAAGUCAAGUUGUCAAAUGUUUAUAUAAAACUAACAAUUACUGACAAGAAAAAUCAAGAUCGUAUUAAAAAUGGGUCCCGAAUAGGAUUAUCUUUUUAAGAAUAUUAUUAUUUUAUUAUUAAAAUUUUAUUAAUAUAACAGUAUUAAAAUUUAUUAAAAAAUAUAUUUUAUUAUUAAAAUUUUAUACCGUUAUCAAUUUAUUAUUAUUUUAUUAAAAAAAUUAAUAUUUAACAAAAAUUGAGAUAAAAAUUAAUUUUUGUUCUCUGUCUUUAUUUAUUUAUUUAUUUUUUUGGGUCUUCUGCAAAUCACAAUCAAAUGUUGAAUUAUAAAUUUGCCGGCAUUGCUUUUUUUUUUUUUUUUGGGCCGGGGGGUGGUGUUGAAUUGAUGCUCUGGGUUUUUGACUUUUGUUGUCAAAUUUUACUCUGUUUUUCCCAAAUUGAUGCUANNNNNNNNNNNNNNNNNNNNNNNNNNNNNNNNNNNNNNNNNNNNNNNNNNNNNNNNNNNNNNNNNNNNNNNNNNNNNNNNNNNNNNNNNNNNNNNNNNNNNNNNNNNNNNNNNNNNNNNNNNNNNNNNNNNNNNNNNNNNNNNNNNNNNNNNNNNNNNNNNNNNNNNNNNNNNNNNNNNNNNNNNNNNNNNNNNNNNNNNNNNNNNNNNNNNNNNNNNNNNNNNNNNNNNNNNNNNNNNNNNNNNNNNNNNNNNNNNNNNNNNNNNNNNNNNNNNNNNNNNNNNNNNNNNNNNNNNNNNNNNNNNNNNNNNNNNNNNNNNNNNNNNNNNNNNNNNNNNNNNNNNNNNNNNNNNNNNNNNNNNNNNNNNNNNNNNNNNNNNNNNNNNNNNNNNNNNNNNNNNNNNNNNNNNNNNNNNNNNNNNNNNNNNNNNNNNNNNNNNNNNNNNNNNNNNNNNNNNNNNNNNNNNNNNNNNNNNNNNNNNNNNNNNNNNNNNNNNNNNNNNNNNNNNNNNNNNNNNNNNNNNNNNNNNNNNNNNNNNNNNNNNNNNNNNNNNNNNNNNNNNNNNNNNNNNNNNNNNNNNNNNNNNNNNNNNNNNNNNNNNNNNNNNNNNNNNNNNNNNNNNNNNNNNNNNNNNNNNNNNNNNNNNNNNNNNNNNNNNNNNNNNNNNNNNNNNNNNNNNNNNNNNNNNNNNNNNNNNNNNNNNNNNNNNNNNNNNNNNNNNNNNNNNNNNNNNNNNNNNNNNNNNNNNNNNNNNNNNNNNNNNNNNNNNNNNNNNNNNNNNNNNNNNNNNNNNNNNNNNNNNNNNNNNNNNNNNNNNNNNNNNNNNNNNNNNNNNNNNNNNNNNNNNNNNNNNNNNNNNNNNNNNNNNNNNNNNNNNNNNNNNNNNNNNNNNNNNNNNNNNNNNNNNNNNNNNNNNNNNNNNNNNNNNNNNNNNNNNNNNNNNNNNNNNNNNNNNNNNNNNNNNNNNNNNNNNNNNNNNNNNNNNNNNNNNNNNNNNNNNNNNNNNNNNNNNNNNNNNNNNNNNNNNNNNNNNNNNNNNNNNNNNNNNNNNNNNNNNNNNNNNNNNNNNNNNNNNNNNNNNNNNNNNNNNNNNNNNNNNNNNNNNNNNNNNNNNNNNNNNNNNNNNNNNNNNNNNNNNNNNNNNNNNNNNNNNNNNNNNNNNNNNNNNNNNNNNNNNNNNNNNNNNNNNNNNNNNNNNNNNNNNNNNNNNNNNNNNNNNNNNNNNNNNNNNNNNNNNNNNNNNNNNNNNNNNNNNNNNNNNNNNNNNNNNNNNNNNNNNNNNNNNNNNNGAAGGGUCUCUAAUCAAUAGCUGGAAGCAAUUGAGAAGGCGGUUGCUACAGUGAAUUCAAAUGUAAAAUGUUUGCUAUUCUUCGAUUUGGUUAAUGAUUUCGUAUGAAUAUUGUUGUUCCGUUGAGUUGCAUGCGAAUUCAAAUGCAAAAUAUUCUUCGAUUUUCAAUUUUGAAAUCAAAUUUUUUUUUCCUUCUCAAGCAUGUUAUGCAGAAACGAUUGUCAUGUUAUGCAGAAACGAUUUUUACUAAAUCAUUUUUAACAAACUAUUGAAAUUAAACCACUGGAAUAAGAAUUGUAAGGAUUUAUCGUAAGCUUACUAAUACGAUAAUUCUGAAACUAUCACCUUUUUUUUUUUAUUUGUUGCAGGGAAACCCAAAUUUUGUAUUUUGUCAAUUUCAUCUGAUAUGGAAUUUAUUUCCUCCCUAAAGAUUUAUCAAACUGCUUCUCUUCCCUGCUUCAAUAUCUUUAUGCAAUUACGAUCUCAUAGGAAAAGAGAGUUUGGGUUGUAUAUCUUAUAGUAUUUAUUUAUUUUUUGUUAAAAGAAAUUUAUUUUAAAAUAGUUUAUAGCAACAGUUUUUAUUUAACAAUAAUGAGGAAGGAUUAUUAUAGGUUCAAAUAGUUGUUAGAACAUUAUAAAAAAGUCCAUUUACUAUCAAAUGUUUUAAAUUGGUGCAACGUGAUAAUUGUCUCAUAUAAUUUUUUAAGGGUAAAAACUCGUUUCAUUCCCAUAUUUUAAGAUUAUUACUCAUUUAGUCUUUAUAUUUUUAAAAAUGUUUCAAAACAUUCAUACCCUUAAAUUAUUAACAUCUCUGCUGUUACUUUUUAUUUUUUUUUGACUUGUUUUUACAAUAUUGCCCUCUUACAAUAAUGUUUCUUUUUAUAAAAUUAAUAAAAAGAAAAAAAAUUAAAUUAUCAAUUUAACCCCAAAAAUAAAAUAAAAAUAAAAAGAAUAAAUAUUAAUUUUUGUGAAAGUUUACAUGUGUCCAAAAUAAAUUUUAUUGUAAAAAUAAUUAAAUUGCCUUUUUUUUGGACAUUAGUAAUAAAAAAAUUAAUAUAUUAAUUCCUCAGCAGUGUGUUACAAAAAAGUAAAAUAUAUUAAUUUUGUUUUUAUUUUAGACAAUGAGAUAGAGAAAAGUACAAGAUAAAGGAAAGGACUUCAAAACUCACUGUUCAUCAUAAUGCCCUUUGCCUUUAAAAAAAAAUCAUUCUAAUAUUUUAUAACACAUAAAAUAUAAUCCUAAGAUAAAUAUAAUAAUACAUAUUUUAAACUAAUCUCGAUAUUUAAAAUAUGUUUUAAUAUUUUAUAAUCUAUCAGACAUAUUUUAUUAUAUUAAUGUAAAAUUUAUAAUAAAUACAAACAUAUUAUUAAAAUAAAUAUAUAAAAAAUAUUUAUUUUUUAUAUGUUUACACUGAGGACUCUCUUUAAUUCAUUUAUUUUCUCUCUCUCCAAACAGGUACUGUCUUCAGUUAGCAAUGCUAUGAUAGUAAUCCAAUUCUCUUCUCCCCCACCUGAGCGAGAUUUGAAUUUGAAUCCCUUGUUUUUCACCCACUCUGUUUUUUUUCACGCAAGAUUUGACAAUUUGAGUUAAAAAAUAUGGUCCAAAACUUGAACACGUAUCUUUUAAUUGUAAUAAAAGUUCUUUAAGCUUUGGAGAUGGCAUAUAUAUGGCUGGAAGUGUCCUUUUCUUUGACCUAGAGGCAGCACCAAGCUAUCCAGCAUCAUCAUUUUUCAAGUGGGUCUUAAAUGCCUAGAAACGUUGGUGUUUCUUGAUUUAAAGAUGACACAUGCUAUAAGUGUGAAUGGUUUGGCUAAGCCUAAAUUUAAAGUCUACUCAAGUCGCAUUCAGGAUCAUGGAAAUUGGAAAGGGAGAGAUGAUAGCAAGAUUUAUAAUAAACAAUUAACUUGGGUCCUCAGUGUACAAAGCAAAUGCCACGCAAGCGAUAGCCGGCCCAGCCCAGAAAACCCAGUGGCGAUCCCAGAGAUGGCCUCCUCUAACGAGUGCUGGGCCCAAAAAUCUUUGCGGGUUGAGCCCAGCUCCGGCAUAGCCCUUUUGAGCAGUAACAGUUGUCGAGACAAAAACCAGAAGACCCAACACUGUUCCAAUGACAAUGCAUACGGUAAACUCUGCCAAGAGCCUUGGCUUGUCUGGAGUCAAAAGCCAUCCACACAGAAGCAAAAAGGAACACAAACGAGCAAAUUAUCUCAAGCCAAAGGGCCUGCCUAGUCCCCAAGCCGAUCUCAACAGGCCCAUCUGGCCCAGGUACGACAACAUUCAGGGUGCAGCCUCCAAGUUGUCAAAUAUUUAUAUUAAACUACAAUUGCUGACUAGAAAAAUCAAGAUCGUAUUACAAGUGGGUCCCGAAUUGGACGUGCCUAAAUCUUUUUAUAAUUUUCCCAGUGUAGCGGACAGAGGUCAUUACUAAAUUUCUCUUCCACACGCCACAGCAGCUUCGGUUAAUCAAACUCAAUCAAUUUUCUUGGCUUCUCCGCUUAUCAAUAUUACAAGGUAUGGGUAGCAUUUUUCAAAUCACAUGCGAUGGUACUAUUUUCAAUCGUUGCUUAGAUUGCUUUCUUGGAAAAGCAGCAUACAUAAGUAACCUCCAAGAUAAUCUUGUUGCCUUGGAGACUGAACUAAGGAAACUAAUCGCAGCAAAGAACGAUGUGAUGACGGCGGUUGUCAAUGCUGAACGGCAACAAAUGAGAAGGCUGGACCAAGUGCAAGUGUGGGUUUCGAGGGCGGAUGCUGUUAAAAAUGAAGCUGAUGAACUUAUCAGAGGCGGCUCUCAAGAAAUUGAAAAAUUAUGUCUUAGAGGGUUCUGUUCCAGGAACUGCACGUCAAGCUACAAGUUCGGAAAACAAGUGGCUAAAAAGCUACGAGCUGUGGAGACUUUAAUCGCCGAAGGAGUUUUUGAGGCGGUGGCUGCCGAGGUGGUGCCUGAGAGAGCUCCAGAGCCUGUAGCAGAUGAAAGACCUACCGAGCGAACAGUAGUAGGCUUGCAAUCACAACUUGAACAAGUCUGGAGAUGUCUUGCAGAAGAAUCAGCGGGAAUCAUUGGCCUAUAUGGUAUGGGCGGUGUUGGUAAAACUACACUAUUGACCUAUAUCAACAAUAAAUUUCUCGAGAGUCCAACCAACUUUGAUUGUGUGAUUUGGGUAGUAGUUUCAAAAGACCUGCGACUUGAAAAACUUCAAGAAAAUAUUGGGAAAAAGAUAGGUUUGGUUGAUGAUUCAUGGAAGAGUAAAAGUGUAGAGGAGAAAGCUCUCGACAUCUUCCGGAGUUUAAGAGAGAAGAGAAUUGUAUUGCUGUUAGAUGAUAUAUGGGAGCGGGUUGAUUUAACAAAAGUGGGCGUUCCACUUCCAGGACCACAAAAUACUACCUCAAAAGUCGUAUUCACAACCCGUUUGAUCGAUGUUUGUGGUAGCAUGGAAGCUGACAGGAAGUUCAAAGUAGCAUGCUUAUCAGAAAAGGAUGCUUGGGAACUGUUUCGAAAAAAAGUUGGGGAAGAAACUCUUGGAAGUCAUCAU